GAGGCUCGAGUUCAUUGACGUGGACAAGUGCGAGUGCAAGUCCACCCUCAUCGAGGGUGGUGGCAUCGGCACGGCGAUUGACACGGCCACCUCGCAGAUGAAGGUGAAGCCGACAGCCAACUGUGGGAGCGUAGUGAAGGUGAAAUCGACAUACAAGCUGCUGCCAGGCGUGGAGGUGAACGAUGAGAUCUCCAAGGCCAAGGACUCUAUGACGGCCAUUUUCAAGGCCGCCGAGGCCUACCUUAUCGCCAACCCGGAUGCCUACAACUAAAUCAGUUGAGAGAGAUCAUAUAUGAUUUUUGCGUGCUUUCUUCCCGAUCUAAUAAAGCUUCUCCAACUUCCAAGUAGUGACAGCAAGAGAUCUGACCACGGUGUGGACUAGAGAAGUUUAAAAUGUUUGUAUUUGUAACAAUUAUCAAUGGGUGAUAUUGUUUGAUGAUGUUGCUGCUUGCUUGCGCACGUUCCUCUUGUUUUUGUACUGGAAUAAAAAGAAUUAUUUGAAACAUAUAAAGAGCUCAUAUAUGUAUUUUGAAUUGGAUAUUUAUGUUCCGAGAAGGUUUUAUUCUUGCCUUCUUUUUGAAAAGCAAGAUGGCCCCCACGUCUGCAUCAUAAGGAUGCAUGCAAUCAUAUAUUAUUAAUAAUGCAAAAUUCAGCAGCAACCGAACAACAUCAAUCGAUAAAUAAAGCAAAAAAUAAACCCUAAGGUUGUAUACCUCGCGAGAGUAGCUCACCAUAUAGCCACUAACCCUAUGUUACAAUAGACAUGAGAAACGGAAAAAAUACAUAACUCCUAGGCUAUGCCUUCAAGAAGGAAUCGUCACACAUGCGUCGAUGAUGGCCAGACCACCACAAGGUUGAACUUCGGAUUCUCAUCCCCAAAGCCAAGCUUCAAUCCACCACCUUCAGCAAUGAAACAACGCACGCAUCACAUAGCACGAUUAGAGACCGUGUGUUUCUGCGGAGUGCAUAAACUCGUCGUUGAAGUCGUCCAUACCAUCGCCCUUUUCCGUCUGCACACACCUCAAUAGCCGGAUACCUCUAGAGAAGACAAUGUAAGACAAAGACGUCCCAUACAAUCUGCAUCCCGCUACUAUCGCACCACCUUCCAUCCAACAGCAACAGACUAAGCAUGACACCCCCGCCAGAGCCACCAUGCAUCACCUGCCAGUAGCAUGCAUGACUUGAUGUCUCCGAAUAAGACAUCAUGUGUAGCAUCCAACGGUGGCUUCAACUGUCGGUAACUGGCACUACCCAACAACUCCGAAAGAGGCACAUGUGUCACCUGCCGAGCCACAUCAAACCCAAUUUGUUGAUGGAGGGGCCGUACGAUACCGCCACCAGUCGCAGAAAUGUUGUCACCACCUUGAUAUCCAGACUCCGAGUCGCCCACACGCCACAGGAGUCCGCCCUCGUUGAGAAAGAGGGGUUGUUGCCCCAAUUUCGAGCACUAUAGGGACCACCCAUAUUCGCGCCCGCCACGAUCCCGCAUCAGACGCCGGAGGAAGAUACGUCCGUCACUCAAAUAUAGGAAGAGAUUGUUUUAAUGUAUAAGCCAUUUUAUUUUUAUCGGCACCACAUUUGCCUCUCUUAGGGUAAUUUGGUUUCUUCGAUGGUAGCUUUGUUGACGACACGUCCUAUCCUCUCCUCAUGAGCUACUCGGAAUCUAUGGACGCGGCCACUACCCCCUGCUAUGCAUGCCUCACAGCCCCAACAGACGCCCGAUCCCGCCUAUAAUAUCUCAUCAACUUCCUCGACCGAAGACCCCACUCCAUGAGCCCUCUCUGCAAAGGCUACCCAGAUUUAACCCACAACCAUUGCCUAUGUACCAAGCUCCGACGGGCAAUGCCGGUGAGCCCGGGUAAACCCCGAACCUGCCUUCUCACCUAUUGGGUCUACGCACUCUGGCACAUGUUUCUUAAAUCCCACGCCUGCACAGACUGUCCACGGGACGCAAGCGCGCCAUAAUCGGAACACCGCCUUCACCACGUCCUCCAUUCCUGCGACCUAAGGACGAACCCGAGCCCAUGACCUUGUGCAUUGGCUUCGCCAUGCCACCACAUGUCUAACCAACCAAUCGUGCUACCCUGCCUUCAUGAAGUGAUGCUUGUGAGUGUUAGUGAAUUAUGCUAAUGCUAUUCGAGGCAUGUCCAUCAUACCCAUAAUUAUAUUUUUGUUGCAAGAGUUCAUCCAAAGUGUUUCCCCAAAAAAAGUGUUAGCUAGAGGAAAUAGAAUAAUUACUAGUUGACUACUUUGUCUAAGUUAAUGAUUUUUUUGUUCUUAUCAUCUUGUCCUAACAGGCUUGCAUAUUAAUGAGUGUCGCCUCUACAACUAUGCUAAGUUUUCGUGUGAAUAAAGCGUUGGGCUAUCGACACAUAUCGGGCAUAAGUGAAUCAAAAUAUUCUCAUUAUUUUGGUUUGUACAGUGAGUUCCAUAUGAUAUUGUAUCUUUCUUGAGUAUGAUCGAGAUGUAAUCUUGGGAAGUAGAUGAGUGUAUUUUACACUCACUUUUACCCAUGUUUAUAGUGGACAAUUUCAGACUUUCCAAAGAUAGUCACUUUGACUUGCCUAUUUGUGACAACAAAUUGGAAAGAUUGUAAAUCUCUUUGUUUCCUACAUAAAUUAACAUUUUUAGGUGAUGAAUCAAGUCAUAAAAUGGAAAUAAUACGCGCAAAGAUUAAUGCCAAUCAACCAAAGGCAUGUAACCUAACUCCAGAGGUGAAGACGACAUUCGGCAUGACCAUACGCUUGUACCAAUGCUCAUACGAUGCUCCACCGACUUCGUGAUGUCAGCACUGACAACUUCCGUGAAAGCACCCUAAGGUCGAUUCACAUAACAUAUAAACGGGAGAAAAAACCCUUCAACGUGGAGAGUCGCUCCAUUCAUCAAGUUCAUCCAUUCGCCACCGUGGUAACCAUUACCUUCUACAACAUUCAUCACCACUGCAUAGACAUUUCCACUGUCAUAGACUCCAUCUCAAUUAGCCAUUGUACUUGUACUCAAGAGUACAUUACAUUUGGUAGCUGGUUCCUCCGAAGUUUCCCUCGGGAUAGCAGGAGCAAGUUACGAGCUCUAUCAGGUAAAGCCAUUUAUUAAAGACAUUAGGAACGCAACUUCCUCAAUCUAUUCUCAAUCUUUAAACAGGUAGGACGAUGUGUCUGCUUCGGCUAGCUGUACCAUGGAACCGGGUGCUCGAAGUGGGCCAUUUUUUGUAAGCCGAACUAACGAUGAGAUGAAUCGGAAGCAGGAUUAUGGUUGCCAACUAUGAUAUCAUUGUUUGUGAUUUGUUCAUGAUGUGUGAGUAGUCCCGUCACGCUAAUGUCCAAGGCAUAGCCUCACAACCACUAUGUAUGUGUAUUAAGUGAUUGUGGAUUUACUUUAAGAUUUAACGUUAUUUCUCUGUGUUGCACAAUCAUGGCUUUGCAGGUACCCAAGAUAUCGAAGACCAGAAAAGGAGAGGUAAGGACAGAGAGGACUGGAAGGCUAUGCCGAAUGUUGCCGAUAGUAAGAUUAGUAUGGUAGUUAGAACCGAGUCUCUCGGGAUUUCCUUAAUAAUAGAGGUAACCCCAUGAGAUAGACAUGGCUUUGAUGGGCUAAGAGAAGUUCAAUGCGGUGGCAGUAUGUCGUCAUGUUAUUUGUAACUUUUUGUACAUGAAAUAUGAAUACAUUUUCUAUGUGCCUGCAAAGUUUCAUUACCAUAUGACAUGGGGGGAGCUCAGGACAGAAAAAAAAUAAAAUCUAUGUUCCGAAGUAAAAAAAAAAAUCUUUCUUAAAACUUUGAUUUUUGUUUUUCUUGUCUAGAGCUCUCCCGGUGUCAUACCGUCAAGAAAUUUUGGAGAUGCAUUGAAAACUUGUUCAUCUUUCAUGGAUUUAUAUUAUUUUUAAAUGUAUAUUAUUUUUAUUUUACUUUUCAUCCAAAGAAGCAGAUGAGCUCGAGCAUUAAAACUCGCUCCUUCCCCUGAUCAUUUCUUGAAUAAAACUCUUAAGUCCAUGUAAAAUGCAAGGUGCUAGUUAGUUUCUUCAAAAAUAAAUCAACUUUUAUUAAGCACCAAUUUUUGUUUUUAUAGCAGACGUGCCUAAAUAAACGCAUGCGCUUGGCUCCCUUGUAUCGCUCCCGGCUAAUCCCGGGGCCCUCCGGUGAUGGGGACGGCGGGGAUCUAGGCUGCAGCCCCACGGUCUGGAGGGACCGGCGACACGAGAUCGCCCUUCGUUCUUUGUCUUUCCCAACGGUUCGGCACUGCUCCGCUGCUUCGUGGGAAGGGCGGACCAGGAGGGGAUGUGGCCAUGGUUGACUGGUCGACGGUGCAUUCGGCGAGAUGUGAUCUGGCCGGUGCUACUGGCGAUGGUGGCCAUCUCCUCCAUUGGAGGUGGUCGGCCUAAGGCUAGAUGGUCACAUCUCGAGAUCCGUCGUCUAGUUCCAGCUGUGAGUUGGGAAGACACAGUUGCGGAUGAAAACCAAGCCGAUGGCAGGCGAUGACGGUGUUCUGUGUCGUUACCUUGAUGAAGGCAUCGUCGUGUAACUACUGUCAUCCCACUCGUGCUGCUCCGGGGGAAACCUAGGAUCUAGUCUUCCAGAUUGGACGAUGGCGGUAUUGCGGUGUCGUCUUCUCUCUUGGGAGCAUCGUUUGUGGAGCAAAGCUGGAAGACAGAGGCAGGAGGUGGUGCGGCUUCGUCUUGGACGAAGCUUUCGGUGGAGAUGUCAAGGCAUGCCUGGCCGAUAGGUGAUACGUACGCUCGAGGUCAUACCUGGUCAGCAGGUGUUUCGCACGACAGAUGUCCAGAAUCUUCAUGUGUGGACGGACGAGCGUGGGAUGGUGGCGCCGUUGGGCUCCGUGGUGGCGUCGACGGAUGGACGGACUUGCAACGAUGAAGCAGAUCUCUCUCCUGAAGAUGGAUCAACAGUUAGAUGAUUAUGGCGGCGUCUAAAACAUAUGCAUGUGGUGUACGCUUUAUGAAUGCUGCACUAGGUUCCGAUAUGUUAUGUGGAUGGAUUGACAAUGGCUCCUGUUUUAGAUAUGGGGAGUGAGAGCACUCCAUAUUGUCGAAUUUUGUAGGUGUGAGUGAUGGUUCGGAUGACUUGAUAUAUGUUUUUGUUAGAAACAUGUUAAAUAAUAAAUAAAGAUGGCCGUAUGCAUCAAUUUAUGCAGAGAACGGGAUUUUAACCUCCUUUUUCAAACAAAAAAAAUCUCUGUAAUCAGCCUUCAUUGUGCAUGAUCAAAGUUGAUAAAGCGUGAUAUAUAUACAAUGGUUUUGCUUAAAAGAAACAACAACGUGUGUUUUCCAGUACAUGCGGUGAGCAAAAUAUGAUUAUAAACGAAUGCAACCCAGCAUCUCAACUAGCUGAUUUAUGUGUAAUGAUACAUGUACAAGCUCACAGACAUUUGUUAAUGAGUAACACAGCUGGAUAAUUAUCAGCUACUAGUACUAGAGCAAUUUCCCCACGGGGACCGUGGUGCAAUUCUUCUCCUAACUAAAGAUUGACAAGCUCUUAAAAACAACACUAAAGAUUGACAAAAGCACGGGCUUUCAGACCCAGCAAUGAUAAAAGCUUAGCCGCCAUCCAAUUUGGAAAAGCUCUUUGGCGCCUUCACCACUCUCCACUCACCAGACCCAUUCGGGCCAAGCUUCACCAACCCCGCUUUCGAGAUCCUAUAUAUAGCGCUCACUUCUGCUCUCUAGAAAACCAAGCAGCUCUGCGCCAUUACAACAGUCAUAGUUCACAUCAUUUGUUGUACUUGUACUAGCUUGAUCAUCAUAGCAAUGGCCUCCACCAACAGCUGGACCCAUGAGAUUGAGUCGCCGGUCGCUGUCACGCCUCUUCCGUGCCGGCGUUAUGGACUGGCACACCUUGGCCCCCAAGCUCGCGCCAUAGAUCGUCACCAGCGCCCACCUUGUUGAGGGAGAAGGCGGCAUCGGUAGUGUCAGGCAGUUCAACUUCAUCUCAGGUAUAUAUGCAUCAUAUAUACAACUCAUAUCACCUACUGUCUGGUACCUAUGGUCAAACCAUAACACAUAGUUGAUCUUCCAGCCAUGCCCUUCAACCUCAUGAAGGAGAGGCUCGAGUUCAUUGACGUAGACAAGUGCGAGUGUAAGUCGACCCUCAUCGAGGGUGGUGGCAUCGACACGGCGAUCGAGACGGCCACAUCGCACAUCAAGGUGGAGCCGGCAGCCAACGGUGGGAGCGUAGUGAAUGUGGAAUCGACAUACAACCUGCUGCCGGGCGUGGAGGUGAAUGAUGAAAUCACCAAGGCCAAGGACUCUGUGAUGGCCAUUUUCAAGGCCGCCGAGGCCUACCUUAUCGCCAACCUGGAUGCCUACAACUAAAUCAGUCGAGAGGGAUUAUAUGUGAUUAUGCUUUCCCUAGUUUGACUUUUGCGUGCUUUCUUCCACAUCUAAUAAAGCUGCUCCAACCUCCAAGUAGUGACAACAAGAGAGCUGAACAUGGUGUGGACUUGAGAAGUUUAAAAUGUUUGUAUUUGUAACAACUAUCAAAGGGUGUUCUUCCUUGAUGUUGCUGCUUGCUUGCGCACGUUCCUCGUGAUUUUGUACUAGAAUAAAAGGAAGUAUCUGAAACACAAACAGAACUCGUAUAUAUAUUUUGAAUUGGAAGUUUGUGGGCUGAGAAGUUCUUAUGUUUGCUCGACUGAAGAUAAUUUCACUCGCUCUUUUCAAAUAGGAAGAGCUAUUUUUAAUGUACAAUCCAUUAUGUUUUUAUUUUUGGCAUCACAUUUGCCUCUAAUAGGUUUAUGCGGUUUCUUCAGAUGUAGCUUUUUUGACGAUUCGUCCUAUCCCCUCCCGUUGAGCUACUCGGAAUCUCCGUCCGCAGCCACGACCCCUGCUAUGCAUGCCUCAUAGUCCCAACAGCCACCCAAUCCUGCCAAUGAUAUGCCCUCAACUUCCUAAAACCCACUCCAUGAGCCCUCUCCGCUCAGGCUACUUGGAUUUAACCCACAACUGCCGCCUAUGUACCAAGCUCCGACGGCGAUUCCGGUGAGCCCAGGUAAACCCAGAACCUGCCUUCUCACCUAUUGAGGCUACAAACUCUGGCGCAUGUUUUUGAGAUGCCACGCCUUUCCAUACCGUACAUACACAGCCGCGAGCGCGGCAUACAUGAACACUGCCACGAUCACCAUUCCAAUGAGGUAAGCACCAACCUGGGCCCGGGACCUUGUGCAUUGGCUUUGCCAUGCCACCGCAUGUCUAACCGACCAAUCGCGCUACUAUGCGUUCAUGAAGCGAUUCUUGCGAGUGUUAGUGAAUUAAAUACCGUGCUCUUUGAGGCAUGCCCCUCAUAUCCAAAAUCAUAUUUUUAUUGCAAUAGUUCUUUUAAAGUGUUCCUGAGAAAAAAAACAUGUUAGCUAGACAAAAUAAAAUAAUUACUUGUUGACUACUUUGUACUAAAUUAUCUAUGUGCCUGCAAAGUUUCAUGACCAUAUUAUGACAUGGGGGAGCUCAGGACAGAAAAAAAAGUUAUCAUUUUUUUUGUCCCGAUCUCUCUUGACGUCAUAUCGUCAUAAAAUUUUGGAGACACAUAGAAAACUUUUCAUCUUUAUGGAUUUAUAUAUUAUUUUUUCAAAAUUUUCCUAUGUUAUUUAGAUUGUACUGUUCGCCCAUAGAAGCAGAUGAGCUCGACCACUGAAACUACCUCCUUCCCUAACCAUCUCUUGAAUAAAACUCUUAAUUCCAUGAGAAAUGCAAUUCGACUCGCGGGAGCAUGUGCUCCUGUCCAUGGAAAAUGAAUUUUGAUAUGUCAAGGAAAUCCUAACAAAAAUGUUAUGUUUUCUUUGUCACAUCCAAAUGCUACUCGGAAAUUUUUAGGCCAAAAGGUCAAGUAUUUUGGCAUCUGCAAAAUAAACAAAUUAAGCAUCAAUUGUUACCCCAAAAUAUCACAUUCAAUUUUUUUUCCACCGACGAAACACCACUGCUUCGUUUCGGAUGAAAAUUGUCAGACAUGCUUGAGACAGUAACACGAACAUCUAUAAAACACCUCUGCCUCAAAUCCAUGUACAAUGCAAGGUGCUAGUUAGUUGCUUGAAAAAUAAAAUAAAAUAAUUAAGCACCCGUUUUUGUUUUUAUAGCAGACGUGCCUAAAUAAACACAUGUCCUAUUGUACAAAUAAAAUAAGCAUCGGUUCUAUAAAAAAGAACCAAUUCAUUUCCACAGGCAUCUCUCUUCAGCCUGCAUUGUACAUGAUCAAAGAUGAUAAAGCGUGAUAUACAAUGGUUAACGUGUGUUUUGCCAGUACAUGCGGCGAGCAAACUAUGAUUACAAAGGAAUGUAAACAAAGAUGGUUGGAUGCCCAUUGAUGCACAGAACGAGGUUUUUAACCUUCUUUUCCAAAAAAAAUUCUCUGUAAUGAGCCCGUAUUGUGCAUGAUCAAAGUUGAUAAAGCGUGAUAUACAAUGGUUUUGCUUAAAAGAAACAACAACGUGUGUUUUCCAGUACAUGCGGUGAGCAAAAUAUGAUUAUAAACGAAUGCAACACAGCAUCUCAACUAGCUGAUUUAUGUGUAAUGAUACAUGUACACGCUUAUCACAGGCAUUUGUUAAUGGAUAAUGCAGCUGGCUAAUCACCAACCACUAGAAGAAUUUCCCCACGCGGAGAAAAGCUCAAGCUUUCACACCCAGCAAUGAUAAAAGGUUAGCCGACCGACGGUGCCAUCCAAUUUGGAAAAACUCAUGCCUGGCUUUGGAGCCUUCCCNNNNNNNNNNNNNNNNNNNNNNNNNNNNNNNNNNNNNNNNNNNNNNNNNNNNNNNNNNNNNNNNNNNNNNNNNNNNNNNNNNNNNNNNNNNNNNNNNNNNNNNNNNNNNNNNNNNNNNNNNNNNNNNNNNNNNNNGCUUUGGAGCCUUCCCCAGUCUCCACUGACCAGACGCAUCCGACUAAGCUUCACCUGAUAGAUCCCGUGGAUCUUAGGCUAGAUGUGUUCGAUAUGAAAUAGUAGAUUUAUUACCUUAUGGUGAACUCGAUGAGCUCUUUCGAGAGACCGUCGUGAGGUGGUGACGACGGUGGGGAAGCAGAGAGAGAUCCGGUAGCGGCGGUGAUGGACUUACCAUCGCUUCAGUGCUACCCUCUGGAUCGAAUUAGGGUUGAGAGUGGGGAACCAGUGGCGGCGGCGAACCUCGUGUCAUGUGCCAUGGUCCCCACCUCCUCUAUAUAGCACUGCGCGAUAGGGGGCCACCAGCCUUGUUUGGGAUGGACGCCCCCGAUCAGGGCGUGGGUCAAGGUUCCAAUGGGCCGUUGGGCCAUUGAAGAGAGAUCAACCUAACAUUCUCCCCCUCGAUCUCAUCAUAUGCUUUUAACUUUACUCGUUUCGCAACAGAUCAAUACAUAAGGCAUGUUUCAUCGUCACGGCUCAAUUGGCGAUGGAAUCAGACAACCACAAUGUACCUGUCUAUUUUGAGACAGAUUCUUUAACCUUGGGCCCUUUAUUGUCCGGAAAUUUUAGACUACGCCAUAAAACCCAUGUCGAUUGUGUGUUCUCCGAACACCCUGGGCGGUAAGCCUUUGAUAAGCAGAUCUGCAAACACUUGUUUGUUGCUUUUAUGCUUCAAGCAUUUUUCCACAAUUCCGGACUUUCUCCUUCACAACACGCAACUCUUUGUCAGUGUGUUUGGCAUCAACACUAGACUCGUUGUGACAGGAGAGAAAGAACUUAAAAUGUUAUCGUUGUUGUCAACCAUUAUCAACUCCGGGUACAGGUAGCCUUAACCAUUUUGCCUGUCCCUCAGCCUCAUAUCAAGCUAUAACAUAUCAUUGCAUCACAUUGAUGACAAUCGUUUCACUCAUUUGGAGAUUUUCCACACAAAACUCCGAGUAUGGAAGUUAGCGACGAUUGUGGAUUUCGCUAUACAUUUCACAAGUCCUGCCUUUGUACUCACAAUCUUUUGAGAGCACUUAUUUCUUUCAGCAUGAGGCCUAUAUCUUUGAUUCCAUUCCAUUAAUUUAUCUAUGGACUGGACAUUGCCAAAACAACCCGGAUAUAUACGUGAACUGUGUCAGGGUAAUAUCUUGAGCUUUCAACAACUGAAGCAUAUGGUACCAUAUUCGUUUACAAUCUUUUUUUAUUAACUUUUGAAACACCAUAGUUUCCAGUUCAAUUACCCUUGACUAUAAGAACAGGCGUAGGUUUUCUCGUAUGCAUACUUUAGAGAUCUUUCCUAGCAUGUCCAUGCGACAUUUCUAAUACCCCUUUUAUUCUUUUGAACUUUGAGGACAAGAACUUCUUCUCUCCUCCUACACUAGAACUGACAUCACCACUAGCAAGUAGGACGUCAUCCAGAUGCACAGGAAUUGGGAAACGAAUUUCCCAUUCUAUAACUUUGCAUGGAUGCAAUUGUCCUCUUAUUUUCUUUGCAAAAAUCUUUCGAUUUAAGUCAUGUUUUACACCUUUACAUAUUUCCUUUGGAGUCACAUUUGCCUUGUAGACCCUUCAUAAAGUCUAUGUUAGUGAAAUUCAAAUGAUGGAAUUUCACUAACAUAGACUUUAUAGUAGUCACAAGUGUCUGAUUUUCACAUUCCUAGAGACCAUCAAAAUCUCAGGUACUUGCACUUCUUUCAUAUGGGGUUGUCGUUGCUCUGUCAUUGCCAAGAGGCAAAUUAAUUCUAUAGUCACCCAUUUCCAAAAGGCAAUAGGUUUUACAGGGACCUGUAUCACAAGAUCCCUUGUAGAGCUUACAACAUGUGUUGUAUAGGUCAUACAACAUGCUCCCCCAGAUUACUCCAUCUUCACUAAAGAAAUGGCGUAUCUUUAAACUUUCUUCUUUAUGACACUUUAAGCACCAUUGUUGUAUUCCUUAGUCUGCUUUCAGAACUAUAAAAGAUCCGGAAAUACAACUGUUUCUUUUCUUUAGGGGUAUCAUAAUGACGGUAUUCUAAUGACUGUCGUACUCCCCUUGACAAUCACAUUCUUCAUUAAUGGAUCACUUUAGAUGCAUAAUGUGCAUCACAUCAUCUAAAGUACAGAGGAGUAAUGUGCAUCACAUCAUCUAAAGUACAGAGGAGUCAUGAAAUACACUACAAUGUAUUUCAUGUCUCUUUCUCCCCCUCGAAAUGUGGCUAGAACUUUUCUGCCACAAUUUCGAAACCCAUUAAUAGCUCUUGUGAAAUGAGGAAACUUCGAUUAUCUAGCUCAUUCAUCUUAUCACUUCAUGUAAAAUGAAGUUAUAAGUUAACUAGUAUGGGAGUACUUUUUCCUCAUUUUAUUUCAGAAACUCAACAGAGUUCUUUAUAAUUGUCACUUUUGCAAGUCACACUUGCAUAUCAUUCUUGUCUUUAGGUUCCUCUGUUACUUUUAUCCUUUCUGGAUUUAGUGAUUGCUUAAUGACUGUUACACAUAAGGUGUACGGUCGAUACUAGGAAGGCUUAAUAGCUACUCCAUACUUUUCUCCCAUAGUGGGACACAUUAAGUGCACAUGAGUCAUCAUAACUUUCUCCUGUCAUCCAGGAUAAGGCAUUUGUCAAAAUUUCUCCCGCCAUACACGGAUUGUUGACAUAAUACAAUGUCAACUUUACCCGGUUACGCAGGCAUUUUUCCCAGACUUUUCCCGCCAUGCGGGUAAUUCCCUGUAAGGGACAUAAAUGCCAUAGUUGGCUCUUUUGACUGCAUCAAAUUCAGAAAUAAAUCUGAAUUAUCUUUGACACACAUGUUUGAUCCGACGUUGGUCAAAUUAAACAUGCAUGUUGCUUGUUUCAUUUCAAUCAUGUUGACUGAAAAAAAGGAGACUUCAUCAUAGAGAGUACAUCAAAGACAUUCGUCAACCAAGACUCUCAAUGCUCUAUCUCUUUUCUUUUCUUGAAUUAAUAUCCAGGAGUUCUUUUCUUGUGAAGCCAUUCUUUAGAGAAAAUUUAUUCCCUCAAGUUAUGACCUUUCUUUUCCAUCUUUCGGGUCACUAGUAGCCAAAACAUUCGCUUUCAUGAGUGAAAGCUUGAAUAACUUUUAGUCUGAGAAAACUUAGUCAAUAAACAACGGUAAUGAGCAUAAAAAUAACCCUACGUUGGUCUGAUUAAAAUCAUGCACAUUAAACCUUUUAAAACUUUCUGGAAUAUUCUAAAUCACCGUGGUGGCAGAUUAGAAUAAAACAUCAUCCUUCUAAAUUAAUUCCAUAUCACCGUUGGGCAGAAAUGGAAAUAAUGCAUAUAACUCAUAAACAAUGUGAUGAUAGUAUUCUUAUUGAACAACUUUGCUAAGAAAUAAUCAUCAUCAUUAACCAUAUUGCAGCAGAAAUAGAAAUAUGCAUUUCUCUAUCUGUGCUCCAAAAAUUGAUCACUUUGAUACAAAAUUUAUCAGAGAUUUAAGCUUUAAACAUAAGAUGACUCACACAAUUAUAGUAUUGUUAUCAUCAACGUUGGUCAGAAAAUAACAAUAUCAUAUUUAACUUUAAAACAAACAUCAUUCUAUUGUCAUAGCGGACACUGUUUGAAUCUUAUUUCACCCACAAGGGAAAAACUUUGCUAAUAACAGUUCUUCCAAUUAAAUUUUCCCGUUGGUUCCAAUUUAAUUGGAGGACUAAACCUUUUUACUUUGCAGCGGAAAAAAGUGAAUAUAAAAAUUUAUGUACCUUUACAGAAAAAUAUUCUCUUAAAAUUAAAAAUUCAUGAACUUUAUAAUCCCUUUUACAAAAUCCAUGAACUUUUGUUUUUCUGAAAAUCUUUCUUUUAUUUUCAGAACCCUUUUAAUUUUCUUUUCAGAAAAAUCAUGUUACUAUUACAGAAAAAUAUUCUGUCAUAAUUAAAAAUCCAUGAACUUUAUAAUCCCUUUUAUAAAAUCCAUGAACUUUUCUUUUUCUGAAAAUCUUCUUUUAUUUUCAGAANNNNNNNNNNNNNNNNNNNNNNNNNNNNNNNNNNNNNNNNNNNNNNNNNNNNNNNNNNNNNNNNNNNNNNNNNNNNNNNNNNNNNNNNNNNNNNNNNNNNNNNNNNNNNNNNNNNNNNNNNNNNNNNNNNNNNNNNNNNNNNNNNNNNNNNNNNNNNNNNNNNNNNNNNNNNNNNNNNNNNNNNNNNNNNNUUUUCAGAAAAAUCAUCAUUGCUUUUACAAAAAUUUCGAACAUCUAUUUUCUACUUUCUAAACAAUAUUUCCGUUGAAAAAAAUGCAUAGAAAAUCAUUUUAAGUCUGCCUAAAACUAGACAGAAAAGUAAAACGUUCCUUUAAUGAAAAAGAAAAUAACCGGCAUGGGCCGGCCUGGCUGUCGCCCACGUGUGGCCUGGGCAGUGGCCUAACUUGGGUCGAGGCUUUCCUGGCCCGACGGCUCCUGUGCCUGGUCAGGGCAGGGCUGAACCGNNNNNNNNNNNNNNNNNNNNNNNNNNNNNNNNNNNNNNNNNNNNNNNNNNNNNNNNNNNNNNNNNNNNNNNNNNNNNNNNNNNNNNNNNNNNNNNNNNNNNNNNNNNNNNNNNNNNNNNNNNNNNNNNNNNNNNNNNNGACCCGCCACUCCCGCCACUUUGCCUCGGCCUCGCGCGGCGCCCCCUUGCGGCCCUUGGUGGCCUGGCUCCCUUCGGCCUGUGAGGCCCGCGCCGCUUAGGGUUUCGUCGUGGACCGUCGGAUUAGAUCCGACGGCCGGGCGCGUCUAUCACUGGGAUAAAAACUCUCUCCUCACCAGCGAAACCCUAACCUCUUUCAUUUCUCUCCCAACCCCGCCGCUCUCUUCUCUGUGGUUUUUCCACGAGCGCGUCGCGGUAGCAGGGCCUUGCACCGGCGGGUUCCUUCCCCGAUGAGGGGUUGCCUGUGGUGCCCCGACGCCGCGCCUCUCCCUCCCUUUGCGUUCCAUGGUGGCCAUGGCCUCCCUCGCGUCGGUGCAAUGCAUGCCCCGCCGAGGAGGUCCCUGAGCCCCGCGUCGCAGCUCACGCGCGGAGGCUUGUGCCCCACCGGAGGGUGUGGCGAUAGGCGCCGGUCGUGGCGGCCUAAGGCCCCGCGUCGGCCUUGUCUUCCUCUCGGGCCUUUGAUCCUGUGGCACUGUGGCCACCUUCUUCGCCGGUGGUGCGUUUCCCUUCGUGGAAGCGCACCGCCGUCGAAUGGCGUGCUCGUGGUGCCGUUUCUUUUCAUUUUCUUUAACAGGGAAAACUGCGGCAUCAUUCCCGUACCUUUGCCGGCGCGCGCGAGCACCUUCGCGGUGAACGCGCCACCAUCAAGGGAGCGGUGUUGAUGCCCUUUGCCAGCUCGUUCUUGGCCAUUAUCCCCUCCCCUUUGUUUUCUUUUUGUUGCCUUUUUCAGAUUGGAUCCGAUUCACUUCUUUGUUUUCAUGCUGGAUCUAGAUCCAUACUUUGCCUCCACAGAGGUAGGGUCUUCUUCCCCACACCUCGGCAUGCUGAUGCGUGUGUGGAUUGAGAGGAACAGGCGCGGCCUUGCGGCGGUGCUUCUUUGUCGGAGAGAACUCCGGUGAAGCUUUCUUUUCUUUGAUCUUUGCCCUUCUCGGGUUCAUAUCGGGGAGGGGGAAUCUUUACUUGUACUUCUUCAUCCGAAAACACAUCAAAAAGCCUCGUGGCUAUGAUACCAUUAAUAGAUCCCGUGGAUCUUAGGCUAGAUGUGUUCGGUAUGAAAUAGUAGAUUUAUUACCUUAUGGUGAACUCGAUGAGCUCCCUCCAGAGACCGUCGUGAGGUGGUGACGACGGUGGGGAAGCAGAGAGAGAUCCGGUAGCGGCGGUGAUGGACUUCCCAUCGCUUCAGUGCUACCCUCAGGAUCAGAUUAGGGUUGAGAGUGGGGAACCAGUGGCGGCGGCGAACCUCGUGUCAUGUGCCAUGGUCCCCACCUCCUCUAUAUAGAACUGCGCGACAGGGGCCCACCACCCUUGUUUGGGCUGAACACCCCUGAGCAGGGCGUGGGUCAAGGUUCCAAUGGGCCGUUGGACCCAUUGAACGAGAGAUCAACCUAACAUCACCAACCCCGACACCGAUUACAACUCACAUCCCUUAUACCGGUUGUGCUAGCUUGAUCAUCACAGCAAGCAAUGGCCUCCACCAACAGUUGGAUCCAUGAGAUUGAGUCGUCGGUCUCUGCAUCACGCCUCUUCUGUGCCGGUGUCAUGGACUGGCACACCCUGUUCCCCAAGCUCGUGCCACAAAUCGUCAGCGCCCUCCCUGUUGAGGGAGAAGGUGGCAUCAGCAGUGUCAUGCAGUUCAACUUCACCUCAGGUAUGCAUCGUAUAUACAACUCAUAUCACCUGCAGUCUGAUACACAUGGUCAAAGCAUAACACAUAGUUGAUCUUGAGCCAUGCCCUUCAACCUCAUGAAGGAGAGGCUCGAUUUCAUUGACGUGGACAACUGCCAGUGCAAGUCCAUCCUCAUCGAGGGUGGUGGCAUAGGCACGGCGAUUGAGACGGCCACCUCACAGAUCAAGGUGGAGCCGACAGCCAAUGGUGGGAGCAUAGUGAACGUGGAAUCGACAUACAAGCUACUGCCAGGCGUGGAGGUGAACGAUGAGAUCUCCGAGGCCAAGGACUCUGUGACGGACAUUUUCAAGGCCGCCGAGGCCUACCUUAUCGCCAACCCGGAUGCCUACAACUGAAUCAGUUGAGAGAGAUCAUAUAUGAUUAUACAUUCCCUUGUUUGAUUUUUGCGUGCUUUCUUUCCGAUCUAAUAAAGCUUCUCCAACUUAUAAGUAGUGACAACAAGAGAUCAGACCAUGGUGUGGACUAGAGAAGUUUAAAAUGUUUGUAUUUGUAACAAUUAUCAAUGGGUGUUGUUGUUUGAUGAUGUUGCUGCUUGCUUGCGCACGUUCCUCAUGUUUUUGUGCUGGGAUAAAAAGAAUUAUUUCAAACAUGUAAAGAGCUCAUAUAUGUAUUUUGAAUUGGAUGUUUAUGUUCCGAGAAGUCUUAUUCCUGCUUUCUUUUUUAAAAGCAAGAUGGCCCCACGUAUGCAUCAUAACGAUGCAUGCAGUCAUAUAUUAUUGAUAAUGCAAAAUUCAGCAGCAACCGAACAACAUCAAUCCAUAAAUAAAGCAAAAAAUAAACCCUAAGGUUGUAUACCUCGCGAGAGUAACUCACCAUAUAGCCACUAAUCCUAUGUUACAAUAGACAUCAGAAACGGAAAAAAUACAUAACUCCUAGGCUAUGCCUUCAAGAAGGAAUCAUCACACAUGCGUCGAUGAUGGCCAGAUCACCACAAGGUUGAACUUCGGAUUCCCAUCCCCAAAGCCAAGCUUCCAUCCACCACCUUCAGCAAUGAAACGACGCACGCACACGUCACAUAGCCCGAUUAGAGACUGUGUGUUUCUGCGGAGUGCAUAAACUCAUCGUUGAAGCCGUACAUACCAUCGCCCUUAUCCGUCUACCGACACCUCGAUAGCAGGAGACCUCUAGAGAAGACAAUGUAAGACAAAGACGUCCCGUACAAUCUGCAUCCCGCUACUAUCGCACCACCUUCAAUCCAACAGCAACAGACUAAACAUGACACCCCCGCCAGAGCCACCGUGCAUCCCCUGCCAGUAGCAUGCAUGACUUGAUGUCUCCGAAUAAGACAUCAUAUGUAGCAUCCAACGGUGGCUUCAACUGUCGGUGACCGGCACUACCCGACAACUCCGAAAGAGGCAAAUGUGUCACCUGCCUAGCCACAUCAAACCCAAUUUCUUGAUGGAGGGGCCGUCCCAUACCGUAAGCAAGCCACAGAAAUGUUGUCAUCUCCUUGAUAUCCAGACUCCGAGUCUCCCACACGCCAUAGGAGUCCUGUUGGGGAUAUUACCUGUUAAUGACCCGCCCUAGUUGGGCCGGGUUACCAAUCAGGCGAUUCACCCAAACAAUUAUUUGGGCCUUGCCCUGGCCGGAUCAAGGUCGUAUGACAGUUUAUGAUUUCUGGAAGGUCUCCAAGGUUUGGAAGACGGCGACUUAGAGACCACAGGGGUCACGAUUUGUAGGAAGGAAAGCACCCUUGUAAACCCUAGGGGUUCGACCUGUAUAUAAAGGCGAGUCCCAGGGGAGGAGAGGACAGGUUAGAAAUCAUCGAGUGCUAGGUUCGGCGAGUUACGCCCUCCUUGUAAUCGAAACCACAUCAAUACAAACCAAAGAAGGGCAUAGGCCUUUACCUCCUCACGAGGGGCCGAACCUGGGUAAAUCGCCGUGUCUCUCCUGCCUAACCCCUUUGAGUCGCCACCAAGGUGCGAUGGCUCCAGUACUAAGUCCUUUCACGAGGACAUCUGCCGUGACAAAACCACGACAGUUGGCGCCCACCGUGGGGCCUACGCAUGGUGGAGUUGAGUUCUCAAAGGGAACCCUACCAGGGUUUGGGAGUUACGCGACGGGGCUCAUGACUCGGAGCCACCGCGGGAUAACCUACAUUGACAACCAGCGAUGGGGACCUGAAGCGGAUUCGAUUGAAUCUGGUUACAGGGUCCCCUUCGGCAAGAUCAACAUCUUCAUCGGCAUGAUUGGAUCAUCCGCACCUGAGCUGGACAUCUCCACCGACAUCGUCGAGCCGGCCAGGUACGUCCGCCCAGUAAUAACACCAAAUCUGACUCACCCGGUCUUUGUGGGGUUCACGCAGGGAUCGGAGGAGCCAGAGCGCUCGGCGACUCGGGAAACUACACCGGUCAACUCUGAUGACGAAUCAUCCAUGGGCGACUCAGAUUCAAUCCGGUCUCUGCAUGGGGAUUGUCUUGGGGGCUUGUCGCUGGCCAUGGACCCCGAAGUCCUUGACCGAACCCGCCGCCAGAUCACCAUCUACAUGGCAGGGGCGACUCAACCCACACAAAACCCUACUGGAGGCAAUGGAACCGGCGAGACGUCCAGGAGCCCGGCCGCAGUCCUGGUGGAUUUAGCAGCGGAGAUCACAAGGCUAAUGGCGACUCCCCUCACACCAGAAAACCAGGAGGAGAUAAACACGGAACUGACGAAACUCAGAGAGGCAAUGGAAAAGGCUCAUCAGGAUGCCGAGAUAGAGUCCGCCAGGAUCGAGACUCGGCAAGCUCAAAUUACGGCCGAAAGGAUGUGUUUAAGCUCUGACAACUGGCGGCUUGAAAGACAGCAGCGCGCAUCCGACGUCGUUCAUCAGCGGAGACACCAGGGUCGCCUGCCCCAUGAUCUCAACCCGACCUGCCUGUUCGACACUCCACGAACCCGUGGGGCGGGAGCUGCCCCGGGGGGAGGACCGGGCCGCCCGCCUAACCCGUCGGCUCAGCCAGUUGAGGAUCACAUUCCCCGAUUCUGGACGCCUCAAGGCCACUUUUCCAACCCGGUGGAUAACGUGCUUGCCGCAACUCGCCAUCUGGAGUCUCUUUNNNNNNNNNNNNNNNNNNNNNNNNNNNNNNNNNNNNNNNNNNNNNNNNNNNNNNNNNNNNNNNNNNNNNNNNNNNNNNNNNNNNNNNNNNNNNNNNNNNNNNNNNNNNNNNNNNNNNNNNNNNNNNNNNNNNNNNNNNNNNNNNNNNNNNNNNNUCACGGCAACACCCCUGCCGAGAUAGAAGCAAGGAGCGCCAUCGAGAUGUUGAAGACGGCGGUGGUUCAAAACGCCCAGUUCUCACAUAGCCUCGAGAGGUUGCAUUCCACUCCCCAAGGAAGUUACACCAGGAGUCGGCCAGAGGACUAGCCCGCCGUAAACAGCGGACCACGACACAUCCCACAGGACAACCCGCCUGAACCGAACCCGCCGGGCCGGGAUCUCCCAAACGUCCAAAACACCCUGGCCCCCCUCGUCGGGGGCGGAGGGCGAGUAGGAGUACCAUGCUUGGCCCUCGCCCUUCGUAACGAAAGGAUGCCCAAAGACUUUAAGGGGCCAAGAAAGGUGCCUAAUUACACCCCGGACCUUGAGCCGGCAUCGUGGAUCGAGAGUUAUGAAAUCGCCAUGGACAUGCUCGAUGUGAACGAGGCGGUUUGCGCCAGAUACUUCACGAUGAUGCUCGAGGGGUCAGCACGUACUUGGUUGAAAAACUUACCUCCCAACUCCAUCUAGACCUGGGCCGAGUUAAAAGAGCGUUUCAUCAAAAACUUCCGAGGAACUUGCAAAUGUCCGAUGACGAUCGUCGAUCUACAGCACUGCAUUCAACGCCCGGAUGAGUCGGCUCACCAUUGGUCACGGCAGGUUGCAGAACUUAUCCAUUCGUCAUAUGGCAUUACGGCGGCUGAGGCUGUGCUGAUCCUCGAGCAAAAUUGCCAUUACGAACCCUUUGUGCAAAAAUUGGGGCGACUCAAGCGAAAGGUCCAAGACAUGGGAGAGCUGAUGGACACCCUCACUAGGUACGCUGAGGCCGAUGACACCAAAGAUCCUGGUGAAGACGGUAAGGUUAAUUCGCCCAAGAAGGGCGAGUCAUCCAAGAAUCAUACCCGGUUCCAGGGACGUAACCGCCACAAUCAAGGGACCAACAGCAAGCGAAGACCGCAAGAAGAGCCCUCGGAUCUAGUCGCCAAUACCAACGCCAACAACGGCAAGAAGAAAAACAGGGGGUUUAGCGGGAAGAGGCCGCGUAACUACGAAGGGCUACUCAAAGGCCCUUGCCCGCACCACGCCACGGUAGACGGUCCGGCGACUCACUCUUGGGAAAACUGCUUCGUAAUGCGAGAGUUUCGGGCGGAGGAGAUCAAGAAGAGUCAAAACGAUGACCCGGACCAACGCCAGGAGCAAUUCGCCGCACCCAACCAAAGACAGAACCCUUUCGGCGGUUUUCCCAAACACGGGGCUCAGGGAGGCCCACAGCCAGGCGGCGGCCAAUACCCGGUGCACCACCAGUGGCGGUAUAACCCGCCAGGAGCCUUCCAGCAGCCGCCCCCACAGGGGGCUCCGCAGGGUCAGGACGAUAACGGGGGCUUCCGCAGCAACCCCAAACAGUUAAGUAAUGGGUAGUGUCAUGUUUUCACCACUAAUGCUUGCAGGCAUGAUAAGAAGGUGAGUCACCAGGCGUACAGUGUAUCUGGACCGGCGCUUCCCAAAUACCUCCAUUGGUCUGAGCAAACCAUAACGGGGAGCAGGGAGGAUCACCCGCCGAGAGUUGAUAACCCGUGCGAUCUGGCGUUGGUCGUGGCUCCCCAAGUUGGGGGUUACACCCUAUCAAAAGUGCUAAUGGAUGGUGGCAGCAGCAUCAAUAUCCUAUACUUUGACACUUUCCAAAGGAUGAACCUAUUGGAAAAAGACCUGAUGCCUUCAACCACGGUUUUCCACGGAGUCAUCCCACGCAAGUCGGCUUAUCCCAUAGGCUGGGUCAGGCUCACAGUGGCAUUUGGAAUUGCGCAGAAUUAUAGGUCGGAGUCACUCAUCUUUGAGGUGGUCAAAUUGAAAUGCCCCUACCAUGCGCUGUUUGGGCGGCCGGCUUACCCCCGCUUCAUGGCUCGCCCGUGCUAUGUCUACCUCAAGCUCAAAAUGCCUGGUCCUAAAGGACCCAUCACGGUUGAUGGAGAUAGAAGGAUCACAAAGGAAUGUGAAGAAGGGGACGCGGCUUAUGCGGAAGUCGCCUGUGCUGCGGAAGAGCUCAAACACCAUCGGGCCAAUGUUGACCCAGCGGACAUGUCACCCCUAAAGAAGCCGACCAUAGAUUCUGAGUCGCCCCUCAAGUUCAAGUCAACGGACGACACUAAGACAAUUGAUUUCGUGCCUGGCGAUUCAUCCAAGCAGAUCACCAUCGGGACGGGUCUGGACCCCAAAUAGGAAAGCGCGCUCAUCGAAUUCAUCCGUGAGAAUCGGGAUAUCUUCGCAUGGAAACCUUCUGACAUGCCUGGUGUGCCAAGAGAAUUUGCUGAGCACCAUCUUAAUGUUGACCCAAAGUGCAAACCCAUCCAGCAGUACCUUCGCAGAUUUAACGAGGAGCGACGCAAAGCGAUUGGGGAAGAAGUUGCCCGUCUUUUAGCCGCCGGGUUCAUCGUGGAAGUUUUUCACCCCAAAUGGCUGGCUAACCCGGUUUUUGUACUCAAGAAGAAUGGUACUUUUCAUAUGUGCAUUGACAAAACAGACCUCAACAGAGCUUGUCCAAAAGAUCCCUUCGCUCUUCCCCGCAUCGACCAGAUCAUUGACUCGGUGGCGGGAUGCGAACGAUUGUGUUUUUUGGACGCCUACUCAGGAUAUAACCAAAUCAAGAUGGCCGUGGAGGAUCAAGAGAAAACAGCCUUUAUAACCCCCUUCGGGGCUUUUUGUUAUGUGUCCAUGCCCUUUGGGCUCAAGAGUGCGGGGGCGACUUAUCAACGCUGCAUCCAGAAUUGCCUCCGCAACCAAAUCGGUCGCAACGUCCAUGCCUAUGUCGACGAUAUUGUGAGCAAAACCCGCCAGGGGGAGACGCUACUAGAGGAUCUCAAGGAAACGUUCGAUAAUCUACGGGUAUAUCAGAUGAAGUUAAAUCCCACCAAGUGUGUUUUUGGUGUGCCUGCAGGGAAAUUGCUGGGUUUCCUGGUAUAGGAGCGCGGCAUUGAAGCUAACCCGGACAAGAUCGAAGCAGUUACAUCCCUUGGAAAGCCGGCGAACAUUAAUCAAGUUCAACGACUGGCGGGUCGCAUUGCGGCCCUAAGUCGUUUUGUGAGUCGCCUGGGGGAGAAGGCGAUCCCUCUUUAUCAGUUAUUGAGGAAAUCUGAUUGGUUUGUUUGGACGAAUGAGGCAGACGAGGCACUCGAAGCCCUGAAACGCCAAUUGGUUAACCCGCCGGUCCUGGCCGCCCCGACUGAAAAGAGCCCAUGCUUUUGUAUAUCGUGGCAAAUUCCAAAGCAGUAAGUGUGGCAGUGGUCGUUGAGAGAAAGGAGGAAGGGAAGGAAUACCCAGUGCAAUGCCCGGUAUAUUUUAUCAGCGAGGUGCUAACUCUUUCCAAGCAGCGGUACCCACACUGGCAGAAGUUGGUAUAUGGGGUGUUUAUGGCGAGUUGAAAACUUAAGCAUUAUUUCCAAGAACACCCUAUCACAGUGGUUAGCUCUGCCCCCCUUGGGGACAUCAUCCAGAAUCGAGAGGCAAUAGGGCGGAUCGCCAAGUGGCCAAUAGAACUUGGCCCCCAUCACAUACAGUAUACCCCCGCACGGCCAUCAAGUCCCAGGCCUUAGUUGAUUUCGUCAACGACAGGACGGAGUUACAGGCUCCAGAAGACCGGCCUGAUCUCACUUACUGGACUAUUUAUUUUGAUGGAUCUAGGUAGCUGGAAGGCUCGGGGGCUGGUGUGGUGUUGGCAUCCCCUCAAGGAGAAAAAUUCUGUUACGUUCUCCGACUCAUGUUUCCGUGCACUAACAAUGCGGCGGAGUACGAAGCUUUGCUUCACGGCUUGCGACUCGCCAAGGAGAUGAAUCUAACACGAGUCAGAUGCUUUGGCGACUCUGAUUUGGUGGCACAGCAAGUUUCAGGUACCUGGGAUUCUCGGGACCCCAUAAUGGCGGCUUACAGACGAGCUGUGUCUGAUGUGGCGGGUCAUUUUCAUGGUUAUCAGGUGGACCAUAUUGAUCGGCGCCUCAACGAGGCAGCUGACGCCCUCUCACGACUUGGCUCCCAGAGAAAGCCGGUUCCUCCUAAUGUUUUUCUGGAUAUCUUGCAUAAACAAUCCGUGAUUCUACCAUCAGAGGAGGAGUUGGCAAUACCAGAUCCUGAGUCCCAGCUCGUGGCGGCUCUCCAUGUCACUCCGGAUUGGGUUCUUCCUUAUCUGGCUUAUCUCUCUCGGGGCGAGUUACCAGCAGAUGAAGUUUUGGCUCGCCAAAUCGUUCGGUGCAGCAAAUCCAUGGUCACAAUCAAUGGCGAGUUAUAUAAGCGGAGCGCCUCUGGAGUUUUUCAGCGAUGUGUUUCCUCCGAAGAAGGAUGCAUAAUCUUAAAUGAAAUUCAUUCCGGAGAUUGUGGGCAUCAUGACGGAUCACGUUCUUUGGUAUCAAAGGCUUUCCGUCAUGGUUUCUUUUGGCUAACGGCUCAUGCAGAUGCGGAAGAUAUAGUUCGUCGGUGCGAAGGAUGCCAGCAUUAUGGGCGGCAGGCUCAUGUGUCGGCUCAAGAAUUAAGAAUGAUCCCCAUCACUUGGCCUUUGGCAGUUUGGGGGGUGGACAUGGUCGGCCCUUUUAAAAUGUCCUCUAACAAGAAGACCCAUCUGCUGGUGGCGGUUGAUAAGUUCAACAAGUGGGUUGAGGCGGAACCUAUUGGAGCUUGCGAUGCAGAAACAGCGGUCAAAUUCUUGAAAAAGUUGAUUUUCCGGUUUGGAUACCCGCACAGUAUCACUACUGAUAAUGGUACUAACUUGUCCCAAGGGGCGAUGCGGGAGUUUUGUCGUCGAGAACAUAUCCGGCUUGAUGUUUCUGCAGUCGCUCACCCGCAAUCUAACGGGCACGCAGAACGGGCGAAUCAGGAGGUUUUGCGAGGGAUUAAGCCCCGACUCAUGGUUCCCCUGGAAAAAACCCCAGGGUGUUGGGUUGAAGAAUUGCCUUCAGUAUUGUGGAGUAUCCGGACCACCCCGAACAGGUCCACGGGUUUCACCCCUUUCUUUCUGGUCUACGGAGCAGAGGUUGUCCUUCCUACUAAUAUAAGGCAUGAUUCACCUAGAGUCGCCACAUAUGUAGAACAAGACAAUGAGCUGGCGCGUCAAGAUUCUUUGGACGCCUUAGAGGAGGCACGUGACCUGGCUACGGCCCGUUCAGCUAUCUAUCAACAUGAUCUACGGCGUUAUCACAACCGCCGGGUUAAAAGUCGGACCUUUCAGGAAGGCGACUUGGUUCUUCGGUUGAUACAAAGAUCGUGCAGGCAUGCAUAAGUUGUCACCACCUUGGGAAGGACCGUUCGUCGUCAGUAAAAAUCUCCGCAGUGGCUCUUAUUAUUUGGUGGAUCUCCGGCCUAACCGGCCAACCACGCAGGCUGAGUCAAUUCGCCCCUGGAAUAUUGCCCACCUGCGGCCUUAUUACACUUGAGCUCUUAAGCUCUACAUUUUGUAAGUUUUUCAGUUUCAUUAUAAAGCAAUAAAGUUGAAUAUACUGCCUGACUUGGGGGCUUCUUCAUUAAAAGAACAAUUUUUUGUCAUCCUGUUGUGACCUUAUGAACCGACAGAAUCAGCAUUUUAGGGUGGCGUUCGAGCUUUCUGACUUGCCCCAUCCUGUCGCGACCUUAUGAGCCGACGAAAUCAUCAGCAUUAUAGGGUGUGUNCGACCUUAUGAGCCGAUGAAACCUGCAUUCUAGGGUGUGUGCUCGAGCUUUCUGACUCGCCCCAUCCUGUCGCGACCUUAUGAGCCGACGAAACCAUAAUUUUGGGUGUGUGCUCAAGCUUUCUGACUCGCCCCAUCCUGUCGCGACCUUAUGAGCCGACGAAAUUGCUGUUUUUAUUUUUGGCAUAGCCUUGAGGGUUUUAAACCUUUCUUUCUGAUUCCUCUUGAAAAUAUUUGUUAUCAUUUAUUUGGUUUCACAUAUGUUGUUUUCAAAGCUUAAGUCAGGAUGAUGAUCAGAAUUACUUCGUCCAUGGCGGAUUAAGCAUCAUAAAGGAUUCUCAAAUGGCAGGUCAAAUAUUUCAAAUCGCCUUAAGGGUGAUAUAGAGAUUCUUUCGAAGAGUAUCACAAAAACAGUAUCGACUUAUCAAAAAGACCUAUUACAUGGCUCUCAGGCCAAAUCGAUGAGGUUUAUUCUGUUGGCGCCUUAGGAUCAUUUUGCUGCGAGCUUUGGCCGACCUCAAUUUGCAAGUCGCCCAGUAGCCAGUUGCACUUAGCCAGAGCUGCGAAGUCAUCUUCAUCAGUCAGGAUUGAUGCUAGGUCUGCUUCCAAGUCAAAAGGGUUCUUGGGUCGCCGAGGAGUUAAGCUGGUCGUCACGAAGGUUGGCGGAUUGACCUUCGUGUUUUUGCUGUCAUAAGCCGCUUGAUACUUUGAUAAAUCAAGACUUGCUGCGAGUUGGGUUCCUGCCAGUCGGGAGUCCUUGGCAACACGUUGAUAGUCCUCUUCAAAGAAUUCUGACCCGUCGUCUUUGAGUUGAGGAAAGCCUGCCGCUACCUCUUCCGGGUUGAUCUCUGGAGCAUACGCCAAGCAGCGACUCAAGGCAGUCAGAACACCCUUUCGGGCGGCUGACCAAGUUAGCUCGCCAAUCUGAGGGGGAAGUGUGGAUAGGCAGCCAAGCACCUUCUUUAUGGAAGUUAUAGCACUACUAGGAAAAGGCUUGCUAAUGGCGCACCAUUUUUUGCUAGUAAUGGCGCACUAUAGGUGCGCCACUAGCAUCACGCCAUUAGAUUUUUUUACUAAUGGCGCACUACAAGUGCGCCAUUAGUAUCUGGUAUACUAAUGGCGCACCAGGUAGUGCGCCAUUAGUAUUGCUCACGCUGCGCCAUUAGUAUGCCUCCCAGGUGCGCCAUUAGUAUGCCUCUCAGGUGCGCCAUUAGUAUGCCUCCCAGGUGCGUCAUUAGUAUGCCUCCGAGGUGCGCCAUUAGUANNNNNNNNNNNNNNNNNNNNNNNNNNNNNNNNNNNNNNNNNNNNNNNNNNNNNNNNNNNNNNNNNNNNNNNNNNNNNNNNNNNNNNNNNNNNNNNNNNNNNNNNNNNNNNNNNNNNNNNNNNNNNNNNNNNNNNNNNNNNNNNNNNNNNNNNNNNNNNNNNNNNNNNNNNNNNNNNNNNNNNNNNNAUUAGUAUGCCUCCCACGUGUGCCAUUAGUAUAGCCCAUGGUGCUCCAUUAGUAUCUGGUAUUCUAGCAUAUAUAUGUUUUUAUUCAAAACAACAAAUUCAACAGCACAUAAAAUAUAUAUAUAAUACAUAAUAUGUGCCCAAUAGUUUUACUGAUCCACAACACAUAACAUAUAUGCAAAGUUGCAUACCAAAUUUCAUGAUCCAUAUAUCAAAAUUCCAUAGCAUCCAUACAUCCAAAAUUCCAUAGCAUCCAUAUAUACAUAUAGUUCCAUAGCAUCCAUACAUACAUAGCUCCAUAGCAAAUAUAAUACACAGCGAUACUUUGCGGGCAUUAGUAAGUAAUAUUUGGCACUAGCAAGAGCCUUGAGCGCAGGCUUCAGGUUGGUUUGGUAGGUGGUACCAAGGAUCUCAACUGGGGAGGAUCCUUUUGCAUUUACCUCGUACUGAAAAUCAAUAUUGGGUUUCAACCUGCAAAAUGGCACAACAGUGUUUGAUAGUAAGGCAACAAGCUCUACAUAUAUAUUGACGAAACAGGAUUCAAAGAAUAAACAACAGAACCACAAUAAAAUGAGUCUGCCACUAAGCACGACAAUACUUAAGAAUACUGCAUUACAUAAAAUCUUUCCCGGCGAUGUUUGGCAGUUGCUACCUAGAGAUUUACACAAGGGAAAUUCACCAUAGAGAACUCUCAUGGUCAUGCCUUUGGUAAGGAACUAAGGACCACAUCAGUGCAGAUCCAAUGCCAUUUAUGUAGUAGCAAUGAACAGCAUGGACCAGUGGUUAACGGUCAGCCUUCAAAAUAUAGGAAACAGAAACUAACAACAAAAGAUUAUAUACCUUUACAGAAACUAACAACAAAAUAUAGGAAACAGAAACUAACAACAACAUGGACCAGUGGCAUAUGUGUUUGGAGGCAGCAAUAUAUUUACAAGUUUAGAACAGUAUAUACCUUUACUGAUUUGAAGAGUUAAAACGAAUAUUAUUAUCAAUGUAAAUAAUUACACCUGAUACGCUAAUCUGCACAGCACAGUCCAAAUUCCAUCUAUAAGAAAUACUAUCUUAAAAGAACAGAGCAGCAAAUAUGCAACUUAAACUAAAUCUUCUCUGACUCUAAGUUGGGCUUAACAAUGUAAUACAGAAAGAAUGUACUCCCUCCAUUCCUAAAUAUAAGUCUUUUAAAAGUUUCUACUAAAAAACUACAUACGGAUGUAUAUAGACAUACAUUAGAGUGUAGAUUCAAUCAUUUUGCUCCGUAUGUAGUCCCCUAGUGGAAUAUCUAAAAAGACUUAUAUUUAGGAACGGAGGGAGUAGCUGCUGAACAACUUACACAGUUAACCAUUUCUAAGAAACCAAGUAAAUUCUCAAGAAAAAGUUGCUUGUGGUGCUGCCAUCUUCUAAAAUGCAUGGCAUGGGCCACUCAUUUAAAGAGGCAUUUGACGCCAUAGAGACACUUACAUGUAAUAGAUUUAACAUGUAAAUCGAUGCAGGGGCGGACCCACGUUAUGACCAGUGGGAGCCCAGGACCCCACUCAACUUCCUAUAGUCCCACUAUAAACAUCGAUGCCAGCCAGCAGGCCCCCGGUCAGGCUAAAGCGGGUGCCCCCACUCCAUCAUCCCGUCUGUAAAAGCCCAUGAAAAAGAAGCAAACCAAAGUGAGAAAAAUAAUAAAGGAAUGUAAAAUAAGGGGAUGUAUGUGCGGCAACACACAGCGGUGAACGCGAGGAGAAGCUGGCUGCUACUUGCCACUUCGACUCUUGGGAGAUCAAUUAAUAGGCUGAAAAUCAAGUACACAAAGAAACGAAUCGUCAACUCCUAAAGUGCCCAUCCCCAAGCUUAUUCAUCUCAUCCCAACUCCUAAAGUCAAUCCGGCAUGACAUUCAAUUCGUAGGUUAAAUUGUACCGUUCGGGAAUCAUUUCAAAGAAAUUUAAUCUGGCAAUCCAUUUUAUUACUAGUAUUUGCGUGUUGUCCUGCUAGUCUGCCACUACUAGCACGCUUUCUAUCUAUUUUUACAAUCAAUACUUUAAUUAUUUGACAGGGAACAAGCAAGAAGUUGCUGGAAUUAGCUAAGAUUUAUCUUGAUGAUCUCAAUCACAGAGAUAUGGUAGUCUUGACUUGAGCAUGAACUUGAUCUCUUCAUAUAUAAUAUACUUCAUGAUACAAGGUUUUCAAGAUUGGACAAAAUAUGUGAUUGGGCUAACCAGAUGGUGGAUACCUGGACUCUGAGUCAGGCACCAGAUGAACACAUCAGUGGCCUCCUUGGCAAGCUCUGCAUUAUCUGAACAUAAUUCACGAGAUCAACCAGGUCCCUGCAUAAGGUAGAUAAAGUCUUCGUAAGACACCCAACGUUCUGAAAAGAUUAAGAUACAACUGUUCAUGCAUUUCAUGAGAUAAAAGAAGCUUUCUAACCUGGUUAGCAGAGUGAUGAUAUUAAUGCUUCUUGCUCAUUUAGAAAUCUCUCCAAGGACGGAAUUAACUAUGCUGAUGAGUUCCUCCGGUCCGUCCUUAUCAGGUGUUAUACGGGAGCACCAAAGAUCUGUUACCCACUCUGUGACAAGAUGCCUUGUGAACUGUUCAAAUGCUGCUUCAACUCGAGGCGAAUUCACCUUACUCCUCCAACCAGUACUUCCACUCUUCUUGUCAGGGGAGGGUUUUCUUAGUUCAAUACUUUUUUGUUUUGGCAAGUGGGCGACUGGUACCAUGGUCUGUGGCAGUUGUGCUCUUUCUACGGAAGUCAUAGUCAAGUGAUAGGUAGCGAAACGGAACUAUCAAAGAUAUGGCGAAUGGGAAGUUGAUCCAAACUGAAGAGCUUGUCACUGCAAUGGAGAAAGUCAGGCAUUCAGCACAGCCAUGAGGGAGCAAUAAUAUUUAAACAGAGUUAAAAAAAAUUAUGUGACGGCAAUAUAAAUCUGCCUUGAUAUGUACAGCCUUUCGUUUUUGGCAACUUUUAGAAAGACUUGAUAAAAUUGCUAGUCAUAUUUCAAUUUAACAUGGAACCUACAUGUCUAGCUCGUAUGUUCCUAGUCUUUAGACUACACCGUGUAUUCCAUGGUAUAAUCCGGCUACAACUAUCGGCAAACAUACUCCACCUUAUACAAUUUCAUCACAAACUUGAAUAAUCCUGAGGUAGCAGUAAAAAUUACGAUGCCGUCUGAACUCCAGUCNNNNNNNNNNNNNNNNNNNNNNNNNNNNNNNNNNNNNNNNNNNNNNNNNNNNNNNNNNNNNNNNNNNNNNNNNNNNNNNNNNNNNNNNNNNNNNNNNNNNNNNNNNNNNNNNNNNNNNNNNNNNNNNNNNNNNNNNNNNNNNNNNNNNNNNNNNNNNNNNNNNNNNNNNNNNNNNNNNNNNNNNNNNNNNNNNNNNNNNNNNNNNNNNNNNNNNNNNNNNNNNNNNNNNNNNNNNNNNNNNNNNNNNNNNNNNNNNNNNNNNNNNNNNNNNNNNNNNNNNNNNNNNNNNNNNNNNNNNNNNNNNNNNNNNNNNNNNNNNNNNNNNNNNNNNNNNNNNNNNNNNNNNNNNNNNNNNNNNNNNNNNNNNNNNNNNNNNNNNNNNNNNNNNNNNNNNNNNNNNNNNNNNNNNNNNNNNNNNNNNNNNNNNNNNNNNNNNNNNNNNNNNNNNNNNNNNNNNNNNNNNNNNNNNNNNNNNNNNNNNNNNNNNNNNNNNNNNNNNNNNNNNNNNNNNNNNNNNNNNNNNNNNNNNNNNNNNNNNNNNNNNNNNNNNNNNNNNNNNNNNNNNNNNNNNNNNNNNNNNNNNNNNNNNNNNNNNNNNNNNNNNNNNNNNNNNNNNNNNNNNNNNNNNNNNNNNNNNNNNNNNNNNNNNNNNNNNNNNNNNNNNNNNNNNNNNNNNNNNNNNNNNNNNNNNNNNNNNNNNNNNNNNNNNNNNNNNNNNNNNNNNNNNNNNNNNNNNNNNNNNNNNNNNNNNNNNNNNNNNNNNNNNNNNNNNNNNNNNNNNNNNNNNNNNNNNNNNNNNNNNNNNNNNNNNNNNNNNNNNNNNNNNNNNNNNNNNNNNNNNNNNNNNNNNNNNNNNNNNNNNNNNNNNNNNNNNNNNNNNNNNNNNNNNNNNNNNNNNNNNNNNNNNNNNNNNNNNNNNNNNNNNNNNNNNNNNNNNNNNNNNNNNNNNNNNNNNNNNNNNNNNNNNNNNNNNNNNNNNNNNNNNNNNNNNNNNNNNNNNNNNNNNNNNNNNNNNNNNNNNNNNNNNNNNNNNNNNNNNNNNNNNNNNNNNNNNNNNNNNNNNNNNNNNNNNNNNNNNNNNNNNNNNNNNNNNNNNNNNNNNNNNNNNNNNNNNNNNNNNNNNNNNNNNNNNNNNNNNNNNNNNNNNNNNNNNNNNNNNNNNNNNNNNNNNNNNNNNNNNNNNNNNNNNNNNNNNNNNNNNNNNNNNNNNNNNNNNNNNNNNNNNNNNNNNNNNNNNNNNNNNNNNNNNNNNNNNNNNNNNNNNNNNNNNNNNNNNNNNNNNNNNNNNNNNNNNNNNNNNNNNNNNNNNNNNNNNNNNNNNNNNNNNNNNNNNNNNNNNNNNNNNNNNNNNNNNNNNNNNNNNNNNNNNNNNNNNNNNNNNNNNNNNNNNNNNNNNNNNNNNNNNNNNNNNNNNNNNNNNNNNNNNNNNNNNNNNNNNNNNNNNNNNNNNNNNNNNNNNNNNNNNNNNNNNNNNNNNNNNNNNNNNNNNNNNNNNNNNNNNNNNNNNNNNNNNNNNNNNNNNNNNNNNNNNNNNNNNNNNNNNNNNNNNNNNNNNNNNNNNNNNNNNNNNNNNNNNNNNNNNNNNNNNNNNNNNNNNNNNNNNNNNNNNNNNNNNNNNNNNNNNNNNNNNNNNNNNNNNNNNNNNNNNNNNNNNNNNNNNNNNNNNNNNNNNNNNNNNNNNNNNNNNNNNNNNNNNNNNNNNNNNNNNNNNNNNNNNNNNNNNNNNNNNNNNNNNNNNNNNNNNNNNNNNNNNNNNNNNNNNNNNNNNNNNNNNNNNNNNNNNNNNNNNNNNNNNNNNNNNNNNNNNNNNNNNNNNNNNNNNNNNNNNNNNNNNNNNNNNNNNNNNNNNNNNNNNNNNNNNNNNNNNNNNNNNNNNNNNNNNNNNNNNNNNNNNNNNNNNNNNNNNNNNNNNNNNNNNNNNNNNNNNNNNNNNNNNNNNNNNNNNNNNNNNNNNNNNNNNNNNNNNNNNNNNNNNNNNNNNNNNNNNNNNNNNNNNNNNNNNNNNNNNNNNNNNNNNNNNNNNNNNNNNNNNNNNNNNNNNNNNNNNNNNNNNNNNNNNNNNNNNNNNNNNNNNNNNNNNNNNNNNNNNNNNNNNNNNNNNNNNNNNNNNNNNNNNNNNNNNNNNNNNNNNNNNNNNNNNNNNNNNNNNNNNNNNNNNNNNNNNNNNNNNNNNNNNNNNNNNNNNNNNNNNNNNNNNNNNNNNNNNNNNNNNNNNNNNNNNNNNNNNNNNNNNNNNNNNNNNNNNNNNNNNNNNNNNNNNNNNNNNNNNNNNNNNNNNNNNNNNNNNNNNNNNNNNNNNNNNNNNNNNNNNNNNNNNNNNNNNNNNNNNNNNNNNNNNNNNNNNNNNNNNNNNNNNNNNNNNNNNNNNNNNNNNNNNNNNNNNNNNNNNNNNNNNNNNNNNNNNNNNNNNNNNNNNNNNNNNNNNNNNNNNNNNNNNNNNNNNNNNNNNNNNNNNNNNNNNNNNNNNNNNNNNNNNNNNNNNNNNNNNNNNNNNNNNNNNNNNNNNNNNNNNNNNNNNNNNNNNNNNNNNNNNNNNNNNNNNNNNNNNNNNNNNNNNNNNNNNNNNNNNNNNNNNNNNNNNNNNNNNNNNNNNNNNNNNNNNNNNNNNNNNNNNNNNNNNNNNNNNNNNNNNNNNNNNNNNNNNNNNNNNNNNNNNNNNNNNNNNNNNNNNNNNNNNNNNNNNNNNNNNNNNNNNNNNNNNNNNNNNNNNNNNNNNNNNNNNNNNNNNNNNNNNNNNNNNNNNNNNNNNNNNNNNNNNNNNNNNNNNNNNNNNNNNNNNNNNNNNNNNNNNNNNNNNNNNNNNNNNNNNNNNNNNNNNNNNNNNNNNNNNNNNNNNNNNNNNNNNNNNNNNNNNNNNNNNNNNNNNNNNNNNNNNNNNNNNNNNNNNNNNNNNNNNNNNNNNNNNNNNNNNNNNNNNNNNNNNNNNNNNNNNNNNNNNNNNNNNNNNNNNNNNNNNNNNNNNNNNNNNNNNNNNNNNNNNNNNNNNNNNNNNNNNNNNNNNNNNNNNNNNNNNNNNNNNNNNNNNNNNNNNNNNNNNNNNNNNNNNNNNNNNNNNNNNNNNNNNNNNNNNNNNNNNNNNNNNNNNNNNNNNNNNNNNNNNNNNNNNNNNNNNNNNNNNNNNNNNNNNNNNNNNNNNNNNNNNNNNNNNNNNNNNNNNNNNNNNNNNNNNNNNNNNNNNNNNNNNNNNNNNNNNNNNNNNNNNNNNNNNNNNNNNNNNNNNNNNNNNNNNNNNNNNNNNNNNNNNNNNNNNNNNNNNNNNNNNNNNNNNNNNNNNNNNNNNNNNNNNNNNNNNNNNNNNNNNNNNNNNNNNNNNNNNNNNNNNNNNNNNNNNNNNNNNNNNNNNNNNNNNNNNNNNNNNNNNNNNNNNNNNNNNNNNNNNNNNNNNNNNNNNNNNNNNNNNNNNNNNNNNNNNNNNNNNNNNNNNNNNNNNNNNNNNNNNNNNNNNNNNNNNNNNNNNNNNNNNNNNNNNNNNNNNNNNNNNNNNNNNNNNNNNNNNNNNNNNNNNNNNNNNNNNNNNNNNNNNNNNNNNNNNNNNNNNNNNNNNNNNNNNNNNNNNNNNNNNNNNNNNNNNNNNNNNNNNNNNNNNNNNNNNNNNNNNNNNNNNNNNNNNNNNNNNNNNNNNNNNNNNNNNNNNNNNNNNNNNNNNNNNNNNNNNNNNNNNNNNNNNNNNNNNNNNNNNNNNNNNNNNNNNNNNNNNNNAAUUCCUUGAAAUCCAUAUUAGUAAUUUCUGUUGGAAAUAUGCCCUAGAGGCGAUAAUAAUAUGGUUAUUAUCAUAUUUCCUUGUUCAUGAUAAUCGUCUAUUGUUCAUGCUAUAAUUGUAUUAACAGGAAACAGUAAUACAUGUGUGAAUAAAUAGAUUACAAUGUGUCCCUAGCAAGCCUCUAGUUGGCUAGCUCGUUAGUCAAUAGAUGAUCAUGGUUUCCUGAUCAUGGGCAUUAGAUGUCAUUGAUAACGGGAUCACAUCAUUAGGAGAAUGAUGUGAUGGACAAGACCCAAUCCUAAGCCUAGCACUAGAUCGUAUUGUUCGUAUGCUAAUGCUUUUCUAAUGUCAAGUAUCUUUUCCUUCGACCGUGAGAUUAUGCAACUCCCGGAUACCGUAGGAGUGCUUUGAGUGUAUCAAACGUCACAACGUAACAGGGUGACUAUAAAGUUGCACUACGGGUACCUCCGAAAGUGUUUGUUGGGUUGGUAUGAAUCGAGAUCGGGAUUUGUCACUCCGUGUGAUGGAGAGGUAUCUCUGGGCCCACUCGGUAGAACAUCAUCAUGAGCUCAAUGUGACUAAGGAGUUAGUCACACGAUGACGUGCUACGGAACGAGUAAAGAGACUUACCGGCAACGAGAUUGAAAGAGGUAUAGGUAUACCGACGAUCGAAUCUCGGGCAAGUUCUAUACCGACAGACAAAGGGAAUCGUAUACGGGAUUGAUUGAAUCCUUGACAUCGUGUUUCAUCCGAUGAGAUCAUCGUGGAGCAAGUGGGAGCCACCAUGGGUAUCCAGACCCUGCUGAUGGUUAUUGGCCAGAGAGGUGUCUCGGUCAUGUCUGCCUGUCUCCCGAACCCGUAGGGUCUACACACUUAAGGUUCGAUGACGCUAGGGUUAUAGGGAAUUAUUAUACGAGGUUACCGAAAGUUGUUCGGAGUCUCGGAUGAGAUCUCGGACGUCACGAGGAGCUCCGGAAUGGUCCGGAGGUAAAGAUUGAUAUAUAGGAUGGAUGGUUUCAGAUACCGGAAGUGUUUCGGGCAUCACCGGUGACGUACCGGGACCACCGGGACCACCGGAGGUGGCCCCGGGGACCACCGAAGGGGGGCAACGACCCCGGGAGGUAAGGUGGGCCAAGUGGGGGCGGGAACCAGCCCCUAGGUGGGCUGGUGCGCCUCCCCACUCAGUCCAUUGCGCAAGGGAGAGAAAAGGGGGGGCAAACCCUAAGCCAGGUGGGCCUAAGGCCCACCAGUUGGUGCGCCACCCCCUCCUCCCCCCUCUGGCCGCCGCACCUCCCAUCUGGGGGGGCUGCCGAACCCUAGGGGUGGUACCCCCUCUCCCCCCCUAUAUAUAGUGGGCACUUUUGGCCAUUGGAGCUCAGACUUUUCCCUCUCCCUCGACGCAUCCCUGCUCUUCUUUCUCCUCCUCUCUUCCGGUGCUUGGCGAAGCCCUGCCGGGAGACCUCGUCUCUCCAUCGACACCAUGCCGUCGUGCUGCUGGAGUUCUUCCCCAACCUCUCCCUCCUCCUUGCUGGAUCAAGGUGCGGGAGACGUCACCGGGCUGCACGUGUGUUGAACGCGGAGGUGCCGUAGUUCGGCACUAGAUCGGAAUCGCUGCGAGUACGACUCCAUCAACCGUGUUCUAGCAACGCUUCCGCUUAGCGAUCUUCAAAGGUAUGAAGAUGCUCUUACCCCUCUCUCGUUGCUGGUCUCUCCAUAGGAAGAUCUGAAUAUGCGUAGGAAAAUUUUGAAUUUAUGCUACGUUACCCAACAAUUUCAUUACUACUCAAAGUUUUAAUAUCUUCUACUCCACUUUCAAUGCUUUUAGCAUCAAGAUAGAUGGACUCUGAAUCAUUGGCGCACUUUUCAACCAAAGUGGAUUCAUAUCCAGCCCCAUAAUCAUUAGGUUUGACACAAGAAAACAAAGAUUCAAUGGGAGUCACACCAAGCACUUUAAGAUCUUCGUGAUUCUUAUCACGAGAACACGCCUUUUUAAGCCAUUCAUGUCUAGCACGAAUUUGGGCGGUUCUUUCUUAGCUCUCAAUCAUGGAAACACACAUAGCUUUCAAUGUUUCAUCCAUAUUGAUCUUGGGAUGAGCACAUCUAACUUUCAAAGCAUCAACAUCACUAGACAUUCUCACAACUCUCUUAGCCAAAUCGUCAAUUUUGAGUAGUUUUUCCUCUAUGGACGCAUUGAAAAUCUUUUGAGAGUUGAUGAACUCUUUGAUAUUACUCUCUAGAUCAGAGGGUAAUCUAUUGUAAUUUCCAUGAUUAUUGUUGUAGGAGUUGCCAAAAUUAUUGGAGGAGUUACUAGGAAAAGGCCUGUGAACAUAGUUUCCUCUAAAAGCAUUGUUGUUGCCAAAGUUAUUCCUUCCAUAAAAAUUAACGUCCAAGCUAGCGUUGCUACUCUCAAAGAAGACAAGGGCAUAUCAUUAGGAUCAAAAGGAGCACUUCUACUAGCAACCAAAUUCAUUAACUCAUCCAUCUUAGCACUCAACGAGUUAAUUUCUUCUAUAGCGUGUACCUUCUUACUAGUAGGUGACCUUUCAGUGUGCCACUUAGAGUAGUUCGUCAUGAUAUUGUCUACGAGCUUUUUGGCCUCCGCUAACGUGAUUUCCAUGAACGUUCCAUCUGAGGCAGCGUCCAAGAUAUUUCUAGAAGCGAAAUUCAAGCCAGCGUAAAAGAUUUGUAUAAUCAUCCAAAGACUCAAACCAUGAGCGGGACAAUUUCUAAUCAUUAAUUUCAUUCUCUCCCAAGAUUGUGCAACAUGUUCAUGAUCAAGUUUCUUGAAAUUCAUGAUAUCAUUACGAAGAGAGAUGAUCUUAGCUGGCGGAAAAUACUUGGAUAUAUAAGCAUGUUUGCACUUAUCCCAAGAAUUGAUACUAUUUUUGGGCAAAGAAGAAAACCAAGUUUUUGCGCGAUCUCGCAACGAGAAAGGAAAAAGCUUCAAUUUAAUCACGUCAUUAUCCACAUCUUUCUUCUUUUGCAUAUCGCAAAGCUCAAUGAAGGUAUUGAGAUGGGAUGUGGCAUCUUCACUAGGAAGGCCAGAAAAUUGCUCUUUCAUAACAAGAUUCAACAAAGCGGCAUUGAUUUCGUAUGACUCCACACUAGUGGCGGGAGAAAUCGGAGUACUAAUAAAAUCAUUAUUAUUAGUAUUCGAGAAUUCACAAAGUUUGGUGUUUUCAUUCAUGAUGACUUCAGCAAGCAAGCAAGCACACAAGCGAACAAAGAGCAAGCGAGAAAAAGGGCGAACGAAAAAGGCAAAUGAAAAAGGCAAAUUGGUGAAGUGGGGGAGAGGAAAACAAGAGGCAUCUGCCAAACAAAGUAAAUGCAAGAGAUGAGUUUGCGACACCUACUUGGAUGAGUUCUUGACUUGAUCCUCCCCAGCAACGGCGCCAGAAAUCCUUCUGCUACGUCAACAAAAGUACUUGCCCGGCAACGGCGCCAGAAAUCCUUCUGCUACGUCAACAAAAGUACUUCCCUGACAAUGGUGCCAGAGAUCCUUCUGUAGUCUCUUGAGCUUGCGUUGGUUUUUUCCUUGAAGAGGACAGGGUGAUUGCUACUACAACAAAAGACCUUCCAACUGCGCGAGAAACAAGCGUGCUGAUGGGAGACUAUUCUUGUCUUGAUUCUCCCAACAACGACACCAGGAAUCCGUCUGCUACGGCUACGCCUUUAGGGACUUCCUAGGCAAAUAUGCAAAGGAUUCCCCCGUGGCCUUGGAGCCUUGCAUUGGUGUUCCCUCGAAGCGGAAAGGGUGAUGUAGCACAACGGUGGUAAGUAUUUCCCUCAGUUUUGAGAACCAAGGCAUCGAUCCAGUGAAGGAGUAUCACAAGUACCUGCACAAACACAAAGAGCUUGCUCCCAACGCUAUGAAGGGGUUGUCAAUCCCUUAUAGAUUGUUUGACAAGUGAGAACUGAAAGCAACAAAGUAACAAAGCAAAGUAAAAGCAAAAGUGGAAACGAUAGGUCUGAAUAGACCCGGGGGCCGUAGUGUUCACUAGUGGCUGCUCUGAUGAAAGCAAGUAGACGGUGGGUGAACGAAUUACUGUCGACCAAUUGAUAGAACCGCGCAAAGUCGUGACGUUAUCUAUGGCAAUGAUUAUAUCUAUAGCCAUCACAUCCAAAACAAGUAGACCGAUACUUUCUGCAUCUACUACUAUUACUCCACAUGUCGACCGCUAUCCAGCAUGCAUCUAGUGUAUUAAGUUCAUGAGAACAGAGUAAUGCCUUAAGCAAGAUGACAUGAUGUAGAUGGACAAUCUCAUAUCUAUGACAAAGCCCAUCUUGCUACCCUUGAUGGCAACAACAUGAUGUGUGCCUUGCUGCCCUUUCUGUCACUGGGAAAGGUCACCACACGGUAUGAACCCAAAACCAAGCACUUCUCCCAUUGCAAGAAUCAUAGAUCUAGUUGGCCAAACAAAACCCAAGACUCGGAGAGACUUAAAAGGAUAUCAAAUCAUGCAUAUAAGAAAUCAGCCAAGACUCAAAUAUAUAUCACAGAUAAUCUGAUCACANNNNNNNNNNNNNNNNNNNNNNNNNNNNNNNNNNNNNNNNNNNNNNNNNNNNNNNNNNNNNNNNNNNNNNNNNNNNNNNNNNNNNNNNNNNNNNNNNNNNNNNNNNNNNNNNNNNNNNNNNNNNNNNNNNNNNNNNNNNNNNNNNNNNNNNNGAUAAUCUGAUCACAAAUCCACAAUUCUUCGGAUCUCGACAAACACACCGCCAAAGAGGAUUACAUCGGAUAGAUCUCCAUGAAGAUCAUGGAGAAUUUGUAUUGAAGAUCCAAGAGAGAGAAGAAGCCAUCUAGCUACUAACUAUGGACCCGUAGGUCUGAAGUGAACUACUAACGAGUCAUUGGAGGGGCGAUGAUGUUGAUGAAGAAGCCCUCCAACUCCAAAGUUCCCUCCGGCAGGGCACCGGGAAGGGUCUCCAGAUGAGAUCUCGCGGAAACGGAAGCUUGCGGCGGCGGAAAAGUGUUUUUGUGGACGCCCUGAUUUUUUCUGGAUUUUUAGGGAAUUUAUAGGCCAACGACCUAGGGCAGGGGAGCGCCAGGGGGCCACAAGCUUGGUUGCCGUGGCCUCCCCCUGGCCGCAGCAACAGGGCUUGUGGGCUCCCUCUGGGCCCACUUGCUUGGCCCUCAAGCCUCCCGAUCUUCUUCCGUUCUGGAAAAAUUCAUUUUGGGGAUUUUAUUCCGUUUGGACUCCAUUCCAAAAUGAGAUCUGAAAAGAGUCAAAAACACAGAAAAAACAGGAACUGGCACUUGGCACUGAGUUAAUAAGUUAAUCCCAAAAAAGAUAUAAAAGGUAAACAAAACAUCCAAAGUUGACAAGAUAACAGCGUGAAACCAUCAAAAAUUAUAGAUAUGUUUGAGACGUAUCAGUGAUGCAGCACAGGAGCAGUAAGUAUUUCCCUUAGUUUGAGAACCAAGGUAUCAAUCCAGUAGGAGAAUCUCGUCAAGUCCAGAGUACCUCCACAAACACAAAAGAGCUUGCACCCAACGCUGUAAAGGUGUUGUCAAUCCCUUCAAGAUUGUUUGCAAAGUGACAUAUGAAGGCGGAAAGAGCAACAAAGUAAAAAGUGUAAGGCUGAAAAUAUGGUGUGGAGUAGACCCUGGGGGCCAUAGUGUUCACUAGAGGCUUCUCUCAAAAUAGCAAGUAUUACGGUGGGUGAACACAUUACUGUCGAGCAAUUGAUAGAACCGCNNNNNNNNNNNNNNNNNNNNNNNNNNNNNNNNNNNNNNNNNNNNNNNNNNNNNNNNNNNNNNNNNNNNNNNNNNNNNNNNNNNNNNNNNNNNNNNNNNNNNNNNNNNNNNNNNNNNNNNNNNNNNNNNNNNNNNNNNNNNNNNNNNNNNNNNNNNNNNNNNNNNNNNNNNNNNNNNNNNNNNNNNNNNNNNNNNNNNNNNNNNNNNNNNNNCCGAUACUUUCUGCAUCUACUACUAUUACUCCACACAUCGACCGCUAUCCAGCAUGCAUCUAGUGUAUUGAGUUCAUGACGAACAGAGUAACGCCUUAAGCAAGAUGACAUGAUGUAGAGGGAUAAUCUCAAACCAAUGAUGAAAACCCCAUCUUUUUACCCUUGAUGGCAACAACACGAUGCAUGCCUCGUUACCCCUUCUGUCACUGGGUGAGGUCACCACACGGUAUGCACCCAAAUCCAAGCACUUCUCCCAUUGCAAGAAUCAUAGAUCUAGUUGGCCAGACAAAACCCACAACUCGAAGAGAAUUACAAGGAUAUGAAAUCAUGCAUAUAAGAGAUCAUAAGAAACUCAAAUAAGAUUCAUAGAUAAUCUGAUCAUAAAUCCACAAUUCAUUGGAUCUCAACAAGCACACCGCAAAAGAAGAUUACAUCGGAUAGAUCUCCAUGAAGAUCAUGGAGAACUUUGUAUUGAAGAUCCAAGAGAGAGAAGAAGCAAUCUAGUUACUAGCUAUGGACCCGUAGGUCUCCGACAGGGCACCAGAACGUGCCCCAGAUGGGAUCUCGCGGAGACAGAAGCUUGCGGCGGCGGAGAAGUACUUUCGAUGAUCUCCUGAUUUUUUUGGGAUUUUUAGGGAAUAUAUAGGCGCAAAACCUAGGGCAAAGGGGCCUCAGGGAGCCCACAAGCCAGGGGGCCGCGGCCUCCCCCCUAGCCGCGCCAUGAGGGCUUGUGGGGUCCAUGGGGAUCCCCUGCCCUGAUUCCUCGACUCUCCGGUCUUUUUCCGUUCUGGAAAAAAUCUUUUUGGCAGUUUCCUUCCGUUUGGACUCCGUUCAAAAUCCUCCUCUGAAAGGGGUAAAAAACAUGGAAAAAACUGGAACUGGUAAUUGGCACUGAAUUAAUAAGUUAGUCCAAAAAAAUAUAUAAAAGGCAUACAAAACAUCCAAAGUUUGACAAGAUAAUAGCAUGAAACCAUCAAAAAUNNNNNNNNNNNNNNNNNNNNNNNNNNNNNNNNNNNNNNNNNNNNNNNNNNNNNNNNNNNNNNNNNNNNNNNNNNNNNNNNNNNNNNNNNNNNNNNNNNNNNNNNNNNNNNNNNNNNNNNNNNNNNNNNNNNNNNNNNNNNNNNNNNNNNNUGAAACCAUCAAAAAUUAUAGAUACGUUGGAGACGUAUCAGUCAGCCGUAGCGGGUGGUUCAUCUCCUAGCACAGCAUUAAGGACAUAAUCCUUUUUCCCAGCUUGCAGGAGCAACUUAAGAUUACGAGCCCAGUCUACAAAGUUGCUUCCAUCAUCUUUCAACUUAGCUUUCACUAGGAACGUAUUAAAAUUCAGGGUGACUGUCGCGUGGGCCAUUGAUCUACAACACAAUUAUUUCAAAGUGGACUUAGACUAUGUUCAAGAUAAUUAGAGUUUAACUAAUCAAAUUACUUGCUAAACUCCCACUCAAAAAGUACAUCUCUCUAGUCAUUUGAGUGGUACAUGAUCCAAAUUCACUAACUCAAAUCCGAUCAUCAUGUGAGUUGAGAAUAGUUUCAGUAGUAAGCAUCUCUAUGAUAAUCAUAUCAACUAUAUGAUUCAUGCUCGACCUUUCGGUCUCAUGUGUUCCAAGGCCAUGUCUGCACAUGCUAGGCUCGUCAAGCUUAACUCGAGUGUUCCACGUGUGCAACUGUUUUGCACCAGUUGUAUGUGAACGUUGAGUCUAUCACACCCGAUCAUCACGUGGUGUCUCGAAACAAUGAACUGUAGCAACGGUGCACAGUCGGGGAGAACACAAUUUUGUCUUGAAAUUUUAGUGAGAGAUCACCUUAUAAUGCUACCGUCGUUCUAAGAAAAAUAAGGUGGAUAAAAGGAUUUACAUCACAUGCAAUUCAUAAGUGACAUGAUAUGGCCAUCAUCAUGUGCUUCUUGAUCUCCAUCACCAAAGCACCAGCACGAUCUUCUUGUCACCGGCGUCACACCAUGAUCUCCAUCAAUGUGCCAUUGAUAACCCACAAGUAUAGGGGAUCGCAACAGUUUUUGAGGGUAGAGUAUUCAACCCAAAUUUGUUGGUUCGCCAAAGGAGAAGCGAAAGAAUAUUCUCAAGUAUUAGCAGCUGAGUUUGUCAGAUUCAACCACACGUGAAAGAUUAGUGUCUGCAAGCAAAGUAUCAGUAGCAAAGUAGUAUGAUAGCAACAGUGUCAGAAACGAUCUGUUGACGGCAGACUAUUCCUAACUGUUGUAUCAAUGGCGCUAGUAAGUUGCACAUGGGCGAGUAACUAUUCUUCCCCGACAACAGUGUCGGAAAAGAUCUUGCAACAAGUAACAGCGGAGUAGCAAGGAACAGCAGUAGCAGCAGCAGCAAAGUAACAGCAGUAGCAACAGUAGCAGCAAAGUGACAGCAGUAGCAACAAAGUGGCCCAAUCCCUUUUGUAGCAAGGGACAAGCCUAGACAAAGUAACGUAGCAAGGACCAGUAUAAAAGACUCGUAGGCAGUGGAUCGGUGAUGGAUGAGUAUGACGGAUGUGAUUCAUCAUGUAACAGUAUAACACGGAGAGAUAAGUAACUAUCUCCCGUUCGUCAAUCUAAUGUAGGCAUGUAUUCCGUCUGUAGUCAUACGUGCUUACGGAAAAUAACUUGCAUGACAUCUGUUGUCCAUCCCUCCCGUGGCAGCAGGGUCCUAAUGGAAACUACGGGAUAUUAAGGUUCUCCUUUUAAUAAAGAACCAGACCAACGCAUUAACACGCGGUGAAUACAUGAACUCCUCAUACUAUGAUCAUCUCCGGGAGUGGUUCCGGCUAUUGUCACUCCGGGGUUGCCGGGUCAUAACACAUAGUAGGUAAAUACAACUUGCAAGAUAGGAUCUAAAACACACAUAUAUUGGCGACAACAUAAUAGGUUCAGAUCGGAAAUCAUGGCACUCGAGCCCUAGUGACAAGCAUUAAGCAUAGCCAAGUAGUAGCAACAUCAAGCUCGAACAUAGUGGAUACUAGGGAUCAAUCCCCGUCAAAAACUAACUCGAUUACAUGAUAGAUCUCAUCCAACUCAUCACCGUCCAGCAAGCCUAUGAUGAGAUUACUCACGAACGAUGAAGAGCAUGAUGGAAUUGUCGAUGGAGGAAGGUUGAUGAUGACGAUGGCGACGAUUUCCCCACUCCGGAGCCCAAAACGGACUCCAGGCCUGUCCUCCAGAUGAAGAACAGGAUGUGGCGGUGCCUCCGUAUCGCAAAACAUGAUGAAACCUUCUCUCUGAUUUUUUUCCGGGCGAGACGGAAGAUGUAGAGCUGAGUUUGGAGGCGGUGGUGCCACGUGGGCCCCAAAAGCCCUCAUGGCACGACCUAGGGGGUGGCCGCAGCCCAGGGGCUUGUGGCCCACUAGCACGCCCCCUCUGGUGGAUCUUUGCGCAGGUAUUUUUCUUUUAUUCUAGAAAAAAUCUUCGUAAAUUUUCAAGACAUUCUGAGAACUUUUAGUUCUGCACAAAAACAACACCAUGGCAAUUCUACUGAAAACAGCGUCAGUCCAGGUUUGUUCCAUUCAAAUCAUGCAAAUUAGAGUCCAAAACAAGGGCAAAAGAGUUCGGAAAAGUAGAUACGACGGAGACGUAUCAGUCGCCAUCGAGGUUGUCGUGCUACUUAUGCUGUUACUACUAAAGCUACGUCUUAGCAAUAUAGUAAACACAUCUGCAAACACAAACGUUUGUUUAAAGACAACCCUACGGCUCCUGCCGGUUGCCGUACCAUCGAUGUGCAAGUCAAUAUUAACUAUUACAACAUGAUCAUCUCAUAAAUCCAAUAAAUCACAUCACGUCAUUGGCCAUAUCAUAUCACAAGCAUACCCUGUAAAAACAAGUUAGACAUCCUCUAAUUUGUUCUUGCAUGUUUUACGUGGCUGUAUGGGUAUCUAGUAUGAUCGCAUCUUAUUUACGCAAAAACCACAACGGAGAUGUGCAAAUUUAUAUUUAACCUCUCCAAGAACCGCCUCGGUCAAAACCAAUUCAACUAAAGUUGAAGAAACCGACACCCGCAAGUCAUCUUUAUGCAACGAGGUUGCAUGUCAAUCGAUGAAACCAGUCUUUCGUAACCAUACGAAUAAUGUCGGUCCGGGCCGCUUCAAUCCAACAAUACCGCCAAAUAGAGAAAAGACUAAGGAGGGCAGCAAAUUGAACAUCACCAUCCACAAAACCCUUUGUGUUCUACUCGAGAUAUCAUCUACGCAUGAACCUNNNNNNNNNNNNNNNNNNNNNNNNNNNNNNNNNNNNNNNNNNNNNNNNNNNNNNNNNNNNNNNNNNNNNNNNNNNNNNNNNNNNNNNNNNNNNNNNNNNNNNNNNNNNNNNNNNNNNNNNNNNNNNNNNNNNNNNNNNNNNNNNNNNNNNNNNNNNNNNNNNNNNNNNNNNNNNNNNNNNNNNNNNNNNNNNNNNNNNNNNNNNNNNNNNNNNNNNNNNNNNNNNNNNNNNNNNNNNNNNNNNNNNNNNNNNNNNNNNNNNNNNNNNNNNNNNNNNNNNNNNNNNNNNNNNNNNNNNNNNNNNNNNNNNNNNNNNNNNNNNNNNNNNNNNNNNAACCGUCCCACGAACCGUCCCGCGAUCCGUCUCACGAUCCGUUCCGAUCUAGUGGUGAACGGACGACACCUCCGCGUUCAGCACACGUACAGCUCGACGAUGAUCUCGGCCUUCUUGAUCCAGCAAGAGAGACGGAGAGGUAGAAGAGUUCUCCGGCAGCGUGACGGCGCUCCGGAGGUUGGUGAUGAUCUCGUCUCAGCAGGGCUCCGCCCGAGCUCCGCAGAAACGCGAUCUAGAGGAAAAACCGUGGAGGUAUGUGGUCGGGCUGCCGUGGAAAAGUCGUCUCAAAUCAGCCCUAAAUCACCGUUAUAUAUAGGAGGGAGGGGGAGGAGGCUUGCCUUGAGGGCCAAGCCCUCAAGGGUGCGCCGGCCAGGAGGAGAGGAAGAAUCCUACUCCAAUUAGGAUUGGGAAGUGGAGUCCUUCUCUUCCUUCCCACCUCCCUUUUUUUUCUUUCUCUUUGGUUUUUCUUCUCUUGGCGCCAAGGCCCUCUUGGGCUGUACCACCAGCCCACUAAGGGCUGGUGCGCCACCCUAAGGCCAUUGGGCUUCCUCCGGGUGGGUUUCCCGCCUCUCGGUGAACUUCCGGAACCCAUUCGCCACUCCCGGUAAAAUGGCGGUAAUGCCCGAAAACCUUCCGGUAACCAAAUGAAACCAUCCUAUAUAUCAAUCCUCGUUUCCGGAACAUUCUGGAAACCCUCGUGACGUCCAUGAGCUCAUCCGCGACUCCGAACAACAUUUGGAAACCACACAUAUAACUCAACUUCACUAAAACAUCGCCGAACCUUAAGUGUGCAGACCCUGCGGGUUCAAGAACUAUGUAGACAUGCCCCAAGGCACUCCUUGGUCAAUAUUGAAUAGCGGGACUUGGAUGCCCAUAUUGGAUCCUACAUAUUCUCCGAAGAUCUUAUCGGUUGAACCUCAGUGUCAAGGAUUCAUUUAAUCCCGUAUGUCAUUCCCUUUGUCCUUCGGUAUGUUACUUGCCCGAGAUUUGAUCGUUGGUAUCCACAUACCUAUUUCAAUCUCGUUACCGGAAAAUCUCUUUACUCAUUCCGUAAUACAAGUUCCCGUGACUUACACUUAGUGACAUUGCUUGCAAGGCUUGUGUCUGAUGUUGUAUUACCGAGUGGGCAUAGAGAUACCUCUCCGUCACACGGAGUGACAAAUCCCAGUCUUGAUCCAUACUAACUCAACGGACACCUUCGGAGAUACCUCUAGAGCACCUUUAUAGUCACCUAGUAAUGCACACAAGGUAUUCCUCUGGUGCCAGUGAGUUACAUGAUCUCAUGGUCAUAGGAAUAAAUACUUGACACGUAGAAAAUAAUAGCAACAAAAUGACACGAUCAAUAUGCUACGUUCAUAGUUUGGGUCUAGUCCAUCACAUGAUUCUCCUAAUGAUGUGAUCCAGUUAUCAAGUGACAACACUUGGACAUAGGCAGAAAACCUUGACUAUCAUUGAUCAACUGGCUAGCCAACUAGAGGCUUGCUAGGGACAUUGUUUUGUCUAUGUAUCCGCACAUGUAUCUAUGUUUUCAUUCAAUACAAUUAUAGCAUGGAUAAUAAACGAUUAUCUUUAAACAGGAAAUAUAAUAAUAACUAUUUAUCAUUGCCUCUAGGGCAUAUUUCCAACAAUAAUAACCAAUUUAUUAUUGCCUCUAGGGAAUAUUUCCAACAGUCUCCUACUUGCACUAGAGUCAAUAAUCUAGUUCGCAUCAGUAUGUGAUCGUAAUGAAUAUAACACCCAUACAGUGCUGGGUUCGAUAUUGUCUUGCUUGUGAGAGAGGUUAUUAAUCUAUGAGUCUCAACCUUUUAGAUCUGUUUGUGCUUUACAAAUUUCUGUGUGAUCCUAUAGAUGCUUGUACCACACGCCAUUUGGAACUAUUCCAAAUGACUGCUCCACUAUACGAAUCUGGUUUACUACUCAGAGUCAUCCAGAUUAGUGUCAAAGCUUGCAUCGAACUAACCCUUUACAACGGACUCUUUUAUCACCUCCAUAAUCGAGAAAAAUUCAUUAGCCCACUAGUUACUAAGGAUAACCUUUGACCGCUGUCCAGUAAUCCAUUCCUGGAUCACUUUCGUACCCCUUGACACAUUCAUGGCAAGGCACAUAUUAGGUGCGACACACGACAUAGCAUACUAUAGAGCCUACAGCUAAUUUAUAGGGGAUUUAUGUAGUAAUAUCCUCAUAGAUUAAUUAUACUAGUUAGAAUAUGUCUCGGAAAUUUUGUUCAAGUACCUUGCAGGCAACAACAAGACAAUGCUAAUAUGAAAUUAAAUUCUCUCACAAAUGACCUAACAGGUAUAUAUUGAUUGUAAAUCGACCCAGCUGUACGAAAAUCCCAACUAAUCAUUAUAGAGGUUAUGGAAAGAAAUGAUAAACCAGAAUAAGGACUUCAAGAGCAAAAUUAUUUUAACCUGAACUUCCAAGAAAUCAUCAAAGCAUAAGUGGCUUCCCUCCCACCAAUAAAUUUCUAGGUGAACAUGAGAAGCACUAUAACAGGGUCAUCUGAAUACCUGAAUAGAAUCAUAACUGUCAUGCCAAUAGCACAUCUCUCUCUCCCUCCCUCUCCCUCUCCAUCUCCCAAUCCUAUUUUCUUCAAUCACAUCAGAAUAAGAAAAAUUAACCAUACAUCAUUUUCAAAAGAACACAAAUGAUUGUAAAUCUCCCUCCCUCCCUACCCUCUCUGUAUUUGAAUAAUUUUUUUAAAAAAAUCUUGAUAUCAUUUUACAUAAAUAAAAUAGAAUUCAGGGUCUCUAUCCCGGCCUUCUAUUUUAGUGAAGGAUAAAAACAUAUCUCAAAUAGACUUGUACACAUUGAUGAUUUAGUAUAUGAAGGAUAAAAAUAAUAUACCAUUUUUCAGUCUUGAACACAACUAAAUGUAAAUUCUUGCGUACCUCCACGACAUCAAAACCAGAAUACUACAAUGCAAAAUAAAGGUAACUUGAUAGGUCACACCACUCAAAUAAAUAGUGGUAUAUUCUCUCAUCACCAAUGGGCACGAUGCAAAUAAUAGAUAAAUAUUUUCUCUCUAUUGUGCGUAAAUGACUAUAUUUUUCUACAACGAAGAAAAAUUGGAAGUGGAAACUAUGACAUGAACCACUUCAACGAACUCAUAAAAUUGCUUCGCCAAGGAGUUUCCCUUUACCAUAUUCCUCAUCUUCUCCUCAUUGUCACCAAAGUACUUUCUUGUCACUCCAUUAAGCUAAUACGGUUGAUCCCGGCAUAACAUGUAGUUGUUGCUCCCUUGAAAACAAAAAAUCAUCCUCUCUUAGAUACAAUUAAAUUCGGAAGAUAUUAAUUAAUAACAAAUAUUACUUCCUUGAACACAGGAACAUAAGUGUACGGAAGAAAUAACUCAUAACCUUGUGGAGAAAUAAAGGCCUCAGACUAUUGUAUAGCUUAAAAUUGACAUUUAACAAAUACAUUUAGAAAAAAGAAUUAGCUAGAGAGCUUACUCAUUAGGAAAAGGAGGCCUCAUCAAACAGAUCAAGAUUAGUUCAGAAUGAACCUAAUCAAACCAUGAUGGUAGCUUCUUUUUUUCUAGUAAACUAACUAUUUAUGGAACAUGAGAAUAACUAAUAAAAUUUUAAGAAUCCCAGUUAAUAUGAGUCCUUAAUUUUAUGUCAUCAUGAUGCUACCUCUAGCGAAUGAUAUAGUACAAAUUGAUUCUUUUAGGUAUUUUAUCAAACCCAGGACAUGCACUUUAUACAGUAAUACCUUGACACUCACUGGUUCUCAAUGAAGUCAUAGCCCCCUCCAAUCGAGCCCGCGCUAUGCAACCUUGACAUGCUGGACUUGAGGUCUCUAUAUGUGCGGCGGUAUGCACAGUUAACCGAUACCUUCAUCUAAUAUGGGCACCAAUUUAAUGGAAACUUUUAUGCACAAAACUCUAAAAUGCAAUUUUGUAAUGAGAGAAAACUUAAAAUCCUAACCCGUGAUUAACUAAAUAGUAGACAAGUGGGUAAAUUACUUCCACUACACAAUCAAUAAACUAAUAUGUUUAACCAAAAAUAUCUAAUGCAAUGAGAGAAAACUGAAAAGCCUAGCCUAGGAUCAGCUCAAUAGUCAAAAAUUAGGAUCCCACAGAUCUUAAAAAUACUAUGAAUUGGGACCAAUGAUAAUGUGGAAUCAUCUAUAGACUCAAUGUAUUUUGGGGCACAAAUAAGGCGAUGGUGAAAACAAUUAUUGCAAUCCCAAUCUAAUACAAUUACAACAAAACCAAUAGUGAAAUGAUGCAAAAGGAUUUACCUGAGUAUAAGAAUUACCAUAGGUAAAGAAAAAGCAUUCUGUCACAAACUAAAAAGACAUAAAAAUCCAAUAGCACAAAACUCGAUGAGGACAAUACUAUGUGCUGCAUAACUAAAAAAGCAUCAAUAUGUAGUUUUAGUAAUACAUAUACACUAUUGUUUAAUAGAAAAAAUAUCACACUCGAUCUUUCCACAUGUAGUUGGUAGCAACUGUCAUUUACUAAAGAUGUGGUUGUUGUGGUGUUCGUAGAAAAUUCAAACGAAUAGUGCAUUCAUGUAUUGCAAGUUUCUUGGGACCAAUAUAAUAGCUUUGAAGAUUUCCUACAUCUAUCCUCGUCUCAUGGCAUUCUAUAAGGCCUAUUUAGACGAAGCAAGAGCAACCAUGUUCUGUAAAGAAAGAUAUAUCACCUUCACAAAGGCAUUCUUGGAAAUUUCUCAAUUAACCAUACACAUGUCUCUAUGGUUCAAAAUGAAUUGCUUAAGAAGUUUCCACACAUCACAUAUCUCUCUCAUCAUUUAGCAAAUAUUUGGAAACCUCUUCAAAAUUGAUAUAUGCACCACCAAUUAUAUACUUGGCACAAUAAUCUACCUAACAACUUUUCAUGGUCAUUAACUUCAGUGACAACUUUCCAUGGCUGUUUGAUUCACUUACAUAGGAUUUACAAUAAUCACUCUAACACAAAUACAGUUGUGCACUACGGAACUCACAACACCUUAACUCAAUAUUUGAACACCUGGCAUGCAUUAUUAUUUGCACAAUCGACCUGUUUAUUGCAACAUAAAUUAAAUUUUGAAACAUAUUCACCAAUGCAUCAAUGUAAUAUGCUGAAGCCAUCUUCACACCACUUGCAACGUCAUAAAAAAAUCUAUAAGAGGUAGAACAUGUGGCUGGCUUAGAAUCAUCAUAUAACUGGACAAUGCAUCAUUAUUUGCACAAGUGACAUGUUUAUUGCAUCAUAAGUCAAAUUUAGAAACACAUCCACCGAUGCAUAGAUGUAAUAUGCUAAAGCCAUGUUCAAUCCACUUGUAUCGUCAUAAAAAAUAUGUAAUAGGUAGAAUAGGUGGCUGGCUUAGAAUCAUCAGAUAACCGAACCUUCCCUGCCACCUCCACCAUGGGCGACACCUCCAUCUCCACAUCAUAGAUCACUAUCCCCAUGUGAGGCAAAUAGUUGGCUAGCUUAUACUCAUCACCCUUCUCAUGUUCCCUUUUUAGCAUUUGGAAUCACAUACUUCCUGUGUAAGAAAUAUAAGAGCGUUUAGAUUAGUGAUCUAAACACUCUUAUAUUUCUUUAUGGAGGGAGUAAAAUAUAAAAGAUAGGAGAAUAAUAAUUCACAAUUUCUCUAGGUGAGUUUUUUCUAGGUGACUAUGUAGAAUGCAUGUAUGGUUGGGAGAAUAGGCGGAGAGUUUAUCAUGAAUAUUAUUUUUUGGCUUCACCAAGGGUUCAGUUUGUUGUAUUUUCUCUGAGUGUUCUUUCUUAUGUUGGAACUUCACCACCACAAGACGAAUUAUCUCCUUCCAUGAUCUACACAAAGGUAGAAGAAUGAUUCAUUAUUGCACCAACCACAUCAAAUCUACACUGUACAUACUAUAUCUCUGUUCAUUAGUGAAUUUAUCCCAUGCAGUACCUUGCAGAAUAGAAAGCCCACGCCAUGAUUUUAGAAGACAAAUCAGUCCCAUCUUCCUGUAGAACAUUGCACCCAAAACUGAUGCCAAAUAAUUCAUAAUGACUGAACAAGCGGAGAUCUAACUAAAGCUGGAUCAAGAAUUCUAUUAACUGUCCAUGUAAACAACAUACAAGGGCUUCAUUUUCCCAAGAGAAGAUAUUGUAUAAAAGGGCUUCGUUGUAAUUGUUUACUUAAGCAAAUAUCUAAAGUUCAAUAUAGACCAACUUUGCUCUUGAAUCUUGUUUAGCAAUAACAAAAUAGUUUGAUUCUCUUGGUCUUUCAGUACACAUGCACCCCAUGAUGAUAUUGGAUGCUAAAUAAUUUAUAAUGCAUGUACAUGCGGAAUAUCUUAACUGCUCAAGAAUUCGUAUGAACUGCCCAUUUAAAGAGCACAUGGAAAACUUUUAGAUGGAAUAAAAAGGACAUUCACUAGUAAACAAAAUUAUUUUUAAUAAACUAGGAACAAUGGUUUUGGACGAAGGAAGUUUCAUACAUUAUUCCGACAAAAAACUUGGGUGCAAGCAAUGUCUACUAAAACAAUUUAGACAUAUCGAAGUGGUGAAUUGCACAUAUCUGAGGUCUAUUAAUCUUCUCGACACUUGUAUACCUCAGAGUGACACUAAAUAAUUAUGAACGACUAAGCAUGCUAAAGUCUAAAGGUUGGCUUAAGAAAUCCUAAGAAUUGUGUCCACAUCAAUACACAACUAAACUGGUAGAUCGAGCAAAAAAGGCUUGCAAUUCUUAUGUUUAAUCUGGACCAACUAAACAAUCUCAAAUCUACAGCAAUAAUUUAUUGGAUCAACAAUCUUCUUAGUAAGAAAUGUAAAAAGACCAUUGGUACAAAGGAGAGGAAGAGGACAAUACUUACCCACACACAUAGCGAUUUCCGUGGAGAUCUUCACCUUCUUAGGGGCUCCCCUUGUAUAGCUCCUCGAGAGAGCAAGGCAGCUUCCUCUUGAUUGGCAUGACCUUAACCGCCUUGCUGCCAUUUCCGCCGCCGAACAUCCCGGGGUACCACUCACACACCCACCACAAAACGUCUUGGUGAAUGCAUCCUCGUUGACAAAUGCACUAGUGGAGAAACGGAUAGCCACAACCUAUGCUGGUGGCGCGCCGUUUCUAAGCAAUGCCACCACUAUAUCUUUAAGAUAGUUUUGGCAUUGGAAAAAUUUGUACAACAUUGAUACAACCUUAUUGUUGGUUUUGCACACGUAAUUGUGUAUUUUUUAUUUUUCUGGUAUAGGUUGUGGUGUCGUGUCCCAUUGUCCCACGCCAGCACUAGUCCAUUUUAAUAGCCCUCUAACACAGCCAAAGAAAAAUCAGGUGACAUUUCACUCUCUCGCAUCUCCCCCCCGGCACCUCUCUCUCGCCCGACGCCGCCACCACCACCUCCCGAUCCCGCCAAACGUCACCACCGAACCAACGCGUGCGCUGGCACCUCCCGACACCACCACACGUCAUCGCCGGACCAGCGCGACCGCUGCCACCUGCAGUAGGUGAGAUCUACCUCUUUGGUUGUUAGAGAAGGUAGUGCGGUUGGUUGGACAAAAUUGAGAAUUUGCUAGUGGAUUUUGGUAGGUUCUGAUCUCAUGGACUUAUGUUUUGGUAGGAAAAAUAAUAGUACAAAGUGUACACUAAGGUAUCCCAAUCCUUUCUAUAGCAAAGAACAAGCCUGAAAGUACUCUUAUAUAAAGAAAAUGUUCCCGAUGACACAUAGGACUUACUGUCUAGUCAUGUUCAUCAUGUUAAGCUGAUUCACGUUCGUUACUUUGAUAAUUUCGCUUCCUUCCUCUCUGGUUUUCCUUCUCAUUAGCGACCCUGCAGCUCAGUGCAGCCAAUAUCGCCACCGCUGCCAUGAAGAAAGGGCAGACAAGUAAGCUAGAGAAGGCAAAGAAGAAGGGCGCCGCCAAGCCCAGGAAGCAGGCUCUGCCAUCGGCUGAAUCCAGGGGGAUUUCCUCCGAUCCAAUGUGCGGAAGGAGGACCUCCUCGAUCUCGUCGAGCAUGGUAUGCUGGCGGACACUACUUGGAGGCUUCCCGACGAUGAGAUCGAGCCCGAGCCGUGCGAGGGAGAGCGGGUCCUCCUCUUGACCCACGUCGAAAGAUGUUUCUCCUUGUCGCCUCAUCCUUUCAUUCGGGGGUUCUUGAAUUUCUUCGGGGCGCAUUUGCAUCACUUCGCACUGAAUGCCAUCGCCCACCUUUUUGCCUUUGUCACCUUAUGCGAGUGUUUCUUGGGGUGUCCUCCCCAUUGGGGACUUCUCAAAUAUACCUUCACUGUAUGUUCUCAGUCGGUGAAGAAGGUCAAUUCAACUGAUAAUAAGACCCAUGUCAUCCAGUUGUGUGGGUGUUUAGGACUUCAAAAGAGAGCCAAAAGUAGUUAUCCUACCAUGACCUUCCUUGAGUCGAUCUGCAACUGGCAAGCCACUUGGUUCUAUUGUAACGAUGACGCUUGCCCAAAUAUGUCGAGUGGACUUCCGCCCUUAGUCAACAAAGGAGGAGAAAGCUCAGGUGGAGCCCUUAGUCAAGGCGCUGAUUGGUCUGGUCCACAACAGAGUGACAGGGAUGGAUCUGUUGGAGACCUUCCUUGGAAGACGCAUCUGAUACGUCCAUUUUGCAUCAUGCUUUCAUGUUGAUAUUUAUCACUUUAUGGACUAUUAUUGUACUUUGUGGUACCAUACUUAUGUCUUUUAUCUCUUAUUUUGCAAGGUUUAUUUGAAGAGGGAGAAUACCGGCAAUUGGAAUUCUGGACUGGAAAAGGAGCAAGUUUGAGUCCUCUAUUCUCCACAACUCCAAAUGCCCUAAAAAUCAACGUGGAUUUUUUUGGGAAUAUAUAAAAAAUACUGUGCGAAAGAAGUGCCAGAGGGGAGCUGCCAGGGGCCCACAAGCCUGGUGGCCGCGGCCUGCCCCCCUGGCCGCGGCAACAGGGCUUGUGGGCACCCUGGUGGCCCACUGGCCCCCGUCUUCUGCUAUAUGAAGGGUUUCGUCCGGAAAAAAAUCAGGGCGGCGAUUUUUCGUGGAUUCUCCGCCACCACGAGGCGGAACUUGAGCAGAACCAAUCUAGAGCUCCGGCAGGACGAUCCUGCCGGGGAAACUUCCCUCCCGGAGGGGGAAAUCGUCGCCAUCGUCAUCACCAACACUCCUCUCAUUGGAGGGGACUCGUCUCCAUCAACAUCUUCAUCAGCACCAUCUCAUCUCCAAACCCUAGUUCAUCACUUGUAACCAAUCUCCAUCUCGCGACUCCAAUUGGUACUUGUAAGGUUGCUAGUAGUGUUGAUUACUCUUUGUAGUUGAUGCUAGUUGGAUUACUUGGUGGAAAAGUUUAUGUUCAGAUCCUUGAUUCUACUCAUUACACCUCUGAUCAUGAUUAUGAUUAUGCUUUACGAGUAGUUACUUUUGUUCCUGAGGACAUGGGAUAAGUCAUGCUAAUAAUAGUCAUCUGAAUUUGGUAUUCAUUCGGUAUUAUGAUAUGUUGUAUGUUGUUUUUCCUCUAGUGGUGUUAUGUGAACGUCGACUACAUAACACUUCACCAUAUUUGGGCCUAGAGGAAGGCAUUGGGGAGUAGUAAGUAGAUGAUGGGUUGCUAGAUUGACAGAAGCUUAAACCCCAGUCUAUGCGUUGCUUCGUAAGGGGCUGAUUUGGAUCCACUAGUUUAAUGCUAUGGUUAGAUGUUGUCUUAAUUCUUCUUUCGUAGUUGCAGAUGCUUGCGAGAGGGGUUAAUCAUAAGUGGGAUGCUUGUCCAAGUAAGGGCAGUACCCAAGCGCCGGUCCACCCACAUGUCAAACAAUCAAAGUAACGAACGCGAAUCAUAUGAACAUGAUGAAACUUGCAUGACAGAAAUUCCCGUGUGUCCUCGGGAGCGUUUUUCCUCUUAUAAGACUUUGUUCAGGCUUGUCCCUUGCUACAAAAGGGAUUGGGCCACUUUGCUGCACCGUUUCUACUAUUUGUUACUUUUUACUUUUCACCUGCUACGUUUCACCUCACUACACCAUCACUUGUUACCGCUACUUUCAGUGCUUGCAGUUAUUACCUUGCUGAAAACCGUUUAUCCGAGCCUUCUGCUCCUCGUUGGGUUCGACACUCUUACUUAUCGAAAGGACUAGGAUUGAUCCCCUAUACUUGUGGGUCAUCAAGACUCUUUUCUGGCGCCGUUGCCAGGGAGUGAAGCGCCUUUGGUAACUGGGAUUUGGUAAGGAAACAUUUAUAUACUGUGCUGAAAUUUAUUGUCACUUGUCACUAUGGAAACUGUUCCUUUGACGAAUUUGUUUGGGGUAUCUUCACCACAAACGGAAGCACGAGGAUUUUCUCCUCAACCUAAGGUCCCUACUGAAAAUGUCUUUUAUGAAAUGUGAUGAUACUGAAUCAUGGGACUACAAUCGGUUGAAAUUGGAAUUUCAUCAAAAGUUUUAUCCUAUGCAUUUAGUAUAUCGUGAUCGGAAUUAUAUUUAUAACUUUUGGCCUCGUGAGAGGGAAAGCAUAGCUCAAGCUUGGGGGAGGCUUAAAUCAAUGCUAUAUUCAUGCCCCAAUCAUGAGCUCUCGAGAGAAAUUAUCACUCAAGACUUUUAUGCUCGGCUUUCUCAUGAAGAUCGUACCAUGCUUGACACUUCUUGUACCAGUUCUUUUAUGAAGAAGGAUAUUGUCCACAAGUGGAAUUUAUUGGAAAGAAUCAAACGUAACUCUGAAGAUUGGGAUCUUGAAGAAGGUAAGGAGUCAGGUAUGAAUUUGUAGUUUGAUUGCGUUAAAUCUUUUGUUGAAACAAACACUUCUAGAGAUUUUAGCGCUAAGUAUGGACUUGACUCUGAGAUAGUAGCUUCUCUAUGUGAAUCUUUUGCUUCUCAUGUUGAUCUUCCCAAAGAGAAGUGGUUUAAGUAUCAACCUCCUUUAGAAGUCAACAUAGUUAAACCCAAUCUAGUUGAAGAGAAAGUCAUUGCCUAUAAUGAUCCUAUUGUUCCUUGUGCCUACACUGAGAAACCACCUUACCCUGCUAGGAAAAAGGAUUAUUCUAAAGCUCCAACUGUGAUACAUAGGGGUUACAUUAGGCCACUUGCACCCCCUGAGGAAAUUAGAGUUGAACCUAGUGUUGCUAUUAUCAAAUAUCUCUUAGCUGAAGACAUAGAUGGGCAUGUUAUCAAAUUCUGUGAGGACUCCGCUAGAAUUGCUAAACCUCACGCGAAAGACAAAUACGGACCUUUAGUUUGCCCUGCCCGUUGUUUCUGUCAAGAUAGGAGAUCACUGUUAUCAUGGUUUAUGUGAUAUGGUUGCUAGUGUUAGUGCAAUACCCCGGUCCCUUCAUGAUGAAAUCAAAGAUGAGAUUGCACCUGCUGAGUUAGAACCCAUUGAUGUCACUAUUACGCUAGCUAAUAGAGACACUAUCUGCCCUAUGGGAAUUUUGAGAGACGUAGAAGUCCUGUGUGGUAAGACGAAGUAUCCUACUGAUUUCCUCGUCCUUGCUACUGCACAAGAUAGCUUUUGUCCCAUCAUAUUUGGCAGACCGUUUCUCAACAAUGUCAAUGCUCAUAUUGAUUGCAUUAAACAGACUGUCACUGUUACUUUCGAGGGUGUGUCUCAUGAAUUUAACUUCUCCAAAUUUGGAAGACAACCCCAUGAAAAAGAGUCGUCUGGUAGGGAUGAAAUCAUUGCUCUUGCCUCUAUUGUCGUACCUCCUACGUAUCCUUUAGAGCAAUAUCUCCUUGUGCAUGAAAAUGAUAUGCAUAUGGAUGAAAGAGAUGAGAUAGAUAAAAUUGUUUUAGAACAAUAUCCUAUUCUUAAGAAUAAUCUUCCUGUUGAAUUUCUUGGGGAUCCUCCCCCACCAAAGGGUGAUCCUGUGUUCGAGCUAAAACAAUUACCAGAUACACUUAAGUAUGCCUAUCUUGAUGAGGAGAUAUAUCUUGUUAUUAUUAGUGCUCACCUCUCGAAUCACGAAGAGAACAAGUUAUUAAAAACUUUGAGGAAGCACCGUGCUGCUAUUGGAUAUACUCUUGAUGAUCUUAAGGGUAUUAGUCCCACUCUAUGUCAGCACAAGAUUAAAACCGAUCCUGAUUCUAAGCCAGUUGCUGAUCAUCAACGGAGAUUAAAUCCUAGGAUGAAAGAGGUCGUGAGAAAAGAAAUAUUAUAGCUUCUGGAAGCAGGAAUCAUUUAUCCUGUUGCUCAUAGUGAUUGGUUAAGUCUAGUACAUUGCGUACCCAAGAAGGGAGGUAUCACCGUCGUUCCUAAUGAUAAGAAUGAACUAAUCCCAGAGAGGAUUAUUACUGGCUAUAGGAUGGUGAUAGAUGAUACGUCUCCAUCGUAUCUACUUUUCCAAACUCUUUUGCCCUUGUUUUGGACUCUAAUUUGCAUGAUUUGAAUGGAACUAACUUGGACUGACGUUGUUUUCAGCAAAAUUGCCUUGGUGUUGUUUUUGUGCACAAAUCAAAGUUCUCCAAACGUCCUGAAAAUUUACGGGGAGCAUUUUUGGAAAAUAUGAAAAAUAUCUGCGCCAAGAUCCACCUGAGGGGGUGGGCUAGUGGGCCACAAGCCCUGCCUCCGCUACCCCUGGUGGCGGUGGGCAAGCUUGUGGGGCCCACACGGCUCUGCCGCCCCCAAUCUCAGCUCUAUAAGUUCACUUUCGUAGAAGAUUUCGUCGCGUUUGCGAUAUGGAGGCGCCGCCACCACCUGUUCUUCCUCUGGAGGGCAGAUCUGGAGUCCGUUUUGGGCUCCGGAGAGGGGAAAUCGUCGCCAUCGUCAUCAUCAACCUUCUUCCCUCUCCAAUUCCAUAAAGCUCUUCGUCGUUCGUGAGUAAUCUAUUCGUAGGCUCACUGGGCGGUGAUGAGUAGGAUGAGAUCUAUCAUGUAAUCGAGUUAGUUUUGAUGGGGAUUGAUCCCUAGUAUCCACUAUGUUCUGAGAUCGAUGUUGCGACUACUUUGCCAUGCUUAAUGCUUGUCNNNNGGGCCCGAGUGCCAUGAUUUCAGAUCUUGCAAGUUGUAGUUACCUACUAUGUGUUAUGAUCCGGCAACCCCGGAGUGACAAUAACCGGAACCACUCCCGGUGACGACCAUAGUUUGAGGAGUUCAUGUGUUCACCAAGUGCUAAUGUGUUGGUCUAGUUCUUUAUUAAAAGGAGAACCUUAAUAUCCCAUGGUUUCCUUUUGGACCCCGCUGCCGCGGGAGGGAUGGACAAUAGGUGUCAUGCAAGUUCUUUUCCCUAAGCACGUAUGAUGACACACGGAAUGCAUGCCUACAUCACAUUGACGAACGGGAGCUAGCCACAUAUCUCUCAGUGUUUUAAGUGUUGCAUGAUGAAUAUCAUCCAAACAAAUCACCGACCCAUUGCCUAUGAGUUUGUCCUACUGCUGCGGUUACUUGUCUUGCUCUGCUGCUACUGCUGUUACUACUGUCGCUUGCUCUGUUGCUACUUGCUACUGCUGUCACUAUCGUUGUUCCUUGCCACUGCCAUUACUCUCUACUUUGUUGUUACUACUUUGCUUGCAGAUACUAAUCUUUCAGGUGUGGUUGAAUCUGACAAAUUCAGCUGCCAAUACUCGAGAGUAUGCUCUGACCUCCUGUUUGGCGAUCAAUAAAUUUGGGUCGAAUACUCUACUCUCGAAAACUGCUACGAUCCCACGCGCUAGUGGUCCGUCAACAACAUUUUUCUAGUUUCGAUUGCCGGAGAGUGCUAGCAGCAUUCUUCUGGUGCUGUUGCAAGGGAAGGUCUGCUGUUAUUGAGUACGCAUUUUUCUGGCACCGUUGCCGGGGAGGUAUUGCUAUAUUCUCUGAGUUAUUUGGGAUUUAUAUCUGCUGAUCACUAUGAAGAAUCCAAAAACAAAAGUCUUGCCCUCAACUACGAGGGGAGGUAAGGAAUUGCCAUCUAGCUCCGCACUUGAUUCACCUUCAGUUAUGAGUAAGUUUGCGACAUCACCUCCCUCUAGAAAUCUUGAUAUGUCGCCUGUGCUUGAUGAUGCUUAUGAUGCUACUGCUAGAGAUGCUAUGCUUGAUACUAUGCCUGAUACUGCUUCGCCUCAUACUGCUAGAGAUGCUAUGCCUGAUGAUACUAUGCUUGAUACUGCUUUGCUUGAUGAUGCUAGAGAUGCUAUUUUGCCUGAUGAUGCUAUGCUUGAUACUGCUAGAGAUGCUACUUUGCCUGAUGUUCCUCUAGGGGUAUUCCUUGAUGCUCAUAUUGCUAGAAUUACUGCCAAUGCUCGUGAUGCCUCUGAAAUUGUCGAUACUAUUGAGAUAGAACCUGCUUUUGCUCCUCUUGGAUCUAGCUCUCCUAGAUAUGAAUUGCCUGAUAUACCUGAGGGUUAUGUUAUGGAGGGAGAGAUAGUUGAGGAUUUUCUUGCGUGUAAGGAUGCCUAUGACGCUGAGAAAUUACUUCUCAAGUGGAAGNNNNNNNNNNNNNNNNNNNNNNNNNNNNNNNNNNNNNNNNNNNNNNNNNNNNNNNNNNNNNNNNNNNNNNNNNNNNNNNNNNNNNNNNNNNNNNNNNNNNUACGAAAAGCAACGCUCGUAGGUCAAAUUCCUCUUCUUUGUGCUCAUCCCACACACGGACACCAGGUCUGCCCCACAGCUGUAAAAGUUCAUCAACUAAUGGCCUUAGGUACACAUCGAUGUCGUUGCCGGGUUGCUUCGGACCUUGGAUGAGCACUGGCAUCAUAAUGAACUUCCGCUUCAUGCACAACCAAGGAGGAAGGUUGUAGAUGCAUAGAGUCACGGGCCAGGUGCUAUGGCUGGAGCUCUGCUCGCCAAAAGGAUUCAUGCCAUCUGUACUUAGACCAAAUCUUAUGUUCCUUGCGUCAGCUGCAAAAUCUUUGAACNUUGUUUGUGCUCAUCCCACACACGGACACCACCCCACAGCUGUAAAAGUUCAUCAACUAAUGGCCUUAGGUACACAUCGAUGUCGUUGCCGGGUUGCUUCGGACCUUGGAUGAGCACUGGCAUCAUAAUGAACUUCCGCUUCAUGCACAACCAAGGAGGAAGGUUGUAGAUGCAUAGAGUCACGGGCCAGGUGCUAUGGCUGGAGCUCUGCUCGCCAAAAGGAUUCAUGCCAUCAGUACUUAGACCAAAUCUUAUGUUCCUUGCGUCAGCUGCAAAAUCUUUGAACAUUCUGUCGAUCUUUCUCCAUUGCGUUCCAUCUGCGGUGUGUCUCAACUCCCCGUCCGACUUACGGUCCUCUUUGUGCCAUCGCAACAACUUGGCAUGCUCUUUGUUCCUGAACAGACGUUUCAACCGAGGUAUUAUAGGAGCAUACCACAUCACCUUGGUGGGAACCCUCUUCCUGGGUUUCUGGCCCUCAACAUCGUCACCAGGGUCAUCGCCUCUGAUCUUAUAACGCAAUGCAGUGCAUACCGGGCAUUCAUUCAAAUUCUCGUAUUCACCGCGGUAGAGGAUGCAGUCGUUGAUGCAUGCAUGUAUCUUCAGAACCUCUAAACCUAGAGGGCAGACAACCUUCUUUGCUUCGUACGUACUGGUGGGCAACUCGUUAUCCUUUGGAAACAUAUUCUUCAACAUUUUCAGCAAGUUUUCAAAUGCCGAGUCAGCUACACCUGCCUGUGCCUUCCAUUUCAGCAAAUCCAGUGUGCAGCCCAGCUUUUUCAGACCAUCAUCGCAUCCGGGGUACAGCGCCUUUCUGUGAUCCUCUAACAUGCGAUCCAAAUUCUCCCUCUCCUUUUCAGUUUCGCAGCGUCUCCGUGCAUCAGCAAUGGUCCGACCAAGAUCAUCAACGGGAUCAUCACGUGCCUCUUCUUCACCUUCCCCUUCACCUUCAGCAUCCUCCAUGAAAGUAUCACCGAAAUGAGCAAGAUAGCUUUCAUCNNNNNNNNNNNNNNNNNNNNNNNNNNNNNNNNNNNNNNNNNNNNNNNNNNNNNNNNNNNNNNNNNNNNNNNNNNNNNNNNNNNNNNNNNNNNNNNNNNNNUCUUUGUCGUCCGCCAGCAGACGACAAAGAAGGUACCGUAGAUUGACCUAGCGUUCCCCCGGUCAGGUGGGCCCAGUCCAAAGCUUUGUCGUCUGAUGUCCUAAUCUUUACCGUGAGCCGCUGACGGCAAAGAAUUGACUCAUGGCAAAGACAUUCUAUGCCAUCAGCCUGUUCUUUGCCGUCGGCUUUUUGGCAACGGACGACAAAGGCACUCUUUGCCAUCAGCUAGCAGAUGGCAAAAAACUGAAUUCCAGUAGUGUAUGUGUUUGAUCUUUCUUUCUCGUGUGUUCUUGUGAUGUCACGAUAUGGAUGUAUUACAGGCUUUGUCAGUAUAGUUGGAUCAUAUGAUGUUCUUCCCUUGCUAUCUUGGUGUGGUGAAUUUAAUUUUUCCUUUGAGAUCUUGUUAUGUCCGAUUGACUAUUGGGUUUGAGGACACUUAAUGUAUGUCUUGCAUGUGGAUACCCGUGUUUACAAUGGAGUAUUCUAUUGAUUUACUUGAUAUAUGUCAUGGCAUCAACUUGCCGGUACGAGUGACCUUGGGGAUGCAUAGGGGUUGAUUGCACGUUUUCAUACUACGUUCUUCGGUAGAAAUCUUGGGGUACUCUUUGAAGUUCUUUGUGUUCGAUUGAAUAUGAUGAAUCUGAAAUUAACCCACGGAUAAUUGAGGUGAUGUUGGAGUAUCUAGGUGAAAUCAAGGUUGAUUGAUAUAUAUCAUAGGUGUUAUUCUAGUACGAACUCUAGGAUUGUUUGUGACACUUAUAGUAAUACUCAAUGGAUCGAUCGAAAAGGAUAACUUUAAGGUGGUUCACUGCCUACAACUAUUUCAUCUUAUGUUCUCCUCUACUUAUGAACAUUGGGGUGAUUCUUUAUCGCACAUUGAGAGAUGACCAUAUGAUUCUAUUAUUUUAGCAUUGUUGAGAGAUUCCACUAGUGAAAGUAUUAACCUUAGACCUUAUUUCCAAACAUUUAUACCACAUUUUUCUCGCUGUUUUCCACUUCUACCUUGGUGAUUUUAUAUUUUCAUAUUACAAAAACAUAUAUCUACUAUCCAUACUACACUUGUAUCACCAUAUCUUCGCCAAAGUAGUUUACUUGUACAAUUUUCCAUUGUAUUGGGUGUGUUGGGGGCACAAGAGAUUAUUAAUAUUUGAUUGCAGGGUUUUUUGAUAGAGACCAUCUUCAUCCUACACGUAACACGGCUUUGAUGUUGUCCAACAAAACUCUACACUUGGAGGCCCAACAAUAUCUACAACAAUAAAGUUGCAUAAUACACACCAGUCUUCCAUAACAUCAUUGUAUAAUUACACUCCAACAUUACCUACAGUAUGCUAUCACAAUUAUAUGGCUCCCAAAUCAAUGAUGCUUAGCAAGAAUUCAAACAUAAGCACACAAAUCAACUAUAACAACAAUCUGUGAAAAACAGGACAGUCCAGAAAGAUGCAGAUGAAACAUAUAAUUCUUUAACUCAGAAAAUUCUGAAAAAUUAGGACGUGGUAAUUUUUUUAUAACAGUACUAUGUAAUUUUUUUAGAUUUUUUAAUGUUCCAGUAAAAUAGGAAAAAUCUAACACUACUGCCAAAGUUUCUAUUUUUGCACAACACAUAUCAAACAAGCAAUUUAAACAUCCUCAAAGUAAAUCUUGGCACAUUCUUUUUUAAUACAAUGUAUUUGUACAAGGGGAUAAUUAUUUUUGUUGAAAAGUUUGUGUAAUCAAGAUUCACAAAGUUUUCAUGGGCAUGAACAAAGUUCAAGGAUACCCCCACUUCAACGGUGCUCGUCCUUCUCACUUUCACUUUUCUUUUCAUAAAACUCUUAGAUUCCCAACUUUAUUCUUUGUUUUUAAAAUUUUUAAAAGAACACAAUAGAAAUAAAUGACUCCCUAAAACUUCCGGGUUGUCUCCCUAGCAACCCUUUCUUUAAAGCCAUUAAGCUAGGCAUAUAGUUCUCAAGUAAUUGAUCGACCCGGAUCUCAUGGUAUAUCAAAUCCAAUUUUAAUUAACAUUAAUUUGUAAUUAAGUGGUGAACACAAAGUGAUAUAUAUCAUGUGACAACAAAGUCUAACUCUGUUCCUCUGCAUUGUCAUGUCAUAAAAGAACAAUUUAUUCACACAAAGUAAAGGCCAAUACAUAGCAUAAGUAGUUUCUUGCAAUUUUAUCGAAUAGGAAACAUAGAGAGGUGAAGAUUUGGUUUCUCUCUCAUAAUAAUUGCAAGUAGGAACAACAAGCACAUGCAUAUUAUAUUCAUCAAAAUCAUCAUGUGUAAUGGUAAGACGCAACCCAUCAAUAUAAUCCUUAAUAAGUGCAAACUUCUCCGAUAUGGUUUAGUUGGGAGGAUUCAAAAAUAUAAUAGGACUAUCAUGUGUGGGUGCAAUAUCAACAAUUUCAUACUUAACAUAAGGAAAUAUAGCAAGUUCAUCUCCAUACGAAUAAUUCAUAUUGGCAUCAUGGCCGCAAGCAUAGCAAGCAUCAAGUUCAUCAAAAAGGGAUAUUUCAAAUGAAUCCAAGGGAUCAUGGCAAUUAUCAUAUCAUUCAGCCUUUGGUAUGUGUGAAGGGAAAUUAAACAAUGUAUGAGUUGAAGAGUUACUCUUAUUAGAAGGUGGGCACGUGUAGCUAAUCCGCACUUCCUUCUUUUGGUCUUCGCUUUCCUCCUCAUCUUUUUCAUCUAAAGAGCUCACAGUUUGAGCAACUUCUUCUUCCAUAGAUUCCUGAAUAAAUAUUAAUCUCUUCCAAGACAUCAGUCAUUCUUUCAAUAAAUUCUUUAACAUAAGCAUUAGAAGCAUAGCUUUCAUAGCAAUAUUUAAGUACAACAAAAUUUUCUAAAUUUAUAAAGAAUAGCAUCAUACUUUUCAAUCGAAGUAGCAUUUUCAUAAGGACCCAAGCGACAAAUUCUUCAAUUUGUUCAACAUCAUAAUAAAAAUAGGCAUCAUAGGCUGAAAAAGAUAAUAUUUCCUUAUCAUUAAACACACAUUGAUAGGGAAUAUGGUUUUAGUGUCUUCGAAACAACAAGUAAAAUCAUGUAAUUCACAUAAAUUCCAAGCGUAACAACACAAAGUACUAAUUUCAUGUCACAAGAGCUUCCCUUUUUGAGAUAAGCGAUGUCGCACAAAACAAGCAUGUUCAUUUAAUAAUUUUUGCUCAACUAAGCUAGUUCGGUUUUUAGCAUGAGCACAAAGGGAUCAAAGAUGGUCCAACUAAAAAGCUUCAGCAGUACGAUACAUUUUGGGUGGUUCCUCAACCAUUGGGUUAGCAAGUACAUCUAAUUUUUUUUGGUAUUUUGCCUUUCCUAGAAAUAACUAAAGAUAGAAAACAACUUAGAACACAAAAUUAAAUUACUUAGUGACAAAGCAAACAAGCACACACGAGAAUAUCAAUCGCUAUGCUAUUGCUCCCCGACAACGACGCUAGAAAAAGGUCUUGAUAACCCACAAGUGUGUGGGAUUGUUUGUAACCUUUUUCAAUAAGUAAUAGGGUCGAACCCUAUGAGGAUCUAAAGAUAGAAUUAAUAUUCUCUCAAGUUCUAUCGACCACCGAUACAAUUCUACGCACGCUAACGCUUAAUUUACCUAGAACAAGUAUGCAACUAUUUUAUGGGAAGGAAACUAGAAGUACUUAGUAGGUGUAAUAGAUAGUUUUGCAUGAUAAUAAAGAACACAAAAAUAGAAGUUAGGUACUUUUUUAAUAAAUACUAAUUAAGUUAGUUCUUUAGUAGAAUUUGUUUUUGUAGCACAAGAGAAAGAUUGUCCGUAGGCAAUUGAAUAUAGCAUGAUAGAUGCUUGUCAUGUGCAAUGAAGGAGAGGCAUACGCAAACACACUUUCCGUACUUGGAUCGUAUGCACUUAUGAUUGGACCUCUAGCAAGCAUCCACAACUACUAGAAAUUAUUAAAGUAAACCCAACCAUAGCAAUAAACAUCAAGUCCUCUUUACUCCCAUACGCAAACAACUCUCUUACUCUCGGGUGUAAGCUUCUGCUGCUCUAGCCACUCACUAUAAGCGAAUCAUGAACAUAUUGCAAACCCUACAGCGUGAAUACUUCACGUGUGAGCCUCACCGAAAGCUCCUUAGGACAGAAUCAUAUCAACAUACAACUCAUAUCAAUAACGUCAUACCACAAUUAACCCGUGGGACAAAAGAGAUCUACUCAAACAUCAUAGGAUGGCACACAUCAUUGGAUAUAAUAUAUAGCAUUACGAACCAUGUUUAUGUAGAGAUUACAGUGGGGGGAGAGGAUUUACACCACUGCAUUUAGGGGGAGAGAGUUGGUGGUGACGACGACGAAGUUGUUGUUGUAGAUCGUCGUCAUGAUGGUUGCCCCGGCGGCGCUCCUGCGCAACCGGGAGGGAGGGGGAGAGAGCCCCCCUAUAUGUUAUUCUUCCUUUGCCUCCUCCUUAGGUGGGAGGAGAGUUUACCCUCCGGUCCAUGUCCACCAUGGCUCCCGGAGGGAUGCAGUCCCGUCGAGAUUGGAUCACUCUCCAUUUGUCUCCUGUUUUCGCUACGUACUGUUUUGUGGCCCUUUGCCGUUUCUUAAAUAUCCGGAGAUUCGUAACUCUGACUGGGCUGAAAUUUUGAGGGGAUUUUUAUCGGAACAUUAUCUUUAUUGCAAAUAAAGUAGGGCCCCGGCCGACUUAAGGGAGAGCCACAAGGCAUUAGGGGGCGGCCACCCCCCGUUCGCGCCCUGUUGCCUUGUGAGAGCCUUGGGAAUCAUGUGGUGUUGAUUCUUCUUCCAAAAAUUCAAAUAUAUUCCAAAAAAAUCUCCAUAAAUUUUUAUUGCAUUUGGACUUCAUUUGAUAUGGAAUUUCUGUGAAACAAAAAACACAAAAAAACAGGAACUCACACUAGGCACUAGAUAAGUAAGUUAGUCCCAAAAAAUAAUAUAAAAUAUUGCCAAAAGUGUAUGAAAGUUGUAGAAUAUUGACAUGAAAUAAUAAAAAAUUAUAGAUACGGCCGAGACGUAUCACCAUACUUCGGUGAUUUCGACAAAGUUGUCAAUGACCCUAACUCUCAAGGAUCCCUUACCCUCUGACCCUUUUUGGGAAUUAAUGCCAAAGGGCGAGAAAUAUCAAAGCUUAUGCUUACCAAAGGGGAAAUUAGUACUUUCGGAUUCUUUUGUAGAAAGUUCUAAAUGCUCUUGGAGACAUAUUCAAGGGGGAGAAAAAUCAAGUAACACUACAUUAAGGGAGAGAGAGAGAGAGAUCAAAUCUAUCUAUCUUCAAAGGAGAGGGGCUAAAACAUAAAUAUCUACUUUUAGAUUGCCUAACUGUUAGACUUAUCUCACCCUACCUACUCCGAGUAUCUACAUGCUAAGAUUCAGGGGGAGAGAAGAAAGUAAUGUUAAUAUUCAGGGGAUGAAGUUCUAAAUGCUCUUGGAGACAUCAAUUUUAAUAAAUACUAUUUCUCUCUAUGUCUUCUAUACCUUUGGUACUUUUGGAUUCUUUUGCAUUUGGAUGAGAAGAAUAAUCUUGUGUUAUCCAACAAUUGUUUUCUCAAGUGUGUUCCUAUUGUUAAAAUGCUCCAGAACCUCAAGACAAGUAUACGCAUCAUAUCCUUGGCCAAGUUGAUCUCUUGAUUCUUUGCAUAUAUUGUUUGCAAGAGUGAGUCUUGAACAUGGAGACACUUUAUUCACAUAAAUUUGAUGCAUAUGGCUAAGGUACACAUGACUUAUCAUGUCCCUUCUUCUAUGUGUGUGUCCAUGCAUUCCAAAGCAAUUGUCCUUUAAAAAGGAUUCACACAUUUAGGGGAGCUUGUAUUAGUCAUGUAUCCUUCAAAGCUAUCACAUAUUUUUGCAUAUCUUAAAUUGAAGCUUUUAUUGUAUGUUGUCAUCAAUUACCAAAAAUGAGGAGAUUGAAAUCACAUAUGCUCCCUUGGUGGUUUUGAUAAUUCAUGACAACAUACAUUGUCUCUUGGACUAAUAGUUUUAUCUAGUUUAUUUUAGAUGAAGUCCAUAGAGAGAAUUGGCUGGAUUGUGAGGAGAGGCCCCAAGGAAAGAGAAGAAUAGGAUUGGCCGAGCUUCAAGCUUCAAGACUCUACAUUUUGCAUUUAUGUGAGAAAUCACAAUUGAGUCCAUAGGAAAGCCAAUAAUUUUAAAAGGGGAUGAGGUUUCUAUGAUGAUCUGGUUGCUCAAGUGCUUAGAGUUAGCCACCAAAAACCCUCAUGAAAUUCUGCCACAAAUAUUUUGUCCAAAGCCUAACACUCAAAUUCGAUGCCACCAAUAUUUCGAAAUCGGUCGUACCAAGUUUUACCGUUGACAGAAUCGAGAGCCAAUCCAACCAUCUUGGUGCCACCAAGUUUGAUUUCGGUGCAACCGAAAAACAUGAUGAACUCCCUGGUUGCCAUUUUUUGAAAAUCGGAAUUUUUGAUUUUUGCAAAUCGGUGCCACUGAGUUUGGGUAACUUCCUAGGUCAGCCAAAUCGGACUCACCGGGAUAUCUAUAUCGGUCUCACCAAAAUGCCAAAAGUUGCCACAUUUUGCACUAGUCGGUGUAACCGAGUUUUUUUGCUUCGGUUUCACCGAGUUGGGCAAUAAUGUUGUAAUGGUUGGAUUUCUGGAGCCUAUAUAUACCCCUCCACCUUCCACUCAUUCAGAGAGGAAGCACUCAGAACAAACCAACACUUGCGCUAUCUAUUUUCCGAGAGGGAACCACCUACUCAUGAUCAAGAUAUUCCACUCCAACACAUGUAUCUUGAUUUCUAGCCUCCCCAAGUUGCUUUUCACACAAUCAAUAUCUUCUACCCAAGCCAAAUUUUGUGAGAGAGUGAUUGGGUGUUGAGGAGACUAUCUUUGAAGCACAAGAGCAAGGAGUUCAUCAUACUUACCACAUCUAUUACCUUUUGGAGAGUGGUGUCUCCUAGAUUGGUUAGGUGUCGCUUGGGAGCCUCCGACUUCGUGUGGAGUUGAACCAAGAAGUUUGUAUGGGCAACGAGAUCGCAUACUUCAUGAAGAUCUACCCCGAGUGAGGCUAGUCCUUCGUGGACGUAAUCCAUGGUGAAAUAGACAAGGUUGCCUUUCCAUGGACCCUUCGUUGGUGGAGCCCUCCGUGGACUCUCGUGGCCGUUACCCUCCAUGGGUUGAAAUCUCCAUCAACAUGGACGUACGAUAGCACCACCUACCGGAACCACGCCAAAAUUCUUCAUGUCUACUUUGUGUUUGAUCUUCCUAUCACUACCCUCUAUUUACAUGUGCAUGUAUUUACUUUCCGAUGCUAUACUCGUAGACUUGCAUGUGUAGGGUGUGCUUGACUUAGUAUAAUUGUUAAAACUUGCCAACUAUUAAAAAUGGAAAAAAUCUAAGUUUUUAUUUUGUUAAGUAGUCUAAUCACCCCCCUCUAGACGUCCCUUUAGUGACCCCAUCCUCAUCUGUAGCCUUAUGUGGGGAAUGAAGUACUCGGUAACCUUCCGAAAUCACAAAGAAUCGUUAUGUAACCAAAAUACUAUAUGAUACUAUCUUCACAGUGCAAAGCAUCAUAACUUGCUAUCAUAGUAGUCUUAUUUAUUGUCAUGCAAGACACAUACUGAUGCAUCAUUUAAUAUGUCUAAUAUAAUAUUAUGGUACUUAACCCUCUUUUUCCUCAUUUAAUUGUGUGACACAUAUGCAAAAACGUUUAGUUAACAUGCAUGAUACUAACUAUGAUACUUUUAUUGUGACCAAGCUGAGAGCAUCUAGAACAAUUUACAUGUUAAUUGUUGGUACAAGUGUCCAUGUCAGCACCCAACAACUACACAUCAUACAAGAUCUUCAAUGGAUAGUCAUAGUAUGUUGAAUGAACUGCUCCGAUUUCUUUUGCUUCACAAAUUCUGGCCAAUCAUGUUUCAGUUUCUCAUAUUGUCCUUUGAAAUCCGGAGUCUUGUUCUGCUUGACAAAGUCAUGGGCUAGAUUUUGCUUGAAUUUCCGGAAUGCGUCGGCCAUCUUAUGAAGAGCGAACUGUUUGACUAGCCUCCUCCUCUCCUUGUUUUCCUCAAUCUUGUUACCCUCCUCAUCGAAUUUGUUGUAUUCCGGAGGUAGAACGAAAUGUUCCAUAAGCUUCUUGAAGCAAUCUUUUUUUGUUCUCUUAUCGACAAAAGUGAAACCAGCAUUUCGUGCCUUCUUUGGCUCAUUCCACUCCUGGACGGUGAUCGAGACGUUGUCUCUAACAACGGCUCCGCAUUGGCUGACAAACUUGGUGGCGUUCUUGCGGGGCUCCAGCGGCCUGCCGGUUGCACUGUCGACAAGCUCGAUGGUGCAUGUUUCUCCUUGUUUCAUCGUCUUGGUUGCGCCACGCUUUGACGACGUACUCGAUUGUUUCGACGAUCCGGCCGAGGGCUAAAAUAAGAAAGAGAGUCGCGCGCGUUAGUACACACAUAUUUAUUCAAAUCAGUUAGUUUGUAUCACCAGAGGCUCAAUGUAUAUAUAUACCUCGGCGCCGGAGGUGGUUGCUACUUCCAUUUGAAGAUCGUCGUUUAUCGACGUUUGUUCGGCAUCAUCUUGCUGACGGCGCCCUUCAUCUUCACCGUCAAGGUUCAGAUAAGAAGAGAUAUCAUCUUCUUGAUCUUGUCCGGUCGGCACAUAUAGAAUAUCGCCGUUUAUGAUGCCGAACAUAUGUGCUUCACCGUCCGGAUCAUAGUUGUCCAUAAUCGGGUCAGCUCUAUCGUCCGCCAUUAUGUCAGUCCUGAAAACAUGUAGUAAAAACAAAUUAAUUAAGUGAAGAAGGGGUGCGGUGGCGGUGGCGGUGGCGAAAGGGCGGUGGCAAAAGGAGGGGGCGAGGAAGGGGUGGGAGAGGGCGUCCGGAUCGUGAAGUUUGUAUGCUUGCAAUCUAUAGAGGUUGUGCUUUUGAUCUUUUGUUCGAGGGGUUGUUGUGGACUGUUCAAGGGACAUCAAGAACAACCUACACCAACUCUUCUUCCUCUGCAUCUUCAUAGUGAUCCAGGACCUUGAUCGUAGGGCUAUUUUUCUUUUGUUUUCUACUGUAUUUCAAAACAGUGACAUCAUGAGCAAUUCUAUGAGGCCAACCGCGACUAAAGCCCCUCACGUGCACCAGCUGGCCACCGAGCGCCCUGGCCCAGGCCUUUGGUCGCGGUUCGUCUGUCGAACCGCGACUAAAGAAAUCAUUAGUCGCGGUUCCUACAGUGUCGCGACUUAUGGGCUGGACGGAAGCCUCUUUUUCUACCAGUGUGCAUACAUGUAUCCCUAUGAAUGCACACAAGCACACUUUAUCCCUAUGAGCAUCUUCGAGAAAUUGGACCGGCAUAUCAUUUUGAAAUAUACGAAGUCACCGUAGGCACCGUAGGCAUAUCAUUUUGAAAUUGGGUCGUCUAAUUUGUGGCUCGGUUGUGUUGCUACUCUUGCCCCUCUUUUCCCUAGCAAGCUUUCUCAUGGUUUUAUGCUUUGGGGGAAAUCCCAAUUCCCUUCCUCUUGGGAAGAAAUUUUUAACUAAGCUUUCUCAUGGUUUUCUACAAAGUUAUUGACAAAGAUUAGUGUGGGGAUAGAGACGGCCGNNNNNNNNNNNNNNNNNNNNNNNNNNNNNNNNNNNNNNNNNNNNNNNNNNNNNNNNNNNNNNNNNNNNNNNNNNNNNNNNNNNNNNNNNNNNNNNNNNNNNNNNNNNNNNNNNNNNNNNNNNNNNNNNNNNNNNNNNNNNNNNNNNNNNNNGGGGGGGGCGCGGGAACGCAAAAACCCGCCAAAAACCCUUUAAACCCGCCAAAAACCCUUUAGUCGCGGUUGGGGAGGCGACCCGCGACUAAAGGUAACCUUUAGUCGCGGUUGGCUAAACCAACCGCGACUAAAGGGUUUUUUCGUUCCGGCGCGCAACGACCUUUAGUCGCGGUUGUUCUGGCCAACCGCGACUAAAGGUAUUUUUCAAAAUACUUUUCUUUUUCAAUAUCUUAAAAAUACAAAUAAUAUAUCAAAAAAUUCAUAAAAAUAAAACUAAUUCAAUUCAAUAUGUUAAAAACACAAAAAUUAUAUCAAAAAAUUAAGANNNNNNNNNNNNNNNNNNNNNNNNNNNNNNNNNNNNNNNNNNNNNNNNNNNNNNNNNNNNNNNNNNNNNNNNNNUUUAGUCCCGGUUGCACCAACCAGCUGGGACUAAAGGUUAGAUGACCAGCUCUGGAUUCCUCUUCUUCCCGCCAUUUCUUCCCUGUCUUCCCGCCUCUUUCUUCCCACCACUUUCUUCCCGCCUCCUGUCUUCCCGCUCCCAUUUUUCCCGCCAUUUCUCAUUACAUAUAUGUAGCCCGGCUUGGCCAGCAUUAUCACAUCUCUACAAUCUCUCAUCACUCUCUCAUGGCUUCCACCGCACCCACUCUAACCUACCAGCAGGUGGAGGAGCUUUGCGCCUCGAACUACCCUUGUCCACCGGGCUACCGCGUCCCCACCGGCUGGAGCCUAAGCGCCGGCGGCGUGCCGGUCCCUCCCGUCCCUGAGGGUACUGCGCGCCGGGCGGCCAUCACGAACCACUACUACCUCGACCUCACGCCGGAGCAGCGGAUGAAUCCCCGCUGGCAUCCCGAUAACCAGCAUACUUGGGACGCCUUCUUCAUCAAUCGGCGUGAAAGGGCGCUCGCCAGGUAUGAGGAGGACGGUCUGCCUCCUGGGAACUUCCACGAGGCCGGCCGUCGGCUAUGGUGGUACGGCCGGACUCUGCAGAGCGUCAUGGACUACAUCACGGCCGGCGAUAUCCCCCGCCUGCGCUACCCUCAGUUCGAGCCACGAGCGCCGCCCGACGACAGCGACGACAGCAGCGACGACGACGGCGGCAACUUAGAAGGCGACGACUACCAGUACAACGACGACAGCGGCUAUGAAGACUACGAGUAUGCAUAUUAUACGCCUAGGCAGGAGUAUGACUAAAUCACUCCAAAUUUCAUGUAUCAUCAGUGGUAUCUCGAAUCAUUCGAAAAUGGACACCAAACACAUCACGGUUAAUAUAAUUCACAUGAUCCAUUCAACAAAGUUUGGUACAAUAAAUUAUUACACAUCAUUUCUUCCCUUGUGUCCCUGCUUGCUUACGAUUGUGCCGUAUCCAUGGAGCAUCCUCAUCAUUUAACUUAAUGCUUGGGUCGGUGUUCACUUUGAAGGGCGGAAUUUCAGCAAACAUAUUAUAAUCUUCUGACAUGUCUGUCUUGUCCUCCACUCCCACGAUGUUUCUUUUCCCUGAAAGAACAAUGUGGCGCUUUGGAUCAUCGCAUGAUGUACUGAUCGUUUUCUUAUCUUUCCGUUUCCUCGGUUUGCUACUCAUGUCCUUCACAUAGAAAACCUGAGCGACAUCUUUCGCUAGGACGAAUGGUUCGUCAAGGUAACCAAGAUUGUUGAAAUCCACCAUUGUCAUUCCGUAUUGCUGGUCCACCUUUACCCCACCUCCUGUUAGCUUGAACCAUUUGCACCGGAACAAAGGGACCUUAAAGGAGGGUCCAUAGUCAAGUUCCCAUAUCUCCUCUAUGUAACCAUAAUAUGUGACCUCUUGCCCAUUCUCGGUCGCUGCAUCAAAGCGGACACCACUGUUUUGGUUGGUGCUCUUUUUAUCUUGGGCGAUCGUGUAAAAUGUAUUCCCAUUUAUCUCGUACCCUUGGAAAGUCGUUAUAGUCGAAGAUGGUGUCUUGGCCAACAUGUACAGCUGAUCUACAACAUCAUUGUCAUUCAUUAAAUGUUUUCUCAACCAACUGCCGAAAGUCUCCAUGUGGGCCUUCCUAAUCCAGGAUUCAGGCUUCCCCGGGUUGUCCGAGCGUAAAAUAUUCUUGUGUUUCUCAAAGUACGGAGCCACCAAGCUGGAAUUGGUCAGUACAGUGUGGUGUGCUUCAGUCAGAGAAUGGCCGUCCAUACAUAUCGUUGAUUUCCUUCCGAUCGUGCCUUUUCCACUUAGUCUCCCCUCGUGCCGCGAUCGAGGAAGACCAAUCGGCUUAAGGUCAGGAACAAAGUCAACACAAAACUCAAUUACCUCCUCAUUUCCAUAGCCCUUGGCGAUGCUUCCUUCUGGCCUAGCACGGUUACGAACAUAUUUCUUUAAUACUCCCAUGAACCUCUCGAAGGGGAACAUAUUGUGUAGAAAUACAGGACCGAGAACGAAAAUCUCUUCGACUAGGUGAACCAGGAGGUGCGUCAUAAUAUUGAAGAAGGAUGGCGGGAACACCANNNNNNNNNNNNNNNNNNNNNNNNNNNNNNNNNNNNNNNNNNNNNNNNNNNNNNNNNNNNNNNNNNNNNNNNNNNNNNNNNNNNNNNNNNNNNNNNNNNNCUAUAGAAGGAUCACUUUAGAUGCAUAAUGUGCAUCACAUCAUCUAAAGUACAGAGGAGUAAUGUGCAUCACAUCAUCUAAAGUACAGAGGAGUCAUGAAAUACACUACAAUGUAUUUCAUGUCUCUUUCUCCCCCUCGAAAUGUGGCUAGAACUUUUCUGCCACAAUUUCGAAACCCAUUAAUAGCUCUUGUGAAAUGAGGAAACUUCGAUUAUCUAGCUCAUUCAUCUUAUCACUUCAUGUAAAAUGAAGUUAUAAGUUAACUAGUAUGGGAGUACUUUUUCCUCAUUUUAUUUCAGAAACUCAACAGAGUUCUUUAUAAUUGUCACUUUUGCAAGUCACACUUGCAUAUCAUUCUUGUCUUUAGGUUCCUCUGUUACUUUUAUCCUUUCUGGAUUUAGUGAUUGCUUAAUGACUGUUACACAUAAGGUGUACGGUCGAUACUAGGAAGGCUUAAUAGCUACUCCAUACUUUUCUCCCAUAGUGGGACACAUUAAGUGCACAUGAGUCAUCAUAACUUUCUCCUGUCAUCCAGGAUAAGGCAUUUGUCAAAAUUUCUCCCGCCAUACACGGAUUGUUGACAUAAUACAAUGUCAACUUUACCCGGUUACGCAGGCAUUUUUCCCAGACUUUUCCCGCCAUGCGGGUAAUUCCCUGUAAGGGACAUAAAUGCCAUAGUUGGCUCUUUUGACUGCAUCAAAUUCAGAAAUAAAUCUGAAUUAUCUUUGACACACAUGUUUGAUCCGACGUUGGUCAAAUUAAACAUGCAUGUUGCUUGUUUCAUUUCAAUCAUGUUGACUGAAAAAAAGGAGACUUCAUCAUAGAGAGUACAUCAAAGACAUUCGUCAACCAAGACUCUCAAUGCUCUAUCUCUUUUCUUUUCUUGAAUUAAUAUCCAGGAGUUCUUUUCUUGUGAAGCCAUUCUUUAGAGAAAAUUUAUUCCCUCAAGUUAUGACCUUUCUUUUCCAUCUUUCGGGUCACUAGUAGCCAAAACAUUCGCUUUCAUGAGUGAAAGCUUGAAUAACUUUUAGUCUGAGAAAACUUAGUCAAUAAACAACGGUAAUGAGCAUAAAAAUAACCCUACGUUGGUCUGAUUAAAAUCAUGCACAUUAAACCUUUUAAAACUUUCUGGAAUAUUCUAAAUCACCGUGGUGGCAGAUUAGAAUAAAACAUCAUCCUUCUAAAUUAAUUCCAUAUCACCGUUGGGCAGAAAUGGAAAUAAUGCAUAUAACUCAUAAACAAUGUGAUGAUAGUAUUCUUAUUGAACAACUUUGCUAAGAAAUAAUCAUCAUCAUUAACCAUAUUGCAGCAGAAAUAGAAAUAUGCAUUUCUCUAUCUGUGCUCCAAAAAUUGAUCACUUUGAUACAAAAUUUAUCAGAGAUUUAAGCUUUAAACAUAAGAUGACUCACACAAUUAUAGUAUUGUUAUCAUCAACGUUGGUCAGAAAAUAACAAUAUCAUAUUUAACUUUAAAACAAACAUCAUUCUAUUGUCAUAGCGGACACUGUUUGAAUCUUAUUUCACCCACAAGGGAAAAACUUUGCUAAUAACAGUUCUUCCAAUUAAAUUUUCCCGUUGGUUCCAAUUUAAUUGGAGGACUAAACCUUUUUACUUUGCAGCGGAAAAAAGUGAAUAUAAAAAUUCAUGUACCUUUACAGAAAAAUAUUCUCUUAAAAUUAAAAAUUCAUGAACUUUAUAAUCCCUUUUACAAAAUCCAUGAACUUUUGUUUUUCUGAAAAUCUUUCUUUUAUUUUCAGAACCCUUUUAAUUUUCUUUUCAGAAAAAUCAUGUUACUAUUACAGAAAAAUAUUCUGUCAUAAUUAAAAAUCCAUGAACUUUAUAAUCCCUUUUAUAAAAUCCAUGAACUUUUCUUUUUCUGAAAAUCUUCUUUUAUUUUCAGAAUCUUUUAUUUUUCUUUUCAGAAAAAUCAUCAUUGCUUUUACAAAAAUUUCGAACAUCUAUUUUCUACUUUCUAAACAAUAUUUCCGUUGAAAAAAAUGCAUAGAAAAUCAUUUUAAGUCUGCCUAAAACUAGACAGAAAAGUAAAACGUUCCUUUAAUGAAAAAGAAAAUAACCGGCAUGGGCCGGCCUGGCUGUCGCCCACGUGUGGCCUCGGCAGUGGCCUAACUUGGGUCGAGGCUUUCCUGGCCCGACGGCUCCUGUGCCUGGUCAGGGCAGGGCUGAACCGCCACUCCCGCCACUUUGCCUCGGCCUCGCGCGGCGCCCCCUUGCGGCCCUUGGUGGCCUGGCUCCCUUCGGCCUGUGAGGCCCGCGCCGCUUAGGGUUUCGCCCUGGACCGUCGGAUUAGAUCCGACGGCCGGGCGCGUCUAUCACUGGGAUAAAAACUCUCUCCUCACCAGCGAAACCCUAACCUCUUUCAUUUCUCUCCCAACCCCGCCGCUCUCUUCUCUGUGGUUUUUCCACGAGCGCGUCGCGGUAGCAGGGCCUUGCACCGGCGGGUUCCUUCCCCGAUGAGGGGUUGCCUGUGGUGCCCCGACGCCGCGCCUCUCCCUCCCUUUGCGUUCCAUGGUGGCCAUGGCCUCCCUCGCGUCGGUGCAAUGCAUGCCCCGCCGAGGAGGUCCCUGAGCCCCGCGUCGCAGCUCACGCGCGGAGGCUUGUGCCCCACCGGAGGGUGUGGCGAUAGGCGCCGGUCGUAACGGCCUAAGGCCCCGCGUCGGCCUUGUCUUCCUCUCGGGCCUUUGAUCCUGUGGCACUGUGGCCACCUUCUUCGCCGGUGGUGCGUUUCCCUUCGUGGAAGCGCACCGCCGUCGAAUGGCGUGCUCGUGGUGCCGUUUCUUUUCAUUUUCUUUAACAGGGAAAACUGCGGCAUCAUUCCCGUACCUUUGCCGGCGCGCGCGAGCACCUUCGCGGUGAACGCGCCACCAUCAAGGGAGCGGUGUUGAUGCCCUUUGCCAGCUCGUUCUUGGCCAUUAUCCCCUCCCCUUUGUUUUCUUUUUGUUGCCUUUUUCAGAUUGGAUCCGAUUCACUUCUUUGUUUUCAUGCUGGAUCUAGAUCCAUACUUUGCCUCCACAGAGGUAGGGUCUUCUUCCCCACACCUCGGCAUGCUGAUGCGUGUGUGGAUUGAGAGGAACAGGCGCGGCCUUGCGGCGGUGCUUCUUUGUCGGAGAGAACUCCGGUGAAGCUUUCUUUUCUUUGAUCUUUGCCCUUCUCGGGUUCAUAUCGGGGAGGGGGAAUCUUUACUUGUACUUCUUCAUCCGAAAACACAUCAAAAAGCCUCGUGGCUAUGAUACCAUUAAUAGAUCCCGUGGAUCUUAGGCUAGAUGUGUUCGGUAUGAAAUAGUAGAUUUAUUACCUUAUGGUGAACUCGAUGAGCUCCCUCCAGAGACCGUCGUGAGGUGGUGACGACGGUGGGGAAGCAGAGAGAGAUCCGGUAGCGGCGGUGAUGGACUUCCCAUCGCUUCAGUGCUACCCUCAGGAUCAGAUUAGGGUUGAGAGUGGGGAACCAAUGGCGGCGGCGAACCUCGUGUCAUGUGCCAUGGUCCCCACCUCCUCUAUAUAGAACUGCGCGACAGGGGCCCACCACCCUUGUUUGGGCUGAACACCCCUGAGCAGGGCGUGGGUCAAGGUUCCAAUGGGCCGUUGGACCCAUUGAACGAGAGAUCAACCUAACAUCACCAACCCCGACACCGAUUACAACUCACAUCCCUUAUACCGGUUGUGCUAGCUUGAUCAUCACAGCAAGCAAUGGCCUCCACCAACAGUUGGAUCCAUGAGAUUGAGUCGUCGGUCUCUGCAUCACGCCUCUUCUGUGCCGGUGUCAUGGACUGGCACACCCUGUUCCCCAAGCUCGUGCCACAAAUCGUCAGCGCCCUCCCUGUUGAGGGAGAAGGUGGCAUCAGCAGUGUCAUGCAGUUCAACUUCACCUCAGGUAUGCAUCGUAUAUACAACUCAUAUCACCUGCAGUCUGAUACACAUGGUCAAAGCAUAACACAUAGUUGAUCUUGAGCCAUGCCCUUCAACCUCAUGAAGGAGAGGCUCGAUUUCAUUGACGUGGACAACUGCCAGUGCAAGUCCAUCCUCAUCGAGGGUGGUGGCAUAGGCACGGCGAUUGAGACGGCCACCUCACAGAUCAAGGUGGAGCCGACAGCCAAUGGUGGGAGCAUAGUGAACGUGGAAUCGACAUACAAGCUACUGCCAGGCGUGGAGGUGAACGAUGAGAUCUCCGAGGCCAAGGACUCUGUGACGGACAUUUUCAAGGCCGCCGAGGCCUACCUUAUCGCCAACCCGGAUGCCUACAACUGAAUCAGUUGAGAGAGAUCAUAUAUGAUUAUACAUUCCCUUGUUUGAUUUUUGCGUGCUUUCUUUCCGAUCUAAUAAAGCUUCUCCAACUUAUAAGUAGUGACAACAAGAGAUCAGACCAUGGUGUGGACUAGAGAAGUUUAAAAUGUUUGUAUUUGUAACAAUUAUCAAUGGGUGUUGUUGUUUGAUGAUGUUGGUGCUUGCUUGCGCACGUUCCUCAUGUUUUUGUGCUGGGAUAAAAAGAAUUAUUUCAAACAUGUAAAGAGCUCAUAUAUGUAUUUUGAAUUGGAUGUUUAUGUUCCGAGAAGUCUUAUUCCUGCUUUCUUUUUUAAAAGCAAGAUGGCCCCACGUAUGCAUCAUAACGAUGCAUGCAGUCAUAUAUUAUUGAUAAUGCAAAAUUCAGCAGCAACCGAACAACAUCAAUCCAUAAAUAAAGCAAAAAAUAAACCCUAAGGUUGUAUACCUCGCGAGAGUAACUCACCAUAUAGCCACUAAUCCUAUGUUACAAUAGACAUCAGAAACGGAAAAAAUACAUAACUCCUAGGCUAUGCCUUCAAGAAGGAAUCAUCACACAUGCGUCGAUGAUGGCCAGAUCACCACAAGGUUGAACUUCGGAUUCCCAUCCCCAAAGCCAAGCUUCCAUCCACCACCUUCAGCAAUGAAACGACGCACGCACACGUCACAUAGCCCGAUUAGAGACUGUGUGUUUCUGCGGAGUGCAUAAACUCAUCGUUGAAGCCGUACAUACCAUCGCCCUUAUCCGUCUACCGACACCUCGAUAGCAGGAGACCUCUAGAGAAGACAAUGUAAGACAAAGACGUCCCGUACAAUCUGCAUCCCGCUACUAUCGCACCACCUUCAAUCCAACAGCAACAGACUAAACAUGACACCCCCGCCAGAGCCACCGUGCAUCCCCUGCCAGUAGCAUGCAUGACUUGAUGUCUCCGAAUAAGACAUCAUAUGUAGCAUCCAACGGUGGCUUCAACUGUCGGUGACUGGCACUACCCGACAACUCCGAAAGAGGCAAAUGUGUCACCUGCCUAGCCACAUCAAACCCAAUUUCUUGAUGGAGGGGCCGUCCCAUACCGUAAGCAAGCCACAGAAAUGUUGUCAUCUCCUUGAUAUCCAGACUCCGAGUCUCCCACACGCCAUAGGAGUCCUGUUGGGGAUAUUACCUGUUAAUGACCCGCCCUAGUUGGGCCGGGUUACCAAUCAGGCGAUUCACCCAAACAAUUAUUUGGGCCUUGCCCUGGCCGGAUCAAGGUCGUAUGACAGUUUAUGAUUUCUGGAAGGUCUCCAAGGUUUGGAAGACGGCGACUUAGAGACCACAGGGGUCACGAUUUGUAGGAAGGAAAGCACCCUUGUAAACCCUAGGGGUUCGACCUGUAUAUAAAGGCGAGUCCCAAGGGAGGAGAGGACAGGUUAGAAAUCAUCGAGUGCUAGGUUCGGCGAGUUACGCCCUCCUUGUAAUCGAAACCACAUCAAUACAAACCAAAGAAGGGCGUAGGCCUUUACCUCCUCACGAGGGGCCGAACCUGGGUAAAUCGCCGUGUCUCUCCCGCCUAACCCCUUUGAGUCGCCACCAAGGUGCGAUGGCUCCAGUACUAAGUCCUUUCACGAGGACAUCUGCCGUGACAAAACCACGACAGUUGGCGCCCACCGUGGGGCCUACGCAUGGUGGAGUUGAGUUCUCAAAGGGAACCCUACCAGGGUUUGGGAGUUACGCGACGGGGCUCAUGACUCGGAGCCGCCGCGGGAUAACCUACAUCGACAACCAGCGAUGGGGACCUGAAGCGGAUUCGAUUGAAUCUGGUUACAGGGUCCCCUUCGGCAAGAUCAACAUCUUCAUCGGCAUGAUUGGAUCAUCCGCACCUGAGCUGGACAUCUCCACCGACAUCGUCGAGCCGGCCAGGUACGUCCACCCAGUAAUAACACCAAAUCUGACUCACCCGGUCUUUGUGGGGUUCACGCAGGGAUCGGAGGAGCCAGAGCGCUCGGCGACUCGGGAAACUACACCGGUCAACUCUGAUGACGAAUCAUCCAUGGGCGACUCAGAUUCAAUCCGGUCUCUGCAUGGGGAUUGUCUUGGGGGCUUGUCGCUGGCCAUGGACCCCGAAGUCCUUGACCGAACCCGCCGCCAGAUCACCAUCUACAUGGCAGGGGCGACUCAACCCACACAAAACCCUACUGGAGGCAAUGGAACCGGCGAGACGUCCAGGAGCCCGGCCGCAGUCCUGGUGGAUUUAGCAGCGGAGAUCACAAGGCUAAUGGCGACUCCCCUCACACCAGAAAACCAGGAGGAGAUAAACACGGAACUGACGAAACUCAGAGAGGCAAUGGAAAAGGCUCAUCAGGAUGCCGAGAUAGAGUCCGCCAGGAUCGAGACUCGGCAAGCUCAAAUUACGGCCGAAAGGAUGUGUUUAAGCUCUGACAACUGGCGGCUUGAAAGACAGCAGCGCGCAUCCGACGUCGUUCAUCAGCGGAGACACCAGGGUCGCCUGCCCCAUGAUCUCAACCCGACCCGCCUGUUCGACACUCCACGAACCCCUGGGGCGGGAGCUGCCCCGGGGGGAGGACCGGGCCGCCCGCCUAACCCGUCGGCUCAGCCAGUUGAGGAUCACAUUCCCCGAUUCUGGACGCCUCAAGGCCACUUUUCCAACCCGGUGGAUAACGUGCUUGCCGCAACUCGCCAUCUGGAGUCUCUUCCGAUUCACGGCAACACCCCUGCCGAGAUAGAAGCAAGGAGCGCCAUCGAGAUGUUGAAGACGGCGGUGGUUCAAAACGCCCAGUUCUCACAUAGCCUCGAGAGGUUGCAUUCCACUCCCCAAGGAAGUUACACCAGGAGUCGGCCAGAGGACUAGCCCGCCGUAAACAGCGGACCACGACACAUCCCACAGGACAACCCGCCUGAACCGAACCCGCCGGGCCGGGAUCUCCCAAACGUCCAAAACACCCUGGCCCCCCUCGUCGGGGGCGGAGGGCGAGUAGGAGUACCAUGCUUGGCCCUCGCCCUUCGUAACGAAAGGAUGCCCAAAGACUUUAAGGGGCCAAGAAAGGUGCCUAAUUACACCCCGGACCUUGAGCCGGCAUCGUGGAUCGAGAGUUAUGAAAUCGCCAUGGACAUGCUCGAUGUGAACGAGGCGGUUUGCGCCAGAUACUUCACGAUGAUGCUCGAGGGGUCAGCACGUACUUGGUUGAAAAACUUACCUCCCAACUCCAUCUAGACCUGGGCCGAGUUAAAAGAGCGUUUCAUCAAAAACUUCCGAGGAACUUGCAAAUGUCCGAUGACGAUCGUCGAUCUACAGCACUGCAUUCAACGCCCGGAUGAGUCGGCUCACCAUUGGUCACGGCAGGUUGCAGAACUUAUCCAUUCGUCAUAUGGCAUUACGGCGGCUGAGGCUGUGCUGAUCCUCGAGCAAAAUUGCCAUUACGAACCCUUUGUGCAAAAAUUGGGGCGACUCAAGCGAAAGGUCCAAGACAUGGGAGAGCUGAUGGACACCCUCACUAGGUACGCUGAGGCCGAUGACACCAAAGAUCCUGGUGAAGACGGUAAGGUUAAUUCGCCCAAGAAGGGCGAGUCAUCCAAGAAUCAUACCCGGUUCCAGGGACGUAACCGCCACAAUCAAGGGACCAACAGCAAGCGAAGACCGCAAGAAGAGCCCUCGGAUCUAGUCGCCAAUACCAACGCCAACAACGGCAAGAAGAAAAACAGGGGGUUUAGCGGGAAGAGGCCGCGUAACUACGAAGGGCUACUCAAAGGCCCUUGCCCGCACCACGCCACGGUAGACGGUCCGGCGACUCACUCUUGGGAAAACUGCUUCGUAAUGCGAGAGUUUCGGGCGGAGGAGAUCAAGAAGAGUCAAAACGAUGACCCGGACCAACGCCAGGAGCAAUUCGCCGCACCCAACCAAAGACAGAACCCUUUCGGCGGUUUUCCCGAACACGGGGCUCAGGGAGGCCCACAGCCAGGCGGCGGCCAAUACCCGGUGCACCACCAGUGGCGGUAUAACCCGCCAGGAGCCUUCCAGCAGCCGCCCCCACAGGGGGCUCCGCAGGGUCAGGACGAUAACGGGGGCUUCCGCAGCAACCCCAAACAGUUAAGUAAUGGGUAGUGUCAUGUUUUCACCACUAAUGCUUGCAGGCAUGAUAAGAAGGUGAGUCACCAGGCGUACUGUGUAUCUGGACCGGCGCUUCCCAAAUACCUCCAUUGGUCUGAGCAAACCAUAACGGGGAGCAGGGAGGAUCACCCGCCGAGAGUUGAUAACCCGUGCGAUCUGGCGUUGGUCGUGGCUCCCCAAGUUGGGGGUUACACCCUAUCAAAAGUGCUAAUGGAUGGUGGCAGCAGCAUCAAUAUCCUAUACUUUGACACUUUCCAAAGGAUGAACCUAUUGGAAAAAGACCUGAUGCCUUCAACCACGGUUUUCCACGGAGUCGUCCCACGCAAGUCGGCUUAUCCCAUAGGCUGGGUCAGGCUCACAGUGGCAUUUGGAAUUGCGCAGAAUUAUAGGUCGGAGUCACUCAUCUUUGAGGUGGUCAAAUUGAAAUGCCCCUACCAUGCGCUGUUUGGGCGGCCGGCUUACCCCCGCUUCAUGGCUCGCCCGUGCUAUGUCUACCUCAAGCUCAAAAUGCCUGGUCCUAAAGGACCCAUCACGGUUGAUGGAGAUAGAAGGAUCACAAAGGAAUGUGAAGAAGGGGACGCGGCUUAUGCGGAAGUCGCCUGUGCUGCGGAAGAGCUCAAACACCAUCGGGCCAAUGUUGACCCAGCGGACAUGUCACCCCUAAAGAAGCCGACCAUAGAUUCUGAGUCGCCCCUCAAGUUCAAGUCAACGGACGACACUAAGACAAUUGAUUUCGUGCCUGGCGAUUCAUCCAAGCAGAUCACCAUCGGGACGGGUCUGGACCCCAAAUAAGAAAGCGCGCUCAUCGAAUUCAUCCGUGAGAAUCGGGAUAUCUUCGCAUGGAAACCUUCUGACAUGCCUGGUGUGCCAAGAGAAUUUGCUGAGCACCAUCUUAAUGUUGACCCAAAGUGCAAACCCAUCCAGCAGUACCUUCGCAGAUUUAACGAGGAGCGACGCAAAGCGAUUGGGGAAGAAGUUGCCCGUCUUUUAGCCGCCGGGUUCAUCGUGGAAGUUUUUCACCCCAAAUGGCUGGCUAACCCGGUUUUUGUACUCAAGAAGAAUGGUACUUUUCAUAUGUGCAUUGACAAAACAGACCUCAACAGAGCUUGUCCAAAAGAUCCCUUCGCUCUUCCCCGCAUCGACCAGAUCAUUGACUCGGUGGCGGGAUGCGAACGAUUGUGUUUUUUGGACGCCUACUCAGGAUAUAACCAAAUCAAGAUGGCCGUGGAGGAUCAAGAGAAAACAGCCUUUAUAACCCCCUUCGGGGCUUUUUGUUAUGUGUCCAUGCCCUUUGGGCUCAAGAGUGCGGGGGCGACUUAUCAACGCUGCAUCCAGAAUUGCCUCCGCAACCAAAUCGGUCGCAACGUCCAUGCCUAUGUCGACGAUAUUGUGAUCAAAACCCGCCAGGGGGAGACGCUACUAGAGGAUCUCAAGGAAACGUUCGAUAAUCUACGGGUAUAUCAGAUGAAGUUAAAUCCCACCAAGUGUGUUUUUGGUGUGCCUGCAGGGAAAUUGCUGGGUUUCCUGGUAUAGGAGCGCGGCAUUGAAGCUAACCCGGACAAGAUCGAAGCAGUUACAUCCCUUGGAAAGCCGGCGAACAUUAAUCAAGUUCAACGACUGGCGGGUCGCAUUGCGGCCCUAAGUCGUUUUGUGAGUCGCCUGGGGGAGAAGGCGAUCCCUCUUUAUCAGUUAUUGAGGAAAUCUGAUUGGUUUGUUUGAACGAAUGAGGCAGACGAGGCACUCGAAGCCCUGAAACGCCAAUUGGUUAACCCGCCGGUCCUGGCCGCCCCGACUGAAAAGAGCCCAUGCUUUUGUAUAUCGUGGCAAAUUCCAAAGCAGUAAGUGUGGCAGUGGUCGUUGAGAGAAAGGAGGAAGGGAAGGAAUACCCAGUGCAAUGCCCGGUAUAUUUUAUCAGCGAGGUGCUAACUCUUUCCAAGCAGCGGUACCCACACUGGCAGAAGUUGGUAUAUGGGGUGUUUAUGGCGAGUUGAAAACUUAAGCAUUAUUUCCAAGAACACCCUAUCACAGUGGUUAGCUCUGCCCCCCUUGGGGACAUCAUCCAGAAUCGAGAGGCAAUAGGGCGGAUCGCCAAGUGGCCAAUAGAACUUGGCCCCCAUCACAUACAGUAUACCCCCGCACGGCCAUCAAGUCCCAGGCCUUAGUUGAUUUCGUCAACGACAGGACGGAGUUACAGGCUCCAGAAGACCGGCCUGAUCUCACUUACUGGACUAUUUAUUUUGAUGGAUCUAGGUAGCUGGAAGGCUCGGGGGCUGGUGUGGUGUUGGUAUCCCCUCAAGGAGAAAAAUUCUGUUACGUUCUCCGACUCAUGUUUCCGUGCACUAACAAUGCGGCGGAGUACGAAGCUUUGCUUCACGGCUUGCGACUCGCCAAGGAGAUGAAUCUAACACGAGUCAGAUGCUUUGGCGACUCUGAUUUGGUGGCACAGCAAGUUUCAGGUACCUGGGAUUCUCGGGACCCCAUAAUGGCGGCUUACAGACGAGCUGUGUCUGAUGUGGCGGGUCAUUUUCAUGGUUAUCAGGUGGACCAUAUUGAUCGGCGCCUCAACGAGGCAGCUGACGCCCUCUCACGACUUGGCUCCCAGAGAAAGCCGGUUCCUCCUAAUGUUUUUCUGGAUAUCUUGCAUAAACAAUCCGUGAUUCUGCCAUCAGAGGAGGAGUUGGCAAUACCAGAUCCUGAGUCCCAGCUCGUGGCGGCUCUCCAUGUCACUCCGGAUUGGGUUCUUCCUUAUCUGGCUUAUCUCUCUCGGGGCGAGUUACCAGCAGAUGAAGUUUUGGCUCGCCAAAUCGUUCGGUGCAGCAAAUCCAUGGUCACAAUCAAUGGCGAGUUAUAUAAGCGGAGCGCCUCUGGAGUUUUUCAGCGAUGUGUUUCCUCCGAAGAAGGAUGCAUAAUCUUAAAUGAAAUUCAUUCCGGAGAUUGUGGGCAUCAUGACGGAUCACGUUCUUUGGUAUCAAAGGCUUUCCGUCAUGGUUUCUUUUGGCUAACGGCUCAUGCAGAUGCAGAAGAUAUAGUUCGUCGGUGCGAAGGAUGCCAGCAUUAUGGGCGGCAGGCUCAUGUGUCGGCUCAAGAAUUAAGAAUGAUCCCCAUCACUUGGCCUUUGGCAGUUUGGGGGGUGGACAUGGUCGGCCCUUUUAAAAUGUCCUCUAACAAGAAGACCCAUCUGCUGGUGGCGGUUGAUAAGUUCAACAAGUGGGUUGAGGCGGAACCUAUUGGAGCUUGCGAUGCAGAAACAGCGGUCAAAUUCUUGAAAAAGUUGAUUUUCCGGUUUGGAUACCCGCACAGUAUCACUACUGAUAAUGGUACUAACUUGUCCCAAGGGGCGAUGCGGGAGUUUUGUCGUCGAGAACAUAUCCGGCUUGAUGUUUCUGCAGUCGCUCACCCGCAAUCUAACGGGCACGCAGAACGGGCGAAUCAGGAGGUUUUGCGAGGGAUUAAGCCCCGACUCAUGGUUCCCCUGGAAAAAACCCCAGGGUGUUGGGUUGAAGAAUUGCCUUCAGUAUUGUGGAGUAUCUGGACCACCCCGAACAGGUCCACGGGUUUCACCCCUUUCUUUCUGGUCUACGGAGCAGAGGUUGUCCUUCCUACUAAUAUAAGGCAUGAUUCACCUAGAGUCGCCACAUAUGUAGAACAAGACAAUGAGCUGGCGCGUCAAGAUUCUUUGGACGCCUUAGAGGAGGCACGUGACCUGGCUGCGGCCCGUUCAGCUAUCUAUCAACAUGAUCUACGGCGUUAUCACAACCGCCGGGUUAAAAGUCGGACCUUUCAGGAAGGCGACUUGGUUCUUCGGUUGAUACAAAGAUCGUGCAGGCAUGCAUAAGUUGUCACCACCUUGGGAAGGACCAUUCGUCGUCAGUAAAAAUCUCCGCAGUGGCUCUUAUUAUUUGGUGGAUCUCCGGCCUAACCGGCCAACCACGCAGGCUGAGUCAAUUCGCCCCUGGAAUAUUGCCCACCUGCGGCCUUAUUACACUUGAGCUCUUAAGCUCUACAUUUUGUAAGUUUUUCAGUUUCAUUAUAAAGCAAUAAAGUUGAAUAUACUGCCUGACUUGGGGGCUUCUUCAUUAAAAGAACAAUUUUUUGUCAUCCUGUUGUGACCUUAUGAACCGACAGAAUCAGCAUUUUAGGGUGGCGCUCGAGCUUUCUGACUUGCCCCAUCCUGUCGCGACCUUAUGAGCCGACGAAAUCAUCAGCAUUAUAGGGUGUGUGCUCGAGCUUUCUGACUCGCCUCAUCCUGUCGCGACCUUAUGAGCCGACGAAACCUGCAUUUUAGGGUGUGUGUUCGAGUUUUCUGACUCGCCUCAUCCUGUCGCGACCUUAUGAGCCGACGAAACCUGCAUUUUAGGGUGUGUGUUCGAGUUUUCUGACUCGCCUCAUCCUGUCGCGACCUUAUGAGCCGACGAAACCUGCAUUAUAGGGUGUAUGCUCGAGCUUUCUGACUCACCUCAUCCUGUCGCGACCUUAUGAGCCGACGAAACCUGCAUUUUAGGGUGUGUGUUUGAGUUUUCUGACUCGCCUCAUCCUGUCGCGACCUUAUGGGCCGACGAAACCUGCAUUAUAGGGUGUGUGCUCGAGCUUUCUGACUCGCCUCAUCCUGUCACGACCUUUACCGACGAAACCUGCAUUAUAGGGGGUGUGCUCGAGCUUUCUGACUCGCCUCAUCCUGUCGCGACCUUAUGAGCCGACGAAACCUGCAUUAUAGGGUGUGUGCUCGAGCUUUCUGACUCGCCUCAUCCUGUCGCGACCUUAUGAGCCGAUGAAACCUGCAUUCUAGGGUGUGUGCUCGAGCUUUCUGACUCGCCCCAUCCUGUCGCGACCUUAUGAGCCGACGAAACCAUAAUUUUGGGUGUGUGCUCAAGCUUUCUGACUCGCCCCAUCCUGUCGCGACCUUAUGAGCCGACGAAAUUGCUGUUUUUAUUUUUGGCAUAGCCUUGAGGGUUUUAAACCUUUCUUUCUGAUUCCUCUUGAAAAUAUUUGUUAUCAUUUAUUUGGUUUCACAUAUGUUGUUUUCAAAGCUUAAGUCAGGAUGAUGAUCAGAAUUACUUCGUCCAUGGCGGAUUAAGCAUCAUAAAGGAUUCUCAAAUGGCAGGUCAAAUAUUUCAAAUCGCCUUAAGGGUGAUAUAGAGAUUCUUUCGAAGAGUAUCACAAAAACAGUAUCGACUUAUCAAAAAGACCUAUUACAUGGCUCUCAGGCCAAAUCGAUGAGGUUUAUUCUGUUGGCGCCUUAGGAUCAUUUUGCUGCGAGCUUUGGCCGACCUCAAUUUGCAAGUCGCCCAGUAGCCAGUUGCACUUAGCCAGAGCUGCGAAGUCAUCUUCAUCAGUCAGGAUUGAUGCUAGGUCUGCUUCCAAGUCAAAAGGGUUCUUGGGUCGCCGAGGAGUUAAGCUGGUCGUCACGAAGGUUGGCGGAUUGACCUUCGUGUUUUUGCUGUCAUAAGCCGCUUGAUACUUUGAUAAAUCAAGACUUGCUGCGAGUUGGGUUCCUGCCAGUCGGGAGUCCUUGGCAACACGUUGAUAGUCCUCUUCAAAGAAUUCUGACCCGUCGUCUUUGAGUUGAGGAAAGCCUGCCGCUACCUCUUCCGGGUUGAUCUCUGGAGCAUACGCCAAGCAGCGACUCAAGGCAGUCAGAACACCCUUUCGGGCGGCUGACCAAGUUAGCUCGCCAAUCUGAGGGGGAAGUGUGGAUAGGCAGCCAAGCACCUUCUUUAUGGAAGUUAUAGCACUACUAGGAAAAGGCUUGCUAAUGGCGCACCAUUUUUUGCUAGUAAUGGCGCACUAUAGGUGCGCCACUAGCAUCACGCCAUUAGAUUUUUUUACUAAUGGCGCACUACAAGUGCGCCAUUAGUAUCUGGUAUACUAAUGGCGCACCAGGUAGUGCGCCAUUAGUAUUGCUCACGCUGCGCCAUUAGUAUGCCUCCCAGGUGCGCCAUUAGUAUGCCUCUCAGGUGCGCCAUUAGUAUGCCUCCCAGGUGCGUCAUUAGUAUGCCUCCGAGGUGCGCCAUUAGUAUGCCUCCGAGGUGCGCCAUUAGUAUGCCUCCCAGGUGCGCCAUUAGUAUGCCUCCCAGGUGCGCCAUUAGUAUGCCUCCCACGUGUGCCAUUAGUAUAGCCCAUGGUGCUCCAUUAGUAUCUGGUAUUCUAGCAUAUAUAUGUUUUUAUUCAAAACAACAAAUUCAACAGCACAUAACAUAUAUAUAUAAUACAUAAUAUGUGCCCAAUAGUUUUACUGAUCCACAACACAUAACAUAUAUGCAAAGUUGCAUACCAAAUUUCAUGAUCCAUAUAUCAAAAUUCCAUAGCAUCCAUACAUCCAAAAUUCCAUAGCAUCCAUAUAUACAUAUAGUUCCAUAGCAUCCAUACAUAGCUCCAUAGCAAAUAUAAUACACAGCGAUACUUUGCGGGCAUUAGUAAGUAAUAUUUGGCACUAGCAAGAGCCUUGACCGCAGGCUUCAGGUUGGUUUGGUAGGUGGUACCAAGGAUCUCAACUGGGGAGGAUCCUUUUGCAUUUACCUCGUACUGAAAAUCAAUAUUGGGUUUCAACCUGCAAAAUGGCACAACAGUGUUUGACAGUAAGGCAACAAGCUCUACAUAUAUAUUGACGAAACAGGAUUCAAAGAAUAAACAACAGAACCACAAUAAAAUGAGUCUGCCACUAAGCACGACAAUACUUAAGAAUACUGCAUUACAUAAAAUCUUUCCCGGCGAUGUUUGGCAGUUGCUACCUAGAGAUUUACACAAGGGAAAUUCACCAUAGAGAACUCUCAUGGUCAUGCCUUUGGUAAGGAACUAAGGACCACAUCAGUGCAGAUCCAAUGCCAUUUAUGUAGUAGCAAUGAACAGCAUGGACCAGUGGUUAACGGUCAGCCUUCAAAAUAUAGGAAACAGAAACUAACAACAAAAGAUUAUAUACCUUUACAGAAACUAACAACAAAAUAUAGGAAACAGAAACUAACAACAACAUGGACCAGUGGCAUAUGUGUUUGGAGGCAGCAAUAUAUUUACAAGUUUAGAACAGUAUAUACCUUUACUGAUUUGAAGAGUUAAAACGAAUAUUAUUAUCAAUGUAAAUAAUUACACCUGAUACGCUAAUCUGCACAGCACAGUCCAAAUUCCAUCUAUAAGAAAUACUAUCUUAAAAGAACAGAGCAGCAAAUAUGCAACUUAAACUAAAUCUUCUCUGACUCUAAGUUGGGCUUAACAAUGUAAUACAGAAAGAAUGUACUCCCUCCAUUCCUAAAUAUAAGUCUUUUAAAAGUUUCUACUAAAAAACUACAUACGGAUGUAUAUAGACAUACAUUAGAGUGUAGAUUCAAUCAUUUUGCUCCGUAUGUAGUCCCCUAGUGGAAUAUCUAAAAAGACUUAUAUUUAGGAACGGAGGGAGUAGCUGCUGAACAACUUACACAGUUAACCAUUUCUAAGAAACCAAGUAAAUUCUCAAGAAAAAGUUGCUUGUGGUGCUGCCAUCUUCUAAAAUGCAUGGCAUGGGCCACUCAUUUAAAGAGGCAUUUGACGCCAUAGAGACAGUUACAUGUAAUAGAUUUAACAUGUAAAUCGAUGCAGGGGCGGACCCACGUUAUGACCAGUGGGAGCCCAGGACCCCACUCAACUUCCUAUAGUCCCACUAUAAACAUCGAUGCCAGCCAGCAGGCCCCCGGUCAGGCUAAAGCGGGUGCCCCCACUCCAUCAUCCCGUCUGUAAAAGCCCAUGAAAAAGAAGCAAACCAAAGUGAGAAAAAUAAUAAAGGAAUGUAAAAUAAGGGGAUGUAUGUGCGGCAACACACAGCGGUGAACGCGAGGAGAAGCUGGCUGCUACUUGCCACUUCGACUCUUGGGAGAUCAAUUAAUAGGCUGAAAAUCAAGUACACAAAGAAACGAAUCGUCAACUCCUAAAGUGCCCAUCCCCAAGCUUAUUCAUCUCAUCCCAACUCCUAAAGUCAAUCCGGCAUGACAUUCAAUUCGUAGGUUAAAUUGUACCGUUCGGGAAUCAUUUCAAAGAAAUUUAAUCUGGCAAUCCAUUUUAUUACUAGUAUUUGCGUGUUGUCCUGCUAGUCUGCCACUACUAGCACGCUUUCUAUCUAUUUUUACAAUCAAUACUUUAAUUAUUUGACAGGGAACAAGCAAGAAGUUGCUGGAAUUAGCUAAGAUUUAUCUUGAUGAUCUCAAUCACAGAGAUAUGGUAGUCUUGACUUGAGCAUGAACUUGAUCUCUUCAUAUAUAAUAUACUUCAUGAUACAAGGUUUUCAAGAUUGGACAAAAUAUGUGAUUGGGCUAACCAGAUGGUGGAUACCUGGACUCUGAGUCAGGCACCAGAUGAACACAUCAGUGGCCUCCUUGGCAAGCUCUGCAUUAUCUGAACAUAAUUCACGAGAUCAACCAGGUCCCUGCAUAAGGUAGAUAAAGUCUUCGUAAGACACCCAACGUUCUGAAAAGAUUAAGAUACAACUGUUCAUGCAUUUCAUGAGAUAAAAGAAGCUUUCUAACCUGGUUAGCAGAGUGAUGAUAUUAAUGCUUCUUGCUCAUUUAGAAAUCUCUCCAAGGACGGAAUUAACUAUGCUGAUGAGUUCCUCCGGUCCGUCCUUAUCAGGUGUUAUACGGGAGCACCAAAGAUCUGUUACCCACUCUGUGACAAGAUGCCUUGUGAACUGUUCAAAUGCUGCUUCAACUCGAGGCGAAUUCACCUUACUCCUCCAACCAGUACUUCCACUCUUCUUGUCAGGGGAGGGUUUUCUUAGUUCAAUACUUUUUUGUUUUGGCAAGUGGGCGACUGGUACCAUGGUCUGUGGCAGUUGUGCUCUUUCUACGGAAGUCAUAGUCAAGUGAUAGGUAGCGAAACGGAACUAUCAAAGAUAUGGCGAAUGGGAAGUUGAUCCAAACUGAAGAGCUUGUCACUGCAAUGGAGAAAGUCAGGCAUUCAGCACAGCCAUGAGGGAGCAAUAAUAUUUAAACAGAGUUAAAAAAAAUUAUGUGACGGCAAUAUAAAUCUGCCUUGAUAUGUACAGCCUUUCGUUUUUGGCAACUUUUAGAAAGACUUGAUAAAAUUGCUAGUCAUAUUUCAAUUUAACAUGGAACCUACAUGUCUAGCUCGUAUGUUCCUAGUCUUUAGACUACACCGUGUAUUCCAUGGUAUAAUCCGGCUACAACUAUCGGCAAACAUACUCCACCUUAUACAAUUUCAUCACAAACUUGAAUAAUCCUGAGGUAGCAGUAAAAAUUACGAUGCCCCGAUGAAUUCACCAAUCAUCUAGAAUGGAAAAGCAAACAACCUACUCGGAGCUAAGUCCAGUCUACAAAUUCCCAAUGCAACAUAUAAAACUCACUACAGGUUCCAGGCAUCUUGAAAUAGCAGUAAAAUUUCCGACGACAGCCCAGAGAACUCACACCAAUCAUCUAGAAUGGAAGCAAUCAAGCUAAGUCGAGUCUACCAAUUCCCAAUGCAACAAAUCACAGCACCAAUUGAACAAACCAAUACUGCUACUCCGCGGAUGCGCCUGAAAUGAUGCCUCCCCAAAUCAGCGCUGGCGCAUCACGGGCAACAACGACCGACCGACCGACCGAAAUCAAGGGCGCGCGCCCCGACGUGAGGCCGAGACCGCCGGUGGGGGCGUAAGUAGCCUAGGGUUUGGGGGGGGGGGGAGGGGGCUCACGGGACAUGAGGAAGGCGAGCCCGAAGGCGAAGACGAGGAGCAGCACGGCCCGCUUCUUCCCCUCCUCCGCCAGGUCGCGCACCGUGUGUNGCUCUGUUCAGGGCGCCGCUGAGAUCUGGGGAGGCUGCGGGAGGGAGAGGGCAGGGGAUAGCGCACGGUCGAUUUGGAAAAAAAUCAUUGGCGCGCGGUCGAUUUGGGGAAAGCCCGCGUGAUAUUUCGGCUAUGUCCCGCGUUUUUUUUUUGCAAAACUACUAAUGGCGCACCACCUACAAAUGCGCCAUUAGUAACCCUAGUUACUAAUGGCGCAUCACAUGGUGGUGCGCCAUUAGUAGUUUUGCAAAAAAAAUAGUAGUGGCGCACUGGGUUCCCCGCCGCGCCCUCCAGGAUGGUGGCCCCGGGCGGCAGCAUCCGCCGCAGCAUCUCCUCCCAGGUCACCGUCUCCGCCUUGCUGGCCAUCUCCCCCUCCCCUUCCUCCGGCGCAAAGGCGCAAUCCGCCGAACACCCGCCGGGCAAGGGCGCAAUCCAGCAAGACUCGGAAAAGCUCUAACCUUUGGUGGGGAAUUCCUUGGCUUUGCAGUCGUGGUCGCCGCCGCCUAUCCGUCCUGGCUUGCACGGACGACGGUCAAGGCCCUGCGCUCCCCGCCCCGCCAACCACCACCACACAUCGCCAAGCGAGACCCUCGCCGGUCAACCGGAGACGCGGGGGAGGGAGGGGAGGAAAGAGCGAGAGAAAUCCGGGGCGUGGACGAGCGGGAUCUCUUCGGGGCGUGGACGAGCGGGAUCUCUCCGGGGCAUGGACGAGCGAGGCGGUAUCUCAGUUGGAUUUGGGAGAGGAGAGGCAAGGGCAGAUGCAGAGAGCAGUGCGGGUUAGCAAUGGCGCACCCCCGAGCGGUGCGACAUUAGAAUUUUUUUUGAUAGCAAUGGCGCAUCCCCAUGCAGUGCGCCAUUAGUAAUCUUUUUUUAUAUAACAAUGGCGCAUCCCAGAGAGGUACGCCAUUAGUAAUCUUUUUUUUAGAUAGCAAUGGCGCACCCCAGAGAGGUGCGUCAUUAGUAAUAUAUAUAUUUUNAUGCCCGAGCUAAGUCGGAGGAGAAGUAUCAAUUGGUCUUGGCUGAACUGGAAAAACUCAAAGCUGAUUUGAAAAGAACUCAAGCUGACCAAGAUGCUGCCAUAAAAAGAGCAGAGAAGGCCGAAGCGAGGCUGGCUACUAUGCAACAAGAAUUGUCCGGCUUAAAGCGUCAUAUCUCAAACAUGACGCAAGCCGCCUUUGGUAAACUUACUCAAACUUUUGGUCUUUUAUCCCCCCUUUUUUCUUUUUAACUAACUCUUAUCGUAAGUCGCUUAUUAUCAUGACCCCUUACUCAGGUCCGAGAGCCGCCAACCUUCAGGAAGAUUGUGUGCUGAUGCUAAAGGCGAUUUACGCACUGACAGAGCAACUGUACACCGGCAGUGUAUUAACUGUUAAAGCUGUGAUGGGUGUCAAAGGGCCUACACUACUAGGAAAAGGGCUAUAGAUGAUAUAGAUAUUAAUGGUGCACUCCACAAGGAGGGCGGCACUACUAAAUAGUAAUGGCGCACCAUGUUAGGCGUGACAUUAGUGUGGUGCGCCAUUAGUAUCCACCACACUAAUGGCACACCUCACAUGGUGCGCCAUUACUAUAUAGUAGUGGCGCACUGCUUGUGUAGUGCACCAUUAAUAUCUAUAUCAUCUAUAGCCCUUUUCCUAGUAGUGUAGGCCCUUUGACACCCAUCACAGCUUUAACAGUUAAUACACUGCCGGUGUACAGUUGCUCUGUCAGUGCGUAAAUCGCCUUUAGCAUCAGCACACAAUCUUCCUGAAGGUUGGCGGCUCUCGGACCUGAGUAAGGGGUCAUGAUAAUAAGCGACUUACGAUAAGAGUUAGUUAAAAAGAAAAAAGGGGGGAUAAAAGACCAAAAGUUUGAGUAAGUUUACCAAAGGCGGCUUGCGUCAUGUUUGAGAUAUGACGCUUUAAGCCGGACAAUUCUUGUUGCAUAGUAGCCAGCCUCGCUUCGGCCUUCUCUGCUCUUUUUAUGGCAGCAUCUUGGUCAGCUUGAGUUCUUUUCAAAUCAGCUUUGAGUUUUUCCAGUUCAGCCAAGACCAAUUGAUACUUCUCCUCCGACUUAGCUCGGGCAUCUUGCUGACCAGAUAAGUUCUUUUUUAAAUCGCCAAGCGCCGAUUCAGUCUGAGCAAGAGUUUCCUGUUGAAAGUACAAAAAAGGGGCAAGUCUCAGAACUAUUGCAAGCAAUAUCCCUGACACUUAGGGGCUAAUGUAUAAUUUUUUAUUUUCAGAUGAAAUUAUACAAUAUCAAGACCCGGCUCAUCUUUUUACUGAUGACCCGGCCCUUGGGGGUUACUGGUCGCAAAGUUUUUUCUAAAUUUAUCAAGACCCGGCUCAUCUUUUUACUGAUGACCCGGCCCUUGGGGGUUAGUGGUCGCAAAGUUUUUUCUAAAUUUAUCAAGACCCGGCUCAACUUUUUACUGAUGACCCGGCCCUUGGGGGUUACUGGUCGCAAAGUUUUUCUAAAUUUAUCAAGACCCGGCUCAUCUUUUUACUGAUGACCCGGCCCUUGGGGGUUAAUGGGAGUAAUAUAAUAUAACAAAACUUACCUCAUGUUUGUUUUUAAAUAUCCGCAGCAGGCUUUUCUCCAUCUCAUAGCUCGCCUCCAGGCGACUUGCAAAACCAAAGCAGAGUUCCUUGAACUCCAGAUUUUCAUACUCAGAAAGCUUAGCCUUGGAGAGUCCAGAUUCAGGAAUGGCUUGAGAGGAGGAUGCCACAUGCCUUGACAAAACCGUUGCCGCCGGCUUAGUGAAGCCGGUACCAGUAAUAACUACAGCAUCCGGGUCUUCUGUUGUCAUCAAUGGACUUGGCGGCUUAGGGGCAUCCAUUGUUUCCUUGGGCGAGCCAGGAAGAUCCAUUUGAUUUUCAGGCUCGCCUUGGUCCGGGUUGUCCUGGAUCAGCACUGAUUCUUUGAUGGGUUCUGAAGUUGUGACAGGAGUUGAUCCGCUGGUUUUCCUUUUCUUGGCAUGUGCCCUAAAAAAAAGGGAGAAGCGCAUUAAGGAACUGAAAGUUUAUUACCCUCAGGAUUCAAAGUAAGAUUAUCAAAAGACUUCCCCAGGAACUCGAAUCAUUGGUGGAAGUGUCGACAUCACUGAGUCGCCAGAUGUAGGAGGAGAGUUCUGCAAGAAUUAUACGUCAACAGUAUAGGCGGGUUACAGACGUGAUCCAAAGGAACAUGAAGAAUUGUUAUUCAUAAAUACCUCAUUUGGUUUCCUCUUGUUCGUUGCUCGUAAGCCGGACACCAGAUCACCGGAAUGACUUUGGGUCUUCCGAUUUGAAGUAUGUUGUGCUUUCUUCAGUAGGAAAUUUGGGUCCAAAUAAGCAUUUGGGUGUGAGAAGGGAACUUUCCCGCAAAUUCGCCUAGCCGGCUUAGGUGGAGAAGGAGAUGAAUCGGAGGAAACAGAAAUUACCUCAACAGAGUCCUCCUGGCUUUCAUUGUCUUCAUUCUAUUCCAAGAGAGGCAGAGGUGUAAAUACAAAGAUUAACAGUAGUAGAUGGCGAGUGAAAAGAAGAUGGAAUUUGACCUCCGAAAGUGCAUCGCCGACUUGAGAUUCAUUGACUUCGGAUGGCUGAGCCGCAGCAGCUUUGCCCUUGCCCUUGGUUUUCUUUGAGGGCGGCUUAACAUUUUUCAUGGCUGGCCUUUUGGGUUUCUUGGACCAAAAUUUAUCGCCUUUCUGAAAUAGCAUAUGUUACAAAAACCACAAUGCAAAUGAAGCAUAAGGAGUAAAGACCAAAGGCAGUUUAGAUUUGUUCACCUUGGGCGUCGGGUUAAUUUUGCAGAAAGGCUUGAGGACGAUUUGGCCGCAUUUUCCCGCAGGCUCGCCAGUCAGCUUCUUGAUAAUGGUGACGACGUCAUUUUCUGUUAAAACCGUAUGGAAAUAACAUUGAGGAUGAUCUAGGGUGCCAUCAAAUUCGCACAUCAGACCGUCCCGGCGACUCAGAGGGAGAAUACGCCAUUCGACCCAGUAGCGGAUUAGGUCAACCCCAGUAAGGCUGUUGUUUGUUAAGGAUCUUAACUUGGAAAGUACUGGGAUGAAUUCUGAUUCCUCCUCCUCGGUAAGCUUGUCUGGAAGCUUGAAGUUCGUUGGAAGGCGAUUUUUCCUGUAGCCCAGAAGCUUGUUUUUGCCUGCAGGGGAAGUCUCUUGACAGUAGAACCAAGACUCGCACCAACUUUUGGGAUGGUUGGGCAUGGCGAGUGAGGGAAAUGGGCUAUCCCUGCGGCGCUGGACAUUGACACCGCCGAGUUCCAGGCUGGGGCCAUUGUGAAAUUCCGUUUGGUGAUUCAGAUGGAAAAAGUGCCAGAAUAAGGGGACGGAGGGCUCAAUCCGCAGAUAAGCCUCACAGAACACUUGGAAUUGCCAUAAGUUACUUAUAGAAUUAGGUCCCAAAUCCUAGAGGCAGACGUUCAUGAAAGCCAUGGCGUCUCUAAGAAACUUCGAUCCGGGCGGCUUAAAACCUCGCUCCAGGUGUUCAACAAAAACGACUAUUUCCCCUUCUUUGGGGUUGGGGAGAUCUUCUCCGAACCCGGUACGCCAGCCGAUAACAUUCUGAGGGUCCAAGUUGCCCGUUUUCACAUGGUCUGCUAGUAUGGUGUCAUCGACCUUGGUAGGAAGCCAGUCACUUUUGAAGACGGCGCCCAUGCUACAAAGAAGUAAAGUAUGAAUUUAUACGCCUUGAACAUCUACUGUAAGGGGUGAAAUAAGUUCAUCUAACGCGCCAAGUAAUUUGUUCACGGACUGAGAGGGAAACUUGACCCGCCAUAUCAAGAGCCGAGUUGGGUUGUUAUGGCGACUUACGAAGUCCGGCUAUACUCGGGAGCUACGUUCUAAGGAUGAUGGAGACGUUUGUUCAAAACGUCAAAGUGUGAAGACUACAAACAGCUUUUUGCAAAACAGUAGGUAAAUUAUGGAUCUACUGGAUAGAUGGAAAAACAUGAGAAAAAUGGCUGGACGCAACAAAUUUAUUACCAGGACAAGGUGACGCCCUUCGCUUGAUGAAACGUUAUACUAGGUUCGCAAGUAAGAGCGGAUAAAUGAAGAUAUUCGAAGCAUUGGUUAUCUCGUCGGCAUUUAUGCUAAUCAGUUCAGGAAAGGCAACACAUGCUCGCGAAGAACAUCCAGAACAUGGCAGUGCUGGAGCUUCAAACGAAGAUUGGAUCUAUUCUUAAAUGGGCGGUGGCCUAACCUGAUGCUCUCGGUCAAAGAAGGCCGACGGCGACGAAGGUCGUUGGAGAAGCACGGAGGUCUCGUCGAGCAAAGAGAUCUUCGACGGCGGUGGAGUUCGUGGCGAACGGCGAGAUGGUCGACGAUGAUGCGGUGGUCAAUGGCGGCGGACGGAUCGGCCGCAGUGCGAAGCUUGACGACGGCGAAGGCCUAUGGGCGGCGCCGAAGCUUCUCGAGCAAAGACGGAAAGUACGGUCGGCGGCGGAGCCCUCGGGAGGCGAUGAGAUUUCCUCGCUGUGAUAAUGGGGAGGAGGUUGACGAGACUUGUAGGUGGGAAGCACCAGUCCUGUCCCCCCCCCCCGUCUAUUUAUCAGGGAGGGCGCUGGAAUCGAGGCGCCGUGAGCGGGAACCUCCGGGGAAUAAAAAGAUUCGCUAUAAAGGUGUUCCGAAGAUUUUGGGAUAACGAUGCACUAAGAUCCGUUGGGAUUAUGUCAGUCUUCUCGAAAAUCGAGGGAUAAGAAGAGGCCAACAAGAAAUGGUUUGGCGACUUAAAGAGUUUUCGGUGCCACAUGGCGGGUUACAAUUUCUGACGUAUGAAGAAAAAUGAGGAAUGAAUCGCCUUCAACUAAGCGGAAGUAUUGGCGUGAAAAAGAAGUUCAAGUCAAUCUGGGGCCUAAUGUUGGGGAUAUUACGUGUUAAUGACCCGCCCUAGUUGGGCCGUGUUACCAAUCAGGCAAUUCACCCAAACAAUUAUUUGGGCCUUGCCCUGGUCGGAUCAAGGUCGUAUGACGGUUUAUGAUUUCUGGAAGGUCUCCAAGCUUUGGAAGACGGCGACUUAGAGACCACAGGGGUCACGAUUUGUAGGAAGGAAUGCACCCUUGUAAACCCUAGGGGUUCGACUUGUAUAUAAAGGCGAGUCCCAGGGGAGGAGAGGGCAAGUUAGAAAUCAUCGAGUGCUAGGUUCGGCGAGUUACGCCCUCCUUGUAAUCGAAACCACAUCAAUACAAACCAAAGCAGGACGUAGCCCUUUACCUCCUCACGAGGGGCCGAACCUUGGUAAAUUGCCGUGUCUCUCCCGCCUAACCCCUUUGAGUUGCCACAAAGGUGCGAUGGCUCCAGUACUAAGUCCUUUCACGAGGACAUCUGUCAUGACAAAACAACGACAAGUCCACCGUCGUUGAGGAAGUAGGGUUGUUGCCCCAAUUUCGGGCACUAUAGGGACCACCCAUUUUCGUGCCCACCACGAUCCCGCAUCAAACGUCGGAGGAAGAUCCGUCCGCCACUCAAAUAUAGGAACAGAUUGUUUUAAUGGUUAAGCCAUUUUAUUUUUAUCGGCACCACAUUUGCCUCUCUUAGGGUACUUUGGUUUCUUCAAUUGUAGCUUUGUUGAUGACACGUCCUAUCCUCUCUCCUCAUGAGCUACUCGGAAUCUCUGGACGCGGCCACUACCCCUGCUAUGAAUGCCUCAUAUCCCAAAAAGACACCCGACCCCGCCUAUAAUAUCCCAUCAACUUCCUAGACCGAAGACCCCACUCCAUGAACCCUUUCUGCAAAGGCUACCACUAGUAGAAAACAUGGCUAUCGUUCGGCCCUAGCCAGCCCAUUAGUCCCGGUUCUUCAAGAACCGGGACCAAUGGAGGGUAUUAGACCCGGUUCGUGAGCCCAGGGGGCCGGCCGGGGCCUCGUGGGCAUUGGUCCCAGUUCGUGUGGAACCAGUUGUCCCGGUUCGAGCCACGAACAGGGACCAAUGGUCCUCGCUGUCGGCCCACAACCGUUGGUCCCGGCUUGUGGCAUGAACCGGGACAGAAGGGGUGGCUUUAGUCCCGGUUCAUGCCACGAACCGGGACAAAUAACUUGCCUAUAUAUACCCACCUCCGCGGCAGAGCACUCCAUAGUGCUCUGUUUUUUCAAUCCGGUGAGGUUUCUAGUUCACCUCCUAUGCACAUGAGGUGUUCGAUGAAAUGCCCGAGCCACACUACACUAGUAGAAAAAGGGCCUUUUGUCCCGGUUUGUAAGGGCCUUCUGUCCUGGUUUUGGAACCGGGACUAAAAGGUCGUUACUAAUGCCCUCGGACUUUAGUCCCAGUUCUUACACCAACCGGGACAGAUGGGCCUCCACGUGGCCUCUGCGGCCAGGCCAGGCAGGGGGUCUUUAGUCCCGGUUGGUGACACCAACCGGGACCAAAAGGCAUCCACGCGUCAGCACCUGGCUGAAGCUGAGUUUUUUUGAAAGGGCUCGUUUAGGGGUUAAUUUAGGUUGUUAUAUACACCAACCAAGGAGCAUCCAUGAGCAAGCACAAAAAGAAAUAAUUUUAUCUUUAUCAAUGAGCAUCCAUGAGCAUGCACAAAAUUUCAUCAAGCACACCACCAUCAUACUUAAAAGUGUAGUAGUAGUUCAACACUAUCGUACUUAAAAGGUUUCACUAUAAAGAUUAAAGCUCCAUUAGGUUCUUAAGAUCUUCACUCCUGCUUCUUCACCUGCUCCUUCAUCAUCCUGAUGCGCUUAGAGCGACGAAGCCCCAGGCCAGGCUGUGGGAUGUACUCCUCUACCAGAAUUGGCAUGGCCCUGUUGCCCAGUUGUGGGAUCACCAUCGCGAGGCCAUCGUCGCUGCUACUUUUGCUGUAGCCAGAGUCGCUGCUACUUUUGCUAUAGCCAAAGUCGCUGCUCCCGUAGACACAACACCUGUCGCAGUACUCGCUGCUCCUGCUCCCAUUGCCUUGCCAAAUGCAAAAAAGUUUUUUUUAAAUGGGUGUGAGACAUAGCCUAAUGGAUAGGAAGAAGAGACAGAGCGUACUGGCAUCGUCGUCGUCCUGGUAGCGCCUCCGACACAUAGUCGUGUCGAACACCUUCACGACGAACGUGGCGUUGUCGUCGUACCUGAAGACAAGGAAGUACCCAUGCCGCAGGUCGUAGGCACGGACGAACUGCUUCCAGCCACGAUCUAGGUACAUGUUUCCAUCGGUGUCGAACGCCACCUCAACGUCCCACAGCUUGCAAAGCCCGUUGCCGGCCUGCCUCAGCUUCAUGUUCUGUGGCCGAUGACCGUCCAACAUCUUCACAAAAUUUUCCGGCAGCACCUGCCUGCUGGAGGAUUUCUCAAGUAUAAUCGUGAAGAACUCCAUCUCUGAAAAGCAGCAGAAGAGACCAAUUACUACCUUUACAACAUUGUCAGUACUCGCUGCUCCUGCUCCCAUUGCCUUGCCAAAUGCAAAAAAGUUUUUUUAAAAAUGGGUGUGAGACAUAGCCUAAUGGAGAGGAAGAAGAGACAGAGCAUACUGGCAUCGUCGUCGUCCUGGUAGGGCCUCCGACACAUAGUCGUGUCGAACACCUUCACGGCGAACGUGGCGUUGCCGUCGUACGUGAAGACAAGGAAGUACCCAUGCCGCAGGUCGUAGGCACGGUCGAAGUGCUUCCAGCCACGAUCGAGGUACAUGCUUCCAUCGGUGUCGAACACCACCUCCACGUCCCACGGCUUGCGAAGCUCGUUGCCGGCCUGCCUGAGCUUCAUGUUCUGUGGCCGAUGGCCGUCCAGCAUCUUCACAAAAUUGUCCGGCAGCACCUGCCUGUUGGAGUAUUUCUCAAGUAUAAUCGUGAAGAAGUCCAUCUCUGAAAAGCAGCUGAAGAGACCAAUUACUACCCUUUACAACAUUGUCAUACAACAUUUACAGCAACAUGAUCAUCAGUAUUAGGUAGGACCUAAUUAAAUACCCUCUUUAAGGUAAAAUAACAUAAAACAAUAUAGACCCUGACUCGAGGUCGGAGGGGGGCUGGUGACGGGGACGACGACGUGGAUGAUGGAGGGGGCUCCUAGAUUUCUGCAUAGUGCUCUCCAAUAUUAGCAUUCAAAGUAGGAGUACUUUUCCAAUUUAAGCAUUCAAUAAGCAAAACCAAAUCGUAAAAUAAAGUAGUAUUCAAAUUAGCAUGCAUUCAAUUAUAAGCAAAACUACAUCAUCUCUUGUCAUACAUAUAGCAUCACUAAUACAUCUAGAACCUUAGCGCCCGACGGGUAUCGUCGCGGGCGGUGGACACCCAAAGAGAAGGAACCAUCACAGGAUCAUAGCUCCAGUGAGAUCCCUGAAGAACCUAGCAGGUAUUGUCGAACCUGCCCUCCAAUGCAACCUUGUAGCGACGGACGUGCUCGUCCUCCUCGCUGACACGGUGACGUACCACCUCUGCGGUGUCCGGAAGCCUCGGCACCGUCACUGGCCCACGCGACCGCCACCAAACAAGUAUCGGGUCAACAACGGGCUGCCUCCUCACCAACCUACGCUCCCCGGAAGGUAGCACCUCCCAAUACCAGCCGGACGGAGCCCUGUCCCGGACAUGGCUCCUCUGAUCAAGCAGGUGUCCUCCGCUGAGUCAACGAUGAGGAUGCGGGAUACGCAUCGUAAAAUGAACUAAAAAAUAAACUAGUUCUAUUAAUUUUCUUGCUAAAAAUAAACUACUUCUAUAUAUAGUAAAAUAAAGUAGUUUUAUUAAAUCAACUAGUUCAACUACUAAGCACUUACUAUAAAUAAAUAAAACCAAAGCUAUAUUCACUAUGGUGGUAAUACUAGUUGUUAUAUUCUAAAAGGAUAAAGAAAUAAGUUCACAUGCACAUGACUAAAUAAAGGAAAUAAAACACAAGUUCGUGCUAACUAGAUGUUAACUUCUAAGACAAGUUCAUGCUAACCAGAUGGUAACUUAUUGGCUAUUCCUUUUUAUUUUUGAUUAAAUUGAUGAUCAAAUCAAAUGGACAUGCCUUAUAAAUCAGAAAUUAUAUAGUAUUGUUGUAAUCACUUAAAUAGUCGGCUGCUAGCACAGAUAAUUAAAUAUUGUAGUCAGGUUCAUUUUUUACUUUUGUAUGGUCAAAAAUAUUGUUAUUCACCUUCCUUAAUUGGUCAUCCCCUUUAAUUUCACAGAAAAACACGUUGCCAUACUGUCCACAAAAUUUAAUUAUCUGUCUCAUAUUGCACUACAACUAACAAUCUAAUGAACAAGAAUUAAUAUAUGCCAUCUUUUGGUUGGUAACAACAUUAGAUUAAUUCAACUACCAUAAGUUUUGCCAAAGUGGCAGAAAUGUUUAUUCUAGUGAGCAAAAAAUGCAUAUCUAAUCCCAUUGCUCAUGCAGGACAACAUAGGAUAAGCAUUUCAAAGGAAAUGAUGUUCCUAGAGUAUCCAAAAUGCACAAGUAUUCGAAAUGCACAAGUAUUCGAUAUGUAGGACUACCAAAAUAGGUCGAGAUGCACAAGUAUCAGAUCCAUAGGACUACCAAAAUAAUGCUAUAUGUUUCUUCUACGUUCGUGCCUACAAUAAUUAUUUUUAUCCUAUAAUUGUCACUUCUUUUUCAACAGUAGGCCUUAUUCCAUGGAAUUUCUAACAUAAGUACUUGUACCUGUUAUGGAAAAAUGCCAAUAUCUCCUUCCUUGAUCUUAAUCAACUAAUACGCGAAUUUAUUUUCUUUAGUUAUUACCAUGCAUACUAUCUAGAUAACAUCUUGCAAACUAGAACACAAACAUAUGGUACAAGAAAUUAAAAACAUUGUUAGCUUAAUUUAAAAAAUAAGAAAGGUUUCGAACAAAGAUCUGGAUGACUACAGAUUUAGAAAUUACAAGAUAUUAUUGUUGUGUAUUAGUUAUGAAUAAAAAUCCGAGCUCGUUUGUUCUAAUCCUAACCAACAGAAGAAAUCGGAGUGAAAAAGAGAUAUGUAGGACCGGCCCUGCCGGCGAGGGGAGAGGAUGGGGGCGCUGAGCGAGGUGUGGGGAGAGGAGGGGCGCGAGCCGACGGGAGGAGGCCGGAGCUAGAGGAGGAGAGGGAGGAGUGGCGGCGGAUCUCACUGUCGGAAGCAGAGGAGGGCCGGGCUGCUCGUCGGCGGGCAGAUGGNNNNNNNNNNNNNNNNNNNNNNNNNNNNNNNNNNNNNNNNNNNNNNNNNNNNNNNNNNNNNNNNNNNNNNNNNNNNNNNNNNNNNNNNNNNNNNNNNNNNNNNNNNNNNNNNNNNNNNNNNNNNNNNNNNNNNNNNNNNNNNNNNNNNNNNNNNNNNNNNNNNNNNNNNNNNNNNNNNNNNNNNNNNNNNNNNNNNNNNNNNNNNNNNNNNNNNNNNNNNNNNNNNCCUCCAUCUGCCUGCCGACGAGCAACCCGGCCCUCCUCUGCUGCCCAAGGUGAGAUCCGCCGCGCCACUCCUCCCUCUCCUCCUCUAGCUCCGACCUCCUCCCGUCGGCACGCGCCCUCCUCUCCCCACGCCGCGGUCCGGCGCCCCCAUCCUCUCCCCUUGCCGACAGGGUCGGUCCUAUGAUUUCGGGGGCCCGGGGCGAAACUGACUUGUGUUCUUAGGAUUAUAUGUGUGUAGCUAUUAUUGGUUCUAGUAGUACUUGCUCACUUCAAGAAAUUUUAUCCUCGGAGCAGUCUGCAUUUGGAUGUUGCUCCUUGAAAAAAUUGCAUUUUUGUGUUCUAGGAAAGGAUAGUACCUGCCAGGCAUGAUACUUUAUAUUUUACUAGUACUAUAUACUCAUUUUUGUGUUCUAUGCAUUUCUUUUAGACACGUUAAUAAUUAGCUGGCUCCUUGUUUCAAAAUAGUAUAUACAAUGUCACUACUAGAAGGUGAAUUACAUGUGAUGCCAAUGCAAUCAAACUGGACAUAUAUUCAAAAAAAAGCCAUUGCAUAUUGACCAACUAUUACGAGGUGUAUCCAACGCUUCUAAAAAUGUAAGUUCGACUAUUAAAUGUAAAAUAUGCUGAUUUUUUUAGAUUUAAAGGGGGGACUAUGCUAUAAAUAUAGAACAUUUAGGUAUAAUGACGUUGUAAAACAGUUCAUGAGACAUUUUUGCAUAACACCAUAAAAAUAUGAGAGUGUGUAAGCAAGUUCAUGGCUAAAUACAAACAAAGAUGAAAUAUUUUUAAUUUUGUAAUAAUUUGACUAAAUCCAAAAUUUUCAAUGGGCACAAAACAUGUUCUUUAUUGGGAAAUAAUUUAUAUUCUCAUAUGGUGCUUUCCUUGUUCUUAAUUAGUACACGGAAAGAAAAUUAUAGAGCAAUCAAAUCAUUAUUGUCCUUCUAUUGUUUUAGACUACUUUUAUAUGCUAUGCCGAAGAGAAUAAGCGCUGAAAGCAUGCUUGCGUUGAACUAGUUUAUUUUACUAUAUAUAGAAGUAGUUUAUUUUUAGCAAGAAAAUUAAUAGAACUAGUUUACUUUUUUAGUUCAUUUUACGAUGCCUAUCUCGCAUCCUCGUCGUCGACUCGGCGGAGGACACCUGCUUGAUCACAGGGGCCAUGUCCGGGACUGGGCUCCGCCCGGCUGGUAUUGGGAGAUGCUACCUUCUGCGGGGCGUAGGUUGGUGAGGAGCCGGCCCGUUGUUGACCCGAUCCUUGUUUGGUGACGGUCGCGUGGGCCAGUGACGGUGUCGAGGCUUCCGGACACCGCGGAGGUGGUACGUCACCGUGUCAGCGAGGAGGACGAGCACGUCCGUCGCUACAUGGUUGCGUUGGAGGGCAGCUUCGACAAUACCUGGCAGGUUCUUCAGGGAUCUCACUGGAGCUAUGAUCCUGUGAUGGUUCCUUCUCUUUGGGUGUCCACCGCCCGCGACGAUACCCGUCGGGCGCUAUGGUUCUAGCUGUAUUAGUGAUGCUAUAUGUAUGACAAGAGAUGAUGUAGUUUUGCUUAUAAUUGAAUGCAUGCUAAUUUGAAUACUACUUUAUUUUACGAUUUGGUUAUGCUUAUUGAAUGCUCAAAUUGGAAAAGUACUCCUACUUUGAAUGCUAAAAUUAGAGAGCACUAUGCAGAAAUCUAGGAGCCCCCUCCAUCAUCCACGUCGUCGUCCCCGUCACCGACCCCCCUUGUACCUCGAGUCAGGGUCUAUAUUGUUUUAUGCUAUUUUACCUUAAAGAGGGUAUUUAAUUAGGUCCUACCUAAUACUGUGUUGUAAUUAUGCCCUAGAGGCAAUAAUAAAUAUGGUUAUUAUUAUAAUUUCUGUAUCAAGAUAAUAGUUUAUUAUCCAUGCUAUAAUUGUAUUGAAUGAAGACUCAUUUACAUGUGUGCAUACAUAGACAAAAUACCGUCCCUAGCAUGCCUCUAGUUGGCUAGCCAGUUGAUCGAUGAUAGUCAGUGUCUUCUGAUUAUGAACAAGGUGUUGUUACUUGAUAACUGGAUCACGUCAUUGGGACAAUCACGUGAUGGACUAGACCCAAACUAAUAGACGUAGCAUGUUGAUCGUGUCAUUUUGUUGCUACUGUUUUCUGCGUGUCAAGUAUUUAUUCCUAUGACCAUGAGAUCAUAUAACUCACUGACACCGGAGGAAUGCUUUGUGUGUAUCAAACGUCGCAACGUAACUGGGUGACUAUAAAGAUGCUCUACAGGUAUCUCCGAAGGUGUUAGUUGAGUUAGUAUGGAUCAAGACUGGGAUUUGUCACUCCGUGUGACGAAGAGGUAUCUCGGGGCCCACUCGGUAAUACAACAUCACACACAAGCCUUGCAAGCAAUGUAAAUUAGUGUAAGUUGCGGGAUCUUGUAUUACGGAACGAGUAAAGAGACUUGCCGGUAAACGAGAUUGAAAUAGGUAUGCGGAUACUGACGAUCGAAUCUCGGGCAAGUAACAUACCGAAGGACAAAGCGAAUGACAUACGGGAUUAUACGAAUCCUUGGCACUGAGGUUCAAACGAUAAGAUCUUCGUAGAAUAUGUAGGAUCCAAUAUGGGCAUCCAGGCCCUACUAUUGGAUAUUGACCGAGGAGUCUCUCAGGUCAUGUCUACAUAGUUCUCGAACCCGCAGGGUCUGCACACUUAAGGUUCGACGUUGUUUUAUGUGUAUUUGAGUUAUAUGGUUGGUUACCGAAUGUUGUUCGGAGUCCCGGAUGAGAUCACGGACGUCACGAGGGUUUUCGGAAUGGUCCAGAAACGAAGAUUGAUAUAUAGGAUGACCUCAUUUGAUUACCGGGAGGUUUUCGGAAUUACCGGGAAUGACGAAUGGGUUCCGGGAGUUCACCGGGGGGGCAACCCACCCCGGGGAAGCCCAUAGGCCUUUGGGGAGACACACAAGCCCUUAGUGGGCUGGUGGGACAGCCCACAAGUGCCCUAUGCGCCAAGGAGAAUAAAAUCAAGAGAGAAAAAAAAAGGAGGAGGUGGGAAGGAAGGGGGACUCCCUCCCACCAAACCUAGUCCAACUCGGUUUGGGGGGGAGAGUCCUCCCCCUUGGCUCGGCCGACCCCCUUGAGGGUCCUUGGACCCCAAGGCAAGGCCCCCUCCCUCCCACCUAUAUAUACGGAGGUUUUAGGGCUGAUUUGAGACGACUUUUCCACGGCAGCCCGACCACAUACCUCCACGGUUUUUCCUCUAGAUCGCGUUUCUGCGGAGCUCGGGCGGAGCCCUGCUGAGACAAGGUCAUCACCAACCUUCGGAGCGCCGUCACGCUGCCGGAGAACUCUUCUACCUCUCCGUCUCUCUUGCUGGAUCAAGAAGGCCGAGAUCAUCGUCGAGCUGUACGUGUGCUGAACGCGGAGGUGCUGUCCGUUCGGUACUAGAUCGUGGGACUGAUCGCGGGAUUGUUCGCGGGGCGGAUCGAGGGACGUGAGGACGUUCCACUACAUCAACCGCGUUCUCUAACGCUUCUGCUGUACGGUCUACAAGGGUAUGUAGAUCACUCAUCCCCUCUCGUAGAUGGACAUCACCAUGAUAGGUCUUCGUGCGCGUAGGAAUUUUUUUGUUUCCCAUGCGACUUUCCCCAACAGUGGCAUCAUGAGCUAGGUUCAUGCGUAGGUGUCUUCUCGAGUAGAACACAAAAGGUUUUGUGGGCGGUGAUGUGCGUUUUGCUGCCCUCCUUAGUCUUUUCUUGAUUCCGCGGUAUUGUUGGAUUGAAGCGGCUUGGACCGACAUUACUUGUACGCUUACGAGAGACUGGUUUCAUCGUUACGAGUAACCCCCUUUGCUCAAAGAUGACUAGCAAGUGACGGUUUCUCCAACUUUAGUUGAAUCGGAUUUGACCGAGGAGGUCCUUGGAUGAGGUUAAAUAGCAACUCAUAUAUCUCCGUUGUGGUGUUUGCGUAAGUAAGAUGCGAUCCUACUAGAUACCCUUGGUCACCACGUAAAACAUGCAACAACAAAAUUAGAGGACGUCUAACUUGUUUUUGCAGGGUAUGAUUGUGAUGUGAUAUGGCCAACGAUGUGAUGUGAUAUAUUGGAUGUAUGAGAUGAUCAUGUUGUAAUAGAAAUAUCGACUUGCACGUCGAUGGUUCGGCAACCGGCAGGAGCCAUAGGGUUGUCUUUAUACUAACAUUUGUGCUUGCAGAUGCAUUUACUAUUUUGCUAGGAUGUAGCUUUAGUAGUAAUAGCAUAAGUAGCACGACAACCCCGAUGGCAACACGUUGAUGGAUGAUCAUGGUGUGGCGCCGGUGACAAGAAGAUCGUGCCGGUGCUUUGGUGAUGGAGAUCAAGAAGCACGUGAUGAUGGCCAUAUCAUGUCACUUAUGAAUUGCAUGUGAUGUUAAUCCUUUUAUGCACCUUAUUUUGCUUAGAACGACGGUAGCAUUAUGAGGUGAUCUCUCACUAAAAUUUCAAGACGAAAUUGUGUUCUCCCCGAUUGUACACCGUCGCUACAGUUCAUCGUUUCGAGACACCACGUGAUGAUCGGGUGUGAUAGACUCAACGUUCACAUACAACGGGUGCAAAACAGUUGCGAACGUGGAACACUCGGGUUAAGCUUGACGAGCCUAGCAUGUGCAGACAUGGCCUCGGAACACAUGAGACCGAAAGGUCGAUCAUGAAUCAUAUAGUUGAUAUGAUUAGCAUAGGGAUGCUUACCACUGAAACUAUACUCAACUCACGUGAUGAUCGGACUUGGGAUAGUGUAAGUGGAUCAUGAACCACUCAAAUGACUAGAGAGAUGUACUUUUUGAGUGGGAGUUUAGCAUAUAAUUUGAUUAAGUUGAACUCUAAUUAUAUUGAACAUAGUCUAAGUCCACUUUGAAUAUAUUUGUUUUGUAGAUCAUGGCUCACGCGACAGUCAUCCUGAAUUUUAAUAUGUUCCUAGAGAAAGCUAAGUUGAAAGAUGAUGGAAGCAACUUUGUAGACUAGGCUCGUAAUCUUAAGCUAAUCUUACAAGCUGGGAAGAAGGAUUAUGUCCUUAAUGCUGCGCUAGGAGAUGAACCACCCGCUACGGCUGAUCAGGAUGUUAAGAACGCUUGGUUAGCACGUAAGGAGGACUACUCAAUAGUUCAAUGUGCAGUCUUGUAUGGCUUAGAACCGGGACUUCAACGUCGCUUUGAGCGUCAUGGAGCAUUUGAGAUGUUCCAGGAGUUGGAGUUUAUCUUUCAGAAGAACGCCCGGAUCGAGAGGUAUGAGACCUCCGAUAAAUUCUAUGCUUGCAAGAUGGAGGAAAACUCGUCUGUCAGUAAACAUGUGCUCAAAAUGUCUGGGUACUCAAACCGUCUAGCUGAGCUGGGGAUUGAACUCCCGCAAGAAGUUAUCACUGACAGAAUCCUUCAAUCACUGCCGCCAAGCUAUAAAGGCUUUGUGUUGAACUACAACAUGCAAGGGAUGAACAAGUCUCCCGGCGAGUUGUUUGCGAUGCUGAAAGUCGCAGAGUGUGAACUCCGUAAAGAGCAUCAAGUGUUGAUGGUGAGCAAGACCACUAGUUUCAAGAGAUACAGCAAAGGCAAGAAGGGCAAUUCGAAGAAGAACGGCAAGCCUGUUGCCAAUCCGCCGAAGAAACCCAAGGCUGGACCUAAGCCUGAAACAGAGUGCUUCUAUUGCAAGGGUAUGGGUCACUGGAAGCGCAAUUGCCCCAAGUAUCUGGCAGAUAAGAAGGCGGGCAAAGAAAAAUCAGGUAUAUUUGAUAUACAUGUUAUUGAUGUGUACUUAACCGGCUCUCGUAGUAGUGCCUGGGUAUUCGAUACCGGUUCUGUUGCUCAUAUUUGCAACUCGAAGCAGGAACUGCGGAAUAGACGAAGGCUGGCGAAAGACGAAGUGACGAUGCGCGUAGGAAAUAGUUCCAAGGUUGAUGCAAUCGCCGUCGGCACAGUGUCACUUCAGCUACCAUCGGGAUUAGUGAUGAACUUAAAUCAUUGUUAUUUAGUGCCUGCGUUGAGCAUGAACAUUAUAUCUGGAUCUUGUUUAUUGCGAGACGGUUACUCUUUUAAGUCUGAGAAUAAUGGUUGUUCUAUUUCUAUGAGUAACAUCUUUUAUGGUCAUGCACCGAAUGUGAGAGGAUUGUUCAUAUUGAAUCUUGAUAGCGAUACGCAUAUACAUAACAUUGAGACCAAAAGAGUUAGAGUAAAUAAUGAUAGCGCCAUAUUUUUGUGGCACUGUAGCUUGGGUCAUAUUGGUGUAAAGCGCAUGAAGAAACUCCAUGCUGAUGGACUUUUGGAGUCACUUGACACGUGCGAACCAUGCCUCAUGGGCAAGAUGACUAAGACUCCGUUCUCCGGAACAAUGGAGCGUGCAAGUGACUUAUUGGAAAUCAUACAUACCGAUGUGUGUGGUCCAAUGAGCGUGGAAGCACGCGGCGGAUAUCAUUAUUUUCUCACCUUCACUGACGAUUUAAGUAGGUAUGGUUAUGUCUACUUGAUGAAGCACAAGUCUGAAACAUUUGAAAAGUUCAAGCAAUUUCAGAGUGAAGUGGAAAAUCAUCGUAACAAGAAGAUCAAGUUCCUACGGUCUGAUCGUGGGGGUGAAUAUUUGAGUUUCGAGUUUGGUGAUCACUUAAGAAAAUGUGGAAUUGUUUCACAGUUGACACCGCCUGGAACACCACAGCGUAAUGGUGUGUCCGAACGUCGUAAUCGUACUUUGUUAGAGAUGGUGCGAUCUAUGAUGUCUCUUACUGAUUUGCCGUUAUCAUUUUGGGGUUAUGCAUUAGAAACAGCUGCAUUCACUUUAAAUAGGGCACCAUCAAAAUCCGUUGAGACGACACCAUACGAACUGUGGUAUGGCAAAAGGCCAAAGUUGUCGUUUCUUAAAGUUUGGGGAUGUGAUGCUUAUGUCAAAAAGCUUCAGCCUGAAAAGCUGGAACCCAAAGCGGAAAAAUGCGUCUUCAUAGGUUAUCCAAAAGAGACAGUUGGGUACACCUUCUAUCUCAAAUCCGAGGGCAAAGUGUUUGUUGCUAAGAACGGAGCUUUUCUCGAGAAGGAGUUUCUCUCGAGAGAAUUGAGUGGGAGGAAGAUAGAACUUGAUGAGGUUGUCGAACCUCUCAUCCCUCUGGAUGGUGGCGCAGGGCAAGGGGAAACCUCUGUCGUUGCGACGCCGGUUGAGGAGGAAGUUAAUGAUGAUGAUCAUGAAACUCCAGUUUAAGUUUCUGUUGAACCACGCAGGUCGACGAGAUCACGCGCUGCUCCAGAGUGGUACGGGAAUCCCGUCUUAUCAAUCAUGUUGUUAGACAACAAUGAACCUGCAAAUUAUGAAGAAGCAAUGGUGGGCCCAGAUUCCAACAAAUGGCUAGAAGCCAUGAAAUCCGAGAUUGGAUCCAUGUAUGAGAACAAAGUGUGGACUUUGGAGAUACUACCUGAGGGCCGCAAGGCUAUUCAGAACAAAUGGAUCUUUAAGAAGAAGACGGACGCUGACGGUAAUGUGACCGUUUAUAAAGCUCGACUUGUGGCAAAGGGUUUUUCACAAGUUCCAGGAGUUGACUACGAUGAGACUUUCUCACCCGUAGCGAUGCUUAAGUCCGUCAGAAUCAUGUUAGCAAUAGCUGCAUUUUUCGAUUAUGAAAUCUGGCAGAUGGAUGUCAAAACGGCGUUCCUUAACAGUUUCCUUAAGGAAGAGUUGUAUAUGAUGCAACCCGAAGGUUUUGUCGAUCCUAAAAAUGCUGACAAGGUGUGCAAGCUCCAGCGAUCCAUUUAUGGACUGGUGCAAGCAUCUCGGAGUUGGAACAAACGCUUUGAUGAGGUGAUCAAAGCAUUUGGGUUUAUACAAGUGGUUGGAGAAUCUUGUAUUUACAAGAAUGUGAGUGGGAGCUUUGUGGCGUUUCUAAUAUUAUAUGUGGAUGACAUAUUACUGAUUGGAAAUAACGUAGAGCUUUUGGAGAGCAUAAAAGGUUACUUGAAUAAAAGUUUCUCUAUGAAGGACCUAGGAGAAGCUGCUUACAUUCUAGGCAUUAAGAUCUAUAGGGAUAGAUCAAAACGCCUGAUAGGACUUUCACAAAGCACAUACCUUGAUAAAGUUUUGAAGAGGUUCAAAAUGGAACAGUCCAAGAAAGGGUUCUUGCCAGUUUUACAAGGUACGAGAUUGAGUAAGACUCAGUGCCCAGCAACUGAUGAAGAUAGAGAGCAUAUGCGCUCCGUCCCCUAUGCUUCAGCCAUAGGUUCUAUCAUGUAUGCGAUGAUGUGCACUAGACCGGAUGUUAGCCUGGCCAUAAGUAUGGCAGGUAGGUUCCAGAGUAAUCCAGGAUUGGAUCACUGGACGGCGGUCAAGAAUAUCCUGAAGUACCUGAAAAGGACUAAGGAGAUGUUUCUCGUGUAUGGAGGUGACGAAGAGCUCGCCGUAAAAGGUUACGUCGAUGCAAGCUUUGACACAGAUCCGGACGACUCUAAGUCGCAAACCGGAUACGUAUUUAUUCUUAAUGGGGGUGCAGUAAGCUGGUGCAGUUCUAAGCAAAGCGUCGUAGCAGAUUCUACAUGUGAAGCGGAGUACAUGGCUGCCUCGAAGGCGGCUAAGGAGGGUGUCUGGAUGAAGUAGUUCAUGACGGAUCUUGGAGUGGUGCCAAGUGCACUGGAUCCAAUAACCUUGUUCUGUGACAACACGGGUGCCAUUGCCUUAGCAAAGGAACCACGGUUUCACAAGAAGACCAGACACAUCAAACGACGCUUCAACCUCAUCCGCGACUACGUUGAGGAAGAGGACGUAAAUAUAUGCAAAGUGCACACGGAUCUGAAUGUAGCAGACCCGCUGACUAAACCUCUUCCACGGCCAAAACAUGAUCGACACCAGAACUGUAUGGGUGUUAGAUUUAUUACAAUGUAAUUCACAUGGUGAUGUGAGGGCUAGAUUAUUGACUCUAGUGCAAGUGGGAGACUGUUGGAAUUAUUCCCUAGAGGCAAUAAUAAAUAUGGUUAUUAUUAUAAUUCCUGUAUCAAGAUAAUAGUUUAUUAUCCAUGCUAUAAUUGUAUUGAAUGAAGACUCAUUUACAUGUGUGGAUACAUAGACAAAACACCGUCCCUAGCAUGCCUCUAGUUGGCUAGCCAGUUGAUCGAUGAUAGUCAGUGUCUUCUGAUUAUGAACAAGGUGUUGUUACUUGAUAACUGGAUCACGUCAUUGGGACAAUCACGUGAUGGACUAGACCCAAACUAAUAGACGUAGCAUGUUGAUCGUGUCAUUUUGUUGCUACUGUUUUCUGCGUGUCAAGUAUUUAUUCCUAUGACCAUGAGAUCAUAUAACUCACUGACACCGGAGGAAUGCUUUGUGUGUAUCAAACGUCGCAACGUAACUGGGUGACUAUAAAGAUGCUCUACAGGUAUCUCCGAAGGUGUUGGUUGAGUUAGUAUGGAUCAAGACUGGGAUUUGUCACUCCGUGUGACGGAGAGGUAUCUCAGGGCCCACUCGGUAAUACAACAUCACACACAAGCCUUGCAAGAAAUGUAACUUAGUGUAAGUUGCGGGAUCUUGUAUUACGGAACGAGUAAAGAGACUUGCCGGUAAACGAGAUUGAAAUAGGUAUGCGGAUACUGACGAUCGAAUCUCGGGCAAGUAACAUACCGAAGGACAAAGGGAAUGACAUACGGGAUUAUACGAAUCCUUGGCACUGAGGUUCAAACGAUAAGAUCUUCGUAGAAUAUGUAGGAUCCAAUAUGGGCAUCCAGGUCCCGCUAUUGGAUAUUGACCGAGGAGUCUCUCAGGUCAUGUCUACAUAGUUCUCGAACCCGUAGGAUCUGCACACUUAAGGUUCGACGUUGUUUUAUGUGUAUUUGAGUUAUAUGGUUGGUUACCGAAUGUUGUUCGGAGUCCCGGAUGAGAUCACGGACGUCACGAGGGUUUCCGGAAUGGUCCGGAAACGAAGAUUGAUAUAUAGGGUGACCUCAUUUGAUUACCGGAAGGUUUUCGGAGUUACCGGGAAUGUACCGGGAAUGACGAAUGGGUUCCGGGAGUUCACCGGGGGGGGGCAACCCACCCCGGGGAAGCCCAUAGGCCUUUGGGGAGACACACCAGCCCUUAGUGGGCUGGUGGGACAGCCCACAAGUGCCCUAUGCGCCAAGGAGAAGAAAAUCAAGAGAGAAAAAAAAAGGAGGAGGUGGGAAGGAAGGGGGACUCCCUCCCACCAAACCUAGUCCAACUCGGUUUGGGGGGGAGAGUCCUCCCCCUUGGCUCGGCCGACCCCCUUGAGGGUCCUUGGACCCCAAGGCAAGGCCCCCUCCCUCCCACCUAUAUAUACGGAGGUUUUAGGGCUGAUUUGAGACGACUUUUCCACGGCAGCCCGACCACAUACCUCCACGGUUUUUCCUCUAGAUCGCGUUUCUGCGGAGCUCGGGCGGAGCCCUGCUGAGACAAGGUCAUCACCAACCUCCGGAGCACCGUCACGCUGCCAAAGAACUCUUCUACCUCUCCAUUUCUCUUGCUGGAUCAAGAAGGCCGAGAUCAUCGUCGAGCUGUACGUGUGCUGAACGCGGAGGUGCCUUCCGUUCGGUACUAGAUCGUGGGAUUGAUCGCGGGAUUGUUCGCGGGGCGGAUCGAGGGACGUGAGGACGUUCCACUACAUCAACCGCGUUCUCUAACGCUUCUGCUGUACGGUCUACAAGGGUAUGUAGAUCACUCAUCCCCUCUCAUAGAUGGACAUCACCAUGAUAGGUCUUCGUGCGCGUAGGAAAAUUUUUGUUUCCCAUGCGACGUUCCCCAACAUACUGAUGAUCAUGUUGCUGUAAAUGUUGUAUGACAAUGUUGUAAAGGGUAGUAAUUGGUCUCUUCAGCUGAUUUUCACAGAUGGAGUUCUUCACGAUUAUACUUGAGAAAUCCUCCAGCAGGCAGGUGCUGCCGGACAAUUUUGUGAAGAUAUUGGACGGCCAUCGGCCACAGAACAUGAAGCUGAGGCAGGCCGGCAACGGGCUUCGCAAGCUGUGGGACGUGGAGGUGGAGUUCGACACCGAUGGAAGCAUGUACCUAGAUCGUGGCUGGAAGCAGUUCGUCCGUGCCUACGACCUGCGGCAUGGGUACUUCCUUGUCUACAGGUACGACGGCAACGCCACGUUCGCCGUGAAGGUGUUCAACACGACUAUGUGUCGGAGGCGCUACCAGGACGACGACGAUGCCAGUAUGCUCUGUCUCUUCUUCCUCUCCAUUAGGCUAUGUCUCACACCCAUUUUUAAAAAAACUUUUUUGCAUUUGGCAAGGCAAUGGGAGCAGGAGCAGCAAGUACUGACAAUGUUGUAAAGGGUAGUAAUUGGUCUCUUCUUCUGCUUUUCAGAGAUGGAGUUCUUCACGAUUAUACUUGAGAAAUCCCCCAGCAGGCAGGUGCUGCCGGACAAUUUUGUGAAGAUGUUGGACGGUCAUCGGCCACAGAACAUGAAGCUGAGGCAGGCCGGCAACGGGCUUCGCAAGCUGUGGGACGUGGAGGUGGCNUUUUCACAGAUGGAGUUCUUCACGAUUAUACUUGAGAAAUCCUCCAGCAGGCAGGUGCUGCCGGACAAUUUUGUGAAGAUAUUGGACGGCCAUCGGCCACAGAACAUGAAGCUGAGGCAGGCCGGCAACGGGCUUCGCAAGCUGUGGGACGUGGAGGUGGGGUUCGACACCGAUGGAAGCAUGUACCUAGAUCGUGGCUGGAAGCAGUUCGUCCGUGCCUACGACCUGCGGCAUGGGUACUUCCUUGUCUACAGGUACGACGGCAACGCCACGUUCGCCGUGAAGGUGUUCAACACGACUAUGUGUCGGAGGCGCUACCAGGACGACGACGAUGCCAGUAUGCUCUGUCUCUUCUUCCUCUCCAUUAGGCUAUGUCUCACACCCAUUUUUAAAAAAACUUUUUUGCAUUUGGCAAGGCAAUGGGAGCAGGAGCAGCAAGUACUGACAAUGUUGUAAAGGGUAGUAAUUGGUCUCUUCUUCUGCUUUUCAGAGAUGGAGUUCUUCACGAUUAUACUUGAGAAAUCCCCCAGCAGGCAGGUGCUGCCGGACAAUUUUGUGAAGAUGUUGGACGGUCAUCGGCCACAGAACAUGAAGCUGAGGCAGGCCGGCAACGGGCUUCGCAAGCUGUGGGACGUGGAGGUGGCGUUCGACACCGAUGGAAGCAUGUACCUAGAUCGUGGCUGGAAGCAGUUCGUCCGUGCCUACGACCUGCGGCACGGGUACUUCCUUGUCUUCAGGUACGACGACAACGCCACGUUCGCCGUGAAGGUGUUCGGCACGACUAUGUGUCGGAGGCGCUACCAGGACAACGACGAUGCCAGUACGCUCUGUCUCUUCUUCCUAUCCAUUAGGCUAUGUCUCACACCCAUUUAAAAAAAAACUUUUUUGCAUUUGGCAAGGCAAUGGGAGCAGGAGCAGGGAGUACUGCGACAGGUGCUAUGUCUACCGCAGCAGCGACUGUGGCUAUAAAAAAGUAGCAACGACUCUGGCUACAGCAAAAGUAGCAGCGACGAUGGCCUCGCCAUGGUGAUCCCAUAGCUGGGCGACAGGGCCAUGCCAAUUCUGAUAGAGGAGUACAUCCAACAGCCUGGCCUGGGGCUUCGCCGCUCUAAGGGCAUCAGGAUGAUGAAGGAGAAGGUGAAGAAGCAGGAGUGAAGAUCUUAAGAACCUGAUGGAGAUUUAAUCUUUAUAGUGUAAACCUUUUAAGUACGAUAGUGUUCAACUGCUACUACACUUUUAAGUAUGAUGGUGGUGUGCCUGAUGAAAUUUUGUGCAUGCUCAUGGAUGCUCAUUGAUGAAAGAUAAAAUUAUUUCUUUUUGUGCUUGCUCAUGGAGGCUCCUUGGUUGAUGUAUAUAACAACCUAAAUUAACCCCUAAACCAGCCCCUUUCAAAAAAACUCAGCUUCAGCCAGGUGCUGACGCGUGGAUGCCUUUUGGUCCCGGUUGGUGACACCAACCGGGACUAAAGGCCCCCCUGCCUGGCCUGGCCGCAGCGGCCACGUGGAGGCCCAUCUGUCCCGGUUGGUGUAAGAACCGGGAGUAAAGGCUGAGGGCAUUAGUAACGACCUUUUAGUCCCGGUUCCAAAACCGGGACAGAAGGCCCUUACGAACCGGGACAAAAGGCCCUUUUUCUACUAGUGUACCCGGAUUUAACCCACGACCAUUGCCAAUGUACCAAGCUCCGACGGCCAAUGCCGGUGAACCCGGGUAAACCCCAAACCUACCUUCUCACCUAUUGAGUCUACGCGCUCAGGCACAUGUUUCUUAACCGCCACGCCUACACAGACUGUCCACGGGACGCAAGUACGCCAUAAUCGGAACACCGCCUUCACCACGUCCUCCAUUCCUUUGACCUAAGGACGAACCCGAGCCCAUGACCUUGUGCAUUGGCUUCGCCAUGCCACCGCAUGUCUAACCAACCAAUCGUGCUACCCCGCCUUCAUGAAGUGAUGCCUGUGAGGGUUAUGAAUUAUGCUAAUGCUACUCGAGGCAUGUCCAUGAUAUCUAUAAUUAUAUUUUUUGCAAGAGUUCACCCAAAGUGUUUCCCCAAAAAACGUGUUAGCUAGAGGAAAUAGAAUAAUUACUAGUUGACUACUUUGUCUAAGUUAACAAUUUUUUUGUUCUUAUCAUCUUGUCCUAACAGGCUUGCAUAUUAAUGAAUGUCUCCUCUACAACUAUGCUAAGUUUUCGUGUGAAUAAAGCGAUGGGCUAUCGAUACAUAUCGACCAUAAGUGAAUCAAAAUAUUCUCAUUAUUUUGGUUUAAACAGUGAGUUCCCUAUGAUAUUGUAUCUUUCUUGAGUAUGAUCAACAUUUAAUCUUGGGAAGUAGAUGAGUGAAUUUUACACUCACUUUUACCCGUGUUUAUACUUGAUAAUUUCAGACUUUCCAAAGAUUGUCACUUUGACUUGCCUAUUUGCGACAACAAAUUGCAAAGAUUGUAAAUCUCUUUGUUUCCUACAUAAAUUAACAUUUUUAGGUGAUGAAUCAAGUCAUAAAAUGGAAAUAAUACGCGUGAAGAUUAAUGCCAAUCAACCAAAGGCAUGUAACCUAACUCCAGAGGUGAAGACGACAUUCGGCAUGACCAUACGCUUGUACCAAUGCUCAUACGAUGCUCCACCGACUUCGUGACGUCAGCACUGACAACUUCCGUGCAAGCACCCUAAGGUUGAUUCACAUAACAUAUAAAUGGGAGAAGAAACCCUUCAACAUGGAGAGUCACUCCAUUCAUCAAGUUCAUCCAUUCGCCACCGUGGUAGCCAUUCCCUUCUACAACAGUCACCACCAUCUCCAUAGUCAUUUCCACUCUCAUAGACUCCGUCUCAAUUAGCCAUUAUACUUGUACUCAACAGUUCAUUACAUUUGGUAGCUGGUUCCUCCGAAGUUUUCCUCGGGAUAGCAGGAGCGAGUUACGAACUCUAUCAGGUAAAGCCAAUUAUUAGAGACAGUAGUCGCCAACCCGUGCAUUCGCACGGUCUAGCAUGAAUACAAUUUUCUAUAUAGGGAAAUAAACAAUAGUUUUUUGUGCUAUGACUUGCCUCCUAUAAAAUAAAAGAACUAAAGCACAUGAAAAAACUAAAGAUACAACUAUACACNNNNNNNNNNNNNNNNNNNNNNNNNNNNNNNNNNNNNNNNNNNNNNNNNNNNNNNNNNNNNNNNNNNNNNNNNNNNNNNNNNNNNNNNNNNNNNNNNNNNNNNNNNNNNNNNNNNNNNNNNNNNNNNNNNNNNNNNNNNNNNNNNNNNNNNNNNNNNNNNNNNNNNNNNNNNNNNNNNNNNNNNNNNNNNNNNNNNNNNNNNNNNNNNNNNNNNNNNNNNNNNNNNNNNNNNNNNNNNNNNNNNNNGUAUUGUAAUUUACUAUAGAAAUAUUUUAUUCUGAUUAUUUUUCUUUAAAUUUUCAUGUAGCGACUGGACAUUAAUUUCCAUUCUCAUUGGGGAAUUAUCAUAUUCCAUAAUUUGUUUGAAAUGUCAUGGUUUGUACUUUAGUUAUAUUUUAUAAUACUUAAACUAAUUAAGUUGUCUUUUUUGAGUUUUCUUUAAUAGUAAACGCUGGUAGUUUCUAACUAUUAUUUCAUGCGGGCUGGGAUAGUUAAAAUUCGAGCAAACUUUUAAUAGGAGUAGUGAAAUAUAGUAAUAGACGGUAUAUGUUUGAUAUAAUUUAAUGAUACUGCACAGUAUUCUUCUGGAAAAAGUCUAAAUAAUAUUCGCUAAUAAUUAAUGGUCGUACAAUCUUCUUACAUAUAAAUUUGGUUAUACGGACCAGUGGCAUUAUCUUAUGCUUUUUUUACUAAAUAUUGCAAAUUUGACUUUGUGCUAAUCACUAAUUCUAAAUUAUUUAGUUGGAAAAGCAAGUUACAGAUACUGGAAUAAACAUUCUCUAACUUCAUAAGUUUAUCCACUAAAAUGCUUAAAGUUUUCCCUAAAUAUACAAAAUACAAUCUACAAAUAAGAAUAGGGCCUUUUAUAUAUUUGCAUGAUCUGAAAAGAGCAAGCUCAGCCAUAAAAGAGCAUAAGUAGGAAAGGCAUUGUGUUCAGUAGUACAUGGUUGGAAACAGCGGAGGGAGAUGGUACCAAACGUUUAUUGAGGAUGGCAUUGCAAAUAUAUAGAAACUAUAUGAACCAUCGGUUACUCCUAUUUUCUUAUCGUUUGGACCGGAAAAACUCUUCCGAUACAUACUAAACCAUUUAAGAAUUGUAACUGUAAUCAAUUCGGUGAACCAAGGCAGAUGGAUUUUAAUUUUUUUCCAAAAACAUUUAAAAGGAUGAACCAAUAAUUCAGUCCAUGCUCUAAACAUGAGUUCCAAGCGCCACAUACAUACCCCUUGGCCCUUGAUCCCUCUUUUUGCCCUAUGCCUCGUUGUAUUUUCUUGCUCACAGUCUCGCCCCACAUCUAGAACUCUUUCACCGCGACCUCUGCCUUCUCAUCUUUUCCUCCUUUCUUUCGCUUGAAGCCUUUGUGGCCACCAGAAUUCAUGCUUCUCCUAUGUUUCGAGUCUCCAUCUUUCCUUAGCUAGCCAUUCAUGUGUCAAAAGAUUGGUCGGAUAGGAAAACAGACGCACGUACAUGGACUGGCCCGGGAAUUCAUGAUUUUGAUAAUAAUUAGUUAGAGGGAAAUACUCAUGUAGCAGCUCUUUGGUCCAGAGAUCGCAUAUGACUCAAAUAAAGUAGAGAGCAGAUUGGUUAAGUCAAGAACUGGAAACUUAAUGCAAAACACACAUUUAAUUAAUUCUAGAUCUGACAUGAUAUUGUACCCAUCAUCAUCUGCAUGUACCCGUGUAUUUGUACAAUCUAUUGGGCUGUUGCCUUACAGAAAUUUCUGCUGCAAUUUUCCUUCAGGUACAGGAAUUGAGUGUCUAAUAUUAACUCUUUCCCAAUCUCUUAUUACUGGCAGCUGUAUGUAACUAAUAUUGUACACAAAUAUAUCUCCAAGCAACCACAUCACGCCGUAUCAUAUCUCUUGCGAUGUUGACCUGUUGUUAUCUUUUGAAUCCACCUCUUGGUAAACCUGCUUUCACAUUAACUACAAGAAAUCAAUGCUGUUUUACUUUCCUAUUUUCACCUUUCAUGUUCUCCAUGUCCUGUGUCAAGUUGUCUUUUUCUGCGCUUUCUUCAGCACCAUAUACAUCGUAUCCUAGUCCUCGACCGCGACUGAAACUUCCGAUACAAGUGAUAGCAAUACUCAGAUUUUAGAUCAAUCUUGUAUGGGGAUUUUAAAUUUUGGAAAACACAUCAAAUUAACAGUAGCAUCAAACCAGUAGUCAACCAACAUGUGUACUUUUUGAAUCACGUUCUUUAGUUAGAUAUGUAUGGCGUCGCUAUCAUCUUUCUUCAGCACCGUCACUAGUGGGGACAGGGCCUAUAGCCCCGGCCCGUAAGGGGCUUUAGUCCCGGUUCACCAACCGGGACUAAAGGGGUGGAACUAAAGGCCUAACCUUUAGUCCCGGCACUGUUCCAAGUCGGGACCAAAGGUGCUCCACGUGGGCGCCUCGGAGCGCCCUCAGGGGCAGGCCCUUUAGUCCCGGGUCUUAACACGGACCGGGACUAAAGAGUUUCUGCAGAUUUUGUUGAUUUUGGGGUUUUAGGGUUUUAGGGUUUAGGUGUUCGGGAGAUUAACGUGAUGCCUCGUUUGGUGUUCGGGAAUUAGUUUUCAUAUAAUUCUAAAUAGAAAUAAUUAUGCAUAUAUAUAUAAGAUUAACUUAUCUUACAAGCGAGCAUAUAUAUACAAUUAUAUGGAGAUCUGAAUUAUCGGGACUAGAGCCCGUCUAUUCGAUUACAUGGACCAACAUCAGUAAUGGGCCCUAGAUACACUAAAUCGUCCUUUGUCAUCUAUAGCUUCCGUCCUCAGAAAGGUCGCAAGCUCCUCUGCAACAGCAAUCGCGCGUUGCUCUGGUAGGGACUUCUCCCUCAUGGCCGUGUACUAUAUAAGAAGAGGAGAUGAAUAUGAAUAUCAAUCAUGAUAACAAAGAAUGACGGGUAAAAAUAGAGGUGUGAAUGUUCAUUGCUUACGUCGUAUCUGUGAUCCUUGUGCUCAGAGGUAAACGUGUGAAUGGUCUCGCAAACAUAGUAUCCGCAUAGAUGCGUCCCCCGUGGCUGCUGGUCGCACUUUACGAGAAUAGAAUAUAUAUAAUCAAAAUAAUAAUCUAGCAUCAUAAAUGUAUUGAAAAUAGAAGUAUAUCAUACUACUACUUACCUGAGCCGCUCUAAAGGUCAGCUUCUCAGGCUCGAUACCGGGAGUCACGCACUUGAACCGCUUCCAAACCCUGCCCGAUAAGGAAAAUGAUUUGCUAAGUUUUUCAUUAAUUGAUAUAUCAGAAAAUCAUCAAAAGAGACCGAUAGAGCGCAAGAAUGAUUGAAAUUACCCUUGGAGCAUGUCCUGCAGACUUUGGAACUGUUCCAAGGGUCUCGAUAAUGGGUCAAAGGCAUCAACUCUUCCCUUAUCAAUUUGAAUGUCCAACAGAAUCCAAUGGAAGCUGCACAUGUAUAUAUAUAUAUANNNNNNNNNNNNNNNNNNNNNNNNNNNNNNNNNNNNNNNNUGUGUGUCAGUAUCUUAUCAAUUACACUUAUAAGUGAAUGGACACAACAGAGUAAAGACCCUCACCUGAAGUUGUAUGGAAACAGUAUGUGGUCACAGAAAUUUUGAUCUGUUAGAAACCUUAGAAGGUUUUCCUCCGUCUCCUUGGGUUUAUCAGUUAGCGUCGCUAUAUGUAUUUUAUCUGGGUCAAUAAACCCAAUAUUUAGGAUAUUCCUAUUUUUACAUUUCAGAAUCUUCAUUCUGCAUAAUAGAGUACAAGUUAUAUGUAGACAAUGAAUUGAAAUAACUAAACAAGUUAUAUGUAGACAAUGAAUUGAAAAACUUACAGACAAUAGAAACUCAUAAGGGAUUUGUCGAGGGCGUCGGCAUUGUACAUCCGGAAGAGUUCAUCAAAGUCGAUAUGGAUUUAUUCGGGGCGGUCGUAGUACUUCCGUGGGACACUCACCACGAUCAUCGUUCUCCCAUUCUUUGAUUCACUUAAGUACCAUCUAUGCAAGUAACGCAUAUUUGUUGGGAGAUCAUCUUUGCUGACCAAAGGCGCUCCCAUGAGAAACUGCGGCUUAGGGGCUAACACAGCCUUGGGUAACCUGUCGUCUUGGGAAGCCAGAACGUCUUCAACCGGGAUACCCCAUUCAUCCGCCCACUUCUUUGCUAAUUCCAAAUCUUGCCCCUGCACCAUAGGGGGGACAUUCUCGGGUAACACCCUGAGGGGUGGGAUCGACUGUUUGGCCUGUUGUCCAAGCUGAGGAACGUCUGAUCUUUUUUUGCGUGUAGUUGAACUUGAUUUGCUCCCACUUGCACUUGCACGUGAUCUGCUCUUUUUCACUUCCUUCUGCAAUGUGUGUGUAUAGUCAUCAGGCUUAUGGUGUAAGUCAUACUGUGAUGGAAGGUUCGUGAAGUAUUUUGCAUAUGCUAUUUGCUUCUCGGUGUAUUCCGGGCGGGGCUCGGGUUCCUUCUUUUUCAUCUGCGCAUCAUGAUGUUCCUUUGCUAUCCUGGCGUUUUCCUCGGCGGUACGAUCAUAAGGUCUGAUAGGAAGAUUAGCAUGAGGUACCUUUGGGAGGGGCGACAAUUUGCGCUUUGGGGAGCUCCGUCGCUUAGAAAUCAUCGACGGAGCGCUCUUGCUGGCACGCUUCCGCUUAGUAUCCGGAGCGGGCGGCGGCGGAGACGGACGACCCAAGUCCGGCGGCGGUGAUCGAGAUGGACUCGUGUUGUGCUGGCCAUCGUCAUGUGGAGGGCUUGGAGGUGAUGGAGGUGUAGGUGACCUGCGACGACUCGGAGGCGGUGUUGUCCUUGGGGCCGAGCCUGGAAGCUUGAUGUAGUUCUUGUCCCAUAGGAUGACUCCACCCAAUACUUCUCCGAGUGUCCUCUCAUCUUCGGGUCCAGCUAUGUCGAGCUCCAUAUCAUGAAACCCCGCCAUGAUUUCAUCCACCCCGACUUUAGCAAAGCCAGCUGGAAUCUCACGGCCAUGCCAGCGUGCAUCACGGCCAGAAGGUAAAGCUUGUCCGACGGCCACCUUCAUGGAUAUGUUCUUGAAUUUCUAAUGGAGUUCACAUGAUGUUGACUCCUUGAUUCCAUCCACGGGGUAGCCGGGACCGCCCUCUAUCAUUCUUCGUGCAUCGUCGGGCGGGGCCUCAGAUUCAGCCACGCUGCUUUUCCGCUUAGAUGGGGCGCCGGUAAUAUCGAGUGCAGGAUCUUCCUGGCGCGCUACUCCUCUAAGCUCAUCAAUCUGCUUCUGUUGCUCGUUAAUCCUGGCAAGCAACUGGUUGAACUUGUCAUUCUCCUCAUCCUGCUGUCGCUUAUUUGCUCUCGCUCGGCUUCUGUAAGUGUCUUGGUCUCUGGCAAACCCAAGCCACCACGGGUAAGAAGGACCGAAGCCUCGCGUUCGUCCUCCAUGUUCGUCAUUGCCGAGGACCAGUGUGAGCAAAUCUUUCUCUCUAUCUGCAGUGAACUGUAUUUUUCCCUCCUUAAUUUCUUUCACUAUCUUUUUUCAAUUCUCCCUGGGUAUCCUAAGACCGUCACUGCAGAUGAGGUCCCCUAUUUCUUCGUCGUACGAACCACCAUGCGCAAGGAACCAAUUUCUUGCUCUCAAUUCCCACUCAUCACGGAGUGGUUCAGGUAUGAUGCCUUUAGCUAGCAGAUCUUGCUCUUUCUUAUCCCACUUUGGGAUGGCAGUCUCAUAGCCCCCUGGCCCCAGCUUGUGGUGAUAUUUCUUCUUGUCGGCAUUUUUCUUGUUCUUUUCUGAUAAUGCCUGGGCAUCUUCUGACUCCUUGUACUCUUGAAAUGCCUUCCAGUGAUUCGCCUGCUUGGCUAGAUACCCCUCGAAUACUGGCACUUUCUUUGUCUUCAGAUAGUUUUUCCAUAGCUGCUUCUUCCAGCUACGGAACAGUUCGGCCAUCUUCUUUAGAGUCCACUGCUUGACUUUGGCCCUCAGUUUUUUUGCGGCGUCUUCAUUCUCACAUUCUGGCAGGUUGAAAUGUGACAUGAGAUCAUUCCAAAUAUUAUCUUUGUACCUUUCGGCGAAAUAGUCACUAUCGGCUGCCCCUUUGCGCUUGUUCCACUCCCAAACGGUGAUCGGGACGUGAUCCCUAACGAGAACUCCGCAUUGCUUCUUGAAUGUGUCAGCAGCAUUCUUAGGAAGCUUGGGUUCGCCCGUAGGCAAUAUCACCUCAAAGUUGUAAUGCGUCCGUGCAUCCAACUUUCUAGUCGGGCCUCGUUUCGUAGCUUUGCUCGAUGUGGAGGCCUAAGAGGGAGAAACAUUCGUUAAAUGAAUGUAUAUGUAUACAAUAUAGAGCUAUCUCCAAUAUUUUUUACAUAUUACAAGUGAUUGUCGAACUUCAUAUGUAUACCUCGCCGGACUUUAUUAUUUCUCCACCGGCUUCUCCAUCAGUGGAGCUAUCACCUUCUCCGUCAUUGGACCUAUCUCCUGCCCCAUCGGCUUCAUCUUCGUGUCGGUCGACCUCCAUUCCAUAUCCGGAGGGGUUUAGAUAUGACGACGGAGAUUCAGCUGGUUCAACGUCGGGGUCGUCUUUGAUUAUAUCUUCGAGAAGUUCUUCCUCUUCGAGGUUCCUGAUAUGUGGAUCCAUAGUUCUGCAAAAACAGACAUUUCAUUAACUAAUAAACUAACAAACUAUAUAAGAGGGGUUGGAAACUUCGAAGUGUUGUUUUAUAUAGGAGGACCUUUAGUCCCGGGUCUUGGCUAGAACCUAAACUCUAAAAUGUGUCUAACGGAUUCUCUUAACCUUUAAGGAUUUAACAAAAUGGCGACAUUCUAGAUGUGUAGAAAAUGAUCAUAUUUUCCUGAUCUCAUCUACCCUUCUAUAUGUCACAUUGUCUAGUGUCAAAGGACUUUGUUGAACUUUGUACCAAAAAAGAAUUAUUCUAUCAGGAACUCCGUUCCAAAACAACUUUAGUCCCGGGUCGUGGCUCCACCCGGGACUCCUAGAUUUCUGCAUAGUAUUCAAAGUAGGAGUACUUUUCCAAUUUGAGCAUUCAAUAAGCAAAACCAAAUCAUAAAAUAAAGUAGUAUUCAAAUUAGCAUGCAUUCAAUUAUAAGCAAAACUACAUCAUCUCUUUUGUCCGUACAUCGUCGAAUAUUAUCACUAAUACUCCUCGAAUACUAUCAUACAUAUAGCAUCACUGAUACAGCUAGAACCGUAGCGCCCGACGGGUAUCGUCGCGGGCGGUGGACACCCAAAGAGAAGGAACCAUCACAGGAUCAUAGCUCCAGUGAGAUCCCUGAAGAACCUGCCAGGUAUGCUCGAACCUGCCCUCCAACGCAACCAUGUAGCGACGGACGUGCUCAUCCUCCUCGCUGAGAUGGUAACGUACCACCUCCGCGGUGUCCGGAAGCCUCGGCACCGUCACUGGCCCACGCGACCGCUACCAAACAAGGAUCGGGUCAACAACGGGCUGGCUCCUCACCAACCUACGCCCCCCGGAAGGUAGCACCUCCCAAUACCAGCCGGGCGGAGCCCAGUCCCGGACAAGGCCCCUCUGAUCAAGCAGGUGUGCUCCGCCGAGUCGACUACGAGGAUGCGGGAUAGGCAUCGUAAAAUGAACUAAAAAAAUAAACUAGUUCUAUUAAUUUUCUUGCUAAAAAUAAACUAAUUGUAUAUAUAUAGUAAAAUAAACUAUUAACACUUAAGCAUAUGCAAUGGCAAAAUUAAGCAAUAAUCUAAGAAACACUAAUUAAGCAUCUAUAUACGUAGAAAUGUCUUCNNNNNNNNNNNNNNNNNNNNNNNNNNNNNNNNNNNNNNNNNNNNNNNNNNNNNNNNNNNNNNNNNNNNNNNNNNNNNNNNNNNNNNNNNNNNNNNNNNNNNNNNNNNNNNNNNNNNNNNNNNNNNNNNNNNNNNNNNNNNNNNNNNNNNNNNNNNNNNNNNNNNNNNNNNNNNNNNNNNNNNNNNNNNNNNNNNNNNNNNNNNNNNNNNNNNNNNNUUCGUAUGUGGGGAGGAGGAGGGGGCGGGGGGCUUACCGGAGUGGGCAGGGCGACGGCGCCGGUGAGGAGGACGGCGAGGAAGACGGCAGGGCGACGAGGAGGCCGGCGAGGAGGACGACGAGGAGGCUGGCGAAGAGGACGGUAGGGCGACGGCGGGCAGCCUGGCGGCGUCGAUGCGGGCAGUCCGUUGCCGCGCCGGGCAGGAGAUGCGAGCGAGAGGAAGAAGAGAACGAAAUGGAUUUUCGUCCGUGCCGUAUAUAUAGUAGGAUCUUUAGUCCCGGUUCGAGAGACACCCUUUAGUCCCGGGUCGUGGCUCCACCCGGGACUAAAGGCCCUUUUUCGGCAGACCAAAAGGCGGGAAGCAGGGGCCUUUAGUCCCGGGUCGGGGCUCGAGCCAGGACUAAAGACAUCCUUUAGUCCCGGGUGGAGCCACGACCCGGGACUAAAGGCCCGUGCUCGGCACGCGGCAGGCGAGGGGCUUUAGUCCCGGGUCGUGGCUCCACCCGGGACUAAAGCCCCUCCGCUGGCUGCACGAUAAGUUUAGUCCCACCUCGUCCAGCGAGGGGGACUAACACUUGUUUAUGAGCCCCGUCGCAGCAUCUCCAUCGAGCUCCUCUCUAAAGCAGGCUUACGGGCCUAAACUGACUGUAAAUUUAAAAAUUUCAACUAUAUUUGAAAUUAUGGAGAAAAUUAAACCUGAAUUCAAAGUGAGGUCACUUUGAAUUUAGGUUUAAUUUUCUCUAUAAAUUCUCAUAUAGUUUCAAUUUUUUUCUAUUUUCAAAAUUAACUAUUUUGUUAUAUUCAAUUAAAAACUAUGUUUAUUAAAAUUCUUUUUGCAUAUUUGAGAAUUUGACAAAACUAUGAUAAUGAAAAGUGUUUGAAAUUCAAUAAAUAAUUCAAAACUAUUUUCUAUUUUCAAAAUUAAUUAUUUUGACUAUCCAAACUAUUAAUUAUUUUGUUAUUUUCAAUUAAAAACUAUGUUUAUUAAAAUUCGUUUUUGCAUAUUUGAGAAUUUGACAAAACUAUGAUAAUGAAAAGUGUUUGAAAUUGAAUAAAUAAUUCAAAAUUAUUUUCUAUUUUCAAAAUUAAUUUUUUGACUAUCCAAACUAUUAACUAUUUUGUUAUUUUCAAUUAAAAACUAUGUUUAUGAAAAUUCUUUUUGCAUAUUUGAGAAUUUGACAAAACUAUGAUAAUGAAAAGUGUUUGAAAUUGAAUAAAUAAUUCAAAACUAUUUUCUAUUUUCAAAAUUAAUUAUUUUGACUAUCCAAACAAUUAACUAUUUUGUUAUUUUCAAUUAAAAACUACGUUUAUUAAAAUUCUUUUUGCAUAUUUAAGAAUUUGACAAAACUAUGAUAAUGAAAAGUGUUUGAAAUUGAAUAAAUAAUUCAAAACUAUUUUCUAUUUUCAAAAUUAAUUAUUUUGACUAUCCAAACUAUUAACUAUUUUGUUAUUUUAAAUUAAAAACUAUGUUUAUUAAAAUUAUUUUUGCAUAUUUGAGAAUUUGACAAAAUUAUGAUAAUGAAAAGUGUUUGAAAUUGAAUAAAACAUUUGGUAUUCUUCGUGCAUUUACUUAUUUUUUUUGAGCUAGUUGACCCUGAAAUUGAAAAGCACUACAAAUGAACUCUCAAAAUGUUGAAAGUUGGCAUGCUAUCAUCAUUUCACCCACAUAGCAUGUGUUAAAAAGUUGAGAUGGCUACGACAAAAACUGGAUGCACUUCGUGUACAAAACGGACAAUCUCUCUCGAAGUAUCAGCGUUUCGAACGAGAACUCAUCUCUUACAAAGGGAUUUCAUUUUUUGAACUUAUUUGAACUCCAUAAUUUUUGUGUGUUCAAAAUGCACCAUUCAAAGGCACAUCACAAAAUUUCAACAAUUUCUGACUUCAUUUGGUAUUCUUCGUGCAUUGACUUAUUUUUUUGAGCUAGUUGACCCUGAAAUUGAAAAGAACUACAAAUAAACUCUGAAAAUGUUGAAAGUUGGCAUGCUAUCAUCAUUUCACCCACAUAGCAUGUGUUAAAAAUUUGAGAGGCUACGAGAAAAACUGGAUGCACUUCGUGUACAAAACGGACAAUCUCUCUCGAAGUAUCAGCGUUUCUAACGAGAACUCAUCUCUUACAAAGGGAUUUCAUUUUUUUGAACUUAUUUGAACUCCAUACUUUUUGUGUGUUCAAAAUGCACCAUUCAAAGGCAUAUCACAAAAUUUCAACAAUUUCUGACUUCAUUUGGUAUUCUUCGUGCAUUUACUUAUUUUUUUUGAGCUAGUUAACCCUGAAAUUGAAAAGCACUACAAAUGAACUCUGAAAAUGUUGAAAGUUGGCAUGCUAUCAUCAUUUCACCCACAUAGCAUGUGUUAAAAAGUUGAGAGGGCUACAACAAAAACUGGAUGCACUUCCUGUACAAAACGGACAAUCUCUCUCGAAAUAUCAGCGUUUCGAACGAGAACUCAUCUCUUACAAAUGAAUUUCAUUUUUGAACUUAUUUGAACUCCAUACUUUUUGUGUGUUCAAAAUGCACCAUUCAAAGGCACAUCACAAAAUUUCAACAAUUUCUGACUUCAUUUGGUAUCCUUCGUGCAUUUACUUAUUUUUUUUGAGCUAGUUAACCCUGAACUUGAAAAGCACUACAAAUGAACUCUGAAAAUGUUGAAAGUUGGCAUGCUAUCAUCAUUUCAUCCACAUAGCAUGUGUUAAAAAGUUGAGAGGGCUACGACAAAAACUAGAUGCACUUCGUGUACAAAACGGACAAUCUCUCUCGAAGUAUCACCGUUUCGAACGAGAACUCAUCUCUUACAAAGGGAUUUCAUUUUUUUGAACUUAUUUGAACUCCAUACUUUUUGUAUGUUCAAAAUGCACCAUUCAAAGGCACAUCACAAAAUUUCAACAAUUUCUGACUUCAUUUGGUAUUCUUCGUGCAUUUACUUAUUUGUUUUUGAGCUAGUUGACCCUGAAAUUGAAAAGCACUACAAAUGAACUCUGAAAAUGUUGAAAGUUGGCAUGCUAUCAUCAUUUCACCACAUAGCAUGUGUUAAAAAGUUGAGAGGGCUACGACAAAAACUGGAUGCACUUCGUGUACAAAACGGACAAUCCCUCUCGAAGUAUCAGCGUUUCGAACGAGAACUCAUCUCUUACAAAGGAUUUCAUUUUUUGAACUUAUUUGAACUCCAUACUUUUUGUGUGUUCAAAAUGCACCAUUCAAAGGCACAUCACAAAAUUUCAACAAUUUCUGACUUCAUUUGGUAUUCUUCGUGCAUUUACGUAUUUUUUUUGAGCUAGUUGACCCUGAAAUUGAAAAGCACUACAAAUGAACUCUGAAAAUGUUGAAAGUUGACAUGCUAUCAUAAUUUCACCCACAUAGCAUGUGUUAAAAAGUUGAGAGGGCUACGACAAAAAAUGGAUGCACUUCGUGUACAAAACGGACAAUCUCUCUCGAAGUAUCAGGGUUUCGAACGAGAACUCAUCUCUUACAAAGGGAUUUCAUUUUUUGAACUUAUUUGAACUCCAUACUUUUUGUGUGUUAAAAAUGCACCAUGCAAAGGCACAUCACAAAAAUUCAACAAUUUCUGACUUCAUUUGGUAUUCUUCGUGCAUUUACUUAUUUUUUUUGAGCUAGUUAACCCUGAACUUGAAAAGCACUACAAAUGAACUCUGAAAAUGUUGAAAGUUGGCAUGCUAUCAUCAUUUCAUCCACAUAGCAUGUGUUAAAAAGUUGAGAGGGCUACGACAAAAACUGGAUGCACUUCGUGUACAAAAUGGACAAUCUCUCUCGAAGUAUCAGCGUUUCGAACGAGAACUCAUCUCUUACAAAGGGAUUUCAAUUUUUUGAACUUAUUUGAACUCCAUACUCUUUGUGUGUUCAAAAUGCACCAUUCAAAGGCACAUCACAAAAUUUCAACAAUUUCUGACUUCAUUUAGUAUAUUUCGUGCAUUUACUUUUUUUUUUGAGCUAGUUGACCCUGAAAUUGAAAAGCACUACAAAUGAACUGUGAAAAUGUUGAAAGUUGGCAUGCUAUCAUCACUUCACCCACAUAGGAUGUGUUAAAAAGUUGAGAGGGCUACGACAAAAAUUGGAUGCACUUCGUGUACAAAACGGACAAUCUCUCUCGAACUAUCAGCGUUUCGAACGAGAACUCAUCUCUUACAAAGGUUUAUUAAAAUUCUUUUUGCAUAUUUGAGAAUUUGACAAAACUAUGAAAAUGAAAAGUGUUUGAAAUUGAAUAAAUAAUUCAAAACUAAAAGGUUUAGUACAUUCCAUACAUGCAUUACAUAAAAGGUUUAAUACAUUAUUACAUUAUUGCACCAAUAUUCCUAUCUAUUAUUUCUGUUUUCUUCUAGGUCGUAGCCAUGGAGAAUCUUCAUCAUUCAGUAGGAUGCUUGGGUCAGUUUUCACUUUGAAGGGCGGAAUUUCAUGGAACUUAUUAUAAUCUACUCACAUGUCUGUCUUGUCAUCUACUCCCACGAUGUUUCUUUUCCCUGAAAGAACUAUGUGGCGUUUUGGCUCAUGGGACGAUAUCUUCUUUUGCUGAUUUCUUUUUCUCGUUUUUGUAGACAUGUCCUUCACAUAGAAAACCUGAGCGACAUCAUUGGCUAGGACAAAUGGUUCGUCCAUGUACGCAAGAUUGUUGAGAUCCACUGUUGUCAUGCGUACUUUUGAUAUACAACUACCCCGCCUCCUGUCAGCUUCACCCAUUUGCACCGAAACAAAGGGAUCUUAAAAGUAGGUCCAUAGUCAAGUUCCCAUAUCUCCUCUAUGUACCCGUAAUAUGUUUCCAAACAGUGUCCAUUCUCGUCUGUUGCAUCAAAGCGGACACCACUAUUUUGGUUGGUGCUCUUUUUAUCUUGGGCAACCGUGUAAAAUGUAUUCCCAUUUAUCUCAUACCCUUGGAAAGUACAUAUAGUCGAAGAUGGUGGCCUGGCCAAACAGUACAGCUGAUCUCCAAGGGUGUCGUCAUUCAUGAGAUGUGUCUGCAACCAACUGCCAAAAGUCUUCUCGUGUUCCCCUUUAAUCCAAGAGUCAGCCUUCCCCGGGUUUUCGGAGCGUAGAAUAUUCUUGUGUCUCACGAUAUACGGAGCCACCACGGUGGAAUUGUGUAGAAGUGUGUAGUGUGCUUGAGAGAAAGAAUGCCCAUCGAUACAUACUUUUGCUUUCCUUCCUAGUGUGCCUUUUCCUGUCAGCCUACCCUCAUACCGAGAUUCAGGAACACCAAUCGUCUUAAGGUCAGGAAGAAAGUCCACACAAAACUCAAUGACCUCCUCUGUUCCAUAGCCCUUGGAGAUGCUUCCUUCUGGCCUAGCACGGUUACGAACAUAUUUCUUUAAGACUCCCAUGAACCUCUCGAAGGGGAACAUAUUGUGUAGAAACACAGGACCGAGAAUUCUAAUCUCUUCGACUAGGUGAACUAGGAGGUGUGUCAUUAUAUUGAAGAAGGAUGGCUGGAACAACAACUCAAAGCUGACCAGACAUUGGACCACAUCAAUCUGUAACCCUGAUAGACUUUCUCGAUCGAUUACCUUCUGAGAAAUUGCACUGAGGAAUGCACAUACCUUCACAAUUGUCAAGCGAACAUUUUCCGGUAGAAUUCCCCUCAAUGCAACCGGAAUAAAUUGCAUCAUAAGCACGUGGCAGUCAUGAGACUUUAGGUUUUGGAAUUUUUUGUCUUUCAUAUUUACGAUUCCCUUUAUAUUCGACGAGAAGCCAGUCGGGACCUUGAUACUGAAAAGGACUUCAAAGAAGAUUUCCUUCUCUUCCUUAGUAAGAGCGUAGCUGGCACGCCCUUGAAACUGCCCUGGAUGCAUGCCAUCUCUUCCUUUAUGACGUUCCUGGUCCUCCCGUGCUUCCGGUGUAUCUUUUGACUUCCCAUACAAGCCCAGGAAGCCUAGAAUAUUCACGCAGAGAUUCUUCGUCAGGUGCAUCACGUCGAUUGCCGAGCGGACCUCAUGGACUUCCCAGUAGGGUAGCUCCCAAAAUAUAGAUUUCUUCUUCCACAUGGGUACGCGCUUAUCAGGGCCGUUAGGAAUAGGUUGGCUGCCAGGACCCUUUCCAGAGAUUACUUUUAAAUCUUUGACCAUAUCAAAUACUUGAGCACCAGUAUGGAUGACAGGCUUCCCCCGGGGUUCUGCCUUGCCAUUGAAAUGCUUGCCUUUUUUCUUUAAGGGAUGCUUGGGCGGAAGAAAACGACGAUUGUACGGGUACACAUUCUUCCUACAUUUGUCCAGAUAUAUACUUUCUGUCUGACCCAAACAGUGCGUGCAUGCAUUGUAUCCCUUGUUUGACUGUCCUGAAAUGUUACUAAGAGCAGGACAAUCAUUGAUGGUUACGAAAAGCAACGCUCAAAGGUCAAAUUCCUCUUGUUUGUGCUCGUCCCACACACGUACACCUGGUUCGGCCCACAACUGUAAAAGUUCAUCAACUAAUGGCCUUAGGUACACAUCAAUAUCGUUGCCGGGUUGCUUUGGACCUUGGAUAAGCACUGGCAUCAUAAUGAACUUUCGCUUCAUCCACAACCAAGGAGGAAGGUUGUAGAUACAUAGAGUAACGGGCCAGUUGUUGUGACUGCAACUCUGCUCCCCAAAAGGAUUCAUGCCAUCUGUACUCACACCUAACCAUAAGUUCCUUGCGUCAGCUGCAAAUCUCGGGAACUCUCUCUCGAUUUUUCUCCACUGUCGACCAUCAGCGGUGUGCCUCAACUUAUCGUCUUUCAUACGAUCUUCCAUGUGCCAUCGCAACAACUUCGCAUGAUCUUUAUUUCUAAACAGACGUUUCAACCGUGGUAUUAUAGGAGCAUACCACAUCACCUUGGCAGGAACCCUCUUCCUGGGUGGCUCGCCCUCAAUAUCACCAGGGUCAUCUUUUCUGAUCUUAUACCGCAAUGCAGUGCAUACCGGGCAUUUAUCCAUAUUCUCGUACUUCUCACCGCGGUAGAGGAUGCAGUCAUUAGGGCAUGCAUGUAUCUUCUGCACGUCUAAUCCUAGAGGGCAGACAAGCUUCUUUGCUUCGUACGUGCUGGCGGGCAAUUCGUUCUUUUUGGAAGCAUCUUCUUCAUCAGUACCAGAACCUUUUCGAAUGACGAGUCAGUCACACUGAUCUCUGCCUUCCACUUCAGCAAUUCCAGUGUGCUACCCAGCUUCUUCUGGCCAUCUUCACAAGUUGGGUACAACAAUUUGUUGUGGUCCUGUAACAUCUGCUCGAACUGCAACCUCUCCUUUUCUGUGUCGCAACCUCGCCGUGCUCAGAAAUGACCCGGCCAAGAUCAUCAGCGGCUCAUCUGAUUCCCGUUCUUCAUCCUGAUCUUCUUCUUCAUUGUCUUCCAUUGCGGUAUCAUCAUACUCAGGGAACAUAGAUCGGUAGUUGUCAUCAUCGUUCUCUUCUUCUUCAUCGUCGUCUUCCAUCAUAACCCCUCUUUCUCUAUGCUUGGUCCAAACAUUAUAGCCCGACAUAAAACCGGACCGAAGCAGGUGGCUCUGAAUGACUCUUGAGGAAGUGUAAUCCUUCUCAUUCCGACAUUCAACACAUGGACAAAACAUAUAGCCACCACCAUGCUUGUUCGCAUCGGAUGCAUCUCGAAAAGAAUGCACGCCUUCUCUGUAAGCGGCUGUGCGUCGAUCACCGUACAUCCAUGGAUGGCUCAUCUGCGUUAUACGACAGUAUAUCAAAUACAAUCACGAUCCUAAAAAUUAGUACCGCACGGUCUAAACGAGGAAAUAUAGUUGCUAACCUUUUAGAAUAAGUAGAAAUAAAGAGGAAGAGGUUUAAGCGUGGCUCGGGCAUCUCAUAUCGUAGUUGUGUUCGGUGAACUGAAGCGGCAUCGCUCUAACACACAUUUCAACAAACACCUCUAGUGCAUCAAAAAAUGGAGAGCUAGCACACACCCACGCUCUUUCAUCCAAGAAAAAUGCAAGGAAGAGGGGAGAGGGGGGCUGUGCUAUAUAUAUAGGCAGAGGACUUUAGUCCCGGUUUGAGACACAAACCGGGACUAAAGGUGGCGCACAUGCGGGUUGCACACCGCAUAGCCCUUUAGUCCCGGUUUGAGACACAAACCGGGACUAAAGGCUCCUUACGGGCCGGGACCAAAGCCUCGUGGGCGGCAUUACGAUUUGGGGCGACGUGGCCGGGCCUUUAGUCCCGUCCCAAAGGGAGGCCGGGACUAAAGGGUCCUGGCCAAAGGCCCGUUUUCCACUAGUGCAUAUAUAAGACCGGGACUAAAGGGUCCAGGCCAAAGGCCCGUUUUCCACUAGUGCAUAUAUACCAUAUUUUCCUCCUCCACCGUGAUGGAAACUUCCAAUGCAGAUGAUAUUAUUAUACAUAUUUUAAAACAUCCUGUAUGCGGAUUUUUAAUUCUAGAAAACAAAUCAUUUUUAAUUCUGGAAAACACAUCAAAUUAACAGUAGCAUCAAACCAGCAGUCAACCAACAUUGUACUUUUUGAAUCACGUUCUUUAGUUAGAUAUGUAAUGGGGUCGCUAUCAUCUUUCCUCAGCACCAUAUAUACCAUAUUUUCCUCCUCCACCGUGACGAAAACUUCCAAUGCAGAUGAUGUUAUUAUACAUACUCCCUCCGUCCCAAAAUAACUGUCUCAACUUUGUACUAGCUUUAAUACAAAAUUAUACUAAGCUCAAGACAUUUAUUUUGGGACGGAGGGAGUAUUUUAGAACAUCCUGUAUGCGGAUUUUUAAUUCUAGAAAACAAAUCAAAUUAACAUUGACAUCAAACUAGCAGUCAACCAUCAUGUACGCUAUAAGAAUUACCUUCUUUCAUCCACAUGUCUAGUGUCUCUUAGGCUGCCUCCAUGCUGCCGUCGUUUUCAUCUAGUGAUCGAGCAGCUCCAGCUCUUCGGCCUCAAGAAGCCACCAGUGCUCACAUGGACAUGCGCCUAGAACCUGCACACCUGCGACAAUGAUUAUAAGGUGGAAAUCUUACACCACCGCUGCUGCCCUUUCUCAUCAGGGAGAUCAAGGAGUACCUGGCAAUUCGAGUCCCAGAAUAACCUGUAAAUUUGCAGGAGAUGCGGGAAAGUCAAUUAGCAGGAAAUCGAUGCACGUGAAAAUCCUAGAUGACUGGGAACUACCUACGGACACAAAAUAACUACUCAUAGAUCGAAGGAAAAGGUCAUGAAUGGGAUAAGUGCUUGACCGCUUGAGGAAGGUGACAUGGGGUCCUGGGGUUACCUUGGGAAAAAAGAAGAAACCAUGGAUCUACGUAUAUCUCUCCCUAAUAAUAAAGUAAAUUCGGUUUCUAGUCAUCCGUCUUAAAAAUUAUUCCUAAAGUUUGCACAGAUUACCCACCAUGCCACCGGUAAGUAAUAGAAAAUGUUUCACAAAGCGAAAAAUCUUGUACUGGGCCGGCCCAUGUAAAAAACCUCCUAUAUUACGCUCUGCACGGUCGGAGAAUAUCCAGCACACCGUAUGGAGCGGGCCAUGCACAGACGUCUGCUUUUAGUUCCGUUUAUUUACUUAUUUUCAGUUCUGUUUUAUUUUUUUCUUUUAAAUAAUUAAAACUUCAAAUAAUCAUUAAAAUUUUACUAAACUGAAAAUUGUAAAUCAACAAAUUUAAAAAAUUAAAAUGUUUGUGACUUCAAAAACUGCUCGGAGUUUUGUAAAAAAUGCUCGCAUAUACAAUAAAAUGUUUGUACAAUAAGAAUAGUUCAUGAUCUCAAAUACAAUUCCAUGUAUUAAAAACUAUUAAAGGCAUUUAACAAAAUGCUUUCUAAUUCAAAAUAUGUCCUAAAAUUUUAAAAAUAGCUAAUGCCUGUUUUGAUAGUUUCUUUUUUUUAUUUAAAAUUUUCCCUUCCAUUUUUGUUUACUUAUAAUUUAAAUAAUUUAGAAUUACAAAAACUUUUGCAUAUUAAAAAAGAGGAAUUUGGAUUAAAAUGCUGACGAAUUUUAUUUUGAAUUAAAAAUAGGAUUCAAAAAAGCGCCGAAUUUUUAUAUUUGUUUUGCAAAUUCUAAAACAAUGUCCAUGAAUUUCAUAAAUAUAUUACUGAUUUAUAAAAAUGUUUGUUUAUUCAGAAAAACUUCAUGUGUUUCAAAAAAUGUUUCUGAAUUUAAAAUAAAAUCCUCCAACAUAAAAAAUUACGUUCGUCUUUUCUUGAAUUGAUGGCCAAUUCAAAAGAAAAUAUUUAAACCCGUUCGAAAUAUAAAAAAAUAUUCACGAUUUUUAGUAAAUGUUCGUAAAUUGUAAAAAUGUUCUCGAUUUUAAAAUCGUUUCCAUAUUUGUAAAAUUGUUCAGGAAAGAUCUAAUGUAUGUAGUUAAACAUUAAUGCUUCUAAGUCUUUGUGAUAAUAUACCUGUGUGAAUUUUAAAGAAUUAACUGUUGGAUGGAUUGGAUUAUUAUUGUAUGUUUUCUAAAAGAAAUCUGGAAAUUCAGAUAAAUCUUUGAAUUAAUAAGAUUUUUGACAACCAUGAUAUAUAUUUUUUGAAAAUGUAAAGAUUGCUUCAACUUGUGAAUAAAUUUAAAGAAAAAACAAUUUCUUGCGUUUGUACACAAAAUUUUUAAAUCAAGCGAUGAUAUGUGAACAUAAUGUGGUCACCAUCAUUGGAGAUUAUGUUUUUUUCUUCCGUGGCAACGCACGGGAACAAAGAAAGAUAACUUGACCACAAGCUUAUUUUUUUAUUUAUUUAAAAAAACCAUGUUUCUCACGGCAGGGAUUGCACCAACCUCCGAGAAAAAAAGGAGCGUGCACCUAUAUUGUGUUAGCCAGCGAUCUUUUCUUUGACAUGUAUUUUUUUACCAAACUGUGAAUUAGUUUGAAGUGUAGAUAUUAAUCUGAGGGCUAGCUACCUCUAAAUAACGUGAUGAUAUAGAUGGCUAUUUUUUCAAAUAUAAUUUGAAAUAUAUAAUGAUUGAAGCUGGAAAAUACAUGAAUUAAUCUAGACCGUCCUAACUCGGUCCCACCGGAUUAACGGCUCGUAAAUUCUAAUUAAUGUGGUAAUUUCUGGAGAGUCAGUAAUUAGUAUAGGUAUAGAUGAUUGAAGCUGGAAAAUACAUGGAUUAAUCUAGACCGUCCUAACUCAGUCCCACCGGAGUAACGGCUCGUAAAUUUUAAUUAAUGUGGUAAUUUCUGGAGAGUCUGUAUAGAUAGAUUAGGAACGCAACUUCCUCAAUCUAUUCUCAAUCUUUAAAUAGGUAGGAGGAUGUGUCUGCUUCAGCUAGCCGUGCCAUCGAACCGGGUGCUCGAAGUGGGACAUUUUUUGUAAGCCGAACUAAAGAUGAGAUGAAUCGGAAGCAGGAUUAUGGUUGCCAACUACAAUAACUUUGUUUGUGAUUUGUUCAUGAUGUGUGAGUAGUCCCGCCAGGCUAAUGGCCAAGGCAUAGCCUCACAACCCCUAUGUAUGUGUAUUAAGUGAUUGUUGAUUUACUUUAACAUUUAACAUUAUUUCUGUGUGUUACACAACAAUCUUGUCUCUUGCCACAAAGCAGGUACCCAAGAUACCGAAGACCAAAAAAGGAGAGGUAAAGGACAAAGAGGACUGGAAGGCUAUGCCGAACGUUGGCGACAUUAAGAUCAGUAUGGUAUUUAGAACCGAGUCUCUCGGGAUUUCCCUAAUAUAAUAGAGGUAACCCCAUGAGACAGACAUGGCUUUGAUGGGCUAAGAGAAGUUCAAUGCGGUGGCAGUAUGUCGUCAUGUUAUUUGAAACUUUUUGUACAUGAAAUAUGAAUACAUUUUCUAUAUGCCUGCAAAGUUUCAUUACCAUAUGACAUGGGGGGAGCUCAGGACAGAAAAAAAUAAAAUAUAUGUUCCAAAGUACAAAAAAACCUUUCUUAAAACUUUGAUUUUUGUUUUUCUUGUCUAGAGCUCUCCCGAUGUCAUAUCGUCAUGAAAUUUCGGUGACGCAUUGAAAACUUGUUCAUCUUUCAUGGGUUCAUAUUAUUUUAAAAUAUAUAUUAUUUUUAUUUUACUGUUCAUCCAAAGAAGCAGAUGAACUCGAGCACUGAAACUCCCUCCUUCCCUGAUCAUCUCUUGAAUUAAACUCUUAGUCCAUGUAAAAUGCAAGGUGCUAGUUAGUUCCUGCAAAAAUAAACCAAUUUUACUAAGCACCAGUUUUUGUUUUUAUAGCAGACGUGCCUAAAUAAACGCAUGUGCUUGGCUCCGUUGUAUCGCUCCCUCUAGGGAAAUAAGAGAAUCAACCCCAGUGCCCCGGCCGCCGCCCCCUCCCCCCUCUCCUCCACCUCGUCAUCCCCGAGACAUGCCCGGCUAAUCCCGGCGCCCUCCGGUGAUGGGGACGGAGGGGAUCUAGGCUGCCGCCCGACGGUGUGGAGGGAUCAGCGGCGCGAGAUCGCCCUUCGGUCUUUGUCUUUCCCGACAGUUCGGCACUGCUCCGGUGGCUUCGUGGGAAGGGCGGACCAGGAGGGGAUGUGGCCAUGGGUUGACUGGUCGACGGUGCAUUCGGCGAGAUCUCAUCUGGCCGGUGCUGCUGGCGGUGGUAGCCAUAUCCUCCAUUGGAGGUGGUCGGCCUGAGGCUGGAUGGUCAGAUCUCGAUAUCCGCCGUCUAGUUCCAGCUGUGAGUCGGGAAGACAAAGUUGCCGAUGAAAACCGAGUCGAUGGCAGGCGAUGAUGGUGUUCUGUGUCGUUACCUUGAUGAAGGCAUCGUCGUGUAACUAUUGUCGUCCAACUCGUGCUGCUCCGGGGGAAACCCUAGGAUCUAGUCUUCCAGAUUGGACGAUGGCGGUAUUGCGGUGUCGUCUUCUCUCUUGGGAGCAUCGUUUGUGGAGCAAAGCUGAAAGACAGAGGCAGGAGGUGGAGCGGCUUCGUCUUGCACGAAGCUUUCGGUGGAGAUGUCAAGGCAUGCCUGGCCGACAGGUGAUAUGCUCGAGCUCAUACCUGGUCGGCAGGUGCUCCGCACGACAGAUUUCCAGAAUGUUCGCGUGUGGACGGACGAGCGUGGGAUGAUGGCGCCGUUGGGCGCCGUGGUGGCGUCGAUGGAUGGACGGACUUGCAACGAUGAUGCAGAUCUCUCUUCUGAAGAUGGAUCAACAGUUAGAUGAUGAUGGCGGCGUCUAAAACGUAUGCAUGUGGUGUACGCUUUAUGAAUGUUGCACCGGUUGUGGGUUCCGAUAUGUUAUGUGGAUGGAUUGACAAUGCCUCUUGUUUUAGAUAUGGGGAGUGAGGGCACUCCAUAUUAUAGAAUUUUAUAGGUGUGAGUGGUGGCUUCGGGUGGCUUGAUAUAUGUUCUUGUUUGACCUAUGUUAAAUAAUAAAUAAAGAUGGCCGUAUGCAUCGAUUUAUGCAAAGAACGGGGUUUUUAACCUCCUUUUCCAAAAAAAAAAAUAUCUCUGUAAUCAGCCUCCAUUGUGCAUGAUCAAAGUUGAUAAAGCGUGAUAUAUAUACAAUGGUUUUGCUUAAAAGAAACAACAACGUGUGUUUUCCAGUACAUGCGGUGAGCAAAAUAUGAUUAUAAACGAAUGCAACCCAGCAUCUCAACUAGCUGAUUUAUGUGUAAUGAUACAUGUACACGCUCACAGGCAUUUGUUAAUGAGUAACGCAGCUGGAUAAUUAUCAGCUACUAGUACUAGAGCAAUUUCCCCACGGGGACAAGCUCUUAAAAACAACACUAAAGAUUGACAAAAGCACGGGCUUUCAGACCCAGCAAUGAUAAAAGCUUAGCCGCCAUCCAAUUUGGAAAAGCUCUUUGGCGCCUUCACCAGUCUCCACUCACCAGACCCAUUCGGGCCAAGCUUCACCAACCCCGCUUUCGAGAUCCUAUAUAUAGCGCUCACUUCUGCUCUCUAGAAAACCAAGCAGCUCUGCGCCAUUACAACAGUCAUAGUUCACAUCAUUUGUUGUACUUGUACUAGCUUGAUCAUCAUAGCAAUGGCCUCCACCAACAGCUGGACCCAUGAGAUUGAGUCGUCGGUCGCUGCAUCACGCCUCUUCCGUGCCGGCGUUAUGGACUGGCACACCUUGGCCCCCAAGCUCGCGCCACAGAUCGUCACCAGCGCGCACCCUGUCGAGGGAGAAGGCGGCAUCGGCAGUGUCAGACAGUUCAACUUCACCUCAGGUAUGCAUCAUAUAUAUACAACUCAUAUCACCUGCAGUCUGGUACAUAUGGUCAAAGCAUAACACAUAGUUGAUCUUGCAGCCAUGCCCUUCAACCUCAUGAAGGAGAGGCUCGAGUUCAUUGAUGUGGACAAGUGCGAGUGCAAGUCGAACCUCAUCGAGGGUGGUGGCAUCGGCACAGCGAUCGAGACGGCCACGUCACACAUUAAGGUGGAGCCGGCAGCCAACGGUGGGAGCGUAGUGAAGGUGGAAUCGGCAUACAAGUUGCUGCCAGGCGUGGAGGUCAACGAUGAGAUCACCAAGGCCAAGGACUCCGUGACGGCCAUUUUCAAGGCCGCCGAGGCCUACCUUAUCGCCAACCCGGAUGCCUACAACUAAAUCAGUUGAGAGGGAUUAUAUAUGAUUAUGCUUUCCCUAGUUUGAGUUUUGCAUGCUUUCUUCCUGAUCGAAUAAAGCUUCUCCAACCUCCAAGUAGUGACAGCAAGAGAGCUGACCAUGGUGUGGACUUGAGAAGUUUAAAAUUUUUGUAUUUGUAACAACUAUCAAAGGGUGUUAUUGUUUGAUGUUGCUGCUUGCUUGCGCACGUUCCUUGUCAUUUUGUACUAGAAUAAAAGGAGGUAUCUGAAACACAAACAUAACUCGUAUAUAUAUUUUGAAUUGGAAGUUUGUGGGCUGAGAAAUUCUUAUGUUUGCUUGACUGAACAUGAUUUCACUCGCUCUUUUCAAAUAGGAAGAGCUAUUUUGAAUGUACAAUCCAUUGUGUUUUUAUUUUUGGCAUCACAUUUGCCUCAAUUAGGGUUAUGCAGUUUGUUCGGAUGUAGCUUUUUUGACGAUUCGUCCAAUCCUCUCUCGUUGAGCUACUCGGAAUCUCUGUCCGCAAUCAUGACCCUUCUAUGCAUGCCUCAUAGCCCCAACAGCCACCAAAUCCUGCCUAUAAUAUGCCCUCAACUUCCUAGAACCCACUCCAUGAGCCCUCUCCGCUCAGGCUACUUGGAUUUAACCCACAAUUGCGGCCUAUGUACCAAGCUCCGACGGUGAUUCCGGUGAGCCCGGGUAAACCCAGAACAUGCCUUCUCGCCUAUUGAUACUACAAACUCUGGCGCAUGUUUUUCAGAUGCCACGCCUUCCCAUACCGUACAUACACAGACGCGAGCGCGACAUACAUGAACACUUUGCCAUGCCACCGCAUGUCUAACUCACCAAUCGCGCUACUCCGAGUUCAUGAAGCGAUUCUUGUGAGUGUUAGUGAAUUAAAUACCGUGCUCUUUGACGCAUGCCCCUCGUAUCCAAAAUUAUAUUUUUAUUGCAAUAGUUCUUCCAAAGUGUUCCUGAGAAAAAAAAAACAUGUUAGCUAGACAAAAUAAAAUAAUUACUUCACUGGUGGAAAAAAGGCCUUUGGUCGCGGUUCGCAACUGCCAUUAGUCGCGGUUGCGCAACCGCGACCAACUAAGCGCGACUAAAGCCCCCCACCUUUAGUCGCGGUUUCUUAAGAACCGCGACUAAAGGCCCGUCCACGUGGGCGCCAGGCGGCCGUCGGGGCGGAGGACCUUUAGUCGCGGUUCUUCUGGCCAACCGCGACUAAAGNAUUCUACGGUACUACAUACAUGCAUAUGAAUGUACAAUUUUAAACAAAUUUGAAAUUAGAACCAAAAAGAAUUCAAGAGGAAUAUACAAUAUAUAUUCAAUAUCAUCGGAUGACCAUAUACAAUUUUGAACAAGUUUCCAUACAUAAUUUAAUGCAUAUAAAGUUCUACGUCCUCGUAAUGGUGUUCUCCUUUAGGAUGGAGGACUUCCCUGCUGAACCAUCCAGCUAGUUCCUCUUGAAGUGGUCGGAAGCGAGCUUCUGGACUAAGCAUCAUCCGGAGGUUAUUCCUCCCCGCAUUGGUAUCACUCGGAACCCACUCAGAGGUGUAUCUCCGGAUCAUCUCACAGACAUAGUAUCCACAUAGAUUGGUCCCCGCUGGCUGAAUAUCCCCAGCAUUCUUAGGCUUUGACCUUUUGAAUUCUAGCUCUUUUUUGAAUUCACCGACCUUUGUAUCUACGAACCGUCUCCAAACCCUACGAGGCAAAGAAAAUUAAAUGAACAAGAGAGUUAUUAGUUACUUGAUAUUAGGAAAUGAACGAAAUAGGCCGAUCGAUAUAGAGCGCAAAUGAAUGAAAAUAAUUACUUCUGCAGCAUUCUUCUCAUGCCGCCCCAAAGCUUUGGAUCCAUAUUCAGAGAGUCGUGGACGAGACAUUCUGAGGUGUNNNNNNNNNNNNNNNNNNNNNNNNNNNNNNNNNNNNNNNNNNNNNNNNNNNNNNNNNNNNNNNNNNNNNNNNNNNNNNNNNNNNNNNNNNNNNNNNNNNNAAAUUUCUAAACUGACGCUUAUAUAGCCCCACCUUUAGUACCGGUUGGUGGCACCAACCGGGACCAAAGGUCUCUUUUCAGCAGCACAAAGGGCGGGAAGCAGAGCCAUUGGUACUGGUUGGUGGCACAAACCGGGAUCAAAGGUCUCUUUUCAGCAGCCCAAAGGGCGGGAAGCAGAGGCCUUUGGUCACGGUUGGUUGCACCAACCGUACCAAUUCCCCCCUUUAGUCCCGGUUGGUUCCACCAACCGGGACCAAAGGACUUGUGCGGUGCGGUGCUAUGUUUAGUCCCACCUCGCUAGCCGAGAGGGGCUCGGAGUGGUUUAUAAGCCAUGCCAAACCAACCACUUCGAGCUCCUCUCUACUACAGGCUUACAGGCCUAAAAUCACUCUCUGUGCUUGUGGGCCUAUUGGGCCUACUGCGGGCCUGCAUCCUGGCCCUAGUAAUGUGUUUCUAAUUACUUAUUUAUUUUCUAUUACGAUAAUUCUUUUUGCUAUUAAAGUUUGUAACAAAAUUCUAAUUACUUAUUUAUUUUAUUUUAUGNUAUUGGGCCUACUGCGGGCCUGCAUCCUGGCCCUAGUAAUGUGUUUCUAAUUACUUAUUUAUUUUCUAUUACGAUAAUUCUUUUUGCUAUUAAAGUUUGUAACAAAAUUCUAUAUAAUUUUAGUUUCGAUAAUACUAGAGGUUUAUAAAAGAUUUUUAGUUGAUUCCUUUUGCUGACUUCAUUUGUUAUUUUUCAUGCAUUUACUGAUUAUUUUGAGCUAUAAGACCAUGAAAUUGAAAGCAUUUGAAAUGAACUCUGAAAAGGUUCCAAGUUGGCAUGGUAUCAUCAUUUCACCAACAUAGUAUGUGCCAGAAAGUUGAGAGGGUUACGGCAAAAACUGGAUGCACUUCGUGUACAAAACGGACAAUCUCUUUGGAAGUAUCACGGUUUCAUAGGGAAACUCGUAUGUUACAAAGGGAUUUAAUUUUUUUGAACUUAUUUGAACUCCAUAGUUUUUCUGUGUUCAAAAUGCACCAUUCAAAGCCACGUCAUCAAUUUACAACCCUUUCUGACUUCAUUUCUUAUUUUUCAUGCAUUUACUGAUUAUUUUGAGCUAUAAGACCAUGAAAUUGAAAAGCAUUUGAAAUGAACUCUGAAAAGGUUCCAAGUUGGCAUGGUAUCAUCAUUUCACCCACAUAGCAUGUGCGAGAAAGUUGAGAGGGUUACGGCAAAAACUGGAUGCACUUCGUGUACAAAACGGACAAUCUCUUUGGAAGUAUCAGGGUUUCAUACGGAAACUCGUCUCUUACAAAGGGAUUUCAUUUUUUUGAACUUAUUUGAACUCCAUAGUUUUUUUGUGUUCAAAAUGCACCAUUCAAAGCCACAUCAUCAAUUUACAACCCUUUAUGACAUCAUUUGUAAUUUUUCAUGCAUUUACUGAUUAUUUUGAGCUAUAAGACCAUGAAAUUGAAAAGCAUUUGAAAUGAACUCUGAAAAGGUUCCAAGUUGNNNNNNNNNNNNNNNNNNNNNNNNNNNNNNNNNNNNNNNNNNNNNNNNNNNNNNNNNNNNNNNNNNNNNNNNNNNNNNNNNNNNNNNNNNNNNNNNNNNNAAGAGGAAUAUACAAUAUAUAUUCAAUAUCAUCGGAUGACCAUAUACAAUUUUGAACAAGUUUCCAUACAUAAUUUAAUGCAUAUAAAGUUCUGCGUCCUCGUAAUGGUGUUCUCCUUUAGGAUAGAGGACUUCCCUCCUGAACCAUCCAGCUAGUUCCUCUUGAAGUGGGCGGAAGCGAGCUUCUGGACUAAGCAUCACCCGGAGGUUAUUCCGCUGAGCAUUGGUAUCACUCGGAACCCGCUCAGAGGUGUAUCUCCGGAUCAUCUCACAGACAUAGUAUCCACAUAGAUUGGUCCCCGCUGGCUGAAUAUCCCCAGCAUUCUUAGGCUUUGACCUUUUGAAUUCUAGCUCUUUUUUGAAUUCACCGACCUUUGUAUCUACGAACCGUCUCCAAACCCUACGAGGCAAAGAAAAUUAAAUGAACAAGAGAGUUAUUAGUUACUUGAUAUUAGGAAAUGAACGAAAUAGGCCGAUCGAUAUAGAGCGCAAAUGAAUGAAAAUAAUUACUUCUGCAGCAUUCUUCUCAUGCCGCCCCAAAGCUUUGGAUCCAUAUUCAGAGAGUCGUGGACGAGACAUUCUGAGGUGUGAACUUUAAUUACUAGCAGAAUCCAGUGGAACCUGCGGACACGAUACAUGCACAGUACGUCAUGCAUAACUCAUCGAUUAGCCGGCCACAUACCAUGCAUGGAGUAAACAAAAGAGAAUGUGCUCAAGACAGAAACACUCACCCAAAAUGGUAAGGAAAGAAUAUCACUUUUGAGUUCCUGCUUUGUAAGAAACUGCCACAGGUCUGCCUCCAUGUCGGCGGGGUGAUGCUCCAACACAUAUCCAUUAACGAUGUGUGGGUCAAUGAACCCAACAUCAUGGAUGUUCCUUACUCUGCAUUCCUUAAUCUUCAUUCUGCAUGUAUAAUAGCGGACACAACAAUAUAGUUACGACAUAUAUAUAGUGCAGGCAAUAUGAACGAGAUGGGGUAGAAAUAAAUCACUUACAGAACGUAGCAACUGAUGAUAGAUUUGUCGAGCUCGCGCAGAUUGAAAAGCUGGAACAAUUCACUCAGAUGAAUUUGUACAUAGUAAUGUUUGAAGUGAUGCUCAUAUCUAACUUCCGCAUAAAUAUAUUCUUUGGCGUUUUUAUUUUUUAUGUAACCCUUGUACCAUUUCAGCAGACCUUUCAUUUGUGGAGGUAGAUCCUAUUCCUGCGCAGGCUCGACGAGAGGCCCAUUCUUCACAUAUGUAAUUACUACCUCCUUCACUGGCGCCUCAUCAAGGCCUAACAGUUCACGAAGAGUAAUACCUAAGUUGGCCGCUUGUUCUCUGGCACUCGUUACAGUCAAUCCAUGUGCUGCCGCAGCUGCUAUGAUAUCGGGGUCAUCCGGACCGGCGGCUUUCACUAUAAGCGGGGCAAUCGAUUGUUUACUUUGUUCCCCGAGUUGGGCAACUCGUUUCCCGCUUUUUUUACUUUCUAAUUCCGUUUUCUCGGCCUCCUCCAAGGCUUUGUUCUCCUGGUUCUCCGCCCGCUCUUUCUUCUCCUUCAACAUGAAUGCCUGCCUACGAAGUUCACGUGCAUAGUCGUCAGGCAGAUUCUUCGCGGCUUGGGACGGUGUGCUCAAAAAUGACUUAGCCCACUUCUUUUGCUCAUCAGAAAAUACUGGCUUGGGCUCGGGCUCUCUUUUCUUCUUGCAGUCCGCCUUCCAUUUCUCAUGAUCAGCAGCCGCGGCCGCGGCAGUUUCCUCGGCACUACGUUCCCAAGGCCUUGUGGGGAGAGGCUUCAGUGAUGGCUCCGGUACCUUUGUGGUCUUAGGUACAUAAGGGUCCGGGUUAAUAAUCCAGGACUGCUUCUGCUUCUUUGCCGGAGGUGGAUUGGGGGGCGGCAUCUGAUCACCCGCCGGACGAGGACUGGGGGGCGGCGUCUGAUCACCCGCCGGACGUUGUGGACUGGGGGGCGUCGGCUGACGUGACGGAGGUGUAGGUGAACCGCCACCACCACCACCGUCACCGCCACCACCACCACCGUAGGGGGGUGGACUUGUUGUCCUUGGCGCCUCGCCUGGAAACUUGAUAAACUUCUUUUGCCAUAGAAUGAAAUGGCGCUUGACAUCUCCAAGUCUUUUCUCCCCUUCAGGUGUAGCAAUGUCAAUCUCCAGGUCCUCAAACCCUUGGACUAUGUCCUCCACCGUGACACGAGCAUAGCCAUCUUGAAUGGGGUUGUUGUGGUGGAGUGCUCCAGGUAAACAUGGUAAAGCACUGCCGAUGGCUACCUUCAUGGACAUGUUCCCGAUAGGAUAAUACAGAUGACAUUCUUUCAUCUCCUUUAUAUCGUCCACGGGGUAGCGAGGAGGCUCCGGUGCAGUAAUUUCGACCACCAGAGGCUCCGGUGCAGUAAUUUCGACCACCAGAGGCUCCGGUGCAGUAAUUUCGAUCGUCGGUGCAUCUGCACCAGCUGGUGGGGCCUCCAUGGAAGCCACGCUGCUUCUCCGCUGCUGGCUUCCGAGAUCCGCUGGAUGAUCUUCAUGCUGCGCCCGAGCUACAUCUCUUUCGGCUAAUAGUACACUCACGGUUUUAUUCAUCACAUCCAUUUCCGAUGCCAACCGCGCCACAACAUCUGCUUCCCGAUCCAUCUUUCUCUUACGGCUUCUGUAACCGUACGGGUCAUCGUUCUGGGGGAACCCUAUUUUCCACGGAAUGUGCCCCAUGCCUCGUACACGUCCUCCGUGUUCAGGAUUCCCGAGGGCUUUUGUCAGCGCGUCGUUCUCUCUGUUGAACUUGAUCUUCCCCUCUUGAGCAUCCCUCAUUGCGUCAAUAAGGGCUUGGGUGGGUUUAAUUAAUUUGCCCCGGUAAACACACUCCCCUGUCUCCGGGUUCAGCGUUCCCCCAUGCCCGUACCACCAGCUUUUGGCCCUUGGGUCCCAUCCCUCCGUACCUGGACGGAUUCCUCGCGCCCUCAGCUCGUUCUCCAUCUUCUCCAACCUAGGCANNNNNNNNNNNNNNNNNNNNNNNNNNNNNNNNNNNNNNNNNNNNNNNNNNNNNNNNNNNNNNNNNNNNNNNNNNNNNNNNNNNNNNNNNNNNNNNNNNNNGCAGAUGAAUCGGCAAUGGAUGUACGUUAACCGACUCUCCGGCGAGUUCACUACGGGUUUGAAAGAUUUCCUCGUAGUGGCUAAUGCGAACAAGCGGGGGGGUUUUGUUAUCUGUCCAUGUGUUAACUGUAAGAAUCAGAAGGGUUACUCUUCCUCAAGAGAUGUUCACAUGCAUCUGCUUCGGCACGGUUUCAUGCCAAGCUAUAAUUGUUGGACCAAGCAUGGAGAAAGAGGGGUUAUAAUGGAAGAAGAUGAAGAAGGGGAUGAUUUCAUCGAUGAAAGCUAUCUUGCUCAUUUCGGUGAUACUUUCAUGGAGGAUGCUGAAGGUGAAGGGGAAGGUGAAGNNNNNNNNNNNNNNNNNNNNNNNNNNNNNNNNNNNNNNNNNNNNNNNNNNNUUGAUGAUCUUGGUCGGACCAUUGCUGAUGCACGGAGACGCUGCGAAACUGAAAAGGAGAGGGAGAAUUUGGAUCGCAUGUUAGAGGAUCACAGAAAGGCGCUGUACCCCGGAUGCGAUGAUGGUCUGAAAAAGCUGGGCUGCACACUGGAUUUGCUGAAAUGGAAGGCAGAGGCAGGUGUAGCUGACUCGGCAUUUGAAAACUUGCUGAAAAUGUUGAAGAAUAUGUUUCCAAAGGAUAACGAGUUGCCCACCAGUACGUACGAAGCAAAGAAGGUUGUCUGCCCUCUAGGUUUAGAGGUUCUGAAGAUACAUGCAUGCAUNNNNNNNNNNNNNNNNNNNNNNNNNNNNNNNNNNNNNNNNNNNNNNNNNNNNNNNNNNNNNNNNNNNNNNNNNNNNNNNNNNNNNNNNNNNNNNNNNNNNUUUUUUGAACUUAUUUGAACUCCAUGCUUUUUGUGUGUUCAAAAUGCACCAUUCAAAGGCACAUCACAAAGUUUCAACAGUUUCUGACUUCAUUUGGUAUAUAUUUCGUGCAUUUACUUAUUUUUUUUGAGCUAGUUGACCCUGAAAUUGAAAAACACUACAAAUGAACUCUGGAAAUGUUGAAAGUUGGCAUGCUAUCGUCAUUUCACCCACAUAGCAUGUGUUAAAAAGUUGAGAGGGCUACGACAAAAACUGGAUGCAGUUCGUGUACAAAACUGACAAUCUCUCUCGAAGUAGCAGGGUUUCGAACGAGAACUUAUCUCUUACAAAGGGAUUUCAUUUUUUUAAACUUAUUUGAACUCCAUACUUUUUGUGUGUUCAAAAUGCACCAUUCAAAGGCAAAUCACAAAAUUUCAACAAUUUCUGACUUCAUUUGGUAUAUUUCGUGCAUUUACUUNNNUUUUUUUGAGCUAGUUGACCCUGAAAUUGAAAAGCACUACAAAUGAACUCUGAAAAUUUUGAAAGUUGGCAUGCUAUCAUCAUUUCACCCACAUAGCAUGUGUUAAAAAGUUCAGAGGGCUACGACAAAAACUGGAUGCAGUUCGUGUACGAAACUGACAAUCUCUUUGGAAGUAGGAGGGUUUCGAACGAGAACUCAUCUCUUACAAAGGGAUUUCAUUUUUUUUAAACUUAUUUGAACUCCAUACUUUUUGUGUGUUCAAAAUGCACCAUUCAAAGGCACAUCANNNNNNNNNNNNNNNNNNNNNNNNNNNNNNNNNNNNNNNNNNNNNNNNNNNNNNNNNNNNNNNNNNNNNNNNNNNNNNNNNNNNNNNNNNNNNNNNNNNNAAGGGGUGGGAGAGGGUGUCGCGGUAGAGCGCGAGACGGGGCGGCAGACGACGGCGUCACGGAGAGGGAGACCCGGGACCAUACUUUUUUUCUCAUCACUGCCGUGUGUACUAACCACACGAGUAUGAGACCCGGGACUGUGCAGGUGCAUCGAGAAAUCUUAGGGCUCGACAAUAUGUUUUCUCUUCGUGGGAUGCUAGCGGUCGCAUCAACUGAGCGUUUUCUUCCCGACGUCUUCUAUUCUCAAGAUGAAGUGAUGACCUCCGGGGGGUUUCUUUGUUCUUGCAUAGUCUUCCCGACGGCUGUGGCUGAAUAUCCGACACAUGAAAAAGUUUUAACUAGAGUUUUUGACCGUGAACCUGCUGCUUCAGCUUUGCACUGGCCGACCGCCGAUUCGCUGGUUCAUUUGCUAGUUUUUAAUCAUAAAAGAAAAUACUUUCUUUGUUCCUAAAUAAUUGUAGUUAAAAAAACUAGACUAUCUUUUUUUGACUAUAAUUAUUUAAAAACGGAGGGAGUAAAUAUUAUGUAAGUAUCUCAUUAUUAAAAGAGGAGUUGGUUCCGUUGCCUCUCCUACUCCCUUUGUUUUUUCGUCCCAUGACUCCCUCUCUUCUUAACCAAAAUAGAUAGUCUUAAACUCAACCAAAAAUGGUGAACUUUUCCAAAUUCGCUAAUUUUUUUCAAUUUAGAUUGAUUAAUUAUUUAAAUUGAUGAUUUUUUAACUCGAUGAUCUUUUUUAUAUUCGAUGAAACUUUUUCAUAUUUGAUAGUCUCUGUUCUUUUUCAUAUUCGAUGAAACUUUUUAUAUUCGAUGAAACUUUUAAAUAGAUAGUCUCUGUUCUUUUUCUUCCAAGACGUUCUUCCAAGACGUUCUUUUUCUUCCAAGACGUUCUUCCAAGACGUUCUUUNUUUUCAUAUUCGAUGAAACUUUUUAUAUUCGAUGAAACUUUUAAAUUGAUAGUCUCUGUUCUUUUUCUUCCAAGACGUUCUUCCAAGACGUUCUUUUUCUUCCAAGACGUUCUUCCAAGACGUUCUUUUUCUUCCAAGACGUUCUUCCAAGACGUUCUUCCAAGACGUUCUUUUUCUUCCAAGACGUUCUUCCAAGACGUUCUUUUUCUUCNNNNNNNNNNNNNNNNNNNNNNNNNNNNNNNNNNNNNNNNNNNNNNNNNNNNNNNNNNNNNNNNNNNNNNNNNNNNNNNNNNNNNNNNNNNNNNNNNNNNUGUAGAUGCAUAGAGUCACGGGCCAGGUGCUAUGGCUGGAGCUCUGCUCGCCAAAAGGAUUCAUGCCAUCUGUACUUAGACCAAAUCUUAUGUUCCUUGCGUCAGCUGCAAAAUCUUUGAACUCUCUGUCGAUCUUUCUCCAUUGCGUUCCAUCUGCGGUGUGUCUCAACUCCCCGUCCGACUUACGGUCCUCUUUGUGCCAUCGCAACAACUUGGCAUGCUCUUUGUUCCUGAACAAACGUUUCAACCGUGGUAUUAUAGGAGCAUACCACAUCACCUUGGCGGGAACCCUCUUCCUGGGUUUCUCGCCCUCAACAUCGUCACCAGGGUCAUCGCCUCUGAUCUUAUAACGCAAUGCAGUGCAUACAGGGCAUUCAUUCAAAUUCUCGUAUUCACCGCGGUAGAGGAUGCAGUCGUUGAUGCAUGCAUGUAUCUUCAGAACCUCUAAACCUAGAGGGCAUACAACCUUCUUUGCUUCGUACGUACUGGCGGGCAACUCGUUAUUCUUUGGAAACAUAUUCUUCAACAUUUUCAGCAAGUUUUCAAAUGCCGAGUCAGCUACACCUGCCUGUGCCUUCCAUUUCAGCAAAUCCAGUGUGCAGCCCAGCUUUUUCAGACCAUCAUCGCAUCCGGGGUACAACGACUUUCUGUGAUCCUCUAACAUGCGAUCCAAAUUCUCCCUCUCCUUUUCAGUUUCGCAGCGUCUCCGUGCAUCAGCAAUGGUCCGACCAAGAUCAUCAAUGGUCUCAUCACGUGCCUCUUCUUCACCUUCACCUUCCCCUUCACCUUCCCCUUCACCUUCAGCAUCCUCCAUGAAAGUAUCACCGAAAUGAGCAAGAUAGCUUUCAUCGAUGAAAUCAUCCCCUUCUUCAUCUUCUUCCAUUAUAACCCCUCUUUCUCCAUGCUUGGUCCAACAAUUAUAGCUUGGCAUGAAACCGUGCCGAAGCAGGUGCAGGUGAACUUCUCUUGAGGAAGAGUAACCCUUCUGAUUCUUACAGUCAACACAUGGACAGAUAACAAAACCCUUCUGCUUGUUCGCAUUAGCCACUACGAGGAAAUCUUUCAAACCCGUAGUGAACUCGCGGGAGAGUCGGUUACCGUACAUCCAUUGCCGAUUCAUCUGCAUUAUUAUAAUNNNNNNNNNNNNNNNNNNNNNNNNNNNNNNNNNNNNNNNNNNNNNNNNNNNNNNNNNNNNNNNNNNNNNNNNNNNNNNNNNNNNNNNNNNNNNNNNNNNNCAAAUACCUCAGCACCAGUGCGUUCCGCAGGCUUCGGCCGGUGAUCUGCCUUGCCGUUGUAAUGCUUGCCCUUCUUUCUUACUGGAUGAAUUUUCGGAAGAAAUCGACGAUGCCCAAGGUACACGUUCUUCUUACAAUUUGGGAAAUGUACACUUUCAGUCUCAUGUAAGCAGUGCGUGCAUGCAUUGUAUCCCUUAUUUGACAGUCCCGAAAGGUUACUAAGAGCAGGCCAAUCGUUGAUGGUUACGAAAAGCAACGCUCGUAGGUCAAAUUCCUCUUCUUUGUGCUCAUCCCACACACGGACACCAGGUCUGCCCCACAGCUGUAAAAGUUCAUCAACUAAUGGCCUUAGGUACACAUCGAUGUCGUUGCCGGGUUGCUUCGGACCUUGGAUGAGCACUGGCAUCAUAAUGAACUUCCGCUUCAUGCACAACCAAGGAGGAAGGUUGUAGAUGCAUAGAGUCACGGGCCAGGUGCUAUGGCUGGAGCUCUGCUCGCCAAAAGGAUUCAUGCCAUCUGUACUUAGACCAAAUCUUAUGUUCCUUGCGUCAGCUGCAAAAUCUUUGAACUCUCUGUCGAUCUUUCUCCAUUGCGUUCCAUCUGCGGUGUGUCUCAACUCNGUACUUAGAGCAAAUCUUAUGUUCCUUGCGUCAGCUGCAAAAUCUUUGAACCAUCUGUCGAUCUUUCUCCAUUGCGUUCCAUCUGCGGUGUGUCUCAACUCCCCGUCCGACUUACGGUCCUCUUUGUGCCAUCGCAACAACUUGGCAUGCUCUUUGUUCCUGAACAGACGUUUCAACCGAGGUAUUAUAGGAGCAUACCACAUCACCUUGGUGGGAACCCUCUUCCUGGGUUUCUGGCCCUCAACAUCGUCACCAGGGUCAUCGCCUCUGAUCUUAUAACGCAAUGCAGUGCAUACCGGGCAUUCAUUCAAAUUCUCGUAUUCACCGCGGUAGAGGAUGCAGUCNGUACUUAGACCAAAUCUUAUGUUCCUUGCGUCAGCUGCAAAAUCUUUGAACUCUCUGUCGAUCUUUCUCCAUUGCGUUCCAUCUGCGGUGUGUCUCAACUCCCCGUCCGACUUACGGUCCUCUUUGUGCCAUCGCAACAACUUGGCAUGCUCUUUGUUCCUGAAUAGACGUUUCAACCGUGGUAUUAUAGGAGCAUACCACAUCACCUUGGCGGGAACCCUCUUCCUGGGUUUCUCGCCCUCAACAUCGUCACCAGGGUCAUCGCCUCUGAUCUUAUAACGCAAUGCAGUGCAUACAGGGCAUUCAUUCAAAUUCUCGUAUUCACCGCGGUAGAGGAUGCAGUCGUUGAUGCAUGCAUGUAUCUUCAGAACCUCUAAACCUAGAGGGCAGACAACCUUCUUUGCUUCGUACGUACUGGCGGGCAACUCGUUAUCCUUUGGAAACAUAUUCUUCAACAUUUUCAGCAAGUUUUCAAAUGCCGAGUCAGCUACACCUGCCUCUGCCUUCCAUUUCAGCAAAUCCAGUGUGCAGCCCAGCUUUUUCAGACCAUCAUCGCAUCCGGGGUACAGCGCCUUUCUGUGAUCCUCUAACAUGCGAUCCAAAUUCUCCCUCUCCUUUUCAGUUUCGCAGCGUCUCCGUGCAUNCAGCAAGUUUUCAAAUGCCGAGUCAGCUACACCUGCCUGUGCCUUCCAUUUCAGCAAAUCCAGUGUGCAGCCCAGCUUUUUCAGACCAUCAUCGCAUCCGGGGUACAACGACUUUCUGUGAUCCUCUAACAUGCGAUCCAAAUUCUCCCUCUCCUUUUCAGUUUCGCAGCGUCUCCGUGCAUCAGCAAUGGUCCGACCAAGAUCAUCAACGGGAUCAUCACGUGCCUCUUCUUCACCUUCCCCUUCACCUUCAGCAUCCUCCAUGAAAGUAUCACCGAAAUGAGCAAGAUAGCUUUCAUCGAUGAAAUCAUCCCCUUCUUCAUCUUCUUCCAUUAUAACCCCUCUUUCUCCAUGCUUGGUCCAACAAUUAUAGCUUGGCAUGAAACCGUGCCGAAGCAGAUGCAUGUGAACAUCUCUUGAGGAAGAGUAACCCUUCUGAUUCUUACAGUUAACACAUGGACAGAUAACAAAACCCCCCCGCUUGUUCGCAUUAGCCACUACGAGGAAAUCUUUCAAACCCGUAGUGAACUCGCCGGAGAGUCGGUUAACGUACAUCCAUUGCCGAUUCAUCUGCAUUAUUAUAAUAUANGGUCUCAUCACGUGCCUCUUCUUCACCUUCACCUUCCCCUUCACCUUCCCCUUCACCUUCCCCUUCACCUUCAGCAUCCUCCAUGAAAGUAUCACCGAAAUGAGCAAGAUAGCUUUCAUCGAUGAAAUCAUCCCCUUCUUCAUCUUCUUCCAUUAUAACCCCUCUUUCUCCAUGCUUGGUCCAACAAUUAUAGCUUGGCAUGAAACCGUGCCGAAGCAGAUGCAUGUGAACAUCUCUUGAGGAAGAGUAACCCUUCUGAUUCUUACAGUUAACACAUGGACAGAUAACAAAACCCCCCCGCUUGUUCGCAUUAGCCACUACGAGGAAAUCUUUCAAACCCGUAGUGAACUCGCCGGAGAGUCGGUUAACGUACAUCCAUUGCCGAUUCAUCUGCAUUAUUAUAAUAUAAAAUAUAUAAUUAACCAUCAUGCAUUUGUUAAACUAACUAGCUACAAACAAUAUAAAUUAAACAAUGAACUACACACAUGCAUAUUUUAUCAAUGACACAUCAAAGGUUCAUCAAGUUGCUAACCGCGAUCGAGGAGUGUGGCUCCAACACUUCAUGUCAUGUUUGUUUCAUGCUCUUGGGGCAUUUCAUCAAACACCUUAUGUGCAUAAGAGGAACCAAAAGCAANUCGCAUUAGCCACUACGAGGAAAUCUUUCAAACCCGUAGUGAACUCGCGGGAGAGUCGGUUACCGUACAUCCAUUGCCGAUUCAUCUGCAUUAUUAUAAUAUAAAAUAUAUAAUUAACCAUCAUGCAUUUGUUAAACUAACUAGCUACAAACAAUAUAAAUUAAACAAUGAACUACACACAUGCAUAUUUUAUCAAUGACACACAUGCAUGAAAGGUUCAAGUUGCUAACCGCGAUCGAGGAGGAAAAAAUAAAUGACGAACCUCAAGUGUGGCUCCAACACUUCAUAUCAUGUUUGUUUCACGCUCUUGGGGCAUUUCAUCAAACACCUUGUGUGCAUAAGAGGAACCAAAAGCAAACCUACACCCCCUUGUGAAGCUUGUGAAGAGAAGUGGCACCAAAUGGCUAAGUGAGUGUGCUGAACUGGUAUAUAUAGGGGAGGAGAUUUAGUCGCGGUUGGCAUGGCCAACCGCGACUAAAGGCCUUUGGGCACCUUUAGUCACGGUUGGCCUGGCCAACCGCGACUAAAGCCCCUCACGUGCACCAGCUGGCCACCGAGCGCCCUGGCCCAGGCCUUUGGUCGCGGUUCGUCUGCCGAACCGCGACUAAAGAAAUCAUUAGUCGCGGUUCCUACAGUUUCGCGACUUAUGGGGCUGGACGGAAGCCUCUUUUUCUACCAGUGUACUAUGUGUUAUGACCCGGCAACCCCGGAGUGACAAUAGCCGGAACCACUCCCGGAGAUGACCGUAGUAUGAGGAGUUCAUGUAUUCACCAAGUGUUAAUGCGUUGGUCCGGUUCUUUAUUAAAAGGAGAACCUUAAUAUCCCGUAGUUUCCAUUAGGACCCCGCUGCCACGGGAGGGAUGAACAAUAGAUGCCAUGCAAGUUCUUUCCCUAAGCAUGUAUGACUACAUACGGAAUACAUGCCUACAUUAGAUUGAUGAACGGGAGCUAGUUACUUAUCUCUCCAUGUUAUAGUUGUAACAUGAUGAAUCACAUCCGGCAUAAUCAUCCAUCACCGAUCCAAUGCCUACAAGUCUUUUACUACCGGUCCUUGCUACGUUAUUUUGUUGCUGCUGUUACUUUGCUGCUACUACUGUUACUCUGCUGCUACUGGUUACUGUUGCUACUGCUGCUAUCAUACUACCUUGCUACUGAUACUUUGUUGCAAACACUAAAUCUUUCAAGUGUGGUUGAAUUGACAACUCAACUGCUAAUACUUGAGAAUAUUCUUUCGCUUCCCCUUGAGUCGAAUCAAUAAAUUUGGGUUGAAUACUCUACCCUCGAAAACUGUUGCGAUCCCCUAGACUUGUGGGUUAUCACUGCCCAUCCCCUGCAGUAUGAUAAGGUCAAGACAUUAGAUAUUUGAAGAAACUUGAAGGCAAAAGCUAAAAAAAGAGUAAAUGUACUUACCUAUCCCCUUCAGGCUUAAUCACCGGCCUCUGCUUGCCGGUAGCCGGCACGACCGGGAGACGUGUACUACCAUGCUUGUACACGGUGGCCCCGUCCACCUACACAUCGCCCUCACUAGCCGUAAACUCAUCCCCGCCAUCAACAGAACAGCCACCCGGACACUCGGUCCAAUCCGGCACCUUGGACCGAUCCGGCCAGACACCCCAUUCGGACCUCUCCAAGUCGGCCGAAGCGUGAGAGGCAGGAGUCUCCUGGGACGUAGCCUCAGGAACCGGAGUCUCGUGGGCCGAAGGCACCUCGACCCGAGACUGAUCCUGGACCGGAGUCUCAUGGGCCGAAUGCCUGUCCACCCGAGGCUCUUGGACCGGAGUCCCUGUAGCCUCCUCCUCAAACGGGUCCACCAUAGUAGUCCUGUGCUCGGGUGAAUGAGCUGGUGGUGGUGGCGAGGACGACGCAACAGUCCGCCUACCUCUUCCUCGGCCACCACCUCUCCUUGUAACCUUCCCCUUCUUCCCUACCCGACCAGCACCUCUCCCAGUGGGCAAUGCCACCGACAAAGAAGUACCCACGGGUGGUGUCGUCAGACUGUCUUCCAAGGCUCUAUGGAGAGAUAGGGGUGGAAUGGAAGUACCACCCCUCGUGCGGGCUCCCGAAGAAGAACCCGUCGAGCGACCUGGACCCGCGCCCACCAUCUUUCAACACCUGCUGACCUGUCAUGAUAAAGAUUAAGAGAAAUUAGUACAACAUAAAAAAUUGAAAAGCUAAGAACUAAAUAACAACUACAAUAACAUCAACCACUACUACAACAACUACAAUAACAACUACAACAACUACUACAACAAUCCCUAGCACUGCCCACGUCGGUUAGCUUCUUUAGCCUGGUUGUGUAAACCAAGUUGGAUGGGAGCAAUAUAUAUGCACACACACUAGAUGAUAGGUAGGUACAAGUAAAUGUGAUAAAAACAUAGCAACAAGGUGGAUGGUGUGUAGGCAUAGCAAUAAGAUGAAUUAUUUAUUUAACUUGCUAUUAAAUGAACUAUACUAGCGUUGGACAAAUUGCACAUCCACUCCUCCUACAAAGUGAGGUUGUUGUACUCCACUAGAUAUUAAGAUCAAAUAAAAAUAUACAAGGAAGUAAUUUUAUUUAGCUACAAAUUUUUGUGUCAAAAUAUUUUUGAAGCCAAUAUACCACAUCUUGUUAUGUAUUGAAUACAUAUAAUCGAGAAAAUCAAUUGAUGAGUGAUGUUGUGAUACAAAAUGAACAUGUAAAGAGUAUCAUCUUUUAUAAUUAGAGCCCAUGGUAGCGAUGGUCUAAAGAUGUUUAGUACAAUGAUGACGAUAUGGUGGACGUGCUCCAUUGACUAAAAGGGAGCACACUGAAUUUACUUUAUGGAUUUUUUAGCUACCUUGAAUAAAAGAGAGUCCUCCAAAAUUAAUUCAUUGGCUAGAAUGAAUGUUCAUGCUAUUCUUGAAAAAUGUUCCUUACAAUAAAUGAGUUUUUUGUCAUAAUUAAACUAUACAUGGUUAUAAUACAUACUAAUAAUAUCAAUAAAUCGCAACAUAUUCCGUAUAACCAAAUCUCAACAAAAUAUAUAUACUGCAAUAAAUUCCAAAAUAUAUAUAUAGUACAUUCAUUGCAAGAAAACUCAACAAAAUGUUGGAAUUAAAAUUUAUUUAUUGAUUCAUAUAUAGGGGUGGGGUGUGGGGGCUCACCAGCAGGGGCGGCUGUGGCGUCGUGGGCGGCGGGGCCGGGGGUNAGUUGCGGUUGGCCUGGCAAACCGUGACUAAAGGUGCCCGAAGGCCUUUAGUCGCGGUUGUCCUGGCCAACCGCGACUAAAGCCCCUCACGUGCACCAGCUGGCCACCGAGCGCCCUGGGCCCAGGCCUUUGGUCGCGGUUCACCUCCAGAACCGCGACUAAAGGUCCCAUUAGUCGCGGUUCCUACAGCUUCGCGACUUAUGGGGCUGGACGGAAGCCUGUUUUUCCACCAGUGCUUGUUGUCUACUUUGUACUAAAUUAUCUAUGUGCCAAAGUUUCAUGACCAUACUAUGACAUGGGGGAGCUCAGGACAGAAAACAUAAAAAAAACCUUUCUCGAUUUUUUUCAUUUUUUUUUAUUUUUUGUGUCCAGAUCUCUCUUGAUGUCAUAUCGUCAUAAAAUUUUGAAGACACAUAGAAAACUUUUCAUCUUUCAUGGACUUAUAUAUUCUUUUUUCAAAAGUUUGCUAUGUUGUUUUGAUUGUACUGUUUGCCCAUAGAAGCAGAUGAGCUCGACCACUGAAACUACCACCUUCCCUAACCAUUUCUUGAAUAAAACUCUUAAUUCCAUGGGAAAUGCAAUUCGGCUAUGUUAAGAAAAUCCUAACAAAAAUGUUAUGUUUUCUUUGUCACAUCCAAAUGCUACCUGGAAAUUUUUAGGCCAAAAGGUUAAGUAUUUUAGCCUGUGCAAAAUAAAAAAAUUAAGCAUCAAUUGUUACCCCAAAAUUUCACACCCAAUUUUUUCCCCGACGAAACACCACUGCUCCGUUUCGGAUGAAAAUUGUCAGGCAUGCUAAUUGAGACAGUAACACGAACAUCUACCAAAAAAUCCAGAGUUUUUAAAAGUAUUUACAAUUAUUUCUUGAAUUACUAUUCAUCCGGGUGCAAAUGCACCCAGGAGUCAAGACACCUCUGCCUCAAGUCCAUGUACAAUGCAAGGUGCUAGUUAGUUGCUUGAAAAAUAAAAUAAAAAAAAUUAAGAACCCGUUUUCGUUUUUAUAGCAGACGUGCGUAAAUAAACACAUGCCCUAUAAUACAAAUAAAAUAAAAUAAACAUCGCUGCUUAAAAAAAAAUUCAUUUCCACAUGCAGGCAUCUCUUUAAUCAGCCUGCAUUGUACAUGAUCAAAGAUGAUAAAGCGUGAUAUACAAUGGUUUUGCUUAAAAAAAAACUAACGUGUGUUUUGCCAGUACAUGCGGCGCCCAAACUAUGAUUACAAAGGAAUGCAACCCAACAUCUGAACUAGCGGAUUUAUGCGUAAUGAUACAGGCAUUUGUUAAUGGGUAAUGCAGCUGGCUAAUCACCAACCACUAGAAUAAUUUUUCCACGCGGACAAAAGCUCAAGCUUUCACAGCCAGCAAUGAUAAAAGGUUAGCCGACCGACGGUGCCAUCCAAUUUGGAAAAACUCAUGCCUGGCUUUGGAGCCUUCCCCAGUCUCCACUGACCAAACCCAUCCGACUAAGCUUCACCAACCCCGGCGCCGGUUUUGAGCCCCUAUUUAUAACGCUCACUUCUGCUCUCCAGGAAACCAACGAACGUUGCGCCAUUACAACAGUCACAACUCACAUCCCUUAUAUCGGUUGUGCGAGUUUGAUCAUCACAGCAAUCAAUGGCCUCCACCAACAGUUGGACCCAUGAGAUUGAGUCGUCGGUCUCUGCAUCGCGCAUCUUCCGUGCCGGUGUCAUGGACUGGCACACCCUGGCCCCCAAACUCGCGCCACAGAUCGUCACCAGCGCCCACCCUGUUGAGGGAGAAGGCGGCAUCGACAGUGUCAGGCAGUUCAACUUCACCUCAGGUAUGCAUCAUAUAUAUACAACUCAUAUCACUUGCAGUCUGGUACACAUGGUCAAAGCAUAACACAUAGUUGAUCUUCCAGCCAUGCCCUUCAACCUCAUGAAGGAGAGGCUCGAGUUCAUUGACGUGGACAAGUGCGAGUGCAAGUCCACCCUCAUCGAGGGUGGUGGCAUAGGCACGGCGAUAGAGUCGGCCACCUCGCAGAUCAAGGUGGAGCCGACAACCAACGGUGGGAGCUUAGUGAAGGUGGAAUCGACAUACAAGCUGCUGCCAGGCGUGGAGGUGAACGAUGAGAUCUCCAAGGCCAAGGACUUUGUGACGGCCAUUUUCAAGGCUGCCGAGGCCUACCUUAUCGCCAACCCGGAUGCCUAUAACUAAAUCAGUUGAGAGAGAUCAUAUAUGAUUAUACAUUCCCUAGUUUGAUUUUUGCGUGCUUUCUUCCCGAUCUAAUAAAGUUUCUCCAACUUCCAAGUAGCGAAAGCAAGAGAGAUGACGACGGUGUGGACUAGAGAAGUCUAAAAUGUUUGUAUUUGUAACAAUUAUCAAUGGGUGUUGUUGUUUGAUGGUGUUGCUGCUUGCUUGCGCACGUUCCUCAUGUUUUUGUACUGGAAUAAAAAGAAUUAUUUGAAACAUAUAAAGAGCUUAUAUAUGUAUUUUGAAUUGGAUGUUUAUGUUCCGAGAAGGUCUUAUGUUUGCUUUCUUUUUCAAAAGCAGGAUGGCCCCCACGUCUGCAUCAUAACGAUGCAUGCAGUCAUAUAUUAUUUAAUGCAAAAUUCAACAGCAACCGAACAACAUCAAUCCAUAAAUAAAGCAAAAAAAAUAAACUCUAAGGUCGUAUACCUCGUGAGAGUAACUCACCAUAUAGCCACUAACCCUAUGUUACAAUAGACAUCAGAAACGGAAAAAAAUACAUAACUCCUAGGCUAUGCCUUCAGGAAGAAAUCGUCACACAUGCGCCGAUGAUGGCCAGAACACCACAAGCUUGAACUUCGGAUUCUCAUCCCAAAGUCAAGCUUCAAUCCACCACCUUCAGCAAUGAAACGACGCACGCGCGCGUCACGUAGCUCGAUUAGAGAUCGUGUGUUUCUGCCGGAGCGCAUAAACUCGUCGUUGAAGCCGUCCAUACCAUCGCCCUUAUCCGUCUACCCACACCUCGGUAGCCGGAUACCUCUAGAGAAGAAAAUGUAAGAAAAAGACGUCCCAUACAAUCUGCAUCCCGCUACUAUCGAACCACCUUCAAUCCAACAGCAACAGACUAAACUUGACACCCCCGCCAGAGCCAUCGUGCAUCACCUGCGAGUAGCAUGCAUGACUUGAUGUCUUCGAAUAAGACAUCAUGUGUAGCAUCCAACGGUGGCUUCAACUUUCAGUGACAUGCACUACCCGACAACUCUGAAAGAGGCACAUGUUUCACCUACCGAGCCACAUCAAACCCAAUUUGUUGAUAGAGGGGGCGUCCCAUACCGGCACCAGCCUCAGAAAUGUUGUCACCGCCAUGAUAUCUAGACUCCGAGUCAUCGCCAAUACGCCACCGGAGUCCGCCCCGUUGAGGAAGAGGGGUUGUUGCCCCGAUUACGGGCACUAUAUGGACCACCCAUUUUCGCGCCUGCCGUUCUCGUCGCUUAUACAACGGCAACUACCGCCGCGAUCCCGCAUCAAACGCCGGAGGAAGAUCCGUCCGCCACACAUGUCCUGCGUUAUCCCCGGAUGCGGGAUCCCAAGAUCCGCCGCCACAAGGACCCACCACCUAGCCUGUCAUCCCCAGCGAAGGGGACGCCGCCACCGUCAUAUUCGGUUCCUGGCCGGAGUUGUCGCCGCCUGCCCCAACACCGGGCCUGGGCUGGACGCCGCCGCCGCCAAUGGCCAGGCCCAGCCCCACCUCUAUCCUCUGGCCAUCUCACCCCGCACCUCCACAAACGCUUCCACCAGGAGCCACCACGCCACCAUGGACCGAGGAAGAGGUCGCACCUCCACAUAUAUAGCGUCCUUCUGGCCUUACAACCCGGUAAGGAGGAGGAGCCCUCCGUCGCCGCGAUUGAACACGCGGGCCAUGCCCGACGUUGUCCCCCGACGAUAACAAAGGAGAAGGAGGGACUGGAUCAAGGCGGCUGGGGGCCUAGGGUUGGCCCAUCCGAUCGCCAUGGAGGGACGAGCGACAGGGGAGUCUACAAGCUAGGGAAAAAAAUAUUUUGCUUUCUAUCAAAAUUCUCUCCUUAAUUUUAUGUUUGCUUGAGUGACAUAAAUUUAUUUGCUCCUUUAUAUAGGAAGAGAUGGUUUCAAUGUAUAUUCCUUUUUUUCAUCAUUUUUUUGGCAAGUGCCUCUCUUAGGUUCAAGCAGGUCUUCAAUUGUAGCUUGGUUGACUCGUCCUUUCCUCUCGCAACUAGAAACUCGGAAACCCUAGCCGCCACAUGUGUUUCCAACCCUCUAGCCACCGCCUCCGUUGGGAAAUGGCCAUGUGGCGCUAGCGGCGGCGGGGAUGGUUACGGCAGAUUCAGACAUGUGGUAACGGCAAAUGUGUGGUUGAGCAAUGGUGGUUCUAGACCUGUGGCGCUCACCAACCAUGUUGCAUCUGCUGACAGCGUCCAGAGAUCCUCGAAGAAAGGGUCCUACAUGGCGGCGGGCUCGAGCUUUGGCUCAUAUUUGGCCAAAAUGGCAUUGACAUAUUGGUUUAGGUUGACCUUUGGCUCCUAUUUUGCGUGAAACGACGUUGGGUCUUGGUUUAGGAUGGUUCUAGGGAGUCCCUAUGUGUUGGUCGGGACGGCGAAGCGGCAACAUUGCCCCCAUUUCAGGAAUAAUGGCCCAUGCACCAUCCUCGUUUCGUUGGUGCAACUUAGUGUCGGUGGACGACGUAUGAAGGUGUGUCUUCGGAAUUUGGUCGGCUUUGAUCUCCGACGGAUCCGUGUGUAUUCGUCCAAUGAUAGUGGUCUACAAGCUAUUUUUGGUGUUUUCUUCCCCGGGGCAGUGAUUUGUUAUGCAUGUCGCGACCACCGACGUCUUCUGGUCUACAUUAAUGACUUCCUGAAUUUUGCUUCUACAAGUUGUUGGUUGUAAACAAGUUUGCUCCAUAGAAGCGAAGACCCAGAGUAGGCAUUGGGCUUUACUCACAGUGCAGUAUGGUGGAUGCAAGAGGACGAAGAUUUUGUCACUGCUAAAGAUUUAAAUGUAUUUUUUUCUUUUAUAAGGAUGUGUUUGUAAGGACUUGUGAUACAUAGUAUAUGGCCAUACGACUUUUCACACAAAAAUGUCAAGUUGCUACCUAUGUGCCGAGCCACAGGUUUCUUGUGAGAAACUAGGGCUUAGAGUGUUAAUGUUGUCACAUUGCAUUUUUUUCAACUUUUGAUGUGAAAAUACCAUUCAUAUGCAUAUAACAUUUUUAUAAUCACUAGAUUGUUUAAGGUAUUUUUUAAUGGUCCAUAUUAGAUCUAUUUGCAUAAAAUGGUACUUUUGUUGUGAUGUAUAAAAUAUUUUCCUGCAAGUUUAUGGAUUUAUAAUAUUUUAAUUACCAUAUUUUCUACUGAACUGAAACAUCAUUUCAAAUCUAUUAAAAAUAAAAAGAAGUAGGAAUUAAACACUACACUAGGCAGGGCCAACAGUGCAGCGCAACCCAAGUGACCUCUAGCAGACCCCGCAAAAGAGGUAAAUCCGUAAAAGUACGGCGAGUAUGCGGUUUAAGCCAUUUUUUCGGCCAGAAUAUAGCCCGCAUACUCGCCCGACCCGUAAAAAAAAUUGCCGCGGCCCGCAAAACGCACGCCCGACCACUAUAUCUACGUUUUCGCGGCGCGUUUGCGGGUAGAAACCCUAUCCCCNNNNNNNNNNNNNNNNNNNNNNNNNNNNNNNNNNNNNNNNNNNNNNNNNNNNNNNNNNNNNNNNNNNNNNNNNNNNNNNNNNNNNNNNNNNNNNNNNNNNNNNNNNNNNNNNNNNNNNNNNNNNNNNNNNNNNNNNNNNNNNNNNNNNNNNNNNNNNNNNNNNNNNNNNNNNNNNNNNNNNNNNNNNNNNNNNNNNNNNNNNNNNNNNNNNNNNNNNNNNNNNNNNNNNNNNNNNNNNNNNNNNNNNNNNNNNNNNNNNNNNNNNNNNNNNNNNNNNNNNNNNNNNNNNNNNNNNNNNNNNNNNNNNNNNNNNNNNNNNNNNNNNNNNNNNNNNNNNNNNNNNNNNNNNNNNNNNNNNNNNNNNAGGAGUAUGACCGUCGGCAUGUCGCCGCGGGCUGGUCCUACGCCGGUAGCUCCUCCUCUUCCGCGCGCCUUCUCCCUUUGAAGAGGCAGUGGUCGGAGGAGCCGGAGGACGUCGUCGCCGUCAAGGAGGACCCCGAGGAGCUCGGUCGCCGCGGAGUCGUCGGGCCGGAGGACUUCGGCGCCGACGUGGGCGCGGUUGCGGCUGCCAUUGCCGAGCGCAGCUUGCACGAGGAGGCGGAGCGCCGGCGCCACGACGAGGAGAUCGAAGACCUUCAGUGGCGACAGGCGGUCGAGGCCAACCUCACCGCCAAGGCGAAGGACAACGAGUGGCGGCGCAUCCGCGAGGAACAGAAGGCGAUGUACAUCGAUCUCGGCAGCUCCGACGAGGAGGACUGAGCUCGCACUGAUGUAGUAUGUAGUAUGUAAUCUAUGUAGUAUGUAGUAUGAACUUCCCGCGAAACUAUAUUUUUAAAUUAUACAGUUUCAUUUAUGGUUUUUGAUCGAUCACGUUUAAUUUUAACCCGUAAACAAAAUUUAACUGAAACUGCAAACGCCGUUUUGCGGUUCCAGAUUUUGAGGAAUGUGCUAGAGUUGCUCUAAGGAGCCCAUGACGCAAUUCCUUAAUCGAACCGGUAUGGAGUCGCGAUAUAACGUGAUAUGGCUGAUUUAUGACCGCUCAAUGGUCAACAUGGCACCCGAGCUCUCGUUCAAAAAAAACAUGGCACCCGAGCUCUGCCUCCGCUGACAGGCGGGCCACGUCCAAUCAUCGUCAACUAUGGCAGAUUUCUCAUGCGCACGACGCAAAGCACGGCAGUGGUCAUGACCAUACGUUGUACAUGCCUCAGAGCCCCAACAGACUGCUCGGACCCAUACUACAACGACAAUUCUAAACAGACGUCGAUUUUAUUUGUUUUUCAUUCGUUUGGAUUGUUUAUCAGUUUCUCUCUAUCCGUUUUUUUAAAUUAAUCAGCACAUGCAUUCAACGAGAAGUGAACAUCAGCAAUGUGAUAAUAUAAUAAUGGAAAAAGGUGGGUGAGGGUGGACCAACAAAUGAAAUAAGCAGGUAGAGAUGGAUGUGUGGUUGUGUGACAAGUAGUCCAGGCCGGCCACAUGCGGACACAGAAAGGACGCGCGUGUCCGCUUUGUGUCCGCGCCUACGCAUUUCAGUCCGAAAUUUGAACCAGAAAUGGAUCAGCGCGAACGCAAAGCUGACGCGUUUUGAAAAUGAGUCCGCGCGUCGGGCCAUCACUUUUGUCCGCAUGAAUCCAAACGGACGGCAACGUAUAAAAUGAAUCGUCUUAUUGGAGUUGCUCUAAUAUCCCCUCGACUUCCCCAACCGAAGAACCGACUCCAUGGUCCCAACACUAUUGAGUCCGCUUGGAUUAAACCCAGGACUACCGCCUUUGUAGCAAGUUACAAUGUGAAACCAAUUCACGCGAGCCUAUGUAAACUCCGAGCCCGAGCAACUAUAAUAAGGUACAGUCAGCAGGUUGUAAGGAUUAAAUUAUAAUAUUUUUGCUUAGUAGGAUGGAAGAGAAGAUAAAAGAAAAGGAAAGUGGACUGCAGAUUAACAAUCGGUUGUAGCACGGGCUUUAAGAAAACAUUGUGAGAAUGUAAAGUAUGUCAUGUAUUAAUAAAGUAAUACUAUUUCUUAACAAUUUGUUACUAUACGUGUUAACUAGGACGAUUAUAUAUAACAUGACAACUCCUUAUAACCAGCAGUUGACUAUACUAUUAACCAUGCUUUUAGACCACCUGAUCUGGAAAUCGUUUCUGAAAUGUCACGCAUGCCAAUCAACCAUAGGAAGCGAGCACAACAUUGUCUAUUGGCUUCGCUAUGCCGCCGCACGUCUAACCGACCAAUUGCCAUGACACGAGGACCACCGGGGCACUACUCCGCGCGCCUUGAUGAACGAUAUGUGUGGGUGUUGAUCAGGGCCGGGCCCACAGUGGUGCCAUCUGUGCGGCCCGCACAGGGCCCAUGAUUCUGAGGGGCCCAAAAAAAUAUAAAUAGGCCUAGUAUUAAACUGGAGUGGUGGACAGUACUCCGUUAGUGUUGGGCCGCAGCAGCGAUGGUCAGGCCUCGAUCGCGAGCGACGAGGGCGAGGGCAAGGCUGGCGCUGCUAUCUAGGCGAGGGCGAGGCUACCGAGGCGACUCCAUCAAACCGAUUCAACCAAGCCUGUCAAACGUCGCCGCCUCCUCUUAUCCCCUCGUCCUCCACUCCUCGUUGAGUAGCACGUGCCAUGCCCUCGUUCCUGGCUUCCUGCCGCCGUCGCUAAUCAGGUCUCGUUGUUAAUCCUGCGGCCACGCAUGCUGCCGGCUGCCAGCCUGCCGCUGCCGCUGUUAAUCAAGUCCUGCUUUUAAUCCUGCGGCCACGCAUGCUUCUGGUUGCUUGCCUGCCGCUCCAGAAUCCAGAUCUUGUAAUUAACUUUUGACAGAGAUUUUUCUCUAUUAAUUUUUUUUCUAAUCUUGUAAUUAGCCCUGCUGCUUAGCAUUAGCAAAUUCUUUUUCUAUUAACUUCUUUUUCUAAUAUUGUAAUUAACUUUUAACAUAGAUUGUUAUUUCAUUGAUUUUUACCUCCUUCAUUAGAAAUCACAGUGUAUUCAUAUUAUCGGACAUGACCCAAAACUAGAAGAAGAUUGAUGAUGUACGAACAAAUAGCAACGACGAGUUGAAUAUGUAUGACUUUUUAUAUGUUCACUUGUUAUGUAAGGCAUUAUACUUCAUAAAUUAUAUUUUUUAUGCAUCAUAUAUAUAUUAUAAUUGCUCAUUAAUUUUUUAUAGAUAGGGCCUUAGUUUUUAGUUUGGCACAGGGCCCUUGAUUUCGCCCGCCCGGCCCUGGUGUUGAUGAGUUAAGCUAAUACCAUGCUGUUUUAGACAUGCUUCUCGCAUCAAUAAUUGUAUUUUCAUUGCAAAUGUUCUUCCAAAGUGUUUUCGGCAAAAAUAUGUUAGCUAGACGAAAUAGAAUAAUUGCCAUUUGACUACUUAAUUUGUAAAAAAUUAUACAAAAUGUGUUUUUAUCGUUUUGGCCUAACAGGCUUGCAUAGUAACCAUUGCCGCCGCAACAACCGUGCUAAGUUUUCAAGUGAAUCAAGCGGUAGCUAUAUCUAGGCAUACCGAGCAUAAACGAACUAAAACCUUCUCGUUAUUUCGGUUCCAAAAACCAAGUUGCCUACGUAUUGUGUGUUGCUCGAUUAGAAUAGUGCCUAAAACUUGGGAACAUUGCAUAGAAAGAAAAAAACAAUCCCUACAAAUUCACCCAAGAUCUAAUCGAAAAGAUGCAUAGCAACAAAUAGCAACAAGUGGGGAGAGUGUCUUCGUGCCCUUAUAGACUCAAGAGAAAGCAUUUAUAAAACGAUUGACAUAGUCGAACUAUCUUCAUGAUCCAAUCCGAUCGAGCACCACAGGAACGACACCUUCAAGAUGUGCAUAUGUACGACUCAAUGACAUCUCCUUCUUCUCGAUCCAACAAUUGAGGAGGAGAUGUAGAUAUAAUCUAGACCAAUAGCACGAGGCGUGGUGGUGGUGGUGGUGGAGAGGAGGACUUUCUGCAGGGCUUCACCAAGCGGUAGGGAGUAGGAAGUGGAGGGAGAGAGGGAGUGAUGUCGUCGGGUGAAGGGUUGGGUUGUGCCCUGAGGCUCCCCCCCAACCCCCCCCCCCCACCCCCACCCCUUAUUGAUAGGAGUGUGGGAGGGGGCGGUCAUCUCUGACUCCGCAUCCAUAGAGAAGGGGCGGCGGCCAGGGGUUGGCUUGCCCUCCAAGCCUGGUGGAGGCGGCCCUCCCCUUACAGUUUUCCCAAACCCUAGCCACAUGGGCCUUGGGGUUUUGGUGUGCCUGGCCCGUGUAGGCCAGGGCGCCCCCCUAAAACCCAUGCAGGCCUCCAAGACAGGUACGAUCCAUCGCUGGUCUCCUGGAAUCUUUUGGACCCCCCAGUACAAUAUCAUGAAUUCCCGAGCUUUUCUGGAACCCCAAAAAACCACUUUCUAUAUAUGAAUAUUAACCUUCAAAGCUCCUUGUGAUGUCCGAGAUCUCAUUCGAGACUCAUAAUAAUAUUCAACCUCACCGUUAUGAAUAUUCCAUUACUACCCUAGCGUUACCAAACGUUAAGUGUGUGACCCUACGGGUUGGAGAACAUGCAGACAUGAUCGGGACACCACUCUGAUCAAUAAUCAAUAGCGGGAUCUCGAUGCCCAUAAUGAAUCUCAAAUAUUCAGCGAAGACCAUUGUUGAUCUAAGCCAGAAUGUCGCGGAUCCAGAUAAUCCCAUUUACAAUUCCCUUUGUCUCACAAUAUAUUAGUUGCCCGAGAUCCAAUUGCCUAUAUCACCAUACCUAAUUCAAUCUCGUUAUUGGAAAGUCUCUUUACUCGUUUCGCACUACAGUAUCCCCGUGAAUAAACACACAGUCACAUGCUUAGAAGCUACUUAGAAUGAUGUAUUACCGAGAGGGUCCAAAGAUAUAUCUCCGCCACAUGGAGUGAUAAAUCAUAGUCUUGAUCCAUUCAACCCUGCAAAUACUCUCAGAGAUACCUAAAGAGCACAUUUAUGAUCACCCGGUUAUAAAGUGACGUUUGAUACCCACAAAGUGUUCCAUUCUUUAGGUAUUAGGGAGUGGCAUGAUCUCAUGAUCUAAGGAACAUAUACUUGGCAUUAAGAAAGUUGUAGCAAAUAAAGCUAAGUGACACUGUCAAAUGAUAAGCUUACGAUUGCGUAUGUCCAUCACAUCAUUCUUCUAAUGAUGUGAUUUCAUUAUUAAAUAACAAGUCAUGUCUAUGAUUAAAAAAUCUUAACCAUCUUUGAUCAAUGAGCUAGUCAAAUUAGAGGCUUACUAGGGACACGGUGUUUGUUUAUUUAUCCACGCAUGUAUUUGAGAUUUCGGUUAAUACAAUUAUAGCAUGGAGAAUAAACACUUAUCAAAAACAAAAAAUAUGAUAAUUAUAACUUUAUUAUUAUUGCCUCUAGGGCGUAUUUCCAACAGGAUAGCGCCCCUUUCUUAGGCACUACAUACACUCUUUGUAGGGGUUAUAAUUUGGAGAAUUUUUGUGUGUGGUUUGAGAGGGGGGAGGGGGAGAGGGCAGCCGGCAAUGCACCACUUUGUUUCUUCUCUAUAGGGAGAGAUGGAAGAGAGGGGUUUGGGUCGGUGAGGGCCGGUGCACAUCGAUUUAGCCAAAGUAGUACAACUCUAAGAAAACGAUGCUAUAAUAUGUAACAAAACGUCUAAAAGAAAAGGGUUACAAUAUGUAGCAAAACGCCUAAAGAAAGGCGCUACAUAGCCAUGGUGGGCCUUAGACCUGGCCACGCAUGUAGUAUACCGUCUGUCUGUCGGAGGGCGCUAUAACAUGCAUAUCACUAGUAGAAAACGGGCCUUUGGCCUGGACCAUUUAGUCCCGGCCUGCCUCUGGACCGGGACUAAAGGCCCGGCCACAUCGCCCCAAUUCUCAAUGCCUCCCUCGAGGCUUUAGUCCCGGCCCGUAAGGAGCCUGUAGUCCCGGUUCGUGUCCCAAACCGGGACUAAAGGGCUACGCGGCGGGCAGUGGUGGUGGCAACCGUUCGUAUCCCCCUUUAGUCCCGUUUGGUGGCUCAACCCGGGACUAAAGGACUAACAUGUGGCCUGCCGUAGUGGGGCGACCGUUGGUAUACCUCUUUAGUCCUGGUUGGUGGUUGAACCCGGGACUAAAAGCCUAACACGUGGCCUGCCGUAGUGGUGGCAACCGUUUGGUAUACCUCUUUAGUCCCGGUCGGUGGCUCAAACCGGGAUUAAAGGCCCAAACAGUUUGCAUCCCGCGUCGUUUCGGGCGAUGAAAAGCACGAACCGAAGCGUACAGUCGCCAUUUCUCUGUUCUUCUUCUCUCUCGCGUCGCCCUCUCUGUUCUUCUCCUCUCUUCUUCCCUUCUCUUCUUCCACCAUGCCAACUAGCUUCCAUGAGGUGGUCGCGCAUGGCACGACGAAGCUCCGUGUCGUGUACACGAACCUGAGCACGGAGGUGCCGUUUUUCCUUCAACAGUUGUAGGAACGAUGGUUUGACCACGCAGCAGAUCAUGAGAAGUUCUUCGGACUUGAUCUGGAGUACACGGCCGAUCAACGCGAUGUUGCCGUCAUCCAAAUAUGAUUCGCAAGCCAUGUCUUGAUCUUCCAAUGGGCGAGGUAAGUUUUGAGGCUUUCUUUGAUCCAAGAUAAUGACAUUGUAUAAGUUUAUUUGUUUCUAUCAUAGUUGGUUCCCUUCAAAUAGUUGUAGUGAAACAAUUUUGAUUAGUUGAAGGGGAGCACAAUCUAAUUCGAAUAGUUUUCCAUAAUCUGAAAAAUCGUAUUAGAAUCAACUAGUGUUUAAUAUGUUCCAUUGGAAUCAUAGUUGGUUCCCUUCAAAUAGUUGUAGUGAAACAAUUUUGAUUACUUGAAGGGGAGCACAAUCUAAUUGGAAUAGUUUUCCAUAAUCUGAAAAAUCGUAUUAGAAUCAACUAGUGUUUAAUAUGUUCCAUUGGAAUCAUAGUUGGUUCCCUUCAAAUAGUUGUAGUGAAACAAUUUUGAUUACUUGAAGGGGAACACAAUCUGAUUGGAAUAGUGUUCCAUAAUCUAAAAAAUCGUAUUAGAAUGAACUAGUGUUUAAUAUGUUCCAUUGGAAUCAUAGUUGGUUCGCUUCAAAUAGUUGUAGUGAAACAAUUUUGAUUAGUUGAAGGGGAACACAACCUGAUUGGAAUAGUGUUCCAUAAUCUGAAAAAUCGUAUUAGAAUGAACUAGUGUUUAAUAUGUUCCAUUGGAAUCAUAGUUGGUUCGCUUCAAAUAGUUGUAGUGAUCUCUCUAGGUUCCAUUGCAUAUGUUCUAUUUGAAUCCUAAAGAUAAGUUUCUCUUUAGUUGUAGUGAAACAUGUUUCCUUAUUGCAGCAGUAUGUAACAUUUGUUCUAUUUUAAUUUGUUUUUGUUGCAGGAGUGACAAGCAUUGUCGAGGACUCAUGGAGUUCCUUCUCAGCGGCGUCACUUUUGCUUCCGUUGACAUAAGGAACGACAGGCUGAAGAUGAGGCACAGCUUCGGUAUUGAGAUACCAGUUGAUUGCCUCGUUGAUCUCCAAACGAUAUUCAGGCUUCGACAUGACAGGACUUCGAUGGCUCAUAUGGCAGUUGCCUUGAUUGACGAGUCAUAUGGUGAUAUGAAGACCAGUUUCCCAAAGUAUCAGCACAAACUUUGGGAGAAGGGCCCACUUGAUGAUAUCAACAUUGAGUAUGCAGCAAAAGAUGCAUACGUUUCAUACGAGUUGUACCGCAAGAUUCGAGUCGUCAACUAUGGCCAGCGUCACCUCGAGGAACGUGGACAUUCUGAUUUUGAUGAUUCAGAGGAGUACUGUUCUGAACGUCGAACACUUGUAUAUAUAUCUAUGGUAGCUAUUAUUAUGUACUGUUUGGGCAAGUAUCAUGUACUUCUUGGACCAAUUUAUAUAUGUCUAGUUUCUGUUUGUGCCAUUAUAGUUUCCAAAUUUGAAUGGUUUAGCCCUUUCUAACUUCAUUUGCUACUUUUGAAUGGUUUAGCCCUUUCUAACUUCAUGGUAUCAUGCAUUUCGACCACAUAUAUAUACAAAAAGUCUUCAGUUCAAAUAAGUUCAAAAAAUGAAAUCCCUUUUGUAACAGAUCUGUUUUUGAUUAAAACAAUCACUUCUCCUUCUUCUCCUUGUGCUAGAUAUUGGUUAUGCACUAGGGGAAGUAGGAGUAGCGACCAUCAUCGACGGUUGAAAAAUCAGGUGAGCUAGUGUCCACCAUAUAUGAGAGAAGAAGAAAUCCCUUUGUGAUGUGCCUUUGAAUGGUGCAUUUUGAACACACAAAAAGUAUGGAGUUCAAAUAAGUUCAAAAAAAUGAAAUCCCUUUGUAAGAGAUGAGUUCUCGUUCGAAACCCUGCUACUUCGAGAGAGAUUGUCAGUUUUGUACACGAACUGCAUCCAGUUUUUGUCGUAGCCCUCUCAACUUUUUAACACAUGCUAUGUGGGUGAAAUUAUGAUAGCAUGCCAACUUUCAACAUUUUCAGAGUUCAUUUGUAGUGCUUUUCAAUUUCAGGGUCAACUAGCUCAAAAAAAAAAAGUAAAUGCACGAAAUAUACCAAAUGAAGUCGGAAAUUGUUGAAAUUUUGUGAUGUGCCUUUGAAUGGUGCAUUUUGAACACACAAAAAGUAUGGAGUUCAAAUAAGUUUAAAAAAAUGAAAUCCCUUUGUAAGAGAUGAGUUCUCGUUCGAAACCCUCCUACUUCAAGAGAGAUUGUCAGUUUUGUACACGAACUGCAUCCAGUUUUUGUCGUAGCCCUCUGAACUUUUUAACACAUGCUAUGUGGGUGAAAUGAUGAUAUCAUGCCAACUUUCAAAAUUUUCAGAGUUCAUUUGUAGUGCUUUUCAAUUUCAGGGUCAACUAGCUCAAAAAAAUAAGUAAAUGCACGAAAUAUACCAAAUGAAGUCAGAAAUUGUUGAAAUUUUGUGAUUUGCCUUUGAAUGGUGCAUUUUGAACACACAAAAAGUAUGGAGUUCAAAUAAGUUUAAAAAAAUGAAAUCCCUUUGUAAGAGAUGAGUUCUCGUUCGAAACCCUGCUACUUCGAGAGAGAUUGUCAGUUUUGUACACGAACUACAUCCAGUUUUUGUCGUAGCCCUCUCAACUUUUUAACACAUGCUAUGUGGGUGAAAUGAUGAUAGCUUGCCAACUUUCAACAUUUUCAGAGUUCAUUUGUAGUGUUUUUUAAUUUCAGGGUCAACUAGCUCAAAAAAAAUAAGUAAAUGCACGAAAUAUACCAAAUGAAGUCAGAAACUAUUGAAAUUUUGUGAUGUGCCUUUGAAUGGUGCAUUUUGAACACACAAAAAGCAUGGAGUUCAAAUAAGUUCAAAAAAAUGAAAUCCUUUUGUAAGAGAUGAGUUCUCGUUCGAAAACCUGAUACUUCGAGAGAGAUUGUCAGUUUUGUACACGAAUUGCAUCCAGUUUUUGUCGUAGCCCUCUCAAAUUUUUGACACAUGCUAUGUGGGUGAAAUUAUGAUAGCAUGCCAACUUUCAACAUUUUCAGAGUUCAUUUGUAGUGCUUUUCAAUUUCAGGGUCAACUAGCUUAAAAAGAAAUAAGUAAAUGGACGAAAUAUACCAAAUGAAGUGAGAAAUUGUUGAAAUUUUGUGAUGUGCCUUUGAAUGGUGAAUUUUGAACACACAAAAAUUAUGGAGUUCAAAUAAUUUUUAAAAAUGAAAUCCCUUUGUAAGAGAUGAGUUCUCGUUCGAAACCCUGCUACUUCAAGAGAGAUUGUCAGUUUUGUACACGAACUGCAUCCAGUUUUUGUCGUAGCCCUCUGAACUUUUUAACACAUGCUAUGUGGGUGAAAUGAUGAUAGCAUGCCAACUUUCAAAAUUUUCAGAGUUCAUUUGUAGUGCUUUUCAAUUUCAGGGUCAACUAGCUCAAAAAAAUAAGUAAAUGCACGAAAUAUACCAAAUGAAGUGAGAAAUUGUUGAAAUUUUGUGAUGUGCCUUUUAAUGGUGCAUUUUGAACACACAAAAAGUAUGGAGUUCAAAUAAGUUCAAAAUAAAUGAAAUCCCUUUGUAAGAGAUGAGUUCUCGUUCGAAACCCUGCUACUUCGAGAGAGAUUGUCAGUUUUGUACACGAACUGCAUCCAGUUUUUGUCGUAGCCCUCUCAACUUUUUAACACAUGCUAUGUGGGUGAAAUGAUGAUAGCAUGCCAACUUUCAACAUUUUCAGAGUUCAUUUGUAGUGCUUUUCAAUUUCAGGGUCAACUAGCUCAAAAAAAAAAAGUAAAUGCACGAAAUAUACCAAAUGAAGUCAGAAAUUGUUGAAAUUUUGUGAUGUGCCUUUGAAUGGUGCAUUUUGAACACACAAAAAGUAUGGAGUUCAAAUAAGUUCAAAAAAAUGAAAUCCCUUUGUAAGAGAUGAGUUCUCGUUCGAAACCCUGCUACUUCGAGAGAGAUUGUCAGUUUUGUACACGAACUACAUCCAGUUUUUGUCGUAGACCUCUCAACUUUUUAACACAUGCUAUGUGGGUGAAAUGAUGAUAGCAUGCCAACUUUCAAAAUUUUUAGAGUUCAUUUGUAGUGCUUUUCAAUUUCAGGGUCAACUAGCUCAAAAAAAAAGUAAAUGCACGAAAUAUACCAAAUGAAGUCGGAAAUUGUUGAAAUUUUGUGAUGUGCCUUUGAAUGGUGCAUUUUGAACACACAAAAAGUAUGGAGUUCAAAUAAGUUUAAAAAAAAUGAAAUCCCUUUGUAAGAGAUGAGUUCUCGUUCGAAACCCUCCUACUUCCAAAGAGAUUGUCAGUUUCGUACACGAACUGCAUCCAGUUUUUGUCGUAGCCCUCUGAACUUUUUAACACAUGCUAUGUGGGUGAAAUGAUGAUAGCAUGCCAACUUUCAAAAUUUUCAGAGUUCAUUUGUAGUGCUUUUCAAUUUCAGGGUCAACUAGCUCAAAAAAAAAAGUAAAUGCACGAAAUAUACCAAAUGAAGUCAGAAAUUGUUGAAAUUUUGUGAUUUGCCUUUGAAUGGUGCAUUUUGAACACACAAAAAGUAUGGAGUUCAAAUAAGUUUAAAAAAAUGAAAUCCCUUUGUAAGAGAUCAGUUCUCGUUCGAAACCCUGCUACUUCGAGAGAGAUUGUCAGUUUUGUACACGAACUGCAUCCAGUUUUUGUCGUAGCCCUCUCAACUUUUUAACACAUGCUAUGUGGGUGAAAUGACGAUAGCAUGCCAACUUUCAACAUUUCCAGAGUUCAUUUGUAGUGUUUUUCAAUUUCAGGGUCAACUAGCUCAAAAAAAAUAAGUAAAUGCACGAAAUAUAUACCAAAUGAAGUCAGAAACUGUUGAAACUUUGUGAUGUGCCUUUGAAUGGUGCAUUUUGAACACACAAAAAGCAUGGAGUUCAAAUAAGUUCAAAAAAAUGAAAUCCUUUUGUAAGAGAUGAGUUCUCGUUCGAAACCCUGCUACUUCGAGAGAGAUUGUCAGUUUUGUACACGAAUUGCAUCCAGUUUUUGUCGUAGCCCUCUCAACUUUUUAACACAUGCUAUGUGGGUGAAAUGAUGAUAGCAUGCCAACUUUCCACAUUUUCAGAGUUCAUUUGUAGUGUUUUUCAAUUUCAGGGUCAACUAGCUCAAAAAAAAAAGUAAAUGCACGAAAUAUACCAAAUGAAGAGAGAAAUUGUUGAAAUUUUGUGAUGUGCCUUUGAAUGAUGCAUUUUGAACACACAAAAAGUAUGGAGUUCAAAUAAGUUCAAAAAAAUGAAAUCCCUUUGUAAGAGAUGAGUUCUCGUUCGAAACCCUGCUACUUCGAGAGAGAUUGUCAGUUUUGUACACGAAUUGCAUCCAGUUUUUGUCGUAGCCCUCUCAACUUUUUAACACAUGCUAUGUGGGUGAAAUGAUGAUAGCAUGCCAACUUUCAAAAUUUUCAGAGUUCAUUUGUAGUGCUUUUCAAUUUCAGGGUCAACUAGCUCAAAAAAAAUAAGUAAAUGCACGAAAUAUACCAAAUGAAGUCAGAAAUUGUUGAAAUUUUGUGAUGUGCCUUUGAAUCGUUAAUUUUGAACACACAAAAAGUAUGGAGUUCAAAUAAGUUCAAAAAAAAUGAAAUCCCUUUGUAAGUGAUGAGUUCUCGUUCGAAACCCUCCUACUUCGAGAGAGAUUGUCAGUUUUGUACACGAACUGCAUCCAGUUUUUGUCGUAGCCCUCUCAACUUUUUAACACAUGCUAUGUGGGUGAAAUGAUGAUAGCAUGCCAACUUUCCACAUUUUCAGAGUUCAUUUGUAGUGCUUUUUAAUUUCAGGGUCAACUAGCUCAAAAAAAAUAAGUAAAUGCACGAAAUAUACCAAAUGGAGUGAGAAAUUGUUGAAAUUUUGUGAUGUUCCUUUGAAUGGUGCAUUUUGAACACACAAAAAGUAUGGAGUUCAAAUAAGUUCAAAAAAAAUGAAAUCCCUUUGUAAGAGAUGAGUUCUCGUUCGAAACCGUGCUACUUCGAGAGAGAUUGUCAGUUUUGUACACGAACUGCAUCCAGUUUUUGUCGUAGCCCUCUCAACUUUUUAACACAUGCUAUGUGGGUGAAUUGAUGAUAGCAUGCCAACUUUCAACAUUUUCAGAGUUCAUUUGUAGUGCUUUUCAAUUUCAGGGUCAACUAGCUCAAAAAAAAAAGUAAAUGCACGAAAUAUACCAAAUGAAGUCAAAAUAACAAAACAGAUAAUAGUUUGGAUAGUCAAAAUUAUUAAUUAUGAAAAUAAAAAAUAUUUUUGCAUUAUUUAUUCAAUUUGAAACACUUUUCAUUAUCAUAGUUUUGUCAAAUUCUCAAAUAUGCAAAAAGAAUUUUUUAAUAAACAUAGUUUUUAAUUGAAAAUAAAAAAAUAGAUAAUAGUUUGGAUAGUCAAAAUUAUUAAUUAUGAAAAUAAAAAAUAGUUUGCAUUAUUUAUUCAAUUUGAAACACUUUUCAUUAUCAUACUUUUGUCAAAUUCUCAAAUAUGCAAAAAGAUUUUUUAAUAAACAUAGUUUUUAAUUGAAAAUAACAAAAUAGAUAAUAGUUUGGAUAGUCAAAAUUAUUAAUUAUGAAAAUAAAAAAUAGUUUUGCAUUAUUUAUUCAAUUUGAAACACUUUUCAUUAUCAUAGUUUUGUGAAAUUCUCAAAUAUGCAAAAAGAAUUUUUAAUAAACAUAGUUUUUAAUUGAAAAUAACAAAAUAAGUUAAUAGUUUGGAUAGUCAAAAUUAUUAAUUUUGAAAAUAGAAAAUAGUUUUGAAUUAUUUAUUUAAUUUCAAACACUUUUCAUUAUCAUAGUUUUGUCAAAUUCUCAAAUAUGCAAAAAGAACUUUUAUUAAACAUAGUUUUUAAUUGAAAAUAACAAAAUAAGUUAAUAGUUUGGAUAGUCAAUAUAAUUAAUUUUGAAAAUAGAAAAAAAUUGAAACUAUAUGAGAAAUCAUGGACAAAAUUCGACCUGAAUUCAUUUGAAUUCAGAUUGAAUUUUAUCCACAAUUUCGAAUAUUGUUUCAAUUUUCAGUAAGUUUAGGCCCGUAAGCCUGCUUUAGAGAGGAGCUCGAUGGACAAGCUGCGACGGGGCUUAUAAACAAGUGUUAGUCCCCCUCGCUGGGCGAGGUGGGACUGAACUUAUCGUGCAGCCGAGGAGGGGCUUUAGUCCCGGGUGGAGCCACGCCCCGGGACUAAAGACCCCCUUUAGUCCCGGUUGGAGCCACGCCCCGGGACUAAAGACCCCCUGCGUCCUGCCUCUUGGUCUGCCCGAAAAGAGGCCUUUAGUCCCGGGUCGUGGCUCCACCCGGGACUAAAGGGGGUCUUUAGUCCCGGCCCGAGCCACGCACCAGGACUAUAGAUCCACCUAUAUAAGCGGGACUUCGAAAAUUUGCAACCCAAUUCGUCCAUUUCUCUUCUUCUUCCUCUCGUUCUCCUGCCCGGCGCGGCACAACGACGAACUAACCGACGCCGUCAGGCUGCCCGCCGUCCUGCUCGCCAUCGGUCGUCCUCCUCGCCGCCGCGCCGUCCUCCUCGCCGCCGCACCGUCCUCCUAGUCGUCGCGCCAUGCUCCUCGCCGUCGAGCCGUCCUCCGCGCCGUCCUCCUCGCCAACACUCCGGCAGUAAGCCCUCAGCCCCCUCCUCCCCAACACUCCGGCCAGUAUAGAAGAAAAGAAGAAAAAGGAGAAGAGAAGAAGAAAAAGGAGAAGAAAGGAAGAAAAAGGAGAAGAAAAGAAGAANNNNNNNNNNNNNNNNNNNNNNNNNNNNNNNNNNNNNNNNNNNNNNNNNNNNNNNNNNNNNNNNNNNNNNNNNNNNNNNNNNNNNNNNNNNNNNNNNNNNNNNNNNNNNNNNNNNNNNNNNNNNNNNNNNNNNNNNNNNNNNNNNNNNNNNNNNNNNNNNNNNNNNNNNNNNNNNNNNNNNNNNNNNNNNNNNNNNNNNNNNNNNNNNNNNNNNNNNNNNNNNNNNNNNNNNNNNNNNNNNNNNNNNNNNNNNNNNNNNNNNNNNNNNNNNNNNNNNNNNNNNNNNNNNNNNNNNNNNNNNNNNNNNNNNNNNNNNNNNNNNNNNNNNNNNNNNNNNNNNNNNNNNNNNNNNNNNNNNNNNNNNNNNNNNNNNNNNNNNNNNNNNNNNNNNNNNNNNNNNNNNNNNNNNNNNNNNNNNNNNNNNNNNNNNNNNNNNNNNNNNNNNNNNNNNNNNNNNNNNNNNNNNNNNNNNNNNNNNNNNNNNNNNNNNNNNNNNNNNNNNNNNNNNNNNNNNNNNNNNNNNNNNNNNNNNNNNNNNNNNNNNNNNNNNNNNNNNNNNNNNNNNNNNNNNNNNNNNNNNNNNNNNNNNNNNNNNNNNNNNNNNNNNNNNNNNNNNNNNNNNNNNNNNNNNNNNNNNNNNNNNNNNNNNNNNNNNNNNNNNNNNNNNNNNNNNNNNNNNNNNNNNNNNNNNNNNNNNNNNNNNNNNNNNNNNNNNNNNNNNNNNNNNNNNNNNNNNNNNNNNNNNNNNNNNNNNNNNNNNNNNNNNNNNNNNNNNNNNNNNNNNNNNNNNNNNNNNNNNNNNNNNNNNNNNNNNNNNNNNNNNNNNNNNNNNNNNNNNNNNNNNNNNNNNNNNNNNNNNNNNNNNNNNNNNNNNNNNNNNNNNNNNNNNNNNNNNNNNNNNNNNNNNNNNNNNNNNNNNNNNNNNNNNNNNNNNNNNNNNNNNNNNNNNNNNNNNNNNNNNNNNNNNNNNNNNNNNNNNNNNNNNNNNNNNNNNNNNNNNNNNNNNNNNNNNNNNNNNNNNNNNNNNNNNNNNNNNNNNNNNNNNNNNNNNNNNNNNNNNNNNNNNNNNNNNNNNNNNNNNNNNNNNNNNNNNNNNNNNNNNNNNNNNNNNNNNNNNNNNNNNNNNNNNNNNNNNNNNNNNNNNNNNNNNNNNNNNNNNNNNNNNNNNNNNNNNNNNNNNNNNNNNNNNNNNNNNNNNNNNNNNNNNNNNNNNNNNNNNNNNNNNNNNNNNNNNNNNNNNNNNNNNNNNNNNNNNNNNNNNNNNNNNNNNNNNNNNNNNNNNNNNNNNNNNNNNNNNNNNNNNNNNNNNNNNNNNNNNNNNNNNNNNNNNNNNNNNNNNNNNNNNNNNNNNNNNNNNNNNNNNNNNNNNNNNNNNNNNNNNNNNNNNNNNNNNNAUAUAUAUACAUGUGCGGCUUCCAUUGGAUUCUGUUGGACAUUUAAAUUGAUAAGGGAAGAGUUGAUGCCUUCGAUCCAUUAUCGAGACCCUUGGAACAGUUCCAAAGCCUGCAGGACAUGCUCCAAGGGUAAUUUUAAUCAUUCUUGCGCUCUAUCGGUCUCUUUCGAUGAUUUUCUGAUAUAUCAAUUAAUGAAAAACUUAGCAAAUCAUUAUCCUUGUCGGACAGGGUUUGGAAUCGGUUCAAGUGCGUGACUCCCGGUAACUUUCCUGAAAAGCUGACCUUUAGAGCGGCUCAGGUAAGUAGUAGUAUGAUAUACUUCUAUUAAUUUUCAAUAUAUUUAUGAUGUUAGAUUAUUAUUUUGAUUAUAUAUAUUCCAUUCUCGUAAAGUGCGACCAGCAGCCACGGGGAACGCAUCUAUGCGAAUACUAUGUUUGCGAGACCAUUCGCACGUUUACCUCUGAGUUCAAGGAGCACAGAUUCGACGUAAGCAAUGAACAUUCACACGUCUAUUUUUACCCGUCAUUCUUUGUUAUCAUGAUUGAUAUUCAUAUUCAUCUCCUCUUCUUAUAUAGCACACGGCCAUGAGGACGAAGGUCCUACCAGAGCAACGCGCGAUUGCUGUUGCAGAGGAGCUUGCGGAAUUUCUAAGGACGGAAGCUAUAGAAGACAAAGGACGAUUUAGUGUAGCUAAGGGUCAUUACUGAUGUUCGUCCAUGUAAUCGAAUAGACGAGCUCUAGUCCCGAUAAUUCCGAUCUCCAUAUAAUUGUAUAUAUAUGAUCGCUUGUAAGAUAAGUUAAUCAUAUAUAUAUNCAUCACGUUAAUCUCCUGAACACCUAAACCCUAAAACCCUAAAAUAAUUUCAUUCAAAAAAAACCCAAAAGCCAGCAAAAACCCAAAAUCUGAAAAUCUUUAGUCCCGGACCGUGUAACGAACCGGGACUAAAGGGCCUCCCCUGGGACGCUACGAGGCGCCCACAUGGAGCACCUUUAGUCCCGGCGUGUAAGAGGGUCGGGACGAAAAGGUUAUGCCUUUAGUCCCGUCCCUUUAGUCCCGGUUGGUGAACCGGGACUAAAGCCCCUUACGGGCCGGGGCUACAGGCCCUGUCCCACUAGUGUAUAUGAUAGCACGUGGACGUUGAACGCUAUCCGAAAAGGUUAGUCCCGUGAAGUAGUUUCAUGAAAAGUUUAUUCUUUGAAUUUGUCUCGGCUUUGGGUUAUUUCUGUUUAUUUCGCCCAAGUGGGGUUGUGCCGGCGGGUAUAUGCGUGAGAACACGUGUCCUCGUGGAGUGCGCAUGGGCAUAGUUUGCUGUGUCACUUGGUGUGAGCAGCGGCUGCCUGGGUGUUCUCUUUCAUCAAUUCACAUUAACCACAUGCCAUAGCAGCACACUUCAAAGCUCAACUACUGGUGCAUGGGUGCCAGGCAUUGAAGCAUCUGCGGGCAGCGGCAGCGGCAGCGGCAGCGGCAGCAUAGGUGGACGACCGAUCAACCAUCAGAAGCAGGCCCAUCAGCUGGGGUAAGUACCAAACUGACCUCACAACGCAAUUUCUCUGCUCCAUCCCUGCCUGCUGCACGGCUCGUCCUUGGGGGAAUUAAACUGCUGCAUCGGCGCUGCACACCUAGGUUCGCUGCAGCGGUAGGGGGAAUUAAACUGCUUUGCAAGCAGCCGGCUAGCCGCUGCCUCAUCAUCAUUGCUCACGCCUAUUUAAAGAUACCCUCCCACUUCCUCUGCCUACCAUCAUUAGAGCAAAUACAAUAAGAUACAGUCAGCAGGCUGUAAGACAUAAAUUAUUAUAUUUUUACUGAGUUGGAUGAGAGAAAAAAAGAGAGAGAAGGAAAGCCAGCUCUAGUACGUGCUCCUAGGUACUUUGUGAGAAUGAAAGGUGUGUCGUAUAUGAUAAAAGUAGUACUCUUUUAUAGCUAACUAUUGUACAAGCUAGCUAUAAGAUGGACCACCACAUUCGCCACAUUCGCCAUUCGCCAUCUGCGUAUAUAGUACUCUUUUAUAGCUAACUAUUGUAUAGCUUCCUUCCUCACCGAGGCCACCACAUUCGCCAUCUGCUUCGCCUUCGGCCGCGCCAUGCAGCAGCAUGCUCCCGCCUUCUUCCUUCCCGGCCCCGCUGCCACGCACGCGCGCAACCGUGUCCUCGACGUGGCUGCCGCCUGCCGGCGUCCUCCUGUACACGGUCAUCGGCGUCCGAUGUGGCCGCCGACGUCCUCUUCAACAUGGUCAUCGGCGUCCUCCUCGACACGGUCACCGGCCUCCUCCUUGACACGGUCAUCGGCGUCCUCCUCAACACGGUCAUCGGCGUCCUGUGCAUCGCCGUCCUGGUCAUCCUCCUACUACUACUAUUUGCCUCCUGCGUCGUCGCUGCCCUCGCAGCCAUCAUCAUCUAUCGCCACCGCGCCCGGGUGUCCAGGACUGGUGAGCGGCGGGUCGCUGUUCUUUCAUUCGUGUUGUUGUUCCUCCUCGCCGUGGUCAUGGUUCUCGUAGCCGUCCUCUUUCUCGAGACUAUAGACGACGAGGAGUAAGAAAAUAGAUUACGUACACGCGGCCGCCGCCGCGAUGGCAGAUGGUUAAUGCCGUAUAAUGAGCUGCUACUAGUAUUACUGCAAUGUCUACAAUCUACAUAGUGGUAUAUCUAUUAAGGGAAAUUCUAUUUAGAAGCGUCGCAUGAUGGACAUUCUGUGCAGCGGCUUGCAUGCUUUCUUCUCAUGCAUGCAUGCAUGCAAUGAUGUCAUGAGAUUCGUUUUAAAUGAUCGGAAUUCAAAAACUUUUAUCUCUUAAACCGUUAAUCUGAUCGAUGAUUCGUUUUCGCCGUUGACUUUGUUUCGAUGAAAUCUUCAAAACUAGAUCCCAUAUCAACAUGUUUUGACAACUUUUUUUUUGCUCGUACUUACCACAUUUGCUCUACUUACUUGUCAUAUUAGUAAGUACUUACUUGUCUGAUAAAAAAUAACUUAAUCGCCAAUUUUUUUGAAAGCUGCGUAUAAAUAUGACAUCUAGACAUAAUAAAAAUGGCAAGCACAAACAAUUUUUUUAGGCGAUUACGCGCAAAAAUAUGACAACUCAACGUAUUUAAAAUCGAUGACCAUAAAAAAUCUUUUUUGAUCAUCGUUUAUAAAUAUGAUAACUCGACAUAGUUAAACUAACAAACACACAAAAUAGUGUUUUUUUUGGCAAAGUUGUAUGUAAAUAUGAAAAAAUUUCAUAUUUAAAUUGGCAAACACAACCUAUGACGAUGCUUUUAUAUCAUGUAUAAUGAAAACUGUUACAUGGUUUUGUAGAAAAAACAUUAAAAAUGUCAAUUAAGUUAUUUUUUUAGGCAAGUAAGUGGUUAAUAAUAUGGCAAGUGGGGUAAAAAAUAUGGCAAGUAUGAAUGAAAAAAAUAGUUAACGGAACGUGUCGACAUGGGAUCUAGUUUCGAAGAACUCGUCGAGAGAAAGUAAAUGGUGAAAACGGAUCAUCGAUUGAAUUAACGGUUUUGUAGAUAAAACUUUUUAAAUUUCAAAAUAAAAAAGAAUCUUGGUGACAUCAUUGCAUAACAGUUUUCAUUAUACAUAAUGAUAUCAUUGCACGCAUGCAUGCAUUAGAAAAAUAUGUAAUGGGUGAUUAACAUGAGGUUAAUUUUUGCAUUGGAAUGUGAUUAAGUGAGCCGCCGCACGGCAAGACGGAGGUGCAGCGCCGCUCCCUAGCGUUGUCCAUCUAUUAAUAUCGCAGCUGUAAUGUAAUGUUGUUUCUCUUUCGGUUUUGCUAAAAUGCAUCUAGAUGUAUCUUAAAUAUCACACAUCUAAAUUUUAUGUUACUGAUUUUAUACGUGGGUAUUUUUUCUAUUUUCUUAUCUUAUUAUUCCUAAGCUUGAUUAAGUCACUUAGACACGCAAUAACUAAGGCAUAUCCAUAGACACAACCUUUCUCUUUUAUAUUUACGCUUGAUAUCGGAUACUUCUCCCCUUUUGGUGUCAUGGAGCUUACUUUGGAUGAUGGUGGCAACAUUAAAAAAUGAAUAAUACAUUAAAGGACUGUAGGAAAAAAUAUCCAAAAUUAAAAAGCAGUAAAGAAGAACUAACCAAUCGAAAACUUAAAAUAAAUUUUCUAUAUCUAAAUAGCUAGCUCAUACCAACUUUUUUUUAACAUCCAUGCAUGUCAUAUCAUCCAUAGCAUGCAUGAUAAUUGAUAAAAGACUCACCCCCAUUACCGUGUGUCUCUCAACAUAUGCAAGCAUCCGCUUCAUUAUGAAACAUGCAUGGAAAAAAGAUUCAUCUGACCAUGUGAACAUACAUGAAAAUUUUCAUUCUAUUAUGAUAUCUAUAAUUAAUAAUCAUUUUGCAACUAUACAGUAAUCAAGCAAAACAAUUAUUUGUAUUUUUAGUCUUAAGUUUUUUCAUUAUUACUUAAAAUAUUCAUGUUCGUACAAUAAAUUAUAUUAAAGUAUGUUGUAAAAUAUUCUCGCAACAACAUGCGGGGCUAUCAUCUACUCCCACCGUUUCUAAAUAUAACUCUUUUAAGAUAUUUCAUUACGGACUACAUAUGGAGUAAAAAAAAUGAAUCUACAGUCUAAAAUAUGCCUAUAUACAUAUGUAUGUAGUUUAUAAUGAAAUCUCUUAAAAACAGAAAUUUAGGAACAGACAGAGUAAUUAACAAAAUGAGUGCACCACCUAUUCAUAAUUCAUUCCACACUGACACAUAUUUAUUGAGUGAUCCGAAAAAAUGUCAGACAUAGAUACAAAACUACUCCCUCCGUUCCUAAAUAUAAGACAUUUUAGGGAUUACACUAUAGACUAGAUACGGAGCAAAAUGAGUGAAUCUAUAUCCUAAAAUAUGACUACAUACAUCCGUAUGUAGUUCAUAAUGGAAUUUCUAAAAGGUCUUAUAUUUAGGAACGAAGGGAGUAGAAGCGAAAACGUUCCACAAAUACGGGGCGCACUCAGUUAGUUCAUACCAAUUGAAGAACACAUUAAGAGACAAUCCUACUACGUAAGAUAUAUAUAAUUAAGGAAAUAAAUACUGUAUAUUUUUUCAAUAAAUAACCAUGUGAACUUGUAUCUUUAUAGGCAUAUUUUAUUCACAUGAUUUUAAAAUCUGGAACAUUAAAAUCUGGAACAUGAAAAACAAUGUCAUGCCCUUUUUGCAACAUACUACCUCCGUCCGGAAAUACUUAUCCUAGAGAUGAAUGUAUCUAGAUUUAUUUUAAUUGUAGAUACAUCUAUUAUAUGUAUUUUUAGGACAAGUAUUUCCGGACGGAGGAAGUACAUGUAUUUAUUUGCUUGAUUGCAUGACGAAAAAUAUAUAUUUUCAAGAGGUUUGAGUGAACGCUAGAAUUCUUAUGAAAUGUAAUAGAAAUAGAAAUUUAGAAAGUUCCCUAUAAUAGAAUUUCUAUGAAUCAAAUGAUCAAUGCAGGAAAAUCUUAACUUUAGUACCUCAAAAGUUAAGUCCCAGUGUAGCACGACGACCACACGGACAAUGCACGCAGCGUCGUGAGCUCUAGCUGCGCGAGCACGGACGCGACCUCAGCGGUUAGCUGCGUGAGCGCACACACAAGCUACGUCGGCGGCCAGUGGCCAGCGUGAGCACGCACGGCUGCGGGAGUCGUGGGGUUUGACGGCCAGCGCUUUAGAACAUGGUUAAUAAUAUACUCCUUCCGAUCCUGACCGGGAAAGAGACGCGGCUCGCGCUAGCGCACGACCGCCGCCGCCGGCGGCUGAUCUUCCUCCUCCGUCCACCUCCGGCCCAGCCAAACGCAGAUCCGGAACCCCGCCAGCGUCCUCUCUUCAUCCAUCCUGAAGCCCGGCGCCGUCUUCACCGGCUCUCUCCUCGCGGCGGGUUUCGAGUUGGGGCCUCCCCUCUUCCUGCCCCGNAUAUGAAUAAAAAUAAGAAAAUAAGAUUAGGAAAAAUGAAAAUAAGAAGAGGAGGAGAAGAAAAGAAGAAAAAGUGUAUAUUGUAUAGUGUAUAUGCUUAAGUGUAUAGUGUAUAUAAUGUAUAAUGUAUAGGGAGAGGAGGAAUUUUGCAAUAGUGUAUAUAGUGUAUAGUGUAUAAGNUAUAGGGUAUAGUGGAUAAGAAAAGGAGAAAAGAAGAGGGGGGGGAGAGGAGAAAAGAAGAGGAGGAGAAGAGAAGAAAGAAGAGGAGGAGAAGAAAAAUGAAAAUAAGUGUUAACAGUUUAAUUUUGCUAUUGUAUAUGCUUAAGCGUUAAUAGUUUAUUUUUAGCAAGAAAAUUAAUAGAACUAGUUUAUUUUUUUAGUUCAUUUUACGAUGCCUAUCCCGCAUCCUCGUCGUCGACUCGGCGGAGGACACCUGCUUGAUCAGAGGGCCCUGUCCGGGACUGGGCUCCGCCCGGCUGGUAUUGGGAGGUGCUACCUUCCGGGGGGCGUAGGUUGGUGAGGAGCCAGCCCGUCGUUGACCCGAUCCUUGUUUAGUGGCGGUCGCGUGGGCCAGUGAGGGUGCCAAGGCUUCCGGACACCGCGGAGGUGGUACGUCACCGUGUCAGCGAGGAGGAUGAGCACGUCCGUCGCUACAUGGUUGCGUUGGAGGGCAGGUUCGAGCAUACCUGGCAGGUUCUUCGGGGAUCUCACUGGAGCUAUGAUCUUGUGAUGGUUCCUUCUCUUUGGGUGUCCACCGCCCGCGCCGAUACCCGUCGGGCGCUACGGUUCUAGUUGUAUUAGUGAUGCUAUAUGUAUGAUAGUAUUCGAGGAGUAUUAAUGAUAAUAUUCGACGAUGUACGGACAAAAGUGAUGAUGUAUUAGCUUAUAAUUGAAUGCAUGCUACUUUGAAUACUACUUUAUUUUACGAUUUGGUUUUGCUUAUUGAAUGCUCAAAUUGGAAAAGUACUCCUACUUUGAAUACUAUGCAGAAAUCUAGGAGUCUCAAAUUGGAAAAGUACUCCUACUUUGGUUUUUGGUACAAAGGUUAAGAGAAUCCGUUUUUUGCAGAACUAUGGAUCCACAUAUCAGGAACCUCGAAGAGGAAGAACUUCUGGAAGAUAUAAUCAAAGACGGCCCCGACGUUGAACCAGCUGAAUCUCCGUCGUCAUAUCUAAACCAGGACGUUGGAAUGGAGGUCGAGCGACACGAAGAUGAAGCCGAUGGGGCAGGAGAUAGGUCCAAUGACGGAGAAGGUGAUAGCUCCACUGAUGGAGAAGCCGGUGAAGAGGAGAAGUCCGGCGAGGUAUACAUAUGAAGUUCGACAAUCACUUGUAAUAUGUGAAAAAUAUUGGAGAUACCUCUAUAUUGUAUACAUAUACAUUCAUUUGACGAAUGUUUCUCCCUCUUAGGCCUCCACAUCGAGCAAAACUACGAAACAAGGCCCGACUAGAAAGUUGGAUGCACGGACGCAUUACACAUUUGUAAUAUGUGAAAAAUAUUGGAGAUACCUCUAUAUUGUAUACAUAUACAUUCAUUUGACGAAUGUUUCUCCCUCUUAGGCCUCCACAUCGAGCAAAACUACGAAACAAGGCCCGACUAGAAAGUUGGAUGCACGGACGCAUUACACAUUUGAGGUGAUAUUUCCUACGGGCGAACCCAAGCUUCCUAAGAAUGCUGCUGACACAUUCAAGAAGCAAUGCGGAGAUCUCGUUAGGGAUCACGUCCCAAUCAGCGUUCGGGAGUGGAACAAGCGCAAAGGGGCAGCCGAUAGUGACUAUGUCGCCGAAAGGUACAAAGAUAAUCUUUGGAAUGAUCUCAUGUCACAUUUCAACCUGCCAGAAUGUGAGAAUGAAGACGCCGCAGACAAACUGAGGGCCAAAGUCAAGCAGUGGACUCUGAAGAAGAUGGCCGAACUGUUCCGUAGCUGGAAGAAGAAGCUAUGGAAAAACUAUCCGAAGACACAAAAAGUGCCAGUAUUCGAGGGGUAUCUAGCCAAGCAGGCGAAUCACUGGAAGGCAUUUCAAGAGUACAAGGAGUCAGAAGAUGCCCAGGCAUUAUCAGAAAAGAACAAGAUAAAUGCCGACAAGAAGAAAUAUCACCACAAGCUGGGGCCAGGGGCUAUGAGACUGCCAUCCCAAAGUGGGAUAAGAAAGAGCAAGAUCUGAUAGAUAAAGGCGUCGUACCUGAACCACUCCGUGAUGAGUGGGAAUUGAGAGCAAGAAAUUGGUUCCUUGCGCAUGAUGGGUCGUACGACGAAACAACAGGGGACCUCAUCUGCAAUGACAAUCUUAGGAUACCCAGGGAGAAUUGGAAAAGGAUAGUGAAAGAAAUUAAGGAGGGAAGAAGAAAGUUCACUGCAGAUAGAGAGAAAGAUUUGCUCACACUGGUCCUCGGCAAUGACGAACAUGGAGGACGAACGCGAGGCUUCGGUCCUUCUUACCCGUGGUGGCUUGGGUUUGCCAGAGACCAAGACACUUACAGAAGCCGAGAGAGAGCAAAGAAGCGGCAGCAGGAUGAGGAGAAUGACAAGUUCAACCAGUUGCUUGCCAGGAUUAACGAGCAACAGAAGCAUAUUGAUGAGCUUAGAGGAGUACCGCGCCAGGAAGAUCCUGCAGUUGAUAUUACCGGCGCCCCAUCUAAGCGGAAAAGUAGCUUGGCUGAAUCUGAGGCCCCGCCCGACGAUGAACGAAGAAUGAUAGAGGGCGGUCCCGGCUACCCCGUGGAUGGAAUCAAGGAGUCAACAUCAUGUGAACUCCAUCAGAAAUUCAAGAACAUAUCCAUGAAGGUGGCCGUCGGACAAGCUUUACCUUCUGGCCCUAAUGCACGCUGGCAUGGCCGUGAGAUUCCAGCUGGCUUUGGUAAAGUCGGGGUGGAUGAAAUCAUGACGGGGUUUAAUGAUAUGGAGCUCGACAUAGCUGGACCCGAAGAUGAGAGGACACUCGGAGAAGUACUGGGUGGAGUCAUCCUAUGGGACAAGCACUAUAUCAAGCUUCCAGGCUCGGCCCCAAGGACAACACCGCCUCCGAGUCGUCGCAGGUCACAUACACCUCCAUUACCUCCAAGCCCUCCACAUGACGUCGGCCAGCACAACACGAGUCCAUCUCGAUCACCGCAGCCGGACUUGGGUCGUCCGUCUCCGCCGCCGCCCGCACAUGAUACUAAGCGGAAGCAUGCCAGCAAGAACGCUUCGUCGAUGAUUUCUAAGGGAUGGAGCUCCCCAAAGCGCAAACUAUCGCCCCUCCCAAAGGUACCUCAUGCUAAUCUUCCUAUCAGACCUUAUGAUCGUACCCCCGAGGAAAAUGCCAGGAUAGCAAAGGAACAACAUGAUGCGCAGAUGAAAAGGAAGAAACCCGAGCCCCGCCCGAAAUACACCGAGAAGAACAUAGCAUGGGCAAAAGACUUCAUAACCACUCCAUCACAGUAUGACUUACACUAUAAGCCUGAUGACUAUACACGCACAUUGCAGAAGGAAGUGAAAAAGAGCAGGUCACAUGCAAGUGCAAGUGGGAGCAAAUCAAGUUCAACUACAAGCAAGAAAAAAUCAGACGUUCCUCAGCUUGGACAACAGGCCAAACAGUCGAUCCCACCCCUCAAGGUGUUAACCGAGAAUGUUCCCUCUCCGGUGCAGGGGCAAGCUUUUGAAAAAGCAAAGGAGUUGGCGGAUGAAUGUGGUAUCUUGGUUGAAAAUUUGCUGGCUUCCCAAGACGACAGGAUACCCAAGGCUGUGGUAGCCCCUUAGCCACAGUUUGUCAUGGGAGAGCCUUUGGCGAGCAAAGAUGAUCUCCCAACAAAUGUGCGUUACUUGCAUAAAUGGUACUUAAGUGAAUCAAAUAAUGGGAGAACGAUGAUCGUGCUGAGUGUCCCACAUGAGUACUACGGCCGCUCCGAAGAAAUCCAUAUCGACUUUGAUGAACUCUUCCAGAUGUACAAUGGCGACGCCCUCGACAAAUCGCUUAUGAGUUGCUAUUGUCUGUAAGUUUUUCAAUUCGUUGUCUACAUAUAACUUGUUUAGUUAUUUCAAUUCAUUGUCUAUAUGUAACUUGUACUCUAUUAUGCAGAAUGAAGAUUCUGGAGUGUAAAAGUAAGAGCAUCCUAAAUAUUGGGUUUAUUGAUCCAGAUAAAAUACAUAUAGCGACGCUAACUAAUUAUCCCAAGGAGACGGAGGAAAACCUUCUAAGGUUUCUAAGAGAUCAAAAUUUCUGUGAUCACAUACUGUUUCCAUACAACUUCAGGUGAGGUUCUUUACUCUGUUGUGUCCAUUCACUUAUAAGUGUAAUUGAUAAGUUACUCACACACACNNNNNNNNNNNNNNNNNNNNNNNNNNNNNNNNNNNNNNNNNNNNNNNNNNNNNNNNNNNNNNNNNNNNNNNNNNNNNNNNNNNNNNNNNNNNNNNNNNNNCCGUGAUGUGUUUGGUGUCCAUUUUCGAAUGAUUCGAGAUACCAUUGAUGAUACAUGAAAUUUGGAGUGAUUUAGUCAUACUCCUGCCUAGGCGUAUAAUAUGCAUACUCGUAGUCUUCAUAGCCGCUGUCGUCGUUGUACUGGUAGUCGUCGCCUUCUAAGUUGCCGCCGUCGUCGUCGCUGCUGUCGUCGCUGUCGUCGGGCGGCGCUCGUGGCUCGAACUGAGGGUAGCGCAGGCGGGGGAUAUCGCCGGCCGUGAUGUAGUCCAUGACGCUCUGCAGAGUCCGGCCGUACCACCAUAGCCGACGGCCGGCCUCGUGGAAGUUCCCAGGAGGCAGACCGUCCUCCUCAUACCUGGCGAGCGCCCUCUCACGCCGAUUGAUGAAGAAGGCGUCCCAAGUAUGCUGGUUAUCGGGAUGCCAGCGGGGAUUCAUCCGCUGCUCCGGCGUGAGGUCGAGGUAGUAGUGGUUCGUGAUGGCCGCCCGGCGCGCAGUACCCUGAGGGACGGGAGGGACCGGCACGCUGCCGGCGCUUAGGCUCCAGCCGGUGGGGACGCGGUAGCCCGGUGGACAAGGGUAGUUCGAGGCGCAAAGCUCCUCCACCUGCUGGUAGGUUAGAGUGGGUGCGGUGGAAGCCAUGAGAGAGUGAUGAGAGAUUGUAGAGAUGUGAUAAUGCUGGCCAAGCCGGGCUACAUAUAUGUAGUGAGAAAUGGCGGGAAAAAUGGGAGCGGGAUGACAGGAGGCGGGAAGACAGGAGGCGGGAAGAAAGUGGCGGGAAGAAAGAGGCGGGAAGACAGGGAAGAAAUGGCGGGAAGAAGAGGAAUCCAGAGCUGGUCAUCUAACCUUUAGUCCCGGCUGGUUGGUGCAACCGGGACUAAAGGCCAGACCAACCGCGACUAAAGGUCGUUGCGCGCGGGGAACGCAAAAACGACCUCUCAGCGGGCGGAUAGGAGAAGAAAGGGGCGGCGCGCUCACGGCUCGGGCGAGAGGCCUCUCAGCGGGGCAUCACAGCCACCGCACCAGGCAGGCGUGAGCAAGAUGGGUCGAGGCCGAAGGCCGGCCCAGGCCGGGGGGGAGAGAGGCUCUGGCCAAUGUUCCCUUUAAAUGGAUUCUCUUUUUUCUGUCCCGUUUUAGGCAGAUUCAAUGUAUUGUCUCUAUGCAUAUUUUUCCUACGAAAAUAUGCUUAGAAAACAGAAAAUAAAAUGUUUGAAGUUUCUAUAAAAGCAAUGAUGAUUUUUCUGAAAAGAAAAAGAUAAAAGGUUCUGAAAAUAAAAGAAGAUUUGGGGGGGGCCUUUAGUCGCGGUUGGUCUGGCAAACCGCGACUAAAGGUUACCCUUUAGUCGCGGGUCGCCUCCCCAACCGCGACUAAAGGGGGGNNNNNNNNNNNNNNNNNNNNNNNNNNNNNNNNNNNNNNNNNNNNNNNNNNNNNNNNNNNNNNNNNNNNNNNNNNNNNNNNNNNNNNNNNNNNNNNNNNNNAAGCCAUGAGAGAGUGAUGAGAGAUUGUAGAGAUGUGAUAAUGCUGGCCAAGCCGGGCUACAUAUAUGUAAUGAGAAAUGGCGGGAAAAAUGGGAGCGGGAAGACAGGAGGCGGGAAGAAAGUGGUGGGAAGAAAGAGGCGGGAAGACAGGGAAGAAAUGGCGGGAAGAAGAGGAAUCCAGAGCUGGUCAUCUAACCUUUAGUCCCAGCUGGUUGGUGCAACCGGGACUAAAUGUGGUUUUUGUGUCAUCUAAGAAAACUGUCGGUGGGAUAAGGACGUUUGAAUUAAAUUAGUGUUAUUUUUCUGAAUUUUUUGAUAUAUUAUUUGUAUUUUUAACAUUUUGAAUUGAAUUAGUUUUAUUUUUCUUAAUUUUUUGAUAUAAUUUUUGUGUUUUUAACAUAUUGAAUUGAAUUAGUUUUAUUUUUAUGAAUUUUUUGAUAUAUUAUUUGUAUUUUUAAGAUAUUGAAAAAGAAAAGUAUUUUGAAAAAUACCUUUAGUCGCGGUUGGCCAGAACAACCGCGACUAAAGGUCGUUGCGCGCCGGAACGAAAAAACCCUUUAGUCGCGGUUGGUUUAGCCAACCGCGACUAAAGGUUACCUUUAGUCGCGGGUCGCCUCCCCAACCGCGACUAAAGGGUUUUUGGCGGGUUUAAAGGGUUUUUGGCGGGUUUUUGCGUUCCCGCGCCCCCCCCCCCUUUAGUCGCGGUUGGGGAGGCGACUAAAGGGGGGGGGUUAUAAAUACAAGGGCCUGCCGCCGUCUNNNNNNNNNNNNNNNNNNNNNNNNNNNNNNNNNNNNNNNNNNNNNNNNNNNNNNNNNNNNNNNNNNNNNNNNNNNNNNNNNNNNNNNNNNNNNNNNNNNNUAGAGCGCGAGACGGGGCGGCAGACGACGGCGUCACGGAGAGGGAGACCCGGGACCAUACUUUUUUUCUCAUCACUGCCGUGUGUACUAACCACACGAGUAUGAGACCCGGGACUGUGCAGGUGCAUCGAGAAAUCUUAGGGCUCGACAAUAUGUUUUCUCUUCGUGGGAUGCUAGCGGUCGCAUCAACUGAGCGUUUUCUUCCCGACGUCUUCUAUUCUCAAGAUGAAGUGAUGACCUCCCUUUCUUUCCCCCGUUCUUGCAUAGUCUUCCCGACGGCUGUGGCUGAAUAUCCGACACAUGAAAAAGUUUUAACUAGAGUUUUUGACCGUGAACCUGCUGCUUCAGCUUUGCACUGGCCGACCGCCGAUUCGCUGGUUCAUUUGCUAGUUUUUAAUCAUAAAAGAAAAUACUUUCUUUGUUCCUAAAUAAUUGUAGUUAAAAAAACUAGACUAUCUUUUUUUGACUAUAAUUAUUUAAAAACGGAGGGAGUAAAUAUUAUGUAAGUAUCUCAUUAUUAAAAGAGGAGUUGGUUCCGUUGCCUCUCCUACUCCCUUUGUUUUUUCGUCCCAUGACUCCCUCUCUUCUUAACCAAAAUAGAUAGUCUUAAACUCAACCAAAAAUGGUGAACUUUUCCAAAUUCGCUAAUUUUUUUCAAUUUAGAUUGAUUAAUUAUUUAAAUUGAUGAUUUUUUAACUCGAUGAUCUUUUUUAUAUUCGAUGAAACUUUUUCAUAUUUGAUAGUCUCUGUUCUUUUUCAUAUUCGAUGAAACUUUUUAUAUUCGAUGAAACUUUUAAAUAGAUAGUCUCUGUUCUUUUUCUUCCAAGACGUUCUUCCAAGACGUUCUUUUUCUUCCAAGACGUUCUUCCAAGACGUUCUUUUUCUUCCAAGACGUUCUUCCAAGACGUUCUUCCAAGACGUUCUUUUUCUUCCAAGACGUUCUUCCAAGACGUUCUUCCAAGACGUUCUUCCAAGACGUUCUUUUUCUUCCAAGACGUUCUUCCAAGACGUUCUUUUUCUUCCAAGACGUUCUUCCAAGACGUUCUUUUUCUGCGAGCCCUGUCGGCAUCGAUGGGCGCGGGGACGAGGGCGGCUAUGAGCGCAGCGACGAGCGCAAUGCUUCGAGCGGAGGAAGCGAGGAAGGCGGCGACAGGAAGCGAGGAAGGCGGGCGCGGCGCGGGAAAGAUGAAAGGAUAGGGGUGAACCCUUUAGUCGCGGGCGAGGGCNNNNNNNNNNNNNNNNNNNNNNNNNNNNNNNNNNNNNNNNNNNNNNNNNNNNNNNNNNNNNNNNNNNNNNNNNNNNNNNNNNNNNNNNNNNNNNNNNNNNAUGACGCUAGGGUUAUAGGGAAUUGUUGUACGAGGUUACCGAAAGUUGUUCGGAGUCCCGGAUGAGAUCCCGGACGUCACGAGGAGCUCCGGAAUGGUCCGGAGGUAAAGAUUGAUAUAUAGGACGGAUGGGUUUGGACACCGGAAGUGUUUCGGGCGUCACCGGUAACGUACCGGGCCCACCGGGACCACCGGAGGUGGUCCCGGGGGCCCACCGAAGGGGGGCAACGACCCCGGGAGGCUAGAUGGGCUAAGUGGGGAAGGGAAUCAGCCCCUAAGUGGGCUGGUGAGCCCCCACCCAGCCCAUGCGCACCAGAGAAAGGGGGGAAGGGGAGAACCCUAGCUUAGGUGGGCCUAAGGCCCACCAGAGGGGUGCGCCACCCCUCCUCCCUGCCCUGGCCGCCGCCCCCUCUCCCAUCUGGGGCUGCCGCACCCCUUGGGGGUGGGAACCCUAAGGGCUGCGCCCCUCCCUCUCCCCCUAUAUAUAGAUGAGGGUUCGGGGCUGUUUGACACACGGUUUCAUCUCUCUCUCGGCGCAGCCCUGCUCCUCUCCCUCCUCCUCUCUGCCGGCGCUUGGCGAAGCCCUGCCGGGAGACCUCGUCUCUCNNNNNNNNNNNNNNNNNNNNNNNNNNNNNNNNNNNNNNNNNNNNNNNNNNNNNNNNNNNNNNNNNNNNNNNNNNNNNNNNNNNNNNNNNNNNNNNNNNNNCGGUGGCGGUGGCGGUGGCGAAAGGGCGGUGGCAAAAGGAGGGGGCGAGGAAGGGGUGGGAGAGGGUGUCCGGAUCGUGAAGUUUGUAUGCUUGCAAUCUAUAGAGGUUGUGCUUUUGAUCUUUUGUUCGAGGGGUUGUUGUGGACUGUUCAAGGGACAUCAAGAACAACCUACACCAACUCUUCUUCCUCUGCAUCUUCAUAGUGAUCCAGGACCUUGAUCGUAGGGCUAUUUUUCUUUUGUUUUCUACUGUAUUUCAAAACAGUGACAUCAUGAGCAAUUCUAUGAGGCCAACCGCGACUAAAGCCCCUCACGUGCACCAGCUGGCCACCGAGCGCCCUGGCCCAGGCCUUUGGUCGCGGUUCGUCUGUCGAACCGCGACUAAAGAAAUCAUUAGUCGCGGUUCCUACAGUNCGAACCGCGACUAAAGAAAUCAUUAGUCGCGGUUCCUACAGUGUCGCGACUUAUGGGCUGGACGGAAGCCUCUUUUUCUACCAGUGUGCAUACAUGUAUCCCUAUGAAUGCACACAAGCACACUUUAUCCCUAUGAGCAUCUUCGAGAAAUUGGACCGGCAUAUCAUUUUGAAAUAUACGAAGUCACCGUAGGCACCGUAGGCAUAUCAUUUUGAAAUUGGGUCGUCUAAUUUGUGGCUCGGUUGUGUUGCUACUCUUGCCCCUCUUUUCCCUAGCAAGCUUUCUCAUGGUUUUAUGCUUUGGGGGAAAUCCCAAUUCCCUUCCUCUUGGGAAGAAAUUUUUAACUAAGCUUUCUCAUGGUUUUCUACAAAGUUAUUGACAAAGAUUAGUGUGGGGAUAGAGACGGCCGGCGGCGAGGGCGAGGGGCGACGGCGGGCGACGGCGGGCGGCGUACNNNNNNNNNNNNNNNNNNNNNNNNNNNNNNNNNNNNNNNNNNNNNNNNNNNNNNNNNNNNNNNNNNNNNNNNNNNNNNNNNNNNNNNNNNNNNNNNNNNNGAAUUCUUUUUGGUUCUAAUUUCAAAUUUGUUUGAAAUUGUACAUUCAUAUGCAUGUAUGUAGUACCGUAGAAUAUGUGAAACUCCUUCAAAAUUAAAAUAAAGCACAAAAGAAAUAAAACAAUACAAACUAAACAGAAAACAGGUUUAGGGGGGGGGGGCUAAACCCUGUGGCGGCCUUUAGUCGCGGUUGGCCAGAAGAACCGCGACUAAAGGUCCUCCGCCCCGACGGCCGCCUGGCGCCCACGUGGACGGGCCUUUAGUUGCGGUUCUUAAGCAACCGCGACUACAGGGGGGGCCUUUAGUCGCGCCUAUUUGGUCGCGGUUGCGCAACCGCGACUAAUGGCAGUUGCGAACCGCGACCAAAGGCCCUUUUUCCACCAGUGGUAGGUGACUACAACUUGCAAGAUAGGAUCUAAAACACACAUAUAUUGGCGACAACAUAAUAGGUUCAGAUCUGAAAUCAUGGCACUCGGGCCCUAGUGACAAGCAUUAAGCAUGACAAAGUAGUAGCAACAUCAAUCUCAGAACAUAGUGGAUACUAGGGAUCAAUCCACUAGUAGAAAAUAGGGCUUUGGUUCGGGCCUGGCCAGCCCAUUAGUCCUGGUUCUUCACGAACCGGGACCCAUGGGGGGCAAUAGUCCCGGUUCAUGAGCCUAGGGGCCGGCCGGGGCCUCGUGGGCAUUGGUCCCGGUUCGUGUGGACCCAUUUGUCCCGGUUCUAGGCACGAACCGGGACCAAUGGGCCGCGCUCCUGGCCCACAUCCAUUGGUACCGGUUUAUGCCUUGAACCGGUUUAGAAGGCAGCCCCGGUUUAUGCCUCGAACAAAUGUAAUUCUAUCAUGGAAAAAUCUAAAGGGAAGUGUGCGCACGUGAACCCUCCCGUGCGGCGGGCUUACGCUGGAUUCCCUUUCUCUGAUCAGAAUUCAAAAACUUUUAUCUCUUAAACCGUUAAUUCGACCGAUGAUCCGUUUUCGUUGUUGACUUUGUUUCGACGAUAUCUUCAAAACUAGAUCCCAUGUCCACAUGUUUUGACAAUUUUUUUUCUCGUACUCACCUCAUUUGUUGCACUUACUUGUCAUAUUAGUAAGUACUUACUUGUCUGAUAAAAAAUAAUUUAAUCACCAUAUUUUUGAAAAUUGCGUAUAAAUAUGAUAUUUCGACAUAAUCAAGCUGACAAGUACAAACAACUUUUUUUAGAUGAUUACGCGCAAAAAAAUGACAACUCAACUUAUUUAAAACCGGUGACGACAAAAAAUCUUAUUUGAUCAUCGUUUGUAAAUAUGACAACUCGACAUAGUUAAACUAACAAGCACAUAAAAUAGUUUUCUGACAAAUUAUAUGUAAAUAUGACAAGUUGACAUAUUUUUCAAAUUGGCAAACACAAUUUAUGACAUGCUUUUAUAUCAUGUAUAAUGAAAACUGCUACAAGGCUUUGGACGAAAUAACAUUAAAAAGUGUAAAUCAAGUUAUUUUUUUCAGACAAGUAAGUGGUUAAUAAUAUGGCAACUUGGUCAAAAAAAUGUGGCAAGUAUGAAUGAAAAAAAUAGUUGAUGAAACAUAUCGAUAUGGGAUCUAGUUUUGAAGAAUUUAUUGCGAGAAAGUCAAUGUUGUAAACGGAUCAUCGAUUGAAUUAACGGUUUUGUAGAUAAAACUUUUUGAAUUUCAAACAUCAAAUGCAUGAAAAAUAACAAAUGAAGUCAAAAAGGGUUGUAAAUUGAUGAUGCACGAAGUGCAUCCAUUUUUUGCCGUAACCCUCUCAACUUUCUCGCACAUGCUAUGUGGGCGAAAUGAUGAUACCAUGCNNNNNNNNNNNNNNNNNNNNNNNNNNNNNNNNNNNNNNNNNNNNNNNNNNNNNNNNNNNNNNNNNNNNNNNNNNNNNNNNNNNNNNNNNNNNNNNNNNNNNNNNNNNNNNNNNNNNNNNNNNNNNNNNNNNNNNNNNNNNNNNNNNNNNNNNNNNNNNNNNNNNNNNNNNNNNNNNNNNNNNNNNNNNNNNNNNNNNNNNNNNNNNNNNNNNNAGUAAAUGCAUGAAAAAUUACAAAUGAUGUCAUAAAGGGUUGUAAAUUGAUGAUGUGGCUUUGAAUGGUGCAUUUUGAACACAAAAAAACUAUGGAGUUCAAAUAAGUUCAAAAAAAUGAAAUCCCUUUGUAAGAGACGAGUUUCCGUAUGAAACCCUGAUACUUCCAAAGAGAUNNNNNNNNNNNNNNNNNNNNNNNNNNNNNNNNNNNNNNNNNNNNNNNNNNNNNNNNNNNNNNNNNNNNNNNNNNNNNNNNNNNNNNNNNNNNNNNNNNNNNNNNNNNNNNNNNNNNNNNNNNNNNNNNNNNNNNNNNNNNNNNNNNNNNNNNNNNNNNNNNNNNNNNNNNNNNNNNNNNNNNNNNNNNNNNNNNNNNNNNNNNNNNNNNNNNNNNNNNNNNNNNNNNNNNNNNNNNNNNNNNNNNNNNNNNNNNNNNNNNNNNNNNNNNNNNNNNNNNNNNNNNNNNNNNNNNNNNNNNNNNNNNNNNNAGUAAAUGCAUGAAAAAUAAGAAAUGAAGUCAGAAAGGGUUGUAAAUUGAUGACGUGGCUUUGAAUGGUGCAUUUUGAACACAGAAAAACUAUGGAGUUCAAAUAAGUUCAAAAAAAUUAAAUCCCUUUGUAACAUACGAGUUUCCCUAUGAAACCGUGAUACUUCCAAAGAGAUNNNNNNNNNNNNNNNNNNNNNNNNNNNNNNNNNNNNNNNNNNNNNNNNNNNNNNNNNNNNNNNNNNNNNNNNNNNNNNNNNNNNNNNNNNNNNNNNNNNNNNNNNNNNNNNNNNNNNNNNNNNNNNNNNNNNNNNNNNNNNNNNNNNNNNNNNNNNNNNNNNNNNNNNNNNNNNNNNNNNNNNNNNNNNNNNNNNUAACCCUCUCAACUUUCUGGCACAUACUAUGUUGGUGAAAUGAUGAUACCAUGCCAACUUGGAACCUUUUCAGAGUUCAUUUCAAAUGCUUUCAAUUUCAUGGUCUUAUAGCUCAAAAUAAUCAGUAAAUGCAUGAAAAAUAACAAAUGAAGUCAGCAAAAGGAAUCAACUAAAAAUCUUUUAUAAACCUCUAGUAUUAUCGAAACUAAAAUUAUAUAGAAUUUUGUUACAAACUUUAAUAGAAAAAAAUAUUAUCAUAAAAGAAAAUAAAUAAGUAAUUAGAAUUUUGUUCAAAACAUUAAAAGCAAAAAGAAUUAUCAUAAAAUAAAAUAAAUAAGUAAUUAGAAUUUUGUUACAAACUUUAAUAGCAAAAAGAAUUAUCGUAAUAGAAAAUAAAUAAGUAAUUAGAAACACAUUACUAGGGCCAGGAUGCAGGCCCGCAGUAGGCCCAAUAGGCCCACAAGCACAGAGAGUGAUUUUAGGCCUGUAAGCCUGUAGUAGAGAGGAGCUCGAAGUGGUUGGUUUGGCAUGGCUUAUAAACCACUCCGAGCCCCUCUCGGCUAGCGAGGUGGGACUAAACAUAGCACCGCACCGCACAAGUCCUUUGGUCCCGGUUGGUGGAACCAACCGGGACUAAAGGGGGGAAUUGGUACGGUUGGUGCAACCAACCGUGACCAAAGGCCUCUGCUUCCCGCCCUUUGGGCUGCUGAAAAGAGACCUUUGAUCCCGGUUUGUGCCACCAACCAGUACCAAUGGCUCUGCUUCCCGCCCUUUGUGCUGCUGAAAAGAGACCUUUGGUCCCGGUUGGUGCCACCAACCGGUACUAAAGGUGGGGCUAUAUAAGCGUCAGUUUAGAAAUUUUGAUCACUCCCCCUCUCUCCAUUCGAUCCCGACGCCGCCAGGCUGCCNNNNNNNNNNNNNNNNNNNNNNNNNNNNNNNNNNNNNNNNNNNNNNNNNNNNNNNNNNNNNNNNNNNNNNNNNNNNNNNNNNNNNNNNNNNNNNNNNNNNNNNNNNNNNNNNNNNNNNNNNNNNNNNNNNNNNNNNNNNNNNNNNNNNNNNNNNNNNNNNNNNNNNNNNNNNNNNNNNNNNNNNNGACGCCGUCGCCGCCCCCGCCCCGCGCCCCGUGCCCCGCGACGCCGCCGGCCCCUACUCGUCGCCGCCCCGCCCCGGCCCGCGCCGCACCUCACCGUCGAUCGUCGCCGCGCCACCCCGCCCCGCGCCGCACCUCCCCGUCGCCGUCGCCGUCGCCAUCACCGUCCCUGACACCGUCGCCGUGAGCAAUGAUUUUUUUUCUCCUAAAAGAUUUAUACCUAAAUAUUAUGUUUUAUGAUCCUGAAUCUUCACAACAAAGGGUUAACGACAUACAAACAUUUACCACAUGAAUUUAUGCCACGAUGGAUUUCUGUAAGUCCACUAAUGAAUUUUGGAUUUUGGACCAGUCUUUCUGCCGGAAGUCAGCCACAAAACUGGGCAUCAUGUUAUGCCAACAAUGUAUACAUAACACUGAUAGAUUAAUCUUAAGAAAUAAUUUACUGCUAGCUGCAUGUAGUUUAUACCCAAAAAGCUCUAAAAGGUACAUGACACAAUAAAUGGUGGAAAAAAGAUAGAGCAGUGAUAAAAUUCUAUUAAUUUGCAAGCAUACAUAGAUGAUCCCUAGUUGGCAAGUACAUUUGAAAGCACAUAUAUGAAUAGAUGAUCCCUAGUUGGCAAGACUACUUUAUUUAACUAUAUAUAGAAGUAGUUCCCGCUUUAUUUAACUAUGUAUGAUGAUGAUUAAUUAGUAGGACUUGUUGUUAUAUAUGAUGAUGCAUGAUGCGAGCAUGAAGAGUUAUUAUAUAUAGAUGUUCAAUUCUUUCGAUAUAUAUAGUGUGUCACGAUUAUAUUGUUGUUUACACACAUUUACCACAUUAAAAUAGGAAAUGUCUGACGAUGGAUAUUGGGAGUGUGAAUAUUGCGGCGACUCUCGGGGUAUGUGCGACAUGCCUCACCUGCGAGACGAUAGGUUCUUCAGCAUGAAGCUUGACGAGAACGGCGAUAUGUACCUCCCUUGCCAUGCAAGAAGUUAUGUGUUGGAGAGGCUCGGUUUCGAAGAGCACGAGAGAAUUGAGACGAGGAGCGCUAAGCUAAGGACUAUAUAUGGUCACACAUUUGUUAUCCAAGUAUUUAAUUUAGUUUUUCAAACAGAAUUUGGGUGCCCAAAGUGGGAAGAUCUUUGCAAGGCAUAUGGAUUUCAGAAGGGAAUGGAAAUCACCUUUGAUCUUCAUCCUGAAGAUAAUAUGCCAGACAACAUCGACAUUUGGGUGGUUGUCGAUGAUAUGCUUCCUGUUUUACCUCCAUGUGAGUUUCUCAACCAUAUUUGUCAAGUAAUUUGCAUUUAUAUUUAUAAAUAGUUGGUGUAGUCAACCUGUUUUCCUCUCGCAAUUUACAUGUCAUGUGGUGUUCAUCGUCUAUUAAAACUUUGGCCACACGUUGCAGGUUCCUAGUUAUUGGGCCAUAGUUAUAAUUAUAUCAUGUUGCAUGUUGUACAAACAACAACAACAACCCAAAUUGUCCUUUGAAUGAUCGUAGCACAUGUGGUCAUUUUGAAUGGUUUAUAUAAUUCCCACAUCUUGUGGACAAUUACAAAAUUUCUAAGUAUUUUUGAAACAUUAAAUUAUUACAAAAUUUGGGUGGUUGUCGAUGAUAUGCUUCCUGUUUUACCUCCAUGUGAAGUAAUUUGCAUUUAUAUUUAGAAAUAGUUGGUGUUCAUCUAUAUACUAAAUUUGUUAAAUUAUAAUUUACAGCUUAUUUCGUUGCUUCGAUUGAAUUACGAAAAUUAACUGACACGACACACUACACGUAUGGAUCACACCUAACUUGGAAGGAGAAGGAUGAUCUUCUCCACUUUCUUGUUGCUGGUGUUCUGGCUUCUAGGGAUACCUUCCCGUAUCAUUUUGGAAUUGGCCAAAAUUAUUCAUUUUACAUGCCACUAGUGCAUAGGUUGAGUCCAGAUGACAUUCGCUGAAAUGUCUUGGUAAGAGUUUCCUAAUUAAGUACGCUCCGCUACUGCAUAAAUGGUGUUGAUUACAUUGCUAACUAGGUUAUUAUUAUGUUCUUCAACAACAACUGCCACAUGAUGUAGUGCCUCCGUUAAUGGACCCAGGAGGUCAAAUGAGAAUUAGAAGGCCGCUGAGGGCUGAGUUCUAUGCUCCAUAGUUGAUUAACUUCAAAUCAAGAUCAAAAAGACUCCAAAUUAAAGCAUGGAGAGAAAUAAAGAAGGUUUGCAAGCCACAAGCUGGAGACCGUUGGAUCUCUGUGAUUCAUCAUGGAGCCAUAGGUCUUAUUCUGUUUUAUGACAUUAUAUCUAAGAGCGAGGACUAGGUCUUAUGAGAGACAAGUUAUUAUAGUUUAUAUUAUUACUUGACAUGAUCGAUUAAUUAGGAUGCAUGAUGCAUAUGAUGACUAUAUUUAUAUUAUGAUGUUUCUCUGUUUUAUUUUAUGUGUAUCAUAUGAUAACUUGGUAUAUGGUUAAGUUGAUGAUGAGUUGUUAGAUGAUCGAUUAGAAUACUAUUGCCAUUCGACGAAAAUGAGAUGAAAUGAUAUAGUGUAAAAAAGAUGCAUAUAUGUGCAUGUAACUCGUGUCUACAUUUUGUACAUAUGUUCGACAAAGCACGACGGAUGACCAAGCACGGAGAUAUAUAAGAGAGGACACUUUUCUCUAUUAGCUAGCUAAUAACAACCUAAAUUAACCCCUAAACCAGCCCCUUUAAAAAAACCUCAGCUCCAGCCACGGGCUGACGCGUGCAUGCCUUUUGGUCCCGGUUUGUGUCAUCAACCGGGACUAAAGGCCCCCCUGCCUGGCCUGGCCGCAACGGCCACAUGGAGGCCCACCUGUCCUGGUUCGUGUAAGAGCCGGGACCAAAGGCAAAGGGCAUUAGUAACGACCUUUUUGUCCCGGUUCCGAAACCGGGACAGAAGGCCCUUAUGAACCAGGACAAAAGGCUCUUUUUCUACUAGUGAUCCCGGUCAAAACUAACUCGAUUACAUGAUAGAUCUCAUCCAACUCAUCACCGUCCAGCAAGCCUACGAUGAGAUUACUCACGAACGGUGAGGAGCAUCAUGGAAUUAGCGAUGAAGGAAGGUUGAUGAUGACGAUGGCGACGAUCUCCCCUCUCCGGAGCCCAGAACGGACUCCAGAUCUUCCCUCAAGAUGAAGAAUAGGAGGUGGCGGCACGCCCGUAUCGUAGAACGCGAUGAAUCCCUCUCCUUGAUUUUUUCCCUAGCGAAACGGAAUAAAUAAAGCUGAGUUUGGAGGCGGUGGAGCCACGUGGGCCCUACAAGCCUGCCAGGCGCGGCCAGGGGGGUGGUCGCGCCUCUUGGGCUUGUGGCCCACUGGCUCACCCCCUCCGGCGGAUCUUUGCGCAUAUAUUUUUCAUUAAUUCCAGAAAAAUUCUCCGUAAAUUUUCAGGUCAUUUCGAGAACUUUUAUUUCUGCACAAAAACAACACCAUGGCAAUUCUGCUGAAAACAGCGUUAGUCCAGGUUAGUUCCAUUCAAAUCAUGGAAAUUAGAGUCCAAAACAAGGGCAAAAGAGUUCGGAAAAGUAGAUACAACGGAGACGUAUCAACUCCCCCAAGCUUAAAGCCUUGCUUGUCCUCAAGCAAUUCAGUUGACAAACAGAAAGAGACAAAAUAAAAACUUUGACGAACUCUGUUUGAUCUUGUUGUUGCAACUAUGUCUAACUCAUAACGAAAAUUUCAGCAAGAUCACAAGCAAACCACAUAAGCAAAUGACAUCUAGGUCUCACGGUAAACUCAUAUCAAUGGCAUAAUCAACUAGCGAGCAAAUAAUAAUAAGUCUCAAACGUCAACACUUCAAUCAAAACAAUCAUGAAGCGGUACGAAUAGAUGGUAUCUCGCUAGCUCUUUCUGAUACCGCAAAACAUAAAUGCAUAGCACCUUCAAAGACCAAGGGCUGACUAAACAUUGUAAUUCAUGGCAAUGAAGAUCCAGUCACAGUCAUACUCAACACAGUUAAAAGCAAAGCAUAAAAAUGAGAGAGGUUCUCUCUAAUUGGUGCUUUUAUAAGAGGAGGAUGACUCAAGAGGAACAUAAAUAGACAGGCCCUUCGCAGAGGGAAGCAUUGAUUUGCAGAGGUGUCAGAGCUCAAGCUUUGAAAACAGGGAUAAUAAUUUUGGGUGGCAUGCUUUCAUUGUCAACGCAAUGACUAAGAGUUCUCAACAUCUUCCAUGCUACACAUGCUAUAGGCGGUUCCCAAACAGAAAAGUAAAGUUUUGACUCCCCCACCACCAAUCAAUCACACUCCAUGGCUAGCCGAAUCCUCGGGUACCGUCCAUACCAACAUCAAUCCUGGGGGAGUUUUGUUUGCAGUUAUCUUUUCGAUUUGAGCAUGGAACUGGGAAUUCCAAUUACCGACCCCUUUCUCGUGAAUGAUAGUGAAUAAACAUAUAUCAAGGAUAACACGCCUAGCAUCGAAGAUACUAAUAGCCCCCUGUCACCACAUGAGCGGUUCGGGCAUGCAAAACAGAUUACUUCUUGAAGAUUUAGAGAGUGGCACAUGCAAAUUUACUUGGAACGGCAGGUAGAUACCGCACAUAGGUAGGUAUGGUGGACUCAUAUGGAACAACUUUGGGUUUAUGGAAGUGGAUGCACAAGUAGUAUUCUCGCUUAGUACAAGUGAAGGCUAGCAAAAGACUGGGAAGCGACCAACUAGAGAGCGACAACAGUCAUCAAAAUGCUUUGAGAUUAACUAACAUUGAGUGCAAGCAUGAGUAGGACAUAAAGCACCAUGAACAUGAAUAUCAUAGAGGAUAUGUUGAUUUUGUUUCAACUACAUGCAUGAACAUGCGCCAAGUCAAGCCACUUGAAUCAUUCAAAGGAGGAUACCAUCCUAUCAUACUACAUCAUAGUCAUCUCAACAUUCAUGUUAGCAACCAAGGCAAACCAUUAUAAGCUCCUAGCUAAAUAAGCAUGGCAUCAGCAACUAUGAUCUCUAAGCUGUCAUUGCAAACAUGUUUCUCUUACAACAAAGCUGAAUCAGGCACGCUGAGCUAGUCAUAUUUACAUAAACAAAAUAGAUCGAGUUCAUACCAGCUUUUUCCAGGCUCAUUCACUUCAUCAUAUAUCGUCAUUAUUGCCUUUCACUUGCAUGACCGAACGAUGUGAACAAUAAUAAGAGUGCUCGUGCAUUGGACUAAAGCUGGAAUCUACAGGCAAACACAAAGGAGAAGACAAAGUAAUACAACUCUAUGACAGCUAAACACGUAUGCAUGCAAGAGCCACUAAACAUUGUAACCAUGGUCUUCUACCUUGACCCAAAGAAAAAGAAAACUAUUUACACGGGAAAGCUCCCAACAAGCAAAAGAAAAAAAAGAAAGUAUUUUUGGGUUUUCUUCAAACUAGACAGACACACUAAACGAAAACGAGAAAAAGAAAAUAAACUAGCAUGGAUGAUACCGUGGCAAAGUGUGAACACCAACGAACAAAGUGAAAGCAUAGGCAAGAAUGUAAAGUCGAUGAGAAACACAUACUCCCCCAAGCUUAGUCUUUUGGCCUAAGUUGGUCUACUCCCAAGGAGGGAAAUAACCAGCUCCGGGGUACUCCGGAGUGGACUGAGGAUGCCACUGCUGUGUGAGCUCCUCUAGCUCCCACUGGUAAACUGGCGUCUGGUACUCGACUGGUGGCUCGGGCACGGGCACCUGUGGUUGGGCUAAGCCCCAAUAUGCAUAGAUGUCUGAGGGCAUAAUAAUGUACCUUCCUACAUGAAGAUUGAACAAAGAAGGAGCAGGCAAAGUAAUAGUCUCACGAGUACCCUGACUAAAUAACAUGUUAUAAAUCAUCCUUCUAUUUAUAUCUCUAUCAAGAAAGUCAUGGCGAACCAUGCUAUCGUAAUCUAGAUAUCUCUCGGGAAGAAGAAUCUCUUCUUCCCCUUCCAGUCUAAUAGGUAUAUCAAAGUGUCUAGCAAGACGAGUAAAAUAGAUACCUCCAUAGACAAUGCCUUUAGAACAGUUCGUGUUCAACGGUUGAGCUACUAUAGAGCCCAAGCAAUAAGAUCUAUCAUUAUAAAGGGCUUCGCGCAAGACCGCAAGAUCUGGGGAACUAAGUGACCCAGCUUUCCCACGGCCAAUCAAACAUUUUCCCACAAAUAAUGAGAAGUACCGAAGCACGAGAAAAUGAAUGCUAGCAUCUCUAGCGCAAGACACUCCUCUCUUCUGUCCUACAACAAUUGUAUCGAUGAAAGCCUCCAAGUCCCGUGGACGAGGUUCAUGAAUAUCCCCAACAAAAGGAAAUUUGCAAACAUUGCAAAAAUCCUGGAGUGACAUGCGCUGGGGGAUAUCAUAAAGUUUGAACUCAACCAUAGGAGGAUUCUUCCUCGGAUAGAAGUUAAAGCUUUGUACGAAGAUAUUAGUGAGGAGGAGGUAUUGCGGACACUUAUCUUCAACGAAGACGGUAAGGCGUGCGUUCUCCACGAAGUGAUAAAAGUCCUCAUAAAUUCCAGCGGCGCGUAAGAACACAUCGCUUGGCCACUUGCACGGUCGAACUUCCGCGAUUCGAGGGACCAGAUACUUGGGCUUCUUCUCACUUCCAUCAUCCUUGGGGCCACGGCUUGAAGAGCCUCUUAAGAACUUCCUCAUCUUUUCCCUUUUCUAUCUUUGAAAAUUUCUGAAAUUUUUAGUGACUCUAAGGAAAAGUGAACAAGGCUCAACAAAACUCAUAGCAGCUACUCCCAUAAGUGCCUAGAGGCCAUAUUACGCAUCAAAACUACUUGAGACCAGCUAAAAUUAGCAUGCAAAGCUCAAGAACAGGGUCACCAAGGUAGAAAAAAUACGCGAAGUAUAAGGCACUAGAGCAAAAACUAAUUGGACCAAUGGAGGAGUCACUUACCAAGAGUAAUUUCCCCAAAACAGUUUGGAGAAUGGUGCUUUGAGCAAAGAGAUCAAAAAUCCCAGCAAGAGGAGCAAGAACACGGGUUUGAUCUAUGAAAUGAUUUUUUCUGGAGGUAGGAGAACCAGAUGAGAGCAAGAAUGAGUGGAGGGGGUGCCUAUGGGCCCCACAAGCCUGGGUGGCACGGCCAGGUGUGUACCCGCGCCUCCGGGGCUUGUGGCCCACUGGUGCACCCCCCAGACUAGCUCUAAUUCCCAGUAUUUUUCAAAAAAUCCAGAAAAAAUCAUACUUGAUUAUCAGGACGUUUGGAGAACUUUUAUUUUCGGGGUACUUUUCCAUGGGACGCUAAAACAGAAAACAGGGAAAACUAAACUAAAUCUAUCAUUUUUCUUCUAAGCAACCGAAGGUGAAAGCUUGGAAUAGAGGUUUGUGACUUCUCGAUUCACCCAUCUCAUGGUCAUCGAAGGAAAUCCGUCAAUGAGGUUGAUCAAGUCUCCUCGACAAACCUUUUCGAAUCGCAAAAUAAGACGGAGAAUUUUUGAAUAGUCACUAGGUUACCUCAAUGGGGAUGUGUAUCUCCCGAACAAGCAAAUCAUACUUCAUCUUAACAGGAGGAAUAGGGCAUUGAAAGCUCCCAAUAAGAAUCGAUGAAGCCUUUUCGAUAUCAUUGAUGCAAUGUACUCGAUAUUGUUUCUUCGGAAAGUGCACCGUAUGCUCAUUACCUUUGACAUGGAAAGUGACAUUGCCUUUGUUGCAAUCUAUAACAGCCCCUGCAGUGUUUAAAAAGGGUCUUCCGAGGAUGAUAGCCAUGGCAUCGUCCUUGGGAAUAUCCAAGAUAACAAAGUCUGUUAAGAUAGUGACGCUAGCAACCACAACAGGCACAUCCUCGCAAAUGCCGAUAGGGAAAGCAGUUGAUUUGUCGGAAUUUGCAGAGAGAUUUCAGUGGGUGUCAACUUAUCCAGUUCAAGCCUACGAUAAAGAGAGAGAGGCAUAACACUAACACCGGCUCCAAGGUCGCAUAACGCAGUUCUAACAUAGUUGCCUUUAAUGGAGCAAGGUAUAGUGGGCACUCGAGGAUCACCUAGUUUCUUAGGAGUUCCACCCUUGAAGGUAUAAUUAGCGAGCAUGGUGGAAAUCUCAACCUCAGGUAUCCUCCUUUUAUUAGUCACAAUAUCCUUCAUGUACUUAGCAUACAGAGACAUUUUGAGCAUAUCUAUCAAACGCAUUUGCAGAAAGACAGGUCUGAUCAUUUCAACAAAGCGCUCAAAAUCCUCAUCAUCCUUUUUCUUGAAUGGUUUGGGAGGAAAGUGCAUGGGUUUCUGAACCCAUGGUUCCCUUUCUUUACCAUGCUUCCUAGCAGCGAAAUCGUUUUUAUCAUGUCUCUUAUUCUUAGGUUGUGGGUUAUCAAGAUCAACAUGUUCAAUCUCCACAUCCUUAUCAUUGCUAGGUUGAGCAUCAUCAUGAACAUCACUAUUGAUAUUAUCAUUAGGCUCAUGUUCAUCACGAGAUUGUGUUUCAGCAUCACAGACAGAGACAUCGUUUGGACUCUCAGGUGUAGCAGUAACAGGGUUGCUAGCGUGCAGGUUCCUAUCAUCUUUCUUCUUCUUUCUAGGAUGACAAGGUGCAUCAGUGCUAACUCCUUGAGAAUCUUGUUCAAUUCUCUUCGAAUGACCCUCAGAAUACAAGGGUUCCUGGGUCAUUCUACCGCCUCUAGUGACGACUCUGCAGAAUUGUCAUUUAACUCAUUGAGCAAGUCAUUCUGAGCUUUAAGUACUUGUUCUACCUAAGUAGUAACCAUAGAGGCAUGUUUACUCAGAAGCUUAAGAUGAUUGACGUUUCUAUCCACACAAGCACUUAUAUGACUAAGCAUACGAGCAUUCUGUUCCAAUUGUCUGCUAACAUAAUCAUUGAAACUUUGUUGUUUGGCAACAAAGUUAUCAAAUUCAUCCAAGCAUAAGCUAGCAGGUUUAUCAACACGAAUAUCACUCUCAUCAAACCUAUGCAGAGAAUUUACUUCUACUACGUGUAUCGGGUUAUCAAGACCAUGGAUCUCUUCGAUAGGUGGUAGAUUUUUCACAUCUUCAGAUUUAAUGCCUUUCUCUCGCAUAGAUUUCUUGGCUUCUUGCAUAUCUUCAGGACUGAGGAGUAGAAUACCUCUUUUUUUGGAGUUGGCUUAGGAGGUGGUUCGGGAAUAGUCCAAGCAUUCUCAUUGCACAAGAUGUUAUUCAAUAGGAUCUCAGCUUGUUCUAUAGUUCGUUCCCUAAAAACACAACUGACACAACUAUCUAGGUGGUCUUUAGAAGCAUCAGUAAGUCCAUUAUAGAAGAUAUCAAGUAUUUCAUUCUUCUCAAGAGCGUGAUCAGGCAAAGCAUUCAGCAGCUGGAUAAGCCUCCCCAAGCUUGUGAGAGACUCUCUUCUUCAGCUUGAGCAAAGUUGUAUAUUUCCUGCAAGGCAGCUUGCUUCUUAUGGGAAGGGAAAUAUUUUUCAGAGAAGUAGUAGACCAUAUCCCGGGGGCUACGCACACAACCAGGAGCAAGAGAAGUGAACCAGGUCUUAGCAUCAUCCUUUAGCGAGAAAGGGAACAACUUGAGGAUAUAGUAGUGGCGGAUCUUUUCCUCACUAGUGAAUAGGGUGGCUAUAUCGUGAAGUUUGGUAAGAUGGGCUACAACCGCUUCAGACUCAUAACCGUGAAAAGGAUCAGAUUCGACCAGAGUGACUAACUCAGGAUCGACAGAGAGUUUAUAAUCCUUAUCGAUCACAAAGAUAGGCGAAGUGGCAAACUUCGGGUCGUAUUUCAUCCUAGCGUUCAGAGAUUUUUCUUUCCUCUUGCGCAGUAAUUUAUCAACAUCAUAGCUAUCCUUACACGCGAGAAAAUCCUCAGCUAUCUCUCCCUCCAUAACAUAACGCUCGGGCAUAACAGGCAAUUCAUGCAUAAUAGCAGGUUCUACUUCAAUAGUAUCAGCAGGUUCAGAAGUAUCAUCACAUCUAGUAGCAACUCUAGCAAUUUGUGCAUCAAGGAAUGCACCUAGUGGCAAAGCAGUAUAAAGUAUAGCAUCAUCAGGCAUAGUAUCAAGCAUAGCAUCAUCAGGCAUAGUAUCAAGCAUAGCAUCAUCACGCAAAGCAGUAUCACGCAUGUCAUCAUCAUAAGCAUCAUGGGCAGCAGAAGUAGCAUCAUCAAGCACAGGCGACAUAUCAAGAUUUCUAGCAGGAGUUGAUGUCGCAAACUUACUCAUAACUGAAGGUGAAUCAAGUGCAGAGCUAGAUGGCAGUUCCUUACCUGUCCUCGUAGUGGAAGGCAAGACUUUAGUUCUUGGAUCUAUCGGAUUCCUCAUAGUGACCAGCAGACGUCAAUCCCAAGUGACUCAGAGAAUAUAGAUGUACUUCCCCGGCAACGGUUCCAGAAAAUAGUCUGGAUAACCCACAAGUAUAGGGGAUCGCAACAGUUUUCGAGGGUAGAGUAUUCAACCCAAAUUUAUUGAUUUGACUCAAGGGGAAGGGAAAGAAUAUUCUGAAGUAUUAGCAGUUGAGUUGUCAAUUCAACCACACCUGAAAGAUUUAGUGUUUGUAGCAAAGUAUCAGUAGCAAGGUAGUAUGAUAGCAGCAGUAGCAACAGUAACCAGUAGCAGCAGAGUAACAGCAGUAGCAGCAAAGUAACAGCAGCAGCAGCAAAGUAACGUAGCAAGGACCGGUAGUAAAAGACUUGUAGGCAUUGGAUCGGUGAUGGAUGAUUAUGCCGGAUGUGAUUCAUCAUGUUACAACUAUAACACGGAGAGAUAAGUAACUAGCUCCCGUUCGUCAAUCUAAUGUAGGCAUGUAUUCCGUAUGUAGUCAUACGUGCUUAGGGAAAAGAACUUGCAUGACAUCUAUUGUUCAUCCCUCCCGUGGCAGCGGGGUCCUAAUGGAAAAUAUGGGAUAUUAAGGUUCUCCUUUUAAUAAAGAACCGGACCAACACAUUAACACUUGGUGAAUACAUGAACUCCUCAUACUACGGUCAUCUCCGGGAGUGGUUCCGGCUAGUGUCACUUUGGGGUUGCCGGGUCAUAACACAUAGUAGGUGACUACAACUUGCAAGAUAGGAUCUAAAACACACAUAUAUUGGCGACAACAUAAUAGGUUCAGAUCUGAAAUCAUGGCACUCAGGCCCUAGUGACAAGCAUUAAGCAUGGCAAAGUAGUAGAAACAUCAAUCUCAGAACAUAGUGGAUACUAGGGAUCAAUCCCUUUCAAAACUAACUCGAUUACAUGAUAGAUCUCAUCAAACUCAUCACCGUCCAGCAAGCCUACAAUGAGAUUACUCACGAACGGUGAAGAGCAUCAUGGAAUUGGCGAUGAAAGAAGGUUGAUGAUGAGGAUGGCGACGAUCUCCCCUCUUCGGAGCCCAGAACGGAAUCCAGAUCUGCCCUCCAGAUGAAGAACAGGAGGUGGUGGCGCCUCUGUAUCAUAAAACGCGAUGAAUCCUUCUCCUUGAUUUUUUUUCGGGCGAAACGGAAUAAAUAGAGCUGAGUUUGGAGGCGGUGGAGCCACGUGGGCCCCACAAGCCUGCCAGGCGCGGCCAGGGGGGUGGCCGCGCCUCCUGGGCUUGUGGCCCAGUGGCUCACUCCCUCCGGUGGAUCUUUGCGCACGUAUUUUUCAUUAAUUCCAGAAAAAUUCUUCGUAAAUUUUCAGGUCAUUCCGAGAACUUUUAUUUUUGCACAAAAACAACACCAUGGCAAUUCUGCUGAAAACAGUGUUAGUCCGGGUUAGUUCCAUUCAAAUCAUGCAAAUUAGAUUCCAAAACAAGGGCAAAAGAGUUCGGAAAAGUAGAUACGACACAGGCGUAUCAGGCAUACCCUCGUGGAGUCCGCAAGCCGAACAACGUCCUUGGUGUGCUUUGCCGGACAAAUUUUCUGGGGUUUGUCAUGUUGCCUAGUGAGGGUCAGGUUCCUACACUAGGAUUUUCCUGGGAGGACUACCAAGCUGCGGAGGCCCCGCUUGAGGAAAUUAUAGAUGGUGUCUUGUGCCACACGAGGGCUGAGAUGGUGAUCAAGAGCUUUUGGGUAAAUUAUCCUUUUACACAAUCUAAAAUUAACAAUAUAGCUAAUUAUUAUACUAAUCGGUGUUGUCUCGUUUGAUUGUAGACCUUCUAUAGGUGUGAGGAGGGAUAUGAGGAGGAGGCGGCCAAGGUUCUCGAGGCCGAGUGUAGGCGGUUAUUACAUAACUUACGCCAUGAGGCUCGGCCGCAGGCUAUUUGAGACUACGCCACGCGUGGUAUUAAGAAGCAAAAGAAGGAGUGUCAUGGAAAGUAUCUGAAAAAGAAGCAAUAGAUGAAGGUAAUUACCUAUUCUUAAGGCCUUCUACGUAGUUCUCUUGAUUUCAUUCAUAGGCGUAGCACUCAAAAUUCUUUCUAAUAAAUUGUAGGUGCCCCCAAGAUGGUGUGCGAAUAAGAUGGAUUGUUGGGAGGUGUUGGUGGAUGAGUGGUGCACAGGGAACUGGCAAGCCGUCCACGAUAAUGCGAAGGAUCAGCGGACCAAAUGGUUGGUGUGCCCCACCAUCAAGGCAGCGCCAACUUACUUCAGUUUGGACGAAACUAGGUAUGUGGUUUGCUUCAUGAUUCAUGCAAUUCAUUCUUCAUGCUAGCUUGAGCCCCUUACUAAUACUUUUUUCCUCUCUUUUAGGCGCAUCACAAUAAGACAGAGAUGCCACACUUGUACGACAUUUAUGGCAUGGCCCAUGGUGCCUCCUGCAAGAAGGCGAAGGCAUUCUGUGAGUCUGACCUGGAUGAUCCAAAUAACUUCACCAACAUAUCAUCCCACCACAAGAUCGUGACAUACAGGGACACGGGGAAGGCUAGGAUGAUAUCUGGUGGCGGGAGGCCCCAUGGCUCGAUAGCCAUUGGAGAUGGGAUAAUACGUUGUCCACUCACUCUCCCGGAGAUCAAGGCACCCCAGUCGAGCUCCUAUCCUGAGAUAACGCCUCGUCCACGGCCAGUCGAUCUUGCCAUCGAGGUUAGUUGUACGGACUCAGAAAACUUUCAUCCAUUUCAUUAUGUGUGUGACCAUCGAUCAUUACUGUGGUAACGAGGAAUGGUGUUGCAGGCUGCUCUUCAGAAAGAGAGAGCGACAAACCAGGCUGCUCUUGAGCAAGAAAGAUUGGCAAGCUAGGCUGCUCUUCAGGAUGCUCUUGAGGAGAGGGACCGGACCACGACACAAAUGAUUGAGGAGGAGAGGGCCCGGGAUGACGCGGGUCAACGGGCCCUGUACGAGCUUUUUGUGGUAAUUUUUUUUUCACAUUAGCCAAAUCAUGUCUGUAAUGUCUGUUUCAUUACUAACCAAUACGACCGACUCUUCAGAGUCUGUGUGAGAAGAACGGUCAACUCCCUCCGCCGAUGCCCGUCUUCUCUACGAUUGGCACGGUGAGUUUCAUUUGAAUUGUCAUUAUAAACUAGUAUUAUCAAUUGAGUGUCAUCAUGCUAACUGAGACAUUGUAAAAUAUCUUUUCUGCAGAAUAACUCCCGAGCGGCAUCGCACGACACUUCUCGAGGACAACCAUCUCCAAACGAAGCCGGCGCGAGCAACCCUGGUGUUUCUUCUCCUUGAUGACCACGACGGUAAGUUUUCUCUAGUUCAUUUUUUUGACAGAAUUAGAUAAUUUAGCUCCUCCUCCUCUGAAAUGACAUAUUUAACCCAAGUUAGCUCCAAAACAACAUAUAGUUAGCUUGGCUUCCACCUAAAUGACAUAAUUAGCUUAGUUAACUCCAAAAUGACCUAUACUUAGCUAAGUUCUCUCCUAAAUGACAUAAUAAGGCUUAUGUAGAUCCAAGAUGACCUAUUCCCCCAAACUUAGGUAUAAAAUGGCCUAUAAUUAGCUUAACUAGCUCCAAAAUGGCUUAAUAAGCAUAGUUUCUCCAAAAUGACCUAUUUAACCCAAGUUAGCUCCGAAAGGACCUAUAAUUAGCUAGGCUUCCACAUAAACGACAUAAUUAGCUUAGUUACCUCCAAAAUGGAUUAUUUAAUAUAAAUGACCUAUACUUAGCCAAGUUCUCUCCUAAAUGACAUAAUAAGGCCUAAGAGAAGAAGAGAAGAAGAAAAAAUAAGAAGGAGAAGAAGAGAAAAAGGAAGAAAAGAAGAAUAAGUAGAAGAAGAGGAUAAAGAAAAAUAUAAAUAGAAAUAAGAGGAAGAAGAAGAAGAAUAAGAAGAAGAGGAGGAGCAAGAAGAGGAGAAGAGGAGGAGGAGGAGGGGGAGGGGGAGGAGGAGGAGAAGAAGAGGAGAAGAGGAGAAGAAAGAGGAAAAAUGAAAAGAAGGAAGAAGAAGAAGAAGAGAAGAAGAAGAGAAGAAGAAGGAGAAGGAGGAGGAGGAGAAGGAGCCCUCGUUCUUCUCCUUCUUCUCUCCUCCUUCUUCUUCUGCCUGCUUCUUCUCCUUCUUCUUCUCCUUCUUCUCUCCUCCUUCUUCUCCUCCUCCUUCUCCUUCUUCUUUUUCAUCUCCUUCUUCUCUUCUUGCUUCUUCUCUUUCUUCUUCAAUUUAGCUUAUUUUCCCCAACAAAUACAUACUUAGCUAAUUAUCCUCCAAAAUGCCAUAAUUAGCUUAGUUAGGGUAAAAACAUCAUAAGAACCUUGGUUAGCUCAGAACUUAGCUAAUUAUCCUCCAAAAUGACAUAAUUAGCUUAGUUAGCUCAAAAAUGGCCAAUUUAAUAAAAAAUGACUUAUACUUAGCUAAGUUCUCUCCUAAAUGACAUAAUAAGGCCUAAGAGAAGAAGAAAAGAAGAAAAAAAUAAGAAGGAGAAGAAGAGAAAAAAGAAGAAAAGAAUAAUAAAUAGAAGAAGAGGAUAAAGAAAAAUAGAAAUAGAAAUAAGAGGAAGAAGAAGAAGAGGAGGAGGAAGAAGAGGAGAGGAGGAGGAGGAGAAGAAGAAGAAGAGGAGGAGGAGAAGAGGAGAAGAAAGAAGAAAAAUGAAAAGAAGGAAGAAGAAGAAGAAGAAGAGAAGAAAAAGAGAAGAAGAAGAGAAGAAGAAGGAGAAGGAGGAGGAGGAGCCCUCCUUCUUCUCCUUCUUCUCUCCUCCUUAUUUUUCUCCCUCCUUCUUCUUCUCUUCUUCUCCUUCUUAUCUCCUCCUUCUUCUCCUUCUUCUUCUUCUCCUCCUUCUCUUUCUUAUUUUUCUUCUCCUUCUUCUCUUCUUGCUUCUUCUCUUUCUUCUUCAAUUUAGCUUAUUUUCGCCAACAAAGACAUACUUAGCUAAUUAUCCUCCAAAAUGACAUAAUUAGCUUAGUUAGGGUACAAACAUCAUAAGAACCUUGGUUAUCUCACAACUUAGCUAAUUAUCCUCCAGAAUGACAUAAUUAGCUGAGUUAGCUCCAAAAUGGCCUAUUUAAUAAAAAAUGACCUAUACUUAGCUAAGUUCUCUCCUAAAUGACAUAAUAAGGCCUAAGAGAAGAAGAGAAGAAGAAAAAAAUAAGAAGGAGAAGAAGAGAAAAAAGAAGAAGAGAAGAAUAAGUAGAAAAACAGGAUAAAGAAAAAUAGAAAUGGAAAUAAGAGGAAGGAGAAGAAGAAGAAGAAGAAGAGGAAGAAGAGGAGAAGAGGAGGAGGAGGAGGAGGAGAAGAGGAGGAGGAGGAGAAGAGGAGGAGGAGGAGAAGUGGAGAAGAAAGUGGAAAAAUUAAAAGAAGGAAGAAGAAGAAGAAGAAAAGAAGAAGGAGAAGGAGGAGGAGGAGAAGGAGCCCUCCUUCUUCUCCUUCUUCUCUCCUCCUCCUUCUUCUCCCUCCUUAUUCUCCUUCUUUUGUCCUCCUUCUUCUCCUUCUUCUUAUACUCCUCCUUCUCCUUCUUCUUUUUGUUCUCCUUCUUCUCUUAUUGUUUCUUCUCUGUCUUCUUCUCUCCUCCUUCUUCUCCUCCUCCUUCUCCUUCUCCUUCUCCUUCUCCUCCUCCUCCUCCUUAUUCUUCUUUUUCUUCUCCUUCUUCUCUUCUUGCUUAUUCUAUUUCUUCUUCAAUUUAGCUUAUUUGUCAUAUAUAUGUAGUUGUUGUUCUUCUUCUGACUUUCUUAUUCCCAUUUUGCAGAUUGGAUGUACUACAUGCAUGGAAGCUGGCAUUGGAGUGCUUUAGUUCUAGUUUUUAUUUGAGUUGAUGAAUGCUACGGCAACAAAAGUCCUUCUCCGGCAACGCCGGGAAUUCUUCUUGCUACUUCUCUUGCUUGCGUCGGUUUUUCCCUUGAAGAGGAAAGGGUGAUGCAGCAUAGGAGCAGUAAGUAUUUCCCUCAGUUUGAGAACCAAGGUAUCAAUCCAGUAGGAGAAUCUCGUCAAGUCCAGAGUACCUGCACAAACACAAAGAGCUUGCACCCAACGCUAUAAAGGCGUUGUCAAUCCCUUCAAGAUUGAUUGCAAGGUGAGAUCUCAAGGCGGAAAGUGCAACGAAGGAAAAGUGUAAGGCUAAAAAUAUGGUGUGGAGUAGACCCGGGGGCCAUAGUGUUCACUAGAGGCUUCUCUCAAAAUAGCAAAUAUUACGGUGGGUGAACAAAUUACUGUCGAGCAAUUGAUAGAACCGCGCAAAGUCAUCACGAUAUCUAAGGCAAUGAUCAUACAUAUAGGCAUCACGUCCGAGACAAGUAGACCAAUACUUUCUACAUCUACUACUAUUACUCCACACAUCGACCGCUAUCCAGCAUGCAUCUAGUGUAUUGAGUUCAUGACAAACAGGGUAACGCCUUAAGCAAGAUGACAUGAUGUAGAGGGAUAAUCUCAAACCAAUGAUGAAAACCCCAUCUUUUACCCUUGAUGGCAACAACAUGAUGUGUGCCUCGCUACCCCUUAUGUCACUGGGUGAGGUCACCGCACGGUAUGAAACCAAAACCAAGCACUUCUCCCAUUGCAAGAAUCAUAGAUCUAGUUGGCAAAACAAAACCCACAACUCGAAGAGAAUUACAAGGAUAUUAAGUCAUGCAUAAGAGAGAAUAGAAGAAACUCAAAUAAGAUUCAUAGAUAAUAUGAUCAUAAAUCCAAAAUUCAUCGGAUCUCGACAAACACACCGGAAAAGAAGAUUACAUCGGAUAGAUCUCCAUGAAGAUCAUGGAGAACUUUGUAUUGAAGAUCCAAGAGAGAGAAGAAGCCAUCUAGCUACUAGCUAUGGACCCGUAGGUCUAUGGUGAACUACUCACGCAUCAUCGGAGAGGUCAUGGUGUUGAUGAAGAAGCCCUCCGUGUCCGAAUCCCCCCUCCGCCAGGGCACCAGAACGUGCCCCAGAUGGGAUCUUGCAGAGGCAGAAGCUUGCGGUGGCGGAAAAGUACUUUCGAUGAUCUCCUAUUUUUUCUAGGAUUUUAGGGAAUAUAUAGGCGUAAAACCUAGGGCACAGGUGGCCCAGGGAGCCCACAAGCCAGGGAGGUGCGGGCCCCCUGGACGCGCCAUGAGGACUUCUGGGGUCCCUACAGGCCCCGUGCCUUGAUUCUCCAGCUUCCCGAUCUUUUUCUGUUUCAGAAAAAAUCUUUUUGGCAGUUUCAUUCCGUUUGGACUUCGUUCAAAAUCCUCCUCUGAAAGGGGUCAAAAACAUGGAAAAAACAGGAACUCGCACUUGGUACUGAGUUAAUAAGUUAGUCCCAAAAAAUAUAUAAAAGGCAUGCAAAACAUCCAAAUUUGACAGGAUAAUAGCAUGAAACCAUCAAAAAUUAUAGAUAGUUGGAGACGUAUCAAGCAUCCCCAAGCUUAACUCCCGCUCGUCCUCGAGUAGGGAAGUGAUAAAGAAUGAUUUUUUGAUGUGGAAUGCUACCCAGCAUAGUUGUCCUUUGCAACUUCUUUCAUGUGACACUAGUGGAAAACGGGCCUUUGGCCUGGACCCUUUAGUCCCGGCCUCCAUCUGGGCCGGGACUAAAGUCCCGGCCACGUCGCCCCAAAAUCGCAAUGCCGCCCACGAGGCUUUGGUCCCGGCCCGUAAGGAGCCUUUAGUCCCGAUUUGUGUCUCAAACCGGGACUAAAGGGCUACGCGGUGUGCAGCCCGCAUGUGCGCCACCUUUAGUCCCGGUUUGUGUCUCAAACCGGGACUAAAGUCCUCUGCCUAUAUAUAUUGGCCACAACCCCCCUCUCCCCUCUUCCUUGCAUUUUUCUUGGAUGGAAGAGUGUGGGUGUGCUAGAUCUCCAUUUUUCUUGGAUGCAAUAGAGGUGUUUGUUGAAAUGUGUGUUAGAGCGAUGCCACUUCAGUUCACCGAACACAACUACGAUAUGAGAUGCCCGAGCCACGCUUAAACCUCUUCCUCUUUAUUUCUACUUAUUCUAAAAGGUUAGCAACUAUAUUUCCUUGUUUAGACCGUGCGGUACUAAUUUGUAGGAUCGUGAUUGUAUUUGAUAUACUGUCGUAUAACGGAGAUGAGCCAUCCAUGGAUGUACGGUGAUCGACGCACAGCCGCUUACAGAGAAGGCGUGCAUUUUUUUCGAGAUGCAGCCGAUGCGAACAAGAAUGGUGGUGGCUAUAUGUUUUGUCCAUGUGUUGAAUGUCGGAAUGAGAAGCAUUACACUUCCUCAAGAGUCAUUCAGAGCCACCUGCUUCGGUCCGGUUUUAUGUCGGGCUAUAAUGUUUGGACCAAGCACGGAGAAAGAGGGGUUAUGAUGGAAGACGACGAUGAAGAAGAAGAGAACGAUGAUGAAAACUACCGAUCUAUGUUCCCUGAGUAUGCUGAUACCGCAAUGGAAGACAAUGAAGAAGAAGAUGAGGAUGAAGAACGGGAACCAGAUGAGCCCGCUGAUGAUCUUGGCCGGGUCAUUUCUGAUGCACGGCGAGGUUGCGACACAGAAAAGGAGAGGUUGCAGUUCGAGCAGAUGUUAGAGGACCACAACAAAUUGUUGUACCCAACUUGUGAAGAUGGCUAGAAGAAGCUGGGUAGCACACUGGAAUUGCUGAAGUGGAAGGCAGAGACCGGUGUGACUGACUCGUCAUUCGAAAAGUUGCUGGUACUGAUGAAGAAGAUGCUUCCAAGAAAGAACGAAUUGCCUGCCAGCACGUACGAAGCAAAGAAGCUUGUCUGCCCUCUAGGAUUAGACGUGCAGAAGAUACAUGCAUGCCCUAAUGACUGCAUCCUCUACCGCGGUGAGAAGUACGAGAAUAUGGAUAAAUGCCCGGUAUGCACUGCAUUGCGGUAUAAGAUCAGAAAAGAUGACUAAUGGGGUUAUAGUCCUAGGGUAGGGUCAUAGGCCUGCCCUAUAAGUCCUACCCAAGGACUACCCUUCAUAAGGGAUAAGACCCUUAGUCAGUUCCGACUGAAUUAAGGACUUCCCAUCAUCCAGUCGGUAACGAAUCCUCUACCAUCCAGUCGGAGACGAGAAUUCAGAAUGUAUCAAACUAACCGACCGGAUUCCACUCUGUGCAUCAUAACCCCCCUGGAGGGAAACGGUCAUACGUUUCCAUGUGCCUUUAUUAGCAUUUAAGACAUACGUUACCUGUAACGUAGGCAUUUAUUCGCCACUACUCCACCCCUGUGCACCGGACCGAUGUGGAGGGCAGCGCACUCUAUAUAAGCCGCCCUCCCCCACUGGUGCAAGGGUUAGCUAUUCACUAUAAUCCAUAUUCCACUCGACAACAAGCUCCUAGAGCACUAAGACAUAGGGAUAUUACCUCCACCGUAGACGGGCCUGAACUCAUACAACCUCGCCGUAGCUAAGGCUCUGCCCAUCCUUUCGUACCCUACACAUCUACUAUCAGACUUAUACCCACGACAGUUGGCGCCCACCGUGGGGCACGCGUCUAAGCGACUUCCGGCGAGUUUGCGACUACAUCUUUUCGUCAUGUCGUCCGGUGGAGAUUCGAGCAUGGGUCGCGAGAUCCUCUUCGGCGCUCUCUCCUUCAUCAUCGACGAUUCGGCAUGGCUUCGGGACGCCCCUCUCGACGUCGAGGCGCUCCCCCAUCGCGAGGCUACGCACUUCCAUGUUGGCGCCCGCGGCAUUCUCCUUCUCCAGCGGUCGGCUCCGGUGUUGACCUACACCGCCGUCACGCGCCGCAACAAGCGGUCCCGCCGUCCGCGGCUCCAGCGUUGGGUGCAACACGCCCAGGCGCGCCAGAACGCGUCUUCACAAGUGGCGGUCCUAGAGUCGGUUGUGGUUGCCCCGCCGUCCCAGCGCUCGGACUCGGUUCCGGCUGAGUUUCCUUCCGAGUACUUGGGUCGCGGGCCUGCAACAGAAGUACACAUGGCCAACUCCCAUGAAAGUCCCCGCCAAGCUGGCCGGAUCGAGCACGAGAUCGGUGAAACAUCCGGUGCUCGCCAUCCACCUCGCCGUUCUGCCAAUCGGCACACUCGGCGGAGCAAUGUGGAGUUGUUCCGCACACCCAUCCUUAACUUGGCUGCCGCUGCCAAGAUAGCCGAUUCCCUUCAGCCGACUGAUUCAAAGGCUGGCACGGGGAUCGAGCAAAUCCGCGCACUGCUGCACACGGCGCAACAGCAAAAUUCGGCGGUCUCCGAGUCGCACAACAGGAUCCACAAUAGUUCUGUUCAUGCGAACACGCAUCGGUCAGUUCACAACCCUGGUUGUCAUCAGCGACACACGGGAGGCUGUCGUUCCAUAAAUCCCGAAGACCGUCGCCGUUCACGCACCCCUCCACGGGGUGGGCCCUACGGGCCCCGACAUCAUGAUGAUUGGCGUUCAGUCGGUGACACUAACGACCCAAGGCCCUGUUGGAAAUAUGCCCUAGAGGCAAUAAUAAAAUGGUUAUUAUCAUAUUUCCUUGUUCAUGAUAAUCGUCUAUCGUUCAUGCCAUAAUUGUAUUAACAGGAAACAGUGAUACAUGUGUGAAUGAAUAGAUCACAAUGUGUCCCUAGCAAGCCUCUAGUUGGCUAGCUCGUUAGUCAAUAGAUGAUCAUGGUUUCUGAUCAUGGGCAUUAGAUGUCAUUGAUAACGGGAUGAGAUCAUUGGACAAGACCCAAUCCUAAGCCUAGCACUAGAUCAUAUUGUUCGUAUGCUAAAGCUUUUCUAAUGUCAAGUAUCUUUUCCUUCGACCAUGAGAUUGUGCAACUCCCNCACCGACACCACGCCGUCAUGUUGCUGGACUUCUUCCCCAACCACUCCCUCCUCCUUGCUGGAUCAAGGUGCGGGAGACGUCACCGGGCUGCAUGUGUGUUGAACGCGGAGGUGCCGUUGUUCGGCACUAAAUCGGAAUCGCUGCGAGUACGACUCCAUCAACCGCGUUCUAGCAACGCUUCCUCUUAGCGAUCUUCAAAGGUACGAAGAUGCUCUUACCCCUCUCUCGUUGCUGGUCUCUCCAUAGGAAGAUCUGAACAUGCGUAGGAAUUUUUUUGAAUUUAUGCUACGUUACCCAACAGUGGCAUCCGAGCCAGGUUUUCUAUGCGUAGAUUCUAUGCACGAGUAGAACACAAAAUUUGUGGGCGAUGGUUUGUCAAUUUGCUUGCUGUUACUAGUCUUAUUAUUUUCCGGCAGUAUUGUGGGAUGAAGCGGCCUGGACCGACCUUACAUGUACGCUUACGCGAGACUGGUUCCACUGACAGACAUGCACAUCGUGCAUAAAGGUGGCUAGCGGGUGUCUGUCUCUCCUACUCUAGUCGGAUUGGAUUUGAUGAAAAGGGUCCUUAUGAAGGGUAAAUAGCUUUGGCAUAUCAUCGUUGUGGCUGUCACGUAGGUAAGAAGGCGUUCUUGCUAGAAACCCAAAUCAGCCACGUAAAACUUGCAACAAUAAUUAGAGGACGUCUAACUUGUUUUUGCAGGGUUUGACAUGUGAUGUGAUAUGGCCAAAGUUGUGAUGUUGCAUGUAUGAUGUAUGAGAUGAUCAUGUUAUUGUAAUAGGUUUCACGACUUGCAUGUCGAUGAGUAUGACAAUCGGCAGGAGCCAUAGGAGUUGUCUUAAUUUAUUGUAUGAGAUGCAACGCCAUGUGCUUACUACUUUUACUUCAUUGCUAACGGUUAGCUAUAGUAGUAGUGAUAGUAGUAGUUGGCGUGACGACUUCACGGAGACACGAUGAUGGAGAUCAUGAUGAUGGAGAUCAUGGUGUCACGCCGGUGACGAUGAUGAUCAUGCGAUGCCUGAAGAUGGAGAUCGAAAGAGCAAAGAUGAUAAUGGCCAUAUCAUGUCACUAUAUGAUUGCAUUGUGAUGUUUAUCAUGUUUCACAUCUUAUUGCUUAAAACGACGGUAGCAUAAUAAGAUGAUCCCUCUUAAAAUUUCGAGAACGUAUUCCCCUAAGUGUGCACCGUUGCGAAGGUUCGUUGUCUCGAAGCACCACGUGAUGAUCGGGUGUGAUAGAUUCUAACAUUCGCAUACAACGGGUGUAAGCCAGAUUUACACACGCGAAACACCUAGGUUGACUCGACGAGCUUAUCAUGUACAGACAUGACCUCGAAUACAAGAGACCGAAAGGUCGAACAUGAGUCGUAUGGUUGAAUACGACCAGCAUGAAGUUGCUCACCAUGGUGACAAGUCCGUCUCACGUGAUGAUCGGACACGGGUUAGUCAACAUGGAUCAUGUAUCACUUAGAUGACUAGAGGGAUGUCGAUUUAAAUGGGAGUUCAUACUUAAUUUGAUUAAAUGAACUUAAUUUUCAUGAACUUAGUCUAAAAGUUGUCUUUAUAAAUAUUGUAGAUGUCAAACGUCAACCUCAACUUCAACGCAUUCCUAGAGAAAAACAAGCUGAAAGAUGAUGGUAGCAACUAUGCGGACUGGGUUCGCAACCUGAAGCUCAUCCUUGAAGCAGCUAAAAAGGCUUAUGUCCUUAAUGCGCCGCUAGGUGACCCUCCCGCUCCCGCAGCAGCCCAGGACAUUCUGAACGUCUGGCAAGCGCGGAGUGAUGACUACUCUUUGGUCAGGUGUGGCAUGUUAUACAGUUUAGAAACGGGGCUCCAAAGGCGUUUUGAGCAACACGGGGCAUAUGAGAUGUUCCAGGAGCUGAAGCUAGUUUUUCAAGCUCAUGCCCGUGUCGAGAGAUAUGAAGUCUCCGACAAGUUCUUUAGCUGUAAGAUGGAGGAGAACAGUUCUGUCAGUGAGCACAUACUUAAAAUGUCUGGGUUACACGGUCGUCUGACUUCACUUGGAGUCGAACUUCCGGAUGAUGCUAUCAUUGACAGAAUCCUCCAGUCUCUCCCACCAAGCUACAAAGGCUUUGUGCUUAACUACAACAUGCAAGGGAUGGAGAAGACCAUUCCCGAGUUGUACUCGAUGCUCAAGUUUGCAGAAGUAGAAAUCAAGAAGGAGCAUCAAGUGUUGAUGGUCAACAAGACCACUAGUUUCAAGAAAGGCAGGGGUAAGAAGAACUUCAAGAAAGACGGCAAAGCUGUUGCCGCGCCCGGUAAGCCAGAUGCUGGGAAGAAGAAAAAGAACGGACCCAAGCCUGAGACUGAGUGCUUCUAUUGCAAGGGAAAGGGUCACUGGAAGCGGAACUGCCCCAAAUACUUAGCGGACAAGAAGGCCGGCAACGUUAAAGGUAUAUGUGAUAUACAUGUUAUUGAUGUGUACCUUACCAACGCUCGUAGUAGCUCCUGGGUAUUUGAUACCGGUGCUGUUGCUCACAUUUGCAACUGAAAGCAGGAACUGCGGAAUAAGCGGAGACUGGCCAAGGACGAGGUGAUGAUGCGCGUCGGGAAUGGUUCAAAGGUCGAUGUGAUCGCCGUCGGCACGCUACCUCUACAUCUACCGUCGGGAUUAGUUUUAAACCUUAAUAAUUGUUAUUUAGUACCAGCUUUAAGCAUGAACAUUGUAUUAGGGUCUUGCUUAAUGCGAGACGGCUACUCAUUUAAGUCAGAGAAUAAUGGUUGUUCUAUUUAUAUGAGUGAUAUGUUUUAUGGUCAUGCUCCGCUGGUGAAUGGUUUAUUCUUGAUGAAUCUCGAUCGUGAUGUUACACAUAUUCAUAGUGUGAGUACCAAAAGAUGCAAAGUUGAUAAUGACAGUCCCACAUACUUGUGGCACUGCCGCCUUGGUCAUAUCGGCGUUAAACGCAUGAAGAAGCUCCAUACUGAUGGACUAUUAGAGUCUCUUGACUUUGAAUCAUUUGACACAUGCGAACCGUGCCUCAUGGGCAAGAUGACUAAGACUCCAUUCUCAGGAAUAAUGGAGAGAGCAACCGACUUAUUGGAAAUAAUACAUACUGAUGUGUGUGGUCCAAUGAACGUUGAAGCUCGCGGUGGUUAUCGUUAUGUUCUCACCCUCACCGAUGAUUUGAGUAGGUAUGGGUAUAUCUACUUGAUGAAGCACAAAUCUGAGAUGUUUGAAAAGUUCAAGGAAUUUCAGAGUGAGGUUGAGAAUCAACGUGACAGAAAAAUUAAAUGUCUACGAUCCGAUCGUGGAGGUGAAUAUUUGAGUCAUGAGUUUGGCACACACCUAAGAAAGUGUGGAAUCGUUUCACAACUGACGCCGCCUGGCACACCGCAGCGCAACGGAGUGUCUGAACGUCGUAAUCGCACUUUAUUAGAUAUGGUACGAUCUAUGAUGUCUCUCACCGACUUACCGCUAUCAUUUUGGGGAUACGCAUUAGAAACUGCAGCAUUCACUUUAAAUAGGGCACCGUCUAAAUCCGUUGAGACGACACCUUAUGAACUUUGGUUUGGCAAGAAACCUAAGUUGUCCUUUCUUAAAAUUUGGGGCUGCGAUGCUUAUGUGAAGAAACUUCAACCAGAAAAGCUCGAACCCAAAGCGGAGAAAUGUGUAUUCAUAGGAUACCCUAAGGAAACUAUUGGGUAUACCUUCUAUCUUAGAUCCGAAGGCAAAACCUUUGUUGCCAAGAACGGAUCCUUUCUAGAGAAAGAGUUUCUCUCGAAAGAAGUAAGUGGGAGGAAGGUAGAACUUCAUGAGGUAAUUACACCCCCUCUCGAACAGGAAAGUAGCGCAGCGCAGGAAGUUGUUCAUGUGGCACCUACACCGACUGAAUAGGAAGUUAAUGAUAAUGAUCAUGAAGCUUCGGAUCAAGUUACUACUGAACCGCGAAGGUCCACAAGGGUACGCUCCGCACCAGAGUGGUACGGCAACCCUGUGAUGGAAAUCAUGUUGUUAGACAACGGUGAACCUUCGAACUAUGAAGAAGCAAUGGCGGGCCCAGAUUCCAACAAAUGGCUUGAGGCUAUGAAAUCCGAGAUAGGAUCCAUGUAUGAGAACAAAGUAUGGACUUUGGUGGACUUGCCCGAUGACCAGCGAGCCAUAGAAAAUAAAUGGAUCUUCAAGAAGAAGACUGAUGCAAACGGUAAUGUAACCGUUUACAAAGCUCGACUUGUCGCAAAGGGUUUUCGACAAAUUCAAGGAGUUGACUACGAAGAGACUUUCUCUGCUGUAGCGAAGCUGAAAUCAGUCCGAAUCAUGUUAGCAAUUGCCGCCUUUUAUGAUUAUGAAAUUUGGCAAAUGGACGUCAAAACAGCGUUCCUUAACGGGAACCUUAAGGAAGAGUUGUAUAUGAUGCAACCUGAAGGUUUUGUCGACCCUAAGGGUGCUAACAAAGUGUGCAAGCUCCAGCGCUCCAUCUAUGGGCUGGUGCAAGCAUCUCGGAGUUGGAACAUUCGCUUUAAUGAGGUGAUUAAAGCGUUUGGGUUCAUACAGGUUUACGGAGAAGCCUGUUUGUACAAGAAAGUGAGUAGGAGCUCUGUAGCUUUCCUCGUACUAUAUGUGGAUGACAUAUUAUUGAUGGGGAAUGAUAUAGAGAUGUUGGAGAGCAUAAAGGCCUAUUUGAACAAGAGUUUUUCGAUGAAGGACCUUGGAGAAGCUGCAUACAUAUUAGGCAUCAAGAUCUAUAGGGAUAGAUCGAGACGCCUCAUAGGUCUUUCGCAAAGUACAUACCUUGAAAAGAUAUUGAAGAAGUUCAAUAUGGAAAACUCAAAGAAAGGGUUCUUGCCAGUUUUGCAAGGUAUGAGAUCGAGUAAGACUCAGUCGCCGACCACGGCAGCAGAUAGAGAGAAGAUGAGUUAUGUCCCCUACGCUUCAGCCGUGGGCUCUCUAAUGUAUGCCAUGCUGUGUACCAGACCUGAUAUAAACCUUGCCAUAAGCUUGGUAGGGAGGUACCAAAGUAAUCCCGGUGUGGAACACUGGACAGCGGUCAAGAAUAUCCUUAAGUACCUGAAAAGGACUAAGGAAAUGUUUCUCGUUUAUGGAGGUGACGAAGAGCUCGUCGUAAAGGGUUACGUCGACGCCAGUUUCGACACAGAUCCGGAUGAUUCUAAGUCACAGACUGGAUACGUGUAUGUGUUGAAUGGUGGGGCAGUGAGCUGGUGCAGCAGCAAGCAAGAAUUCGUGGCAGCAUCUACAUGUGAAGCGGAGUACAUAUCUGCUUCAGAAGCGGCUCAUGAAGGAAUUUGGAUGAAGGAGCUCAUCACCGACCUUGCAGUGGUUCCAAGCGCGUCGGGUCCUAUGACACUCUUCUGUGAUAACACUGGAGCCAUUGCCAUAGCCAAGGAGCCCAGGUUUCACCGGAAGACGAAGCACAUCAAGCGCCGCUACAACUCCAUCCAGGACCAUGUCCAGAGUGGAGUGAUAGAUAUUUGUAAAGUACACACGGAUUUGAAUAUUGCAGACCCGUUGACUAAACCUCUUCCACGAGCAAAACAUGAUCAACACCAUAAUGCUAUGGGUGUUCGAUACAUCACAAUGUAACUAGAUUAUUGACUCUAGUGCAAGAGGUAGACUGUUGGAAAAAUGCCCUAGAGGCAAUAAUAAAAUGGUUAUUAUCAUAUUUCCUUGUUCAUGAUAAUCGUCUAUCGUUCAUGCCAUAAUUGUAUUAACAGGAAACAGUAAUACAUGUGUGAAUGAAUAGAUCACAAUGUGUCCCUAGCAAGCCUCUAGUUGGCUAGCUCGUUAGUCAAUAGAUGAUAAUGGUUUCUGAUCAUGGGCAUUAGAUGUCAUUGAUAACGGGAUCACAUCAUUGGGAGAAUGAUGUGAUGGACAAGACCCAAUCCUAAGCCUAGCACUAGAUCAUAUUGUUCGUAUGCUAAAGUUUUUCUAAUGUCAAGUAUCUUUUCCUUCGACCGUGAGAUUGUGCAACUCCCGGACACCGUAGGAGUGCUUUGGGUGUAUCAAACGUCACAACGUAACUGGGUGACUAUAAAGGUGCACUACGGGUACCUCCGAAAGUGUCUGUUGGGUUGGUACGAAUCGAGAUCGGGAUUUGUCACUCCGUGUGANNNNNNNNNNNNNNNNNNNNNNNNNNNNNNNNNNNNNNNNNNNNNNNNNNNNNNNNNNNNNNNNNNNNNNNNNNNNNNNNNNNNNNNNNNNNNNNNNNNNNNNNNNNNNNNNNNNNNNNNNNNNNNNNNNNNNNNNNNNNNNNNNNNNNNNNNNNNNNNNNNNNNNNNNNNNNNNNNNNNNNNNNNNNNNNNNNNNNNNNNGAUGACGUGCUACGGAACGAGUAAAGAGACUUACCGGUAACGAGAUUGAACAAGGUAUAGGUAUACCGACGAUCGAAUCUCGGGCAAGUUCUAUACCGACAGACAAAGGGAAUCGUAUACGGGAUUGAUUGAAUCCUUGACAUCGUGGUUCAUCCGAUGAGAUCAUCGUGGAGCAAGUGGGAGCCACCAUGGGUAUCCAGACCCCGCUGAUGGUUAUUGGCCAGAGAGGUGUCUCGGUCAUGUCUGCCUGUCUCCCGAACCCGUAGGGUCUACACACUUAAGGUUCGAUGACGCUAGGGUUAUAGGGAAUUGUUGUACGAGGUUACCGAAAGUUGUUCGGAGUCCCGGAUGAGAUCCUGGAUGUCACGAGGAGCUCCGGAAUGGUCCGGAGGUAAAGAUUGAUAUAUAGGACGGAUGGUUUUGGACACCGGAAGUGUUUCGGGCUUCACCGGUAACGUAUCGGGACCACCGGAGGUGGUCCCGGGGGCCCACCGAAGGGGGGCAACGACCCCGGGAGGCUAGAUGGGCUAAAUGGGGAAGGGAACCAGCCCCUAAGUGGGCUGGUGAGCCCCCCACUCAGCCCAUGCGCACCAGAGAAAGGGGGGAAGGGGGAAUCCUAGCUUAGGUGGGCCUAAGGCCCACGAGAGGGGUGCGCCACCCCUCCUCCCUGCCCUGGCCGCCGCCCCCUCUCCCAUCUGGGGCUGCCGCACCCCUUGGGGGUGGGAACCCUAAGGGCUGCGCCCCUCCCUCUCCCCCUAUAUAUAGAUGAGGGUUCGGGGCUGUUUGACACACGGUUUCAUCUCUCUCUCGGCGCAGCCCUGCUCCUCUCCCUCCUCCUCUCUGCCGGCGCUUGGCGAAGCCCUGCCGGGAGACCUCGUCUCUCCACCGACACCACGCCGUCNNNNNNNNNNNNNNNNNNNNNNNNNNNNNNNNNNNNNNNNNNNNNNNNNNNNNNNNNNNNNNNNNNNNNNNNNNNNNNNNNNNNNNNNNNNNNNNNNNNNNNNNNNNNNNNNNNNNNNNNNNNNNNNNNNNNNNNNNNNNNNNNNNNNNNNNNNNNNNNNNNNNNNNNNNNNNNNNNNNNNNNNNNNNNNNNNNNNNNNNNNNNNNNNNNNNNNNNNNNNNNNNNNNNNNNNNNNNNNNNNNNNNNNNNNNNNNNNNNNNNNNNNNNNNNNNNNNNNNNNNNNNNNNNNNNNNNNNNNNNNNNCACCGACACCACGCCGUCGUGUUGCUGGACUUCUUCCCCAACCUCUCCCUCCUCCUUGCUGGAUCAAGGUGCGGGAGACGUCACCGGGCUGCACGUGUGUUGAACGCGGAGGUGCCGUUGUUCGGCACUAGAUCGGAAUCGCUGCGAGUACGACUCCAUCAACCGCGUUCUAGCAACGCUUCCGCUUAGCGAUCUUCAAAGGUACGAAGAUGCUCUUACCCCUCUCUUGUUGCUGGUCUCUCCAUAGGAAGAUCUGAACAUGCGUAUGAAUUUUUUGGAAUUUAUGCUACGUUACCCAGCAGGCCCGACGCGAGAGGGCAUAUCGCCUAGCGGAGAGUCGACAGGGGCCGAGCCCACCGCGAUGGUCAUGAUACUGACCGUCCGAGUGGAAGCAGGACCAUCGUUUCUGAUCCCGAGUGUUUCAGUCGAGCCAUCCGUUCGGCUGACAUCCCUCCCAACUUCCGAUUGGCGACGGGAAUUAGCAAGUUUACAGGAGAGUCCAAGCCAGAAACGUGGCUGGAUGACUACCGAGUGGCAGUCCAGACCGGAGGAGGGGACGACCACGUCGCCAUGAAGCACCUCCCUCUGAUGCUCGACGGCUUGGCGCGAGCGUGGCUGAACCAAUUGGCCCCCUCAAGCAUCUACAGCGGGGCAGAUCUGGCCCGAGUGUUCAUCAGGACCUUCGAGGGGACGUGCAAGCACCCUGCUGGCCUCGUGGAGCUCCAGCACUGUGUCCAGAAGCAGAAUGAGCCCCUGCGCGAUUUCAUUCAGCGUUGGACGACCCUCUACCACACGGUGGAGAACGUCAAAGAACACCAAGCAGUCUGCGCCUUCCAGGCAGGCGUGCGGUACAGAGAUCUGUACCUGAAGUUCGGUCGAACAGGCGACAUCUCCAUGAGCGAGAUGAUGGAGAUAGCGGCACGCUAUGCAAAUGGCGAAGAAGAGGACCGCAUCCGUAGCGGCAAGCACAAAACAGUCGCCGAUGGGGAUGGGAAUAACACUCGGAAGCAGAAGCAGAAAGCUCCGUCCACUCCGUAGGCAGAAGCCGCAGCUGUUACCAAUGCCAAGUUCAAGGGCAAGGGGAAGGCUCAGUUCACCCCCAAGAAGAAGCAGUUCAACAACCCCAUCCUGGACCAGCCAUGUCCGAUUCACACGAAGAUGGAUGAAGAGGGCAACGCCAUAUAUCCGAAGCAUACCACUCGGCAAUGUCGCCUCCUGAUCCAGGGGUUCGGCGAAGGGCAACCGAGUGACAAGGAUAAUGAACAGGAUGAGGAGGACAAGGAGGAUCCGUUCCCCCAAGUCCAUGCAACACUGAUGAUUUUUGCUGACGUUGAGAGCAAGAGUCGACUGAAGUUGGUGAACAGGGAGGUGAACAUGGCCACGCCUACCAACCCCAAGUUCCUCAAAUGGUCUCAGACUGCGAUCAUCUUUGACUAGUCAGAUCAUCCAGCACACGUACCCACCCCAGGGAGACAGGCUCUGGUUGUCGACCCGGUGGUGGAAGGAGUCCGACUGCGCAAAGCCCUCAUGGACGGCGGCAGUGGCUUGAACAUCAUGUACGCCGACACUCUCAAGGGGAUGGGCAUUCCGAUGUCCAAACUCAGCGAGAGCAGCAUGCAGUUCCAUGGAGUCGUCCCUGGACGAAAGGCCAAGUCACUCGGCCAGAUCGCGUUGGACGUCGUUUUCGGCUCCGACAAGAACUUCCGCAAGGAAAAGCUGACGUUCGAGGUGGUGGACAUCCAGAGCGCGUACCGCGCAAUUCUGGGCCGCCCGGCGUAUGCGCGUUUCAUGGCCCGUCCAUGUUACGUGUACCUGAAGCUAAAGAUGCCAGGCCCGAAAGGUGUGAUCACUAUCACGGGCAAUCGACAGCGGGCCGAAGAGUGUCUGCAGCAGUGAUCAAGGAUCGCCGAUCAGCAGAUGGCUGUCCUCGAGAUUGACAAGUACAAGAAAACAGUCGACCCCGCUGACUUGAUGCGUGCGAAGAAGCCAGCUUUAGAGUCUGCAUUCCAGUCGGCGGGAGAGACGAAGAAGGUCAGCAUCCACCCGACGGACGACACCGCGGCCCCGACGAACAUCUCCACCACCCUCGAUCCCAAAUAGGAAGUCGAGCUCACCCAAUUCCUCCGUGAGAACUGGGACAUCUUCGCAUGGAAGCCCUCUGACAUGCCAGGUGUACCCAGGGAGUUGGCUGAGCACCGACUGCAUGUGGAUCCCACCGCUCGGCCUGUCCGAGAACGCCUGCGUCGGUCCGCCGCGCACAAGAGGAAGGCAAUCGGAGAAGAAGUGGCCAAGCUUUUGGCAGCCAACUUCAUUCGCGAGGUACACCACUGCGAGUGGCUCGCCAAUGUUGUCAUGGUGCCCAAGAAAGACAAGUCGCUCCGAAUGUGCAUCGACUUCAAGCAUCUCAAUAAGGUCUGCUCGAAAGACCAUUUUCCACUCCCCCGCAUCGAUCAAAUUGUCGAUUCGACUGCGGGUUGCGAGCGUUUGUCAUUUCUUGAUGCCUACUCGGGCUAUCAUCAGAUCCAUCUGUAUGGCCCCGAUGAAUUAAAAACAGCCUUCAUCACCCCAUUCGGGGUGCUUCUGCUACAUCACUAUGCCAUUUGGUUUGAAGAAUGCAGGAGCAACUUUUAUGCGCAUGAUCCAAAAAUGCCUCCUCGACCAGAUCGUUCGGAAUGUGGAGGCGUAUAUGGAUGAUAUCGUAGUCAAGUCACGCAAAGGUUCCGACCUGCUGACUGACUUGGCAGAAACAUUCGCCAACCUUCGUAGGUACGAUAUCAAGCUCAACCCCGCCAAGUGUUCAUUCGGUGUUCCCAGCGGAAAGUUACUCGGUUUCUUCAUUUCCGAACGAGGGAUCGAUGUCAACCCCGAAAAGAUCGGGAUCAUCGUCCGAAUGGAGCGGCCAGUCAGAAUACACGAUGUUCAACGGCUCACAGGUUGCCUAGCGGCUUUGAGCAGGUUUAUCAGUCAACUUGGCGAGAAAGCACUUCCUCUGUACCGACUCAUGAAGAAAUCAGAUACUUUCCAGUGGAUAGAUGAAGCCCAAGUUGCAUUCGACGACCUCAAAGUCCUACUUUCCACCCAGCCGGUUCAUACUGCUCCGCUUAGUAAAGAGCCCCUUCUUCUGUACAUCGCGGCUACAAAUCAAGUCGUCAGCACUGUUCUUACAGUCGAACGAGAAGAAGAAGACAAAGCAUACAAAAUUCAGCGGCCAGUGUAUUACGUCUCCGAAGUCCUGACUCCUUCCAAGCAGAGGUAUCCCCACUAUGAAAAACUUAUCUACGGGAUUUACAUGACUGUGAAGAAGGUGGCUCAUUAUUUCCAAGACCACUCGGUGUCUGUCGUUUCUGAUACUCCGUUGUCGGAAAUCCUCCACAAUCGGGACGCAUCGGGCCGAGUGGCGAAGUGGGCAAUGGAGAUGUUGUACUGCGACAUCAAGUUCGAGGCCAAGAAAGCUAUAAAGUCUCAAGCUCUGGCUGACUUCAUAGCGGAAUGGGUAGAACAACAGCAACCGACCCACAUCUACUCGGCUCAUUGGACAAUGUUCUUCGAUGGGUCCAAGAUGUUGAAUGGCUCCGGCACUGGCGUUGUGAUCGUAUCGCCAAAGGGCGACAAACUCAAGUAUGUGCUGCAGAUACACUUUGAUUCCUCCAACAAUGAGGCAGAGUAUGAAGCUCUCCUGUAUGGACUGCGCAUGGCCAUCGCACUCGGCUUCCGUCGCCUGAUGGUCUAUGGCGAUUCGGAUUUGGUGGUUAAUCAAGUGAUAAAGAGUGGGACGUCAGGAACCCCAUCCUGACUACAUACUGCAAUGCAGUGAGGAAGCUCGAGAAGAAGUUUGAAGGUCUAGAACUCCACCAUGUUCCGCGACUGAAGAACCAAGCAGCUGAUUAGUUGGCAAAACUCGGAUCCACUCGGAGACCAGUCCCGAGUGACGUCUGCCUCGAGCACCUCCACCUUCCCUCCGUUAAGGAAGAUCCUUUCACAGAGGAACCAGUACAACCAAAGAGUUCGACAGAUCCGACUGAAGUCGACGUACCUGCUGUGGUUGAUUUGAUCAUGGAGAUUCUUGCCGUCAUCCCCGAUUGGACUGUGCCGAUCAUCGCAUACAUCCUGAGGCAGGAAUUACCAGAAGACGAAGUCCAAGCCAGGCAGAUCGUCCGCAGGUCAAAGUCGUUCACUGUCAUUGAUGGCCAGUUGUACAAGGAAAGGAUUUCAGGCGUUCUUCAACGAUGCAUCUCCCCUGAGGAGGGAUAGUUAAUCCUGGAAGAAAUCCACUCGGGAACCUGCGGUCAUCACGCCUCUUCAAGAGCAAUCGUCGCCAAAGCAUUCAGAGCUGGCUUCUUCUGGCUGCAGGCGAACGAAAUGGCUAAAGAUAUGGUCGACUGAUGUGAAGGCUGCAGUUCUACUCCAACAAGUCCCACAAGCCCACAUCUGCGUUGAAGACAAUCCCCCUUGUUUGGCCUUUUGCAGUAUGGGGAUUAGAUACAGUCGGUCCAUUCAGGACAGGCCAAGGGGGAUACACACAUCUGUUGGUGGCAGUCGACAAGUUCACAAAAUGGAUUGAAGCCAAGCCCAUCAAGAAGCUCGACGCCCUAACGGCCAUCAAGUUUGUCAGGGACAUCAUCUCCAGAUUCGGGGUACCUCACAGCAUAAUCACGGACAACGGCACAAACUUUGACUCGGACAUAUUCAAAGGUUUCUGUGCAAACCAAGGUAUCCGAGUGGAUUUUGCAUCUAUGGCGCAUCCUCAAACAAACGGACAAGCAGAGUGGGCGAAUGGACUUAUUCUGCAAGGUUUGAAGCCUCGAUUCCUGCGAGAGGUGGGACAUGCCGCUGGCGCAUGGGUCACCGAGCUACCUUCAGUGCUUUGGGGUCUCCGCACAACCCCGAAUAGAUCUACAGGGCGAUCCUCGUUCUUCCUCGUUUACGGAGCAGAAGCGGUCCUUCCGAGUGACUUGCUCCACAACGCUCCACGAGUUGAACUCUUCUCCGAAGCUGAAGCAGAACAAGCAAGGAAACACGGAGUGGACCUUCUAGAGGAGGAGCGCGAGAUGGCACUGACUCGGUCAACCAUUUAUCAACAAGAUCAGCGGCGCUUUCACACGCGGCACGUCAGGAGUCGUACAUUCCAAGCAAGCGACCUGAUGCUCCGAGUGGAUCAGCAAAGACCUCACAAGUUGGCUCCCGCCUGGGAAGGACCCUUCAUCAUCUCCAAGGUGCUGAACAAUGGAGCAUACAGACUCUACAACAUCGAUAGAGAAAGGGACGAGCCGCGAGCAUGGAAUGGAGAUCUCCUGAAGCGCUUCUACACGUGACCGUCGACUGAAGCAAUGUAAAGAACAAGUAUUGGUGAAAUAAUUCAAUGCAGAUUGAGUUUUUGCAGAUUCAAAAUUCUUCCGCGGUCGCAGACUCCAGUCUCAAAAAAAAACUUAGCUACGAUCAAGAAUCGCCUAAGUACUAACUUUCUCCAAGUGUGCACUAAACGUCGCACUCGGNGGGGACUUAGCUGCGAUCAAGAAUCGCCUAAGUACUAACUUUCUCCGAGUGUGCACUAAACGUCACACUCGGGGACUUAGCUGCGAUCAAGAAUCGCCUAAGUAUUAACUUUCUCCGAGUGUGCACUAAACAUCGCACUCGGGGACUUAGCUGCGAUCAAGAAUCGCCUAAGUAUUAACUUUCUCCGAGUGUGCACUAAACAUCACACUCGGGGACUUAGCUGCGAUCAAGAAUCGCCUAAGUAUCAACUUUCUCCGAGUGUGCACUUCACGUCGCACUUGGGGACUUAGCUGCGAUCNNNNNNNNNNNNNNNNNNNNNNNNNNNNNNNNNNNNNNNNNNNNNNNNNNNNNNNNNNNNNNNNNNNNNNNNNNNNNNNNNNNNNNNNNNNNNNNNNNNNNNNNNNNNNNNNNNNNNNNNNNNNNNNNNNNNNNNNNNNNNNNNNCAAGAAUCGCCUAAGUACAAAUUUUCUCCGAGCGUGCCAUAACCGUCACACUCGAGGACUUAACUGCGAUCAAGAAUCGCUUACAUAGAAAGCGUCCUUCGACUGUAUCCUACAGAUACACUCGGGGACUCAGCAGACCCUCAUUCAGGCUCUUGUGGAUGUCAAGACCACUGACAAUUACAUGAGUAGCAGAACCUCAUUGAGGCUCAUGUAGAUGUAAAGACCACUGACAAUUACAUGAGUAACAACUCGCUCCGAGUACGACCUUACAGUCGCACUCGAAGACUUAGCCGCGAUCACGAAUCACCUAUGUACUCAAAUGCCUUCGACUGUAUCCUACAGAUACACUCGAGGACUCAACAGACCCUCAGUGAGGCUCAUGUAGAUGUCAAGACCACUGACAAUUACAUGAGUAGCAGAACCUCAUUGAGGCUCAUGUAGAUGUCAAAACCACUGACAAUUACAUGAGUAACAACUCGCUCCGAGUACGACCUGACAGUCGCACUCGAAGACUUAGCCGCGAUCACGAAUCGCCUAAGUACUCUAUUACCUUCGAGUGUAUCCUAUAGAUCCACUCGGAGACUCAGCAGACCCUCAGUGAGGCUCAUGCAGAUGUCAAGACAACUGACGGUUACAUGCUCCGCAUGUUUGCCAUUGGCUUCACCAAGAAACGCCAAACAAAAACACGAGCCAAAAUCGUAUCAACAACUCUUUGGCAAAAGAAGAGCAAAAGAUUCGAUUCAAAUUCAAAGUUCACCUAAAGAUAGUUGGCUCGGUGUAGAUCAAGCUUAUCCACACCGAACCAAGAAUGUGACGACCAACAACAGUGGCCAAAGUUUAUUACAACCAACACUCGGCAUACCGAGGUAAAAGUUUUCUCAAACGUCGUCAGGACUAGCGUUGGGACUGGCAGGCUCACGAAUGUGUCGAGGUCGAUCCCGUCGGCGAUGCGGGUGGCGCUCUCAAGGAAGGUCUCCAUGAAGUCUUCGAAUCGAAGCUUUUUCAUGUUGGCGACCUGCAAUGCCUUCAGCUUCUCUUCGCGAGCCUCCUUGCAGUGCACUCGGACCAAAGACAAAGCGACAUCCGCACCACAGCGAGCCGCAGACUUCUUCCACGCCUGCACUCGGUUCGGGACCUCCUCCAGCCGAGUCAUCAAGCCUUCCAUCUCGUGUCGAGGCUCGUCUUCAGGCCAAAGCUCCUUGUCGAUUCGGCCGACGACUUCUCUUAGUCGACCGAUGAAAGGUCCAACUUUGCCCAGGCGAAUGUGCGCUCGGAGCAUAUCUCGAUUGGCGUCCUCUCCAAGUGGAAUGUUCUCAAGCAUCAACCGCUCAACAUCAGCUACUUCAACCUCCGCGUCCAUGCAAAAAUCUGCAAAGACAGGACGAGCAAACAGUCAACGCAGAAUGAAAUGCACAGUUCACAAGCACUCGGAAAAACAGAACUUACCACCGAGAAGCGCUAUCAUCUUCCGGGCCCAAUCACUGACGUAAUUUUCUUGUGCUAUGCACCGCCUGUUCAACACUUUCAUCUACCCCAUCAGCUCCGUCCUUUGUUUCCCCAUUUUCUCCACUUCAGCAGUCAAUGCCUUGUUUGCCUCACGGGCUUGCUCCAAGGACUUUUCUCGUUCCGCCAGAACAUUCUUCAUACCAGCCAUUGCAACCAUUGCUGCAUCCAGUUCACCAGCAAACUGAACCUUUUCAGCCCUUAGAGUCUCGUACGCUGCUCCCAUCUCGCAAGUUUUCUGCAAGUCAGCGCCAAGAGACGGUCUGACAAAUUCAACAAGUUCUUCAGACCCCUGCCGACGCAAGCAGUCGAUAGCGGUCUCGAGGACUACACCCAGUGGGUUCACUAAAAGUGACCCCACUGGCAUGAAACUCAAACAUGUCCGCCCUAUUGAGCUACAUGACAACAAAUAAGCCUAUGCGGCUACUACUACCCUACCUGAGUAAAAUUACUCUCGGGGACUCAUCUAGUAGGUGCACUCCGAGUGCCCCAACUGUUAACAUUCGAACAGAUUAAUUUUUGAUCUGAUCAAGUUAAAGAAAAUGUGUAUAAAGACAACUGCCGGUGCAAGCACUCGACAGAAGUCUCGGGGACUACACCCAUUGGGUUCACUAAGAGUGAACCCAUUGCAAAAAAUCAUAUGAUAUCCGAGCACACCUAGUGGGUUACAAGAGGAAAGUAAAUACUUACUAGCCCACUUACUCGGAUAUCGUCCCGCAGUUCCAAGCUUCGCUUGUACAAGGACGCGAUGGAGUCGUACGCCUUCUUGGCCUCUCCCGCCAUCAGCUCCGCCUGCACCAUGGCCCCCUUGGCAGCUCCCACCUGAUCUUCUGGGAGGCGCUGGACGCUGUACUCGACAGUCGACGGGCCUGGCAUCAUAGGAGGCUCCUUGGGCAUCCCAAGGCUUGCUCCAGUCGGUUCAGCAGCGAUCGGUGCCGUUUCAGUCGACGACAUCGUCUCAAUCGGCGGCGCGUCCAUGGGGAGAGUGGUAACCGGCGGAACAACCUCAAGGACAGGCACCGCAGCUUGCUCGGACGACCUAUGGUCGCCCUCCUCCACAUAGAUCACCUCUGAGGAAAACCCGACCGAACGGCGUGAGACCACAGGAAAAGGACAAGACCAAAGACAUAAUUCAUGAUGCAGUAGUAUAAACUCUCAGAAUCGCCACGACGCACCUGGCUGGGAUGUGACAACGUUGUCCAUGUCCAUGGGAUCAUGCCCUUGGCGUGCCGGAGAGGUGGCAGAGGUAGCAGCUCUGUCGAGUGCCAUUCAUUCGACCAAUAAGCAGAGAUUCGAUCAAAUACUGAAAGAAGAUAGAAGAACCAUGCACUUACAUUGAGGUGACGGGAACUGUGACCCUCAUCCGCGGCAGAGCCUUCCGAGGCUUAGAUCCACUCGGUUUAGCCACCUUGGAGGGCUGACCCGCAGGUUCAACGGUAGAGUCCCUGGUCCUCUUUGUGCUCCGAACACUCGGAGCCACGGGAACGGCUGGCGAAGCACUCGGUACCACAGGAGCAGCUGGCGGAGCUGGCGGCGCACUCGAGAAUGCUGGAGGAGCUGAAGGAGCCACAGUUUCAUGACGGCGCUUAGUCCGAGGCUCUAGCGGUGGAGGUGGCGAGUUGUGCUCCUCAUCUGCCUCUUCUUCUUCUGUGGACUCCUCUUCCGUCUCCCCACUGUCGGAGACGUACUCGCCGCUCUCCACGCUGCCCUCCUGGCUGCCUUCCUCCUCCUCGGCUGGAUUCCCGUUCGAGACGGGAGAAAACCAGUUAGUCCACUCCUGCACAAGAUAUAGUCGACGACAUCAGACGUCAGACAGUGAUUCAAGAAAGCAAUAAAUCUAAGACAGUUGUGUGCACUCGGCAAGUUGUACUCACUGCGUUUGGAGGAGGGUUGUCCGCCCGGAAGGCCUUCACUCGCCGAGCUCCUCUAGGGUUUUCGCAGGCGCCGGUGAUGUUGAGGACCCACGAUGCCACCAUCUCCCCGCUCACGCACUCGACAUUAGUCCGAGUGGAGUCCUCAGGCCCUGUGUAAUGCCACAUGGCGUGGUGUCGAGCUUGCAGAGGCUGGAUACGCCGACCCAGGAAAACCUCCAGCAAAUCUAUGCCAGUGACUCCCCUUCGGACGACCUCUACAAGCGCAUCGACUAGAGGCUGGAUCUGGGUUUUCUCCGCCUUCGUGAGCACAAGCUUCCUAGGAGGAGCCGGUCGGUCUAAGCUAAAAGGAGGGAGUCCAGUGGUAGCAUUCGGGCAAGCAACGUCCUGGCAGUAGAACCAUGUCGACUGCCAGUUCCUAACAGAUUCACUCAACUGUAGAGCAGGAUAGCUACUUUUACUUUUCUUUUGGAAGCCUAAGCCUCCGCAGAGCUGGAGAAGGUGGGUUUUGUCAUCCGACUGGCUAAGCCGUUUGAUGGUCUGGGAUCUAGCAGAGAAGAUAUGUUUGUAAAGCCCCCAAUGGGGAGGACAGCCGAUGAAACACUCGCACAGCACAACGAAGGCAGAGAGAUGAGCUAUGGCAUUGGGAGGAAAAUGGUGGAGCUGCGCCCCGAAGUGGUUCAUGAUACCUUCGAAGAAGGGGGUGAGGAGGCAGAGAGAAACCUCUGUACACAUGGCUCAGCAGCAAGAUGCGCUCCCCCUCCUGGGGCGCCGGCUCGGUCUCGCCUUCCGCCGGCAACCUCCAUGACUUGUGCGCAAUCAUCCCAUGCUCCACCAACUCCAGCAGGUUCUCCUCCGUCACCGUGGAGGGGAGGAAAUCCCCCUGGAUCCACCCCACCGGUAGCGUUCGCUGCCGCCACUGGGCAGGAGCCGCCGCCUUCCCCUUCUUCUUCUUCGCCUCUAGCUUGCUAGUCUGCCCCUUUGUCAUGGCGGAGGCUGCGGAUCCGUGAGGGAGAAGAAGAAGGAAGGAGCUUGGGAUGCGCAGGAGGUGGCGAGAGAAGCGAGGCAGGCAAGUGCAAGAUAUCCGACGAGUGUAACGAAAAAGCGUCGCCGCUGAGGUUUAAAUAAGGUUCCGACUUGGUCAUUGGCAAGUGGCCCCAAAAUCUUAUCCCCCGACCGGUCGCGGUGGUAUCAGUGGAGGAGAUGAAGGCGCGGGAAUCGAGGCGUCAGGUACUACUCGAGCGCGAUGUCGUCAUCCCCGCUGAGCGCGCGACAACCGAAAUUUGAGGAUCCCGGAAAAUCCGCCGCUGUCAGUUGACUGGUCACGUCAGAAGAUACCACGGAAGCACUCGGUUCCCGACAGUUCGUUUCACAAAUACUUCCACUCGGAUCGUUGGUCGAAGAAGAUAAAAUGGAUCGAGGCAAGCAACGCCAAAGUCGCAUCCAUACCAGUCGGAUCCAUACUUCAAGCAUCGCUUCGUCGUUCCAACUCCAAUCCAUUCGGGGACUAAUGAUGGGGUUAUAGUCCUAGGGUAGGGUCAUAGGCCUGCCCUAUAAGUCCUACCCAAGGACUACCCUUCAUAAGGUAUAAGACCCUUAGUCAGUUCCGACUGAAUUAAGGACUUCCCAUCAUCCAGUCGGUAACGAAUCCUCUACCAUCCAGUCGGAGACGAGCAUUCGGAAUGUAUCAAACUAAUCGACUGGAUUCCACUCUGUGCAUCGUAACCCCCCUCGAGGGAAAUGGUCGUACGUUUCCAUGUGCCUUUAUUAGCAUUUAAGACAUACGUUACCUGUAACGUAGGCAUUUAUUCGCCACUACUCCACCCGUGUGCACCGAACCGCUGUGGAGGGCAGCGCACUCUAUAUAAGCCGCCCUCCCCCACUGGUGCAAGGGUUAGCAAUUCACUGUAAUCCAUAUUCCAAUCGACAACAAGCUCCCAGAGCAUUGAGACGUAGGGCUAUUACCUCCACCGUAGAGGGGCCUGAACUCAUACAACCUCGUCGUAGCUAAGGCUCUGCCCAUCCUUUCGUACCCUACACAUCUACUGUCAGACUUAUACCCACGACAAUGACCCUGGUGAUAUUGAGGGCGAGCCACCCAGGAAGAGGGUUCCUGCCAAGGUGAUGUGGUAUGCUCCUAUAUUACCACGGUUGAAACGUUUUUUGAGAAAUAAAGAUCAUGCGAAGUUGUUGCGAUGGCACAUGGAAGAUCGUAUGAAAGACGAUAAGUUGAGGCACCCCGCUGAUGGUCGGCAGUGGAGAAAAAUCGAGAGAGAGUUCCCGAGAUUUGCAGGUGACACAAGGAACUUAUGGUUUGGUCUGAGUACAAAUGGCAUGAAUCCUUUUGGGGAGCAGAGUUGCAGUCACAUCACCUGGCCCGUUACUCUAUGUAUCUACAACCUUCCUCCUUGGUUGUGCAGGAAGCGGAAGUUCAUUAUGAUGCCAGUGCUUAUCCAAGGUCCAAAGCAACCCGGCAACGAUAUUGAUGUGUACCUAAGGCCAUUAGUUGAUGAACUUUUACAGCUGUGGGCCGAACCAGGUGUACGUGUGUGGGACGAGGACAAACAAGAGGAAUUUGACCUUCGAGCGUUGCUUUUCGUAACCAUCAAUGAUUGGCCUGCUCUUAGUAACAUUUCAGGACAGUCAAACAAGGGAUACAAUGCAUGCACGCACUGUUUGGAUCAGACAGAAAGUAUAUAUAUGGACAAAUGUAGGAAUAAUGUGUACCCGUACAAUCAUCGUUUUCUUCCGCCAAAGCAUCCCUUAAAGAAAAAAGGCAAGCAUUUCAAUGGCAAGGCAGAACCCCGGGGGAAGUCUGUCAUCCGUACUGGUGCUGAAGUAUUUGAUAUGGUCAAAGAUUUAAAAGUAAUCUUUGGAAAGGGUCCUGGCAGCCAACCUGUUCCUAACGGCCCUGAUAAGCGCGUACCCAUGUGGAAGAAGAAAUCUAUAUUUUGGGAGCUACCCUACUGGGAAGUCCAUGAGGUCCGCUCGGCAAUCGACGUGAUGCACCUGACGAAGAAUCUCUGCGUGAAUAUUCUAGGCUUCCUGGGCUUGUAUGGGAAGUCAAAAGAUACACCGGAAGCACGGGAGGACCAGGAACGUCAUAAAGGAAGAGAUGGGAUGCAUCCAGGGCAGUUUUAAGGGUGUGCCAGCUACGCUCUUACUAAGGAAGAGAAGGAAAUCUUCUUUGAAGUCCUUUUCAGUAUCAAGGUCCCGACUGGCUUCUCGUCGAAUAUAAUGGGAAUCGUAAAUAUGAAGGACAAAAAAUUCCAAAACCUAAAGUAUCAUGACUGCCACGUGCUUAUGACGCAAUUGCUUCCGGUUGCAUUGAGGGGAAUUCUACCGGAAAAUGUUUGCCUGGCAAUUGUGAAGGUAUGUGCAUUCCUCAAUGCAAUUUCUCAGAAGGUAAUCGAUCGAGAAAGUCUAUCAGGGUUACAGAUUGAUGUGGUCCAAUGUAUGGUCAGCUUUGAGUUGUUGUUCCCGCCAUCCUUCUUCAAUAUAAUGACACACCUCCUAGUUCACCUAGUCAAAGAGAUUAGAAUUCUCGGUCCUGUGUUUCUACACAAUAUGUUCCCCUUCGAGAGGUUCAUGGGAGUCUUAAAGAAAUAUGUUCGUAAGCGUGCUAGGCCAGAAGGAAGCAUCUCCAAGGGCUAUGGAACAGAGGAGGUCAUUGAGUUUUGUGUGGACUUUCUUCCUGACCUUAAGCCGAUUGGUGUUCGUGAAUCUCGGUAUGACGGUAGGCUGACAGGAAAAGGCACACUAGGAAGGAAAGCAAAAGUAUGUAUGGACGGGCAUUCUUUCUCUCAAGCACACUGCAUAGUUCUACACAAUUCCAUCGUGGUGACUGCGUAUAUCGUGAGACACAAGAAUAUUCUACGCUCCGAAAACCCGGGGAAGGCUGACUCUUGGAUUAAAGGGGAACACGAGAAGACUUUCGGCAGUUCGUUGCAGACACAUCUCAUGAAUGACGACACCGUUGGAGAUCAGCUGUACUGUUUGGCCAGGCGACCAUCUUCGACUAUAUGUACUUUCCAAGGGUAUGAGAUAAAUGGGAAUACAUUUUACACGGUUGCCCAAGAUAAAAAGAGCACCAACCAAAAUAGUGGUGUCCGCUUUGAUGCAACAGACGAGAAUGGGCACUGUUUGGAAACAUAUUACGGGUACAUAGAGGAGAUAUGGGAACUUGACUAUGGACCUACUUUUAAGAUCCCUUUGUUUCGGUGCAAAUGGGUGAAGCUGACAGGAGGCGGGGUAGUUGUAGACCAAAAGUUCGGCAUGACAACGGUGGAUCUCAACAAUCUUAAGUACAUGGACGAACCAUUUGUCCUAGCUAAUGGUGUCGCUCAGGUUUUCUAUGUGAAGGACGUGUCUACAAAAACAAGAAAAAAUCAGCAAAAGAAGAUAUCGUCCCAUGAGCCAAAACGCCACAUAGUUCUUUCAGGGAAAAGAAACAUCGUGGGAGUAGAUGACAAGACAGACAUGUGAGUAGAUUAUAAUAAGUUCCAUGAAAUUCCGCCCUUCAAAGUGAAAACUGACCCAAGCAUCCUACUGAAUGAUGAACAUUCUCCAUGGCUACGACCCAGAAGAAAAUAGAAAUAAUAGAUAGGAUAUUGGUGCAAUAAUGUAAUAAUGUAUUAAACCUUUUAUGUAAUGCAUGUAUGGAAUGUACUAAACCUUUUAGUUUUGAAUUAUUUAUUCAAUUUCAAACACUUUUCAUUAUCAUAGUUUUGUCAAAUUNAUUUUGGGAGCUACCCUAUUGGAAACACCUAUAGGUAUGGUCUUCAAUCGACGUGAUGCACGUGACGAAGAAUCUUUGUGUGAACCUGCUAGGCUUCCUGGGAGUGUCUGGAAAGACAAAAAAAUGAAAUCCCUNNNNNNNNNNNNNNNNNNNNNNNNNNNNNNNNNNNNNNNNNNNNNNNUUUUUGCCGUAACCCUCUCAACUUUUUAGCACAUGCUUUGUGGGUGAAAUGAUGAUACCAUGCCAACUUUCAGCAUUUUCAUAUUUCAUUUGUUGUGCUUAUCAAUUUCAGGAUCAAUUAGCUAAAAAAAAGUAAAUGCACGAAAAAUACCAAAUGAAGUCGGAAAUUGUUGAAAAUUUGUGAUGUGCCUUAGAAUGGUGCAUUUUGAACACACAAAAAGUAUGGAGUUGAAAUAAGUUCAAAAAAAUGAAAUUCCUUUGUAACAGAUGAGUUCUCGUUCGAAACCGUGAUACUUCGAGAGAGAUUGUCCGUUUUGUACACGAAGUGCAUCCAGUUUUUGUCGUAACCCUCUCAACUUUUUAGCACAUGCUGUGUGGGUGAAAUGAUGAUACCCUGCCAACUUUCAACAUUUUCAGAGUACAUUUGUAGUGCUUCUCAAUCUUAGGGUCAACUAGCUCAAAAUAAUAAUUAAAUGCACGAAAAAUACCAAAUGAAGUCAGAAAUUGUUGAAAUUUUGUGAUGUGCCUUUGAAUGGUGCUUUUUGAACACACAAAAUGUAUGGAGUUCAAAUAAGUACAAAAAAUGAAAUCCCUUUGUAACAGAUGUGCUCUCGUUCGAAACCCUGGUACUUCGAGAGAGAUUGUCCGUUUUGUAUACGAAGUGCAUCCAGUUUUUGCCGUAACCCUCUCAACUUUCUAGCACAUGCUAUGUGGGUGAAAAUGAUGAUACCAUGCCAACUUUCAACAUUUUUAGAGUUCAUUUGUAGUGCUUUUCAAUUUCAGGGUCAACUAGCUCAAAAAAAUAAGUAAAUUCACGAAAAAUAUCAAAUGAAGUCAGAAAUUUCAUAAAGUUUUUUUUGUUACAUACUUAAUAGAAAACAAAAAAAGAGUGAACUAAAAAGAAUCAACUAAAAUAUUUACUAAAAUGAAUGAAUUAAAAAUAAUUAACUAAAAUUAUCAAAGUGCUUAUUUGUUGGAAAGAAUCAAGUAAAACAUUAACUAAAAAGAAACAAAAAAAGAUCAACUCAAUAGAAAACUAAAAUAGAAGAGAAAAAAAUAUUUAAUAGCAAAGAAUUAAAAUAUAAACUAGGACUAAAAAUUAUUAAAGGAAAAAAAUGCCGCCUAUUGGGCCAUCACGGCCUACAUACGACUAGAAACCCUACCCGACAGGUGGGCCAGGAUGCAGGCCCGCGGGCCCAAUUGGCCCAACAUGCAGCGAGAGGAGAGUUAGGCCCAUAGGCCUGCAAUAGAGAGAAGCUCAAUUGAGCAAGGCUCGGCAGUGCUUAUAAAGCACUGCCAGCGCCCCUCGCUAGGCGAGGUGGGACUAAAGGUUGCCCUGCGUCGCACCGGAGCCAGCCCAGGUCUUUAGUCCCGGNGUCUUUAGUCCCGGUUCUAGCCAAGACCCGGGACUAAAGGUCCUCCUAUAUAAACGACACUUCGAAGUUUCCAACCCAUCUCCUCUCGUUUUCUUCCUCCUCUCGCUCUCGCUUGCGCACCGGACGACGACGCGAUCGACGCCGCCAGGCUGCCGGACCUCCGCCUCGCUCUCGCCGUCGCCGACGCCCGCCGUCCUCCUUGCCGUCGCCGAUACGCCUCGCCUCGCCAUCACCGUCUCGCCUUGCCUCGCCGUCGCCGUCUCGCCUCUUCGACAUUGUUGCACCGUUGCCGUCUCGCCUCCGGCCCAGAGCUCCUCGCCGCGUCGCUGACGCCGUCGCCGCCCCCAACUCGCCUCGCCUCGCCGUCGCCCCGUUGCUCCGCCUUGAGCUCCCCCUAUCCUCCCUCUCCCUCUCCCCUUGUGCCGCCAUUAUUUUUAUAAUUUAUGAAAGUUUUUUCUUUACAAAGUUUGUAGAAAAACUAUUAAUACCUACACAAUAGAAUCGGUAUUAUUUGAUCCACCGGGAAAUUUAUUUUCAUACUAUUUUUACUAUUGCAGCCACUGAUCCGAGCAAAUUUAGUGAAACACAAGAAAAAAAAAUUAGGAGAAACUAACCUUUUAAAAAUGGAAGAAAAGGGCAGCCAACCUGUGUAGUGAAAUAAGGGCCUCUUUGAUUCGCAGGAUUUUUAAAACGCAGGAAUAGGAAAAAUGGAGGAUUUGAGUGGCAUGUCCAUUCGAACCCUAUAGGAUUAGUAAGGAGUGUUUGAUGCCACAAGAAAAACAAUGGAAUUGUAAAAAUAAGUUGGAGUGGAUGUUAUAUUUCCUAUGAAAUGUAGUACAAGAAGAUUCCAUAGGAAAAGUUCCAAUGGGAUUCAAUCCUAUGAUUCAAAGGACCAAUAUAGGAAAAAAUCCUAAGGGUUUCAAUCCUCCAAAAAUCCUAAGGGUUAGGUAGUUAGUGUUAAUUAAUAGGUUAUUGUUAGUUUAGGGUUAUGUAAAUUUCAGUAAGUUAGUUUAGGGCCUUUUAGUUUAGGUCACAGUUAGUGUUUAAGCAUAUACGAAUAUACAAUCUACAAUUAUCACUUAAAUCACUACAAAAAUCACUUAAGCAUAUAAAUUAGUGUUAAUUAGGUUAGUGUUAGCUAGUUUAGGGCUAUGUAAAUUUAGGUAAGUUAGUUUAGGGUCGGUCCAUGGCUUCAUCAUUACCUGGUAGUAACAGACGCAUGGCGCUAUCAAGCUCUCGAAAGUUGUUUUGGAACGGAGUUCCUGAUAGAAUAAUUCAUUUUUGGUACAAAGUUCAACAAAGUCCUUCCAAAUAGCGAUAUUCGGAUGGCUCGUUUUGAACUGCGAACCAAAAAGCUAAUUAUCCUAUUCGGGAUUCCGUUACAAAACAACUUUAUAAAGCUUCAUAGCAUCAUACUCCUAUUUUUUUUAAACAAUACAAUUGCAGAUGCUUACAUACAUGAAUUUUUACACACACUUAAAACUUUUGUCAAUAUAUAGUUGAACUAGUUGAUUUAAUAAAACUACUUUAUUUUACUAUAUAUACAAUUAGUUUAUUUUUAGCAAGAAAAUUAAUAGAACUAGUUUAUUUUUUUAGUUCAUUUUACGAUGCCUAUCCCGCAUCCUCGUCGUCGACUCGGCAGAGGACACCUGCUUGAUCAUAGGGGCCAUGUCCGGGACUGGGCUCCGCCCGGCUGGUAUUGGGAGGUGCUACCUUGUGGGGGGUGUAGGUUGCUCAGGAGCCAGCCCGUUCUUGACCCGAUCCUUGUUUGGUGGCGGUCGCCUGGGCCAAUGACGGUGCCGAGGCUUCCGGACACCGCGGAGGUGGUACGUCACCGUGUCAGCGAGGAGGAUGAGCACGUCCGUCGCUACAUGGUUGCGUUGGAGGGCAGGUUCGACCAUACCUGGCAGGUUCUUCAGGGAUCUCACUGGAGCUAUGAUCCUGUGAUGGUUCCUUCUCUUUGGGUGUCCACCGCCCGCGACGAUACCCGUCGGGUGCUACGGUUCUAGCUGUAUUAGUGAUGCUAUAUGUAUGAUAGUAUUCGAGGAGUAUUAGUGAUAAUAUUCGACGAUGUACGGACACAAGAGAUGAUGUAGUUUUGAUUAUAAUUGAAUGCAUGCUAAUUUGAAUACUACUUUAUUUUAUGAUUUGGUUUUGCUUAUUGAAUGCUCAAAUUGGAAAAGUACUCCUACUUUGAAUACUAAAAUUAGAGAGCACUAUGCAGAAAUCUAGGAGUCCCGGGUGGAGCCACGACCCGGGACUAAAGUUGUUUUGGAACGGAGUUCCUGAUAGAAUAAUUCUUUUUUGGUACAAAGUUAAACAAAGUCCUUUGACACUAGACAAUGUGACAUAUAGAAGGGUAGAUGAGAUCAGGAAAAAUAGGAUCAUUUUCUACACAUCUAGAAUGUCGCCAUUUUGUUAAAUCCUUAAAGGUUAAGAUAAUCCGUUAGACAUAUUUUAGAGUUUAGGUUCUAGCCAAGACCCGGGACUAAAGGUCCUCCUAUAUAAAACGACACUUCGAAGUUUCCAACCCCUCUUAUAUAGUUUGUUAGUUUAUUAGUUAAUCAAAUGUCCAUUUUUUGCAGAACUAUGGAUCCACAUAUCAGGAACCUCGAAGAGGGAGAACUUCUCAAAGAUAUAAUCAAAGACGGCCCCGACAUUGAACCAGCUGAAUCUCUGUCGUCAUAUCUAAACCCCUCCGGAUAUGGAAUGGAGGUCGACCGACACGAAGAUGAAGCCGAUGGGGCAGGAGAUAGCUCCAAUGACGGAGAAGGUGAUAGCUCCACUGAUGGAGAAGUCGGUGGAGAAAUAAUAAAGUCCGGCGAGGUAUACAUAUGAAGUUCGACAAUCACUUGUAAUAUGUGAAAAAUAUUGGAGAUAGUUCUAUAUUGUAUACAUAUACAUUCAUUUGACGAAUGUUUCUCCCUCUUAGGCCUCCACAUCGAGCAAAGCUACGAAACGAGGCCUGACUAAAAAGUUGGAUGCACGGACGCAUUACACCUUUGAGGUGAUAUUGCCUACGGGCGAACCCAAGCUUCUUAAGAAUGCAGCUGACACAUUCAAGAAGCAAUGCGGAGUUCUCGUUAGGGAUCACGUCCCGAUCAGCGUUCGGGAGUGGAACAAGCGCAAAGGGGCAGCCGAUAGUGACUAUGUCGCCGAAAGGUACAAAGAUAAUCUCUAGAAUGAUCUCAUGUCACAUUUCAACCUGCCAGAAUGUGAGAAUGAAGACGCCGCAAAAAAACUGAGGGCCAAAGUCAAGCAGUGGACUCUAAAGAAGAUGGCCGAACUGUUCCGUAGCUGGAAGAAGAAGCUAUGGAAAAACUAUCGGAAGAUAAACAAAGUGCCAGUAUUCGAGGGGUAUCUAGCCAAGCAGGAAAAUCACUGGAAGGCAUUUCAAGAGUACAAGGAGUCAGAAGAUGCCAAGGCAUUAUCAGAAAAGAACAAGAAAAAUGCCGACAAGAAGAAAUAUCACCACACGCUGGGGCUAGGGGGCUAUGAGACUGCCAUCCCAAAGUGGGAUAAGAAAGAGCAAGAUCUGCUAGCUAAAGGCAUCAUACCUGAACCCAUCCGUGAUGAGUGGGAAUUCAGAGCAAGAAAUUGGUUCCUUGUGCAUGGUGGUUCGUACGAAGAAGAAACAGGGGACCUCCUCUGCAGUGAGGGUCUUAGGAUACCCAGGGAGAAUUGGAAAAAUAUAGUGAAAGAAAUUAAGGAGGGAAAAAGACAGUUCACUGCAGAUAGAGAGAAAGAUUUGCUCACACUGGUCCUCGGCAAUGACGAACAUGGAGGACGAACGCGAGGCUUCGGUCCUUCUUACCCGUGGUGGCUUUGGUCCUUCCUCCCCGUGGUGGCUUGGCCGUGAGAUUCCAGCUGACUUUGCUAAAGUCGGGGUGGAUGAAAUCAUGGCGAGAUUUCAUGAUAUGGAGCUCGACAUAGCUGGACCCGAAGAUGAGAGGACACUCGGAGAAGUACUGGGUGGAGUCAUCCUAUGGGACAAGAACUACAUCAAGAUUCCAGGCUCGGCCCCAAGGACAACACCGCCUCCGAGUCGUCGCAGGUCACCUUAACAUCCAUCACCUCCAAGCCCUCCACAUGACGACGGGAGCACAACACGAGUCCAUCUCGAUCACCGCCGUCGGACUGGGGUCGUCCAUCUCCGCCGCCGCCCGCUAAGGAUACUAAGCGGAAGUGUGCCAGCAAGAACGCUCCGUCGAUUAGUUCUAAGCAACGGAGCUCCCCAAAGCGCAAACUGUCGCCCCUCCCAAAGGUACCUCAUGCUAAUAUUCCUAUCACACCUUAUGAUCGUACCGACGAGGAAAACGCCAGGAUAUCAAAGGAACAUUAUGAUGCGCAGAUGAAAAAGAAGGAACCCGAGCCCCGCCCAGAAUACACCGAGAAGCAAAUAGCAUAUGCAAAAUACUUCACGACCCUUCCAUCACAGUAUGACUUACACCAUAAGCCUGAUGACUAUACACGCACAUUGCAGAAGGAAGGGAAAAAGAGCAGAUCACGUGCAAGUGCAAGUGGGAGCAAAUCAAGUUCAACUACAAGCAAAAAAGAUCAGACGUUCCUCAGCUUGGACAACAGGCCAAACAGUCGAUCCCACCCCUCAGGGUGUUACCCGAGAAUGUUCCCUCUCUGGUGCAGGGGCAAGAUUUGGAAUUAGCAAAGAAGUGGGCGGAUAAAUGGGGUAUCCCGGUUGAAGACGUUCUGGCUUCCCAAGACGACAGGUUACCCAAGGCUGUGGUAGCCCCUAAGCCACAGUUUGUCAUGGGAGCGCCUUUGAUCAGCAAAGAUGAUCUCCCAACAAAUAUGUGUUACUUGCGUACAUGGUACUUAAGUGAAUCAAAGAAUGGGAGAACGAUGAUCGUGGCGCGUGUCCCACAGGAGUACUACGACCGCCCCGAAGAAAUCCAUAUCGACUUUGAUGAACUCUUCCAGAUGUACAAUGGCGACGCCCUCGACAAAUAGCUUAUGAGUUGCUAUUGUCUGUAAGUUUUUCAAUUCGUUGUCUACAUAUAACUUGUUUAGUUAUUUCAAUUCAUUGUCUACAUAUAACUUGUACUCUAUUAUGCAGAAUGAAGAUUCUAGAAUGUAAAAGUAGGAACAUCCUAAAUAUUGGGUUUAUUGACCCAGAUAAAAUACAUAUAGCGACGCUAACUGAUAAACCCAAGGAGACAGAGGAAAACCUUCUAAGGUUUCUAACAGAUCAAAAUUUCUGUGACCACAUACUGUUUCCAUACAACUUCAAGUGAGGGUCUUUACUAUGUUGUGUCCAUUCACUUAUAAGUGUAAUUGAUAAGUUACUGACACACACACACACACACACACACACACAUAUAUAUAUAUAUAUACAUGUGCAGCUACCAUUGGAUUCUGUUGGACAUUCAAAUUGAUAAGGGAAGAGUUGAUGCCUUCGACCCAUUAUCGAGACCCUUGGAACAGUUCCAAAGCCUGUGGAACAGUUCCAAAGCCUGCAGGACAUGAUCCAAGGGUAAUUUCAAUCAUUCUUGCGCUCUAUCGGUCUCUUUCGAUGAUUUUCUGAUAUAUCAAUUAAUGAAAAACUUAGCAAAUCAUUUUCCUUGUCGGGCAGGGUUUGGAAGCGGUUCAAGUGCGUGACUCCCGGUAUCGAGCAUGAGAAGCUGACCUUUAGUGCUGCUGAGGUAAGUAGUAGUAUGAUAUACUUCUAUUUUCAAUACAUUUAUGAUGCUAGAUUUUUAUUUUGAUUAUAUAUAUUCUAUUCUCGUAAAGUGCGACCAGCAGCCACGGGGGACGCAUCUAUGCGGAUACUAUGUUUGCGAGACCAUUCGCACGUUUACCUCUGAGCACAAGGAUUACAGAUACGACGUAAGCAAUGAACAUUCACACCUCUAUUUUUACCCGUCAUUCUUUGUUAUCAUGAUUGAUAUUGAUAUUCAUCUCCUCUUCUUAUAUAGUACACGGCCAUGAGGGAGAAGUACCUACCAGAGAAACGCGCGAUUGCUGUUGCAGAGGAGCUUGCGACCUUUCUCAGGACGGAAGCUAUAGAUGACAAAGGACGAUUUAGUGUAGCUAGGGGCCAUUACUGAUGUUGGUCCAUGUAAUCGAAUAGACGGGCUCUAGUCCCGAUAAUUCAGAUCUCCAUAUAAUUGUAUAUAUAUGCUCUCUUGUAAGAUAAGUUAAUCUUAUAUAUAUAUAUAUGCAUAAACAUGUAUAUUUGGAAUUAUAUGAAAACAAAUUCCCGAACACCAAACGAGGCAUCACGUUAAUCUCCCGAAUACCUAAACCCUAAAACCCUAAAAUCCUAAAGUAAACAAAAUCUGCAGAAACUCUUUAGUCCCGGUCCGUGUUAGGACCCAGGACUAAAGGGUCUGCCCCUGAGGGCGCUCCGAGGCGCCCACGUGGAGCACCUUUGGUCCCGGCUUGGAAUAGUCCCGCCUCUUUGGUCCCGGUUGGUGAACCGGGACUAAAGCCCCUUACGGGCCGGGACUAUAGGCCAUGUCCCCACUAGUGUGACAUGAAUGUUCAGAUCCGUAAGAUUCAGAACAAUAGUUUGCUAUUGACAUGAAAACAAUAAUACUUCAAGCAAACUAGCAAGGUAAUCAUGAACUUUCAAAAUAACAAGGCCAAUGAAAGUUAUCCCUACAAAAUCAUAUAGUCUGGCUAUGCUCCAUCAUCCUCACACAACGAAUGUAAAUCAUGCACAACCCCGGUAUUGGCCAAGUAAUUUUUUUUUGCACUCUUACUUUCUCAAACUUUUUAUAACUAUCACGCAAUACAUGAGCGUGAGCCAUGGAAAUAGCACUAAAAGUGGAAUAGAGUGUGGUGCUGGUUGUGAGACAAAAAGGAGGAGAUGGUCACAUUGACUCGGCGUAUCAAAGGGCUAUGUAGAUGCCCAUUAAUAGAUAUCAAUGUGAAUGAGUAGGGAUUGCCAUACAAAGGAUGCACUAGAGCUAUAAGUAUGUGAAAGCUCAAAAGUAGAACUAGUGGUUGUGCAUCCAACUUGCUUGCUCACGAAGACCUAGGGCAAUUUUGAGGAAGCCCAUCAUUGGAAUAUACAAGCCAAGUUAUAUAAUAAAGAUUCCCACUAGCAUAUGGUGGUGACGAAAUGAGAGGCUUUCAAUCAUGAAGAAAAUGGUGCUAUUACGAGGCACAAGUGUGGAAAAAGAUAGUAGCAUUGUCCCUUCUCUCUUUUUCUCUCUUCUCUUCUUUUUAUUUUUUUUAUUUGGGCUCGUGGGCCUCUUUUUUAUCUUGUUUUUUUUAUUGGGCACUUUGUCCUCUUUUUUUAUUCCUCGCAUGGGAAAAUUCUCUAAUAAUGAUGAUCAUCACACUUUUAUUUACUCACAACUCAAAGCUUAGAAAUGACUCUAUAGGAAAUGCCUCCGGGAGUGUAACAGGAUGUGCAAUGAUCUAGCUUGGCGUAUGACAUUGAAACAUCUCGCUAGCUAUCUUAUGAUCAUGCAAUGGCAAUAUGAGAGUGACGGCACAAGUCAUGAGACGGAACGAUGGGAGUUGCAUGGCAAUAUAUCUCAGAAUGGCUAUGAAAAUGCCAUAGUAGCUAGGUAUGGUGGCUGUUUUGAGGAAGGCAUUUGGUGGGUUUGUGUACCGGCGAGAAUUGCGCGGCACUAGAGAGGCUAGCAAUGGUGGCAGGUGAAAGUGCAUCUAUACCAUGGACUCACAUUAGUCAUGAAGAACUCACAUACUUGUUGCGAAAGUUUUUAUUAGUAAUCGAAACAAAGUGCUAAACGCAUACUCCUAAGGGAAGGGUUGGUAGGUGUUAACAAUCGCGCGAUCCCGACCUCGACACAAAGGAUGACAAUCAAUAGAUCAAUUAUGCUCCGACUUCGUAACAUAGCGGUUCACCAUACGUGCAUGCUACGGGAAUCACUAACUUCAACACAAGUAUUUCUAGAUUCACAACACCUUACUAAUGUAACUCUUAAUAUUACCAAAUCCACGUCUCAAAACUAAUUGAGAGGAAUAAAAACUUCUCCUUAUACUCAAUGCACAUGAAGAUGGAGGUUUUUGUAUCCUCUUUGGGUACCUAUGACCUUUGGGACUACUUUCAUAGCAUAAGCCAACUACCAAGUCACGCACCGCCGUGCUCUAAAAGAUAUAAGUGAAGCACAAAGAGCAAAAUUAUCUAGCUCAAAAGAUAUAAGUGAAGCACUAUGAGCAUUCUAGCAAAAUCAGGAUGAGUGCAUGUCUCUCUCUCUCAAAAGGGUGUGCACCAAGGAUGAUUGUGACACAACAAAAAGAAAAGACUCCUAAGUUACAAUAUGCUCCAAGCAAAACACAUAUCAUGUGGUGAAUAAAAAUAUAGCUCCAAGUAAUGUUACCGAUGGAUUGAAGACGAAAGAGGGGAUGCCUUCCCGGGGCAUCCCCAAGCUUAGGCUUUUUGGUGUCCUUGAAUUUGGCUUGGGAUGCCUUGGGCAUCCCCAAGCUUGAUCUCUUUCCACUCCUUAUCUCUUUGUCCAUGAGAACAUCACCCAAAACAUGAAAAACUUCACACCACAAAACUUAAACAGAAACUCGUGAUAACAUUAGCACAAGAAAACAAACUACCACCUCUUUUGGUACUGUAGAAAACUUGAAUUCUAUCUAUAUUGGUGUUGGGCUACUGUAUUCUCCCUUUUCCAUGGCUAGUACCCCCCGAUACUAACCAUAGUUUCAUCAAAACAAGCAACCAACUCAACAAAAACAUAAUUUGUCAAAAACAGACCAGUCUGUAGCAAUCGGUAUACUUCGUAUACUUAUGAUACCUCACAAAUUCUGAAAAAUUACAACUGCGUGGGAAAAAGGCAUAUCAACGAGCAGCAAAAAGAAUCAACUCAAAAUCUCUUUCUUAAAAAAAAUGAAAAAUCAUCUCGUGAGCGAAACGUUUCUGUCUUUUUCCAGCAGGAUCAAACAACCAUUGCCAAGACUAGUCAUAAAGGUUUUGCUUGGCUCAAACACAAAAAUAAACACAAAAAACACAAUCACAACAGAAUUAUGAAAUUGUGGACACAACAAAACACAAAGAAAAAUAUAAAUUCAUUGGGCUUCCUCCCAACAAGCGCUAUUGUUUAACGCCCCUAGCUAGGCAUAAAAGCGAUAGAAUCUCGUAUCAUCGUCUUUGGUGCUCAAACCAUAAGUGGCCCUCAUCGUGGAUUUAUAAGGCAAUAUUAUUUUCUUUCUAGGAAAGUGAUCCAUGCCCUUCUUUAAAGAAAAUUUAAAUCUAAUAUUCCCUUCCUUCAUAUCGAUGAUAGCACCGAUAGUCCUUAGGAAAGGUCUACCAAGAAUAAUAGGGCAUGUAGGAUUGCAAUCAAUGUCAAGCACAAUGAAAUCCACGGGUACAUAGUUUCUAUUUGUAAUAAUAAUAACAUCAUUGAUCCUUCCCAUGGGUUUCUUGACAGUAGAAUCUGCAAGAUUCAAAUUAAGGGAACACUCUUCAUUCUCAUUAAAACCCAGAACAUCACAUAAAGACUUUGGAAUCGCGGAAACACUAGCACCCAAAUCACACAAAGCAUUGCAUUCAUAGUUUUUGAUUUUGAUUUUGAUAGUAGGUUCCCACUCAUCAUGAAGCUUUCUAGGGAUAGAGACUUCCAAUUCAAGUUUCUCUUCAAGAGAUUUUAUCAUGGCUUCGACGAUAUGAUCGGUAAAGGCCUUGUUUUGGCUAUAAGCGUGUGGAGAGUUUAACAUGGAUUGCAUCAAGGAUAUGCAUUCAAUCAAGGAGCAACUAUCACAAUUAAAUUCCUUGAAAUCCAAGGUAGUAAUUUCAUUACUACUCAACGUUUUAAUAACUUCUACUCCACUUUCAAUGCUUUUAGCAUCAAGAUAGAUGGACUCCGAAUCAUUGGGGCACUUUUCAACCAAAGUGGAUUCAUAUCCAGCCCCAUAAUCAUUAGGUUUGUCACAAGAAAACAAAGAUUCAGUGGGAGUCACACCAAACACUUUAAGAUCUUCGUGAUUCUUAUCACGAGAACACGCCUUUUUAAGCCAUUCAUGUCUAGCACGAAUUUGCACUACUAGGAAAAGGCCUGCUAGUGGCGCACCUAUUUUGGCUACUAAUGGCGCACUAUAGGUGCGCCACUAGCAUCACACCAUUAGAAUUUUUUACUAAUAGCGCACCACAGGUGCGCCAUUAGUAUCUGGUAUACUAAUGGCCCACCAGGCAGUGCUCCAUUAGUAUAGCCCAUGGUGCUUCAUUAGUAUGCCUCCCAGGGCAUAUAUACUAAUGGUGCACGAGGUAGUGCGCCAUUAGUAUAGCCCAUGGUGCUCCAUUAGUAUGCCUCCCAGGGUAUAUAUACUAAUGGCGCACCAGGCAGUGCGCCAUUAGUAUUGCCCAUGGUGCUCCAUUAGUAUCUGGUAUUCUGGCAUAUAUAUGUCUUGUUUCAAAACCACAAAUUCAACAGCACAUAACAUAUAUAUCGAAUAUAUAAUACAUAAUAUGUGCCCAAUAGUUUUACUAGUCCACAACACAUAACAUAUAUGCAAAGUUGCAUAAAAAGUUUCAAGAUCCAUAUAUCAAAAUUCCAUAGCAUCCAUACAUCCAAAAUUCCAUAGCAUCCAUAUAUACAUAUAGUUCCAUAGCAUCCAUACAUACAUAGCUCCAUAGCAAAUAUAAUACACAACGAUACUUUGUGGGCAUUAGUAGGUAAUAUUUGGCACUAGAACAUAUGCCUUCAUGUCCAUAUCGUAGUCCCAAGAGCAUCCGCAUGGCAACCUACAAGAUGAAAUCAUCAACAUGUCAAAUUUAACACUCUAAAUCAUGAGCCCUAUGGCCGGGCGGGGCAGGGGUGUAGGGCGGAGUAAUGUUCUCUAAUGAGACCUAUGUUCUCUUAUAAUAGACCAAUCAUCAACUAAUGGCGAGCGGUAUUUAGAUUGUAUAAUAGACCAAUCAUCAACUCAAUGUUCUCUAAUGAGACCUAUGUUCUCUAAUGAGCAAAAAACAAAACAAAGGAGCUAACUGUACAAGUGAAAAAGGGCAUGGCUCUUUAGAUUGUAUAAUAGACCAACAAGGAUCUAUGAGCUGCAAAUAACAUAACUUAGUAACCACAGAACCUUGCAAAACACAUAUAUUGUGGCAUAGUUCACUGAAAAGAAAGAUGACCGCAAUAACAAGAUUUAAAAACAGCAUCAUCAACUCAAUGGCCGGCAUCACAGUCAGCCAUGGCUCGUUGGCAAAUGCAUUACAAGGCAAGGGAAGAAAGAGGAGACCAGGGACUCACCAAAACCAAGUAUGGUCUUGUUCAUCCGGUAAUUGGUGGUUCCUGUUGUUGUUUUAGCAGCAGCGACAUACUCAAAAUCUACCAAGUAUCAGUACUAGAAAAAGAUGAAUUUGACUAGAGCAAGGAAAUGGAAACACUUCUUUCUUGCAAAUUAACAACCACAUGCAUAGCACAGCUAGCUAAUGACCCAAAGGAAGAAAAAAUAUGAUUAAGCAGCAAAGCCAUGGCCACCACCACAUCUACAUAAUGGGCCAUUAGCCGAAAAGCAAGCCGUUUAACUAGCUAACAAACGGCAACCAGUGGAAUAUUAGCAUAGCACCAGCCCGUUCAGAGAUAUUAGCUACAGGUGAGUAAGCAGAGGGGGGAGGUGCUACCUACUGGGAGCGGUGUGUUGUCGUGGCCAGGCUGGACUUGUCGACCUCGUGCAGGAUCCCUUGGUUGCCUUGGAAGCAAUGGAGCAGACGCCUUGGUGUGCCCCUCCUCCUCGCGGAGGAUAGAGCAUCGAGUUAGGUCUGUCCCUCCUCGAGCAGGACAAGGCCCUAUUCUCGGCUGGUGCCCUCCUGCCGUCGUCGAUGUCCCGUCUGCACCAUGGGAGGUCUGCACCAAAGCAAAAGAAGAGAAGGUUAGUUUGGGCGCCAAUUGAUCACACUAGCAAGAUGAUCAAUUCAGAUUUUCGCAUGCUUGCUAAGAAUAUAUGAUCAGUUUAGGAUGUCAAUCAAGGAGGGAGGCUUUUCAAGAGCAGAACAAAAAAGGUACAUACUCGACGCGAAGCAACAGAGGCUAUCUUGGAUACUAUCAGAGCUUAAUCACUAGUCAAUAGGCAUAAAAUUCAAUUGAUUCCUAGACCAAGUUUGAAAUAGCAAACGAACUAAAAUUUACAGAUCAUCGAGUCUAGUAUUAUGUGCCAUGCUGCUCUAUUAUAAAUCCCAGGUUUAUCCCAGCAUAAAUUAUAUUCCCGUAGCUACUUAGGCUCCAACACACAAGUGCAGCAACCACGAACUGAAAUACCAUUGAUUCAUCAGUACCAAAAUAACCUCCUUAGCUAAAAGGUGGCCAUCAGGAACCACACACGCAUCAUGCAAUGCCGCAACACCAAAUAUGGUAUGAACUAGAACCAUACUUGUUGUCGUUUUGUCACGGCAGAUGUCCUCGUGAAAGGACUUAGUGUUGGAUCCAUCGCAUCUUGGUGGCGACUGAAAGGGGUUGAACGGGAGCGGGACAGAGAUUUACACAGGUUCGGCCCCUCGUGAGGAGGUAAAAGCCUACGUCCUGCUUUGUGUUGUAUUGAUGGUGUUUUGAUUACAAGGAGGGUGUAGCUCGCCUGGCCUAGCACUCGAUGAUUUCUAACCUAAUAUCUCCUUCCCCGGGACUCACCUUUAUAUACAGGUCGAGCCCUUAAGGUUUACAAGAGUCCUUGCCAUUAUGCAGGUCAUGAUUCUUUCUACCUGUAAGUCUCCGUGCUUUCCAAGACUUGAAGAUCUUCCCAAUGAUCGACUCUUCCCGAGGAUCUUGAACCGCCAUCUAGCUCCUGGGCUUUAUUGGGCCAAAGCUUGAAUCACCAAUGGAUGAGUCGCCUGCUUGGUGACCCAGCCCAACCAGGGCGGGUCACACAACAGAUAAUAUCCCCAACAUUCGGCCCCAGAUUGACUUGAACCUGUUCACGCCAACUCUUACCUAGUUAGGGGCGACUCAAUCUGCUCUUUUUAUGCAUCAUACGCUUAACCCGCCAUCUUUCAUGGAAAUAUCCCAGUCGCCGAACCGUUUCUUGUUGACACCAUCUUAUCCCUUUAAUCUUGGAAGAAAUGAUGACGCAAUCUCCAAUGGAUCUUUCAGCACAGAUAUCCCGAAAAUCUUGGCGCUAUUAAAGCGAAUCUUUACCCUGUUUUCAAUUCCCGCGCAAGGCGCCUUGAUUCCAACACCCGACCCAAUAAAUAGGCUCGGGGAAGGAGGCAGGGCGCAUCCCCACCUACCCAUUUUGCUGGUCUUCUUCUUCCUCGCGACCACAUCGAGAGCUCCAUCGCCGCCCGAGGAAAACUCCACCUCCGGCCACCUCGUCUGACGCAUCUCCAGGCCGCUCAAGGACGCUGCACUCACCACGGAUUUCUCUUGGUCGCCACCGGACACCACCAUCAGGUCAGCCUUUCACCAUUAGAAACAUAUCUAAGCUCUUCGGUGUUCAUCGUCCGCCGGUUCCUUAGCGCACCUCGAAUCCUUCCAUUUAUAUACUGAUUAAUUUGCAGUAGUGCUAGGCGCGGUAAUUUCAACCAUAUUCUCAACCGAUUAACUCCUGCCAAGGAACUAAAAACGCUUCUGUCAAAUCAGCUUUACUGUUUUUACCCUAGCCAUAGGCUAUUUUACUUUAUCCAGGACUUUUCCCAUUCAUUUUUUGCCUGCUCUGUAGAUCUAUGUUUUACUGCCUGCUGUAUAAAACCUAUUUGUAGAUCCGUACUUCACCAUUUUAGCAAACACCUCUGAAGCUCUGAGUUGUUUCCCUUAAACAGUAAGAAAUUCCUAAAUCGCCCUUGUAUCCAGACCCGGUCCCUUGUUGGCGAGUCAACAGAUUCCCUUAGUCACCUGACAAAUGUUCGGCGAGUUAAUUGAUCCUCUUAACCAUUCAGUAAGCGCGCGGUGAGUUAAUUUAUCCGUAAUAUAUUCCUUUGUAGCCAUGGGUACCGUUUUCAAAGCCAAUUGGCUCCCGACCAAAGUUGAUGAAGCUUUUCUCAAUGACUGUGUGAAGACGGGAAAUCUUGACCCGAGAGAGGUUAUCGGAUGGCGAUCCGGGUUUGGAGAAGAAAUUCCCAACCCGAAGGAAGGGGAAAUAGUUGUCUUUGGUGAACACCUCGAACGGGGGUUUAAGCCGCGAGGGUCAAAAUUCCUGAGAGAUGCCAUGACUUGCAUGAACGUCCGCCUCCAAGACUUAGGUCCCAACUAGAUCAGUAACUUAUGUUAGUUUAAAGUGUUAUGCGAAGCCUACUUGCGGAUGGAACCUUUAGUUCCUUUGUUCUGGUACUUUUUUCAUUUGAUUCGCCAGACCAAGUUUUCCAAUGGCCCUAGCUUAGACCUUGGAGGCGUCAACGUUCAACACCGUAGGGACAGCUCAUUCCCAUCACUCGCCAUGCCAAGCCAUCCCAAAGGCUGGGGCGAGUCUUGGUUUUAUUGCCAAGAAACUUCUCCUGAGGGUGAAAACAAACUCCUUGGCUAUAGGGAGGAACGCCUUCCUACAAACUUUAAACUUCCAGACAAGCUCACUGAAGAAGAGGAGUCGGAUUUUAUUUCGGUGCUAUCUGAGUUACGAUCUUUGACAAACAAUGGUCUCACUGGGGUUGAUUUGAUCCGCUGCUAGGUAGAAUGGUGCAUCCUUCCCUUCAGUCACCAAGGCGGCUUAAUGUGUGAGUUUGAUGGCACCUUGGACCAUCCCCAAUGCUACUUCCGUACAUCACUGACAGAAAAUGAUACUGUGACCAUCAUCAAGAAGCUGACCGGCGAGCCCUUGGCCAAGUGUAGCCAAAUAGGGCUUAAGCCAUUCUGCAAGAUCAACCCGGCUCCUAAGGUAAAUAACUUAACCCGCCUUUAAUUUAUUCUCUCCGACUUACUUGAAUUCUGAUCCGCAUAAUAAAAAUUGCACUUCAGAAAGGUGAGCGAUUCUGGUCCAAGAGGCCGAAAAAGAUGGCCCUGAAGCAAGCCAAGCCGCCUCCAAAAAAGAAAUCCAAGAGCAAAAGCAAAACCGCCAUCAUUGAACCGUCUGAUGUGGACGAAUCCCAAAUCGGCGACGUAUCUUUAGAGGUAAAAUUAUAUCUUCUUUGUCUUGACAUCCAUUGCUAUAAUUUGUGUUUACACCUCUGCAUCUCUUAUGUAUAGAAUGAUGGCAACGAAAGCCAAGAAGACUCCGUAGAGGUAAUUUCUAUUUCCUCCGACUCAUCUUCUCCUCCGCCUAAGCCGGCCAGGCGGGUCUGUGGGAAGGUUCCCAUGUCUCACCCAAAUGCUUGUCUGGAUCCUAAUUUCCUUUUGAAGAAAGCGCAACAUGCUUCCUAUCGGAAGACUCGGAGUCACUCUAGAGACUUGGUGUUCGGGUUACCAGCGAAAACUCCUACCAAGAAGAGGCAGAAUGAGGUAUCCUUUUAGCAGCGUCCCCCUUUGCUUCCUUUUGGAUCAUACUUAUAACUUGCUCAUAUCUUGAGGUAUUACUUUUGCAGAAUUCUCCCCCUUCGUCAGGCGACUCAGUGAUGUCAGCCCUUCCGCCAAUGAUCCACGUUUCAAGGUAAAUCCUUAUAAUACUUACAUUUGUCCUGAUGAUGAUGAUGUCUGUUUUUAAGCAUAUCCCCUUCUCUUUUUAAGGCACAAGCGAAGAAAAGGAAAACUGGCGGAUCAACUUCCACUACAGCUCUGAAACCUAUUGAAAAACCGGCGCCGACUCAGGCUAACCCGGCAAAGGAUAAACCUGAUGACCAAGCGGACCUCCCAAGUUCUCCCAAGGAAGGCACUGAAACACCGAAUCCGCCGAGUCUGUUGAAAACGGCAGAGGAUCCAUAUGAUGUAAUCAUCACUGGUACUAGCUUCUCUAAGACGGCUUCGGCAGUCUUGUCGAAGCAUGUAUCAACAUCAACCCAUCCUUCUGCUGGACAUGAUAUUUCCAAGGCCAAACUAUCCCAGUACGAAAAUCUUGAAUUUAAAGAGCUCUGCUCCGGCUUUGCAAGUUGCCUGGAGACGAGUUAUGAAAUGGAGAAGAAUCUACUCCUUAUGAUAAAGAAUAGACAUGAGGUACGCCUUAAUGCAUAUCAUCCUUAUUAGCCCCCAAGGGCCAGGUCAUCUGUUGAAAGAUAAGACGGGUCUUGAUAUUAGAAAAAUCUUUCGACCUGUAACCCCCAAGGGCCGGGUCAUCUGUUGAAAGAUGAGUCGGGUCUUGAUAUUUAGAAAAAAUCUUUCGACCUGUGACCCCCAAGGGCCGGGUCAUCUGUUAAAAGAUGAGCCGAGUCUUGAUAUUAGAAAAAAUCUUUCGACCUGUAACCCCCAAGGGCCGGGUCAUCUGUUGAAAGAUGAGCCAGGUCUUGAUAUUAGAAAAAAUAUUUCGACCAGUAACCCCCAAAGGCCGGGUCAUCUGUUGAAAGAUGAGUCGGGUGUUGAUAUUUAGAAAAAAAAUCUUUCGAGCUGUAACCCCCAAGGGUCGGGUCAUCUGUUAAAAGAUGAGUCGAGUCUUGAUAUUAGAAAUAAUCUUUCGACCUGUAACCCCCUAGGGUCGGGUCAUCUGUUGAAAGAUGAGCCGGGUCUUGAUAUUAGAAAGAAUCUUUUGACCUGUAACCCCCAAGGGCCGGGUCAUUGAUGACCCACAAGUAUAGGGGAUCAAUCGUAGUCCUUUCGAUAAGUAAGAGUGUCGAAUCCAACGAGGAGCAGAAGGCUCUGAUAAACGGAUUCCAGCAAGGUACUAACUGCAAGCACUGAAAGUAGCGGUAACAAGUGAUGGUGUAGCGAGGUGAAACGUAGCAAGCAAAAAUUAACAAGUAACAAGUAGUAGCAACGGUGCAGAAAGUGGCCCAAUCCCUUUUGUAGCAAGGGACAAGCCUGAACAAACUCUUAUAGGAGGAAAAACGCUCCCGAGGACACACGGAAAUUUCUGUCAUGCUAGUUUCAUCAUGUUCAUAUGAUUCACGUUCGUUACUUUGAUAGUUUGAUAUGUGGGUGGACCGGCGCUUGGGUACUACCCUUAAUUGGACAAGCAUCCCACUUAUGAUUAACCUCUCUCGCAAGCAUCCACAACUACAAAAGAAGAAUUAAGACAAAGUCUAACCAUAGCAUUAAACUAGUGGAUCCAAAUCAGCCCCUCACGAAGCAACGCAUAGAAUGGGGUUUAAGCUUCUGUCACUCCAGCAACCCAUCAUCUAGUUACUACUUCCCAAUGCCUUCCUCUAGGCCCAAAUAUGGUGAAGUGUUAUGUAGUCGACAUUCACAUAACACCAUUAGAGGAAAAACAACAUACAUUAUAUCAAAAUAUCGAACGAAUAUCAAAUUCACAUGACUAUUAUUAACAUGACUUAUCCCAUGUCCUCAGGAACAAAAGUAACUACUCACAAGACAUAAUCAUAAUCAUGACCAGAGGUGUAAUGAAUAGCAUCAAGGAUCUAAACAUAAACUCUUCCACCAAGUAAUCCAACUAGCAUCAACUACAAAGAGUAAUCAACACUACUAGCAACCUUACAAGUACCAAUCGGAGUUGCGAGACGAAGAUUGGUUACAAGAGAUGAACUAGGGAUUGGAGAGGAGAUGGUGCUGAUGAAGAUGUCUCCCCUCCAACGAGAGGAGUGUUGGUGAUGACGAUGGCGACGAUUUCCCCCUCCAGGAGGGAAGUUUCCCCGACAGGAUCAUCCUGUCGGAGCUCUAGAUUGGAUCUGCUCAAGUUCCGCCUCGUGGCAGCGGCGAAACCAUGAAAAAGCUCCCUUCUGAUUUUUUUUGCAGGUCAGGACGCUUCAUAUAGCAAAAGAGGGGGGCUAGUGGGCCUUCAGGCAGACCACAAGCCUGCCCUGCGCCACCAGGGGGGUGGUGGCGGUGGGCAAGCUUGUGGGGCCCUGGUGGCCCCCCUCCGGUAGUUCUUUCACCUAGUAUUUUUAAUAUAUUCCAGAAAAAAUCCACGUAAAUUUUCAGGGCAUUUGGAGAUGUGCAAAAUAGUGGACUAGGAUUUUCUCCUUUUCCAGUCCAGGAUUCAAGCUGCCUGAAUUCUCCCUCUUCAAAUAAACCUUGCAAAAUAAGAGAGAAAAGGAAUAAAUAUGGUACCACAAGUAAUAUAACAUCCCCAAAAGCAACAAAUAUCAACAUGAAAGCAUGAUGCAAAAUGGACGUAUCAACUCCCCCAAGCUUAGACCUCGCUUGUCCUCAAGCGAAAACCAAGUUCCAUAAACAUGUCCACAUGUUUGGUGACGAAGGUGUCGAUAAAAGAUAAUACGGACAUGAGGGCAUCAUGAUCACACAUAGAACAACAAUAAAUCAUAAAGAUUCUUAUGGGAAAGUAACAAUUCCUUCACAGAGCAAAGCAUGAAGCAAAAACCUUACCGAGAAGUAACCAACAAUAGUCCAUAGUCAUUGAAGCAAUUGCAAUUUAUCACAACAUCAGAAAGAGUCAAAUAAGAGCUUGUAAGGCAAACCCACAUACUCAAUCAUCUUUUUCGUUUUCCACAAUUGUUACAACUCACGUGGUACUCAUGCUGUCAAAGUUUCAGCUGGAGACAAAGGAAGAUAGGGGCUUAUAGUUUUGCCUCCCAACCAUUUACCUCAAGGGUAAAGUCAACAAUAAUAAAGCAUGAGUACUCAACUCCAAGUUGAUAUAUGAAUAUAGAUCUUUCCCAAACAUGUGACAGUAGCCAAGACAAAGGCAAAAAGGGAAUUGGUGAUGAUCACCAUGACUCUUUCAAGGGUAAAAAGUAAAGGUACAAGAUAGGCACUUCGCAGAGGGAAGCAGAGGUUGUCAUGCGCUUUUGAGGUUUGAAUGUGUGUCCUCUUAGUGCGGAGGAACGUCACUUUAUAUUGCCUCCUGUGAUAAAGAACUUUAUUAUGCAGUCGGUCGCUUUUAUGUCUUCCUCAUCACAGUUUCGUACAAAGCUUAUUUUCCACACACUAAUAGAUCAUACAUAUUAGAGAGCAAUUUUUAUUGCUUGCACCGAUGACAACUUACUUGAAGGAUCUUAUUCAAUCCAUAGGUAGGUAUGGUGGACUCUCAUGGCAAAACUGGUUGGAGGUUUAUGGAUGCACAAGUAGUAUGUCUACUUAGUGCGGGAGUUUUGGCUAAUAUGAGGUGGAAGCAAUCGUCACAUGCUAAGGGAUCUCUAAUCAUAUAACAUUGUUUGGAACUAAGCAAACACAAUUCAUUAUGUUGUCUUCCUUGUCCAACAUCUACUCCUAAGCAUGUAAUAGUUUGGUGAGUACUCACAAUUUCAAAAAGUGUCUAAGAUGAUAUAUUUAUAUGUGAACCUCUCUUUCCUUAUUACUUCUUAUUAAUUGCAACAAUGACUGAUGUUUAUGUUGAUUUAUUCUCAACAAGUUUCAAUCAUCAUACUUGUCAUAUGUGAAGUUAUCACUUUCGGUAAGAUCGUCUCAUGAUCUUUCAUGCUAUCAUUCUUUUCAUAAUUUUUGAUCAUGGCACAAAGCAAAGCCCUUGACUAAGACACUCUUUAUUAUAUAGCUCGUAAGCUCAAAUACAACGGGGGAGAGACAAAAGCAAAACACUCGAACUGGAAACUAAAGACUUAUUCCUCUAAAAGAAGAAAUAAAAACUGAAAAGGAAAGAACUAAAACAAAGGUAAAAGCAAAAGAUAUAAAGGUGAUAUGAUACCAGGGCAACUCCCCCAAGCUUGGCAGAAGCCAAGGGGAUUGCCCAUACCAAUGCUUAGUUGUCUUCCUUUGGUGGUGAUGGUGGUGUUGUUGUCGCCUUUGAUUCCAAGAGAGCUAUCAACCUUUAAUUUAUACCUCUGAGAUCUGUGACAUGGUUUUCCAGCAAAACAACUUCACGAGAAAGAGAAAUAUUGCGAGCACGAGUUGUUUCGCAAAACCUCAAGACUUCAAUCAAGGAUGGAGACAGCAUGUGGAGGAAGGGUUGGAGAAAGUCUAUUCCUUCAACGUCUUCAAUGUUGAACAUUGGUUGAACUUCCUCCCUAGCUUAGGUUUUCUCCUUAGCUUGGUCCCUGGCUUCCGUAACUUCUACUCUUUUCAGAUCAGCAUCUACUUCCUCAUGAAUUUGGUGAAGAUCAUUCUCCCCAACAGAUUCUUGAGACAUCUUUGCUCUAAAUCUACGGCAAACAACAAGCUCGAAACGGAAACACAGGAAAACUACGCGAUACGGAGAUCAAAACCUUCAGGCGACUAUAUAUUGAUUUUUUCUGGGCCAGAAGGAGUCCUCCGCAAGAAAACAGAGUCCGGGAGGCACACGAGGUGCCCACAAGCUUGCCCACCGCCACCAGGGGGGUGGUGGCGGAGUGGGCCCUUGUGGCUUCCUCGUUUGCUCUCCGGACUACUUUUUAUUUUUCUAAUUUUCCAAAAAUUCCAAAACUGAGGAAAUUUCCUAUUGGAAAAGUAUCGGAGUCCAAUUUCUUGCCGAAACAGAUACAUCUUCGUUUCCAAGGUCUGAAACAGGCUGAUAAACAUCCCUUAUGUACUCCUUUGGAGUUAUGACAUUGAUGAUAUUGGUCUCAACAUUUAUGGGAGUACCAGAGAUGUAAUGCUUGAUUCUUUGCCCAUUUAGCACUCUAGGAAAAUUUCCUUCCGUGUUAUUGAUUUUGAUGGCACCGGAACGAUAUACUUCCUCGACAACAUAGGGACCUUCCCAUUUAGAGAGAAGCUUGCCUGCAAAGAAUCUCGAACGAGAAUUGUAUAGCAAGACAUAAUCACCUACAUUGAACUCUCGUUUCUGUAUUCGUUUGUCGUGCCAUCUCUUAACCUGGUAUUCUCGUAUGCCUGGGCUCUCCAUUCAUCUAACGAGCUGAUAUCAAACAACCGCUUCUCACCAGCAAGUUUGAAAUCAAAGUUGAGCUCUUUGAUUGCCCAAUAAGCUUUGUGUUCCAGCUCAGGAGGUAAAUGACAGGCCUUACCGUAAACCAUUUUAUACGGUGACAUGCCCAUGGGAUUCUUAUAAGCAGUCCUAUAAGCCCAUAGUGCAUCGUCAAGUUUGCUAGACCAAUUCUUUUGAGAUCUAUUGACGGUCUUUUGUAGGAUCAACUUGAUCUCCCUAUUACUCAACUCCACUUGACCACUAGAAUGAGGAUGAUAAGGAGAUGCAACUCUAUGAUUGACAUCAUACUUAGCUAGCCUCUUGCGGAAAACACCAUGAAUGAAGUGUGAACCGCCAUCAGUCAUCAAGUAUCUAGGGACUCCAAAUCUUGGGAAUAUGAUUUCUUUAAGCAUCUUAAUAGAAGUGUGGUGAUCAGCAUUUUUAGUGGGGAUAGCUUCUACCCACUUAGUAACGUAAUACACAACAACUAAGAUGUGAGUGUACCCAUUGGAACUUGGGAAGGGUCCCAUAUAAUCAAAACCCCACACAUCAAAUGGUUCAAUGACAAGUGAAUAGUUCAUAGGCAUCUCUUGACACUUACUGAUGUUCCCUAUACUUUGGCAUUCGUCACAAGACAAGACAAACUUACGGGCAUCCUUGAAGAGAGUGGGCCAAUAGAAACCUGAUUGCAAUACCUUAUGGGCAGUUCUAUCUCUAGCAUGGUGUCCUCCGUAGGCUUCAGAAUGACACUUCUGCAGGAUCUGUCCCUGUUCAUGUUCAGGCACACAACGUCUAAUAACACCAUCUACUCCUUCCUUAUAAAGGUGAGGAUCAUCCCAGAAGUAGUGUCUCAAAUCAACGAAGAAUUUCCUCUUUUGUUGAUAGGUGAAACUGGGUGGUAUGUAUUUGGCUACGAUAUAGUUUGCAUAAUCGGCAUACCAUGGUGCACUAUGUGAGGUGCGGAUGACAUUUAAUUGCUCCUCAGGAAAGCUGUCAUCAAUAGGUAGUGGGUUAUCAAGGACAUUCUCUAGCCUAGACAAGUUAUCUGCUACAGGGUUAUCAGCACCCUUUCGGUCAACGAUGUGCAAAUCAAAUUCCUGUAGCAGGAGAACCCAUCUCAUCAGCCUAGGCUUAGCGUCCUUCUUCUGCAUAAGGUACUUAAUAGCAGCAUGAUCAAAGUGAAUAGUGACUUUGGAGUCAACUAUGUAAGAUCUGAAUUUUUCACAUGCAAACACGACUCCUAAAAAUUCCUUCUCCGUAGUGGCAUAGUUUCUUUGGGCACUGUCUAGAGUUUUACUAGCGUAGUGAAUGACGUUCAACUUCUUGUCAACUCUUUGUCCUAGAACAGCACCAACAGCAUAAUCACUAGCGUCACACAUGAUUUCAAAGGGCAAGUUCGAGUCAGGUGGUUGAACAAUAGGUGCGGUUAUCAAAGCCUUCUUAAGUAUUUCAAAGGCUUCCUCACAAUCCUCAUCAAAGACAAAAGGAACAUCCUUCUGCAAAAGGUUGGUAAGAGGCCUAGAAAUCUUAGAGAAGUCUUUAAUGAACCUUGUAUAGAAACCAACAUGACCUAGGAAACUUCGUAUACCUCUGAUAUCUGUGGGGCAAGGCAUUUUCUCAAUUGCAUCAACCUUAGCCUUAUCAACUUCAAUGCCUCUUUCAGAGAUUUUGUGUCCUAAGACGAUACCUUCAUUAACCAUAAAGUGGCACUUCUCCCAAUUCAAGAUGAGGUUGGUUUCUUCGCAUCUCUAUAAGACUCGAUCAAGGUAGCUGAGGCAAUCAUCAAAGGAAGACUCGUAAACGGAGAAGUCAUCCAUGAAAACCUCGACAAUCUUUUCACAAAAGUCAGAGAAUAUAGCCAUCAUACAUCUUUGGAAGGUGGCAGGUGCAUUACAUAAGCCAAAAGGCAUACGUCUAUAGGCAAAGGUACCGAAAGGGCAGGUGAAAGUGUUUUUCUCUUGAUCAGAUUGUGCAACAGGUAUUUGCGAGAAACCUGAAUAACCGUCUAGAAAGCAGAAGUGUGUGUGUUUUGAUAGCCUUUCUAGCAUUUGGUCGAUGAACGGCAAAGGAUAAUGAUCUUUCCUGGUUGCCUUGUUCAGUUUCCGGAAGUCUAUCACCAUUCUAUAGCCGGUAAUAAUCCUUUGUGGGAUUAGUUCAUCCUUAUCAUUAGGAACGACGGUGAUACCUCCCUUCUUAGGUACGCAAUGUACUGGACUUACCCAAUCACUAUGAGCAACGGGAUAGAUGAUUCCUGCUUCCAGAAGCUUUAACAUUUCUUUUCUAAUGACCUCUUUCAUCUUAGGAUUUAAUCUCCUUUGAUGAUCAGCAACUGGUUUAAAGUCAGGAUCGGUUUUAAUCUUGUGCUGACAUAGAGUAGGACUAAUACCCUUAAGAUCAUCAAGAGUAUAUCCAAUAGCAGCGCGGUGCUUCCUCAGAGCUUUUGGUAACUUCUUCUCUUCACGCUCUGAGAGGAGAGCACUAAUAAUGACAGGAUAUAUCUCCUUCUCAUCAAGAUAGGCAUACUUAAGAGUAUCAGGCAACUGUUUAAGCUCGAACACAGGAUCACCCUGUGGUGGGGGAGGAUCCCCAAGCAGUUCAACAGGCAGAUUAUUCUUGAGAAUAGGAUGUUGUUCUAAGACAAUUCUAUCUAUCUCAUCUCUCUCCCCCAUAUGCAUAUCAUUUUCAUGCUCAAGCAGAUAUUGCUCUAAAGGAUCCGUAGGAGGUACGGCAAUAGAGGCAAGAGCAAUGAUUUCAUCUCUACCAGACGACUCUCUUUCAUGGGGUUGUCUUCCAAACUUGGAGAAGUUAAAUUCAUGAGACACACCCUCGAAACUUACUGUGACAGUCUGCUUAAUGCAAUCAAUGUGAGCAUUGACAGUGUUGAGAAAGGGUCUACCAAAUAUGAUGGAACAAAAGCUAUCUUGUGCAGUACCAAGGACGAGGAAAUCAGUAGGAUACUUUGUCUUACCACACACGACUUCUACGUCUCUCACAAUUCCCAAAGGGAAGAUAGUGUCUCUAUUAGCUAGCGUGAUAGUGACAGCAAUGGGUUCUAUCUCAGCAGGUGCAAUCUCAUCUUUGAUUUCAUCAUAGAGAGAACGGGGUAUUGCACUAACACUAGCUCCCAUAUCACAUAAACCAUGGUAGCAGUGAUCUCCUAUCUUAACAGAAACAACGGGCAGGCCAACUAUAGGUCCAUGCUAGUCUUUCGCGUGAGGUUUAGCAAUUCUAGCAGAGUCCUCACAGAAUUUAAUAAUAUGCCCAUCUAUGUCUUCGGCUAAGAGAUCUUUGAUAAUAGCAACACUAGGUUCAACUCUAAUCUCCUCAGGGGGUGCAAGUGGUCUAAUGUAACCCCUACGUAUCACAGUUGGAGCUUUAGAAUAAUCCUUUAUCCUAGCAGGGUAUGGUGGUUUCUCAGUGUAAGCACAAGGAACAACAGGAUCACUAAAAGCUAUGAUUUUCUCCUCAACUAGAUUGGUUUUGGCUAUGUUGCAUUCUACAGGAGGAUGAUAUUUAAACCACCUCUCUUUGGGAAGAUCAAUAUGAGCAGCAAAAGAUUCACAUAGAUAAGCUACUAUCUCAGAGUCAAGUCCGUACUUAGCGCUUAAAUCUCUAGAAGUGUUUGUCUCAACAAAAGAUUUAACGCAAUCAAACUGGAAAUUCAUACCUGACUCCUUACCUUCCUCCAGCUCCCAAUCUUCAAAGUUGCGUUUGAUUCUCUCCAAUAAAUUCCACGUGUGAUCAAUAUCCUUCUUCAUAAAAGAACCGGCAAAAGAAGUGUCAAGCAUGGUACGAUCUUCAUGAGAAAGCCGAGCAUAAAAGUUUUGAGUGAUGACUUCUCUCGAGAGCUCAUGAUUGGGGCAUGAAUAUAGCAUUGAUUUAAGCCUCCCCCAAGCUUGAGCUAUGCUUUCCCUGUCAUAAGGCCAAAAGUUAUAAAUAAAGUUCCGAUCACGAUGUACUAAAUGCAUAGGAUAGAACUUUUGAUGAAAUUCCAAUUUCAACCGAUUGUAGCCCCAUGAUCCAGUAUCAUCACAUAGCCUAUACCAUGUCAACGCCUUAUCCUUCAAAGAUAAAGGAAAGACUUUCUUCUUUACCUCAUCCUCGGGUAAACCUGCAAGCUUAAAUAAACCACAAACUUCAUCUACAUAGAUUAGAUGCAAGUCUGGAUGUGAAGAUCCAUCUUGUGUGAAAGGAUUAGCCAGCAGUUUCUCAAGCAUACCCAAAGGAAUUUCAUAAAAGAUAUUUUCAGUAGGUACCUCAGGUUGAGGAGCAACUCCUCGUGCUUCCGUUCAUGGUGAAGAUACCCCGAACAAACUCCUCAAAGGAAGAGUUUCCAUAGUGACAAGUGACAAUAAAUUUCAGCACAGUAUAUAAAUGUUUCCUUACCAAUUUCCACUUACCAAAGGCGCUUCACUCCCCGGCAACAGUGCCAGAAAAGAGUCUUGAUGACCCACAAGUAUAGGGGAUCAAUCGUAGUCCUUUUGAUAAGUAAGAGUGUCGAACCCAACGAGGAUCAUAAGGCUCUGAUAAACGGAUUUCAGCAAGGUAAUAACUGCAAGCACUGAAAGUAGCGGUAACAAGUGAUGGUGUAGCGAGGUGAAACGUAUCAAGCAAAAAGUAACAAGUAACAAGUAGUAGCAACGGUGCAGAAAGUGGUCCAAUCCCUUUUGUAGCAAGGGACAAUCCUGAACAAAGUCUUAUAGGAGGAAAAACGCUCCCGCGGACACACGGGAAUUUCUGUCAUGCUAGUUUCAUCAUGUUCAUAUGAUUCGCGUUCGUUACUUUGAUAGUUUGAUAUGUGGGUGGACCGGCGCUCGGGUACUGACCUUACUUGGGCAAGCAUCCCACUUAUGAUUAACCUCUCUCGCAAGCAUCUACAACUACAAAAGAAGAAUUAAGAAAAAGUCUAACCAUAGCAUUAAACUAGUGGAUCCAAAUCAGCCCCUCACGAAGCAACGCACAGACUGGGGUUUAAGCUUCUAUCACUCCAGCAACCCAUCAUCUACUUACUACUUCCCAAUGCCUUCCUCUAGGCCCAAAUAUGGUGAAGUGUUAUGUAGUCGACGUUCACAUAACACCACUAGAGGAAAAACAACAUACAGCAUAUCAAAAUACCGAACGAAUAUCAAAUUCNNNNNNNNNNNNNNNNNNNNNNNNNNNNNNNNNNNNNNNNNNNNNNNNNNNNNNNNNNNNNNNNNNNNNNNNNNNNNNNNNNNNNNNNNNNNNNNNNNNNNNNNNNNNNNNNNNNNNNNNNNNNNNNNNNNNNNNNNNNNNNNNNNNNNNNNNNNNNNNNNNNNNNNNNNNNNNNNNNNNNNNNNNNNNNNNNNNNNNNNNNNNNNNNNNNNNNNNNNNNNNNNNNNNNNNNNNNNNNNNNNNNAACAUAAACUCUUCCACCAAGUAAUCCAACUAGCAUCAACUACAAAGAGUAAUCAACACUACUAGCAACCUUACAAGUACCAAUUGGAGUUGCGAGACGAAGAUUGGUUACAAGAGAUGAACUAGGGAUUGGAGAGGAGAUGGUGCUGAUGAAGAUGUUGAUGAAGAUGUCUCCCCUCCGACGAGAGGAGUGUUGGUGAUGACGAUGGCGACGAUUUCCCCCUCCGGGAGGGAAAUUUCCCCGGCAGGAUCGUUCUGCCGGAGCUCUAGAUUGGAUCUGCUCAAGUUCCGCCUCAUGGAGGCGGCGAAACCACGAAAAAGCUCCCUUCUGAUUUUUUUCCAGGUCAGGACGCUUCAUAUAGCAAAAGAGGGGGGCUAGUGGGCCUUCAGGCAGCCCACAAGCCUGCCCUGCGCCACCAGGGGGGUGGCGGUGGGCAAGCUUGUGGGGGCCUGGUGGCCCCCCUUUGGUAGUUCUUUCGCCCAGUAUUUUUAAUAUAUUCCAGAAAAAAUCCACGUAAAUUUUCCGGGCAUUUGGAGAUGUGCAGAAUAGUGGGCUAGGAUUUGCUCCUUUUCCAGUCCAGAAUUCCAGCUGCCUGAAUUCUCCCUCUUCAAAUAAACCUUGGAAAAUAAGAGAGAAAAGGCAUAAAUAUGGUACCACAAGUAAUAUAACAGCCCAAAAAGCAAUAAAUAUCAACAUGAAAGCAUGAUGCAAAAUGGACGUAUCAGUCAUCUGUUAAAAGAUGAACCGGGUCUUGAUCUUGUAUAAUUUUGUCUAAAAAAUUAUACAUUAGCCCCCAAGUGUCAGAGAUGUUGCUUGCAAUAAUUCUGAGACUUGCCCCUUGAUAAUAUAUUUUGACAGGAAUCUCUUGCCCAAGUUGAGUCGGCGUUGGGCGACUUAAAGGAAAGUUUAGCCGACCAGCAAGACGCGCGGGCUAAAUCAGAAGAAAAAUGUCAAGUGAUCUUAUCUGAGAUGGAGAAGUUGAAGGCCGCCCACAAGAAGGCUCAGGUUGAUCAAGGCGCCGCGCUAAAGAGAGCGGAAAAAGCUGAAGCAAAACUAGAAACCAUGCAACAAGAGCUGGCCGGCUUAAAGCAACAUAUCUCCAACAUGGCACAGGCUAUUGUUGGUAAGAAACAAACCUUGAUCUUGUACUUUGUAAAAAAACUUAGUAUGAAGAACUUACUGACCAUCAUUAUCCCUUAUAUAGGUCCAGAGCCGCCAACCUUCAGGAUGACUGUAUCUUGAUUUUAAAGGUGAUUUACACAUUAACAGAGCAACUGUAUACCAGAAGCGUGCUGACCGUGAGGGCAGUGAUGGGCGCCAAGGAACCCAUAACAUCAAUCAAAAAGAUGCUUGGCUGCUUAUCUACUCAGAUAGGUGAGGUAACCUGAUCAGCUGCCCGGAAAGGGGUGCUGACUAUGUUGAGUCGGUGCUUAGCAUACGCUCCAGAGCUAAAACCCGAAGAAGUAGCAGCAGGCUUUCCCCAGCUCAAGGACGACACGUCAGAAUUUACUCAAGAUGAUUAUCAGCGUGUUGUCAAAGAAUCUCGCUCGGCGGCGACUCAGCUUGCAGCAAGCUUGGAUUUGUCAAAGUAUCAAGCUGCUUAUGAUGACAAGAAUAAGAAAAUAAAUAUGCCGACCUUUGUGACAACCAGCUUGACUCCGCGUCGGCCCAAGAACCCUUUUGAUUUGGAGGCGGACCUCUCGACAUUUUUGAAUGAUGAAGAUGAAUUCGCCGCCUUAUCCAAGUGUAAUUGGGUGUUGGGCGACUUACAACUUGAAGUCGGCCAGAGCUCAAAGCAAGCUGACCCGGAGACACCAGCAGAGUAGUUCUUCAUGGAAUUCGCCAUCAGAGCCAUGUAAUAGGUUAUUGUAGAAAACAACCUUGUUCUGCGAUUUCUUUAAAACCCUUGUGUCGCCCUCAGGACGCCUUAUAAUGCUUGACCCGCCAUGUCAGUCGAGAUUUUGAUCAUCAAUCUGUUAGGCUAAAAACAUUACAUCAAACCACCUUAGUGAGUAAUGGAUGAUAAUAAAUGAUAACCGACUCAAGAUGUUCUGGCGAGUCGGAAAAAUUUGCAAAACCUUGUGGCAGUGCCAGUAAGGUGAAAGUAAGAAUUUCGUCGGCUCGUUCAAGUCGCGACAGGUUAGGAUGAGUUAUAUAAACUCAAGUGCUACCCGAGGGAGACUCCUUGUGUAAAAAAGCUCAAGUAUUUAGAUCGGCUGAUCACGCACGAGUCAAGCUUCUUUGAAGCAGGUUUAGUGAACCAAUGGUUUUUCUAUUUUUCAUGUGGGGCGCUAGCCGGUACCAUGCAUGUUUUAACCAAGGCGAGUUCAGGGUCCAUAAAGCGGAGUAACUCGCCAAGAGUUCAUGGGUCCAUAUGGCGAUUCGGCCAACAUACAGUCCAGUAUAACCAUUUGUAAUGCAGUAAUUUUUCGCAAGCCAAAUGGGUAGUAAGGCUGAUCUCAAUGAGAGGAAGCCCCCAAGUGUCCUAUGAUUAGGGGAAAGACCGGUCAUAGGAUUAUAGAAGCGUAUACGCUCUUACCACAAAACGACUUGGGAGCAAAUAGCCCCCAAGUAAGCCAGCCUAUUCCACAGAAUCAUAUAAGACGCCUAUGUUUGGAUCGCGCGCUUGUAGCGACUUGAUCCUCUUUGGCUUAUCGAUACCCAGUUUUGUAAUAAGUGCAGCAUGGCGACUUAUGCUCUCUGGUAUGGAUAGCGUCCAUGCUUGGGCGACUUGUCGAAGAGCAAUAAAAAUCCAUACUUUCAAUAAGAUGAAAUAGCAGGAAAGCCCCGGAAUUCGUGGGCAUCAAUUUUAUUGCUUCAUAAAAAUGAAAGACUUAUAAUUUUCAAGAGAAGAAAAAACAGAGCCAAUAGCUCAACUGUAAUAAGGCCGCAAGUGGGCUAUGUUCCAGGGGCGAGUUGACUCAGCCUCCGUGGUUGGCCGGUCAGGCCGAAGAUCCACCAGAUAGUACGACCCGUUGCGAAGGCUUUUCCUGCGACGAAUGGUCCUUGCCAUGGUGGUGAUAACUUAUGCAUGCGAGUGCGAUCUUGGAUCAAUCGAAGCACUAAGUUGCCCUCCUGAAAAGUUCGGCUCUUGACCCGGCGGCUAUGGUAACGCCGCAAGUCCUGCUGAUAAAUAGCCGAUCGGGCAGCAGCCAAGUCGCGUGCUUCCUCCAAAGCAUCCAAAGAAUCUUGACGCGACAACUCGUUAUCCUGUUCCACGUAAGCAGGAACUCUGGGCGAGUCAUGCCUAAUGUCAGUAGGAAGAACAGCUUCUGCUCCGUAUACCAGGAAAAAAGGAGUAAAACCCGUAGAACGGUUUGGGGUGGUUCAGAUGCUCCACAGUACUGAAGGCAACUCCUCAACCCAACACCCUGGGGUGCGCUCCGAGGGAACCAUAAGUCGGGGCUUGAUUCCUUGCAAUACUUCCUGAUUCAGCCUUUCCGCUUGCCCAUUAGAUUGUGGAUGAGCAACCGCAGAUACAUCAAGCCGAAUGUGCUCACGGUGACAAAACUCCUGCAUCGCUCCUUGUGACAGAUUAGUACCAUUAUCAGUAACAAUGCUAUGUGGAUAUCCGAAUCGGAAGAUCAGUUUUUUCAAGAAUUUGACCGCUGUUUCCGCAUCGCAAGCACCAACAGGUUCUGCUUCGACCCACUUGGUGAAUUUAUCAACCGCCACCAGUAGAUGUGUUUUUUUGUUGGAUUAUAUCUUAAAGGGGCCAACCAUGUCUAGCCCCCAGACCGCAAAAGGCCAAGUAAUAGGUAUCAUCCUUAGUUCUUGAGCCGGCACAUGUGCCUCUCGUCCAUAACGCUGACAACCAUCACAUCGACGAACUAUCUCCUCUGCGUCUGCAUGAGCCGUCAACCAAAAGAAUCCGUGACGGAACGCCUUUGAGACCAGGGAACGUGACCUCGCAUGAUGCCCACAAUCUCUGGCAUGGAUGUCGUUCAGAAUUACGCACCCUUCUUCGGAAGAAACACAUCGUUGGAAUACCCCAGAAUUGCUUCGCUUAUAUGAUUCGCCGUUGAUGAUGACCAUAGAUUUUCUCCGACGAACGAUUUGGCGAGCCAACACCUCAUCCGAAGGUAACUCGCCUCGUGCAAGAUAUGCCAAAUAAGGAAGAACCCAAUCCGGCGUAACACGGAGAGCCGCCACAAACUGGGACUCAGGGUCUGGUAUUGCCAACUCCUCUUCUGAGGGCAACCUCACGGAAGGAUUAUACAAAAUAUCCAUAAAAACAUUGGGAGGAACCGGCUUACGUUGUGAGCCGAGACGUGAAAGGGCGUCAGCUGCUUCGUUAAGUCGCCGGUCGAUAUGAUCAACUUGAUAGCCAUGGAAAUGACCCGCCACAUCAAACACGACCCUUCUGUAAGCCGCCAUCAGGGGGUCCCGAGAAUCCCAAGUACCUGAAACUUGUUGAGCCACCAGAUCAGAAUCGCCAAGACAUCUAACACGCGUGAGGUUCAUCUCCUUGGCGAGUCGCAAACCAUGAAGCAAGGCUUCAUACUCUGCAGCAUUGUUGGUGCAUGGAAACAUGAGUCGGAGAACAUAACAGAAUUUGUCUCCCUGGGGCGAAAUCAACACCACGCCAGCCCCCGAGCCUUCCAAUUGCCUAGACCCAUCAAAGUAAAUAGUCCAGUACGUGAGGUCAGGCCUGUCUUCCGAAAUCUGUAAUUCGGUCCAAUCAUUGACGAAGUCGACUAAUGCAUGUGAUUUGAUGGCCGUGCGAGGGGUGUACCGCAUGUGGUGCGGCCCAAGUUCGAUUGCCCAUUUGGCGAUUCGCCCUGUUGCUUCUCGGUUGUGGAUGAUGUCCCCAAGAGGAGAGGAGCUAACCACCAUGAUGGGAUGCUCUUGGAAAUAGUGUUUGAGCUUCCGACUCGCCAUAAAGACCCCAUAGACCAGCUUCUGCCAGUGCGGGUAACGUUGCUUGGAGAGGGUUAGCACCUCGCUAAUGAAAUACACCGGGCGUCGUACCGGAUAUUCCUUCCCAUCUUCCUUUCGUUCGACAGCUACUGCCAUGCUCACCACCUUGGAGUUCGUCGCGAUAUACAGAAGCAUCGGUUCUUUCUCAGUCGGGGCGGCCAAAACUGGUGGGUUGACCAGCUGCUGUUUCAAGGCUUCAAAAGCUUCAUUGGCCUCGUCUGUCCAAACAAAACGGUCAGAUUUCUUAAGCAACUGAUAGAGGGGAAUAGCUUUCUCCCCCAGGCGGCUUAUGAAGCGACUUAAAUCCACGAUACGACCCGCCAUGCGUUGAACUUGAUUGAUAUUCGCUGGUUUCCCAAGCGAAGUAACUGCCUCAAUUUUGUCCGGGUUGGCAUCAAUGCCGCGUUCGGACACCAGGAAACCCAACAACUUUCGUGCGGGAACGCCAAAGACACAUUUGGUGGGAUUAAGCUUCAUUUGAUAUACGCGCAGGUUGUCAAAAGUUUCCCUUAGAUCUUCCAAGAGCGUCUCCCUCCUAUGAGUCUUAACCACAAUGUCAUCAACGUAAGCGUGGACGUUGCGUCCGAUUUGGUCACGGAGACAAUUUUGGAUGCAGCGCUCGUAAGUUGCCCGAGCGCUUUUGAGCCUGAACGGCAUGGACACCUAACAAAAAGCCCCGAAUGGGGUUAUAAAAGUUGUCUUCUCCUGAUCUUCCACAUCCAUCUUGAUUUGGCGAUAUCCGGAAUAAGCGUCCAGGAAACACAGACGCUCGCAGCCCGCCACGGAAUCAACGAUUUGAUCGAUGCGGGGAAGGGCGAAAGGGUCCUUUGGACAAGCUCUGUUAAGGUGUGUGUAGUCAAUGCACAUGCGGAAGGUGCCGUUCUUCUUGAGCACCAGGACCGGGUUAGCCAACCACUUGGGGUGGAAGACCUCUACGAUGAAUCCGGCGGCCAAAAGACGGGCGACUUCUUCCCCGAUUGCCUUGCGCCGUUCCUCAUUGAACCUGCGAAGAUAUUGCUGAAUCGGCUUUGUUUUUGGGUCAACAUUAAGAUGGUGCUCAGCGAAUUCUCUCGGUACACCAGGCAUGUCAGAAGGUUUCCAUGCGAAGAUGUCCCGAUUCUCACGGAUGAAUUCGAUGAGCGCGCUUUCCUAUUUAGGAUCCAGACCCGCCCCGAUAGUAAACUGCUUAGAUGAGUCGCCAGGAACGAAAUCCACCAUCUUAGUGUUAUCCGUUGGUGUGAACUUGAGGGGCGGCUCAACGUCUGUUGUUGGCUUCUUGAGGGGUGACAUAUCUGCAGGAUCAGCAUUGGCCUGGUGAUACUUGAGCUCUUCUGCAGCACAAGCGACUUCUGCGUAAGCCGCAUCCCCUUCCUCACACUCUCUUGCUAUCCUCCUGUCACCAUCAACCGCGAUGGGUCCCUUAGGACCAGGCAUCUUGAGUUUAAGGUAAACAUAGCAGGGGCGAGACAUGAAACGGGCCUAAGUCGGUCGCCCAAACAACGCAUGAUAAGGGCUCUUUAACUUGACCACCUCAAACAUAAGUGACUCACUCCUGUAAUUGGAUGAUGUUCCAAACGCCACUGUGAGUUUAACCCGGCCUAUGGGGUAUGCCGACUUACGUGGGACAAUUCCAUGGAAUACCGUGGUUGACGGCAUUAGGUCUUUCUCCAGCAGGUUCAUCCUUCGAAAGGUGUCGAAAUAUAAUAUGUUGAUGCUGCUACCACCAUCCAUCAGCACCUUCGAUAGGGUAUAUCCCCCAACUUGAGGAGCCACGACCAAUUCUAAGUCGUCGGGGUUGUCAAUUCUGGGCGGGUGAUCCUCCCUACUCCACGAGAUAGACUGCUCGGACCAGUGGAGGUACCUGGGGAGCGCCGGCUCAGAUACACUGUACGCUCGGUGACUUACCUUCUUAUCACGCUUGCAGGCAUUCGUGGUGAACACGUGGUAUUGCCCAUUGCUUAAUUGUUUGGGAUUGUUGCGAAACCCGCCAUGAUCAUCUUGCCCCUGUGGAGCCCCCUACGGGGGUGGCUCUUGAAAUACUCCGGGCGGGUUAUACCGCUGUUGCUUAUGCACUGGAUACUGGCCGCUGCUUGGCUGCGAACCGCCCUGAGCCCCCGGUUCGGGGAAGCCGCCGAACGAGUUCUUACGUUGAUUAGGUGCACUGAACUGUUCCUUCCGUUGGCCCUGGUCACCGUUUUGGCCCUUUUUGAUUGCCUCCGCCCGAAAUUCCUGCAUCACGUAACAGUCCUCCCAAGAGUGAGUCGCCGGCCCGUCCGCCAUGGCAUGGUGCGGGCAGGGGCCCUUAAGUAUCUCAUUAUAAUUGCGCGGCUUCUUGCCACUCUAACCCCUCUUCUUCUGGCGCUCGUUGUCGUUGUUGGCAUUGGUGUUGGCGACGAAGUCCGUGGACCCUUCCGGCUGCCUUCUCUUGUCGUUCCCCCCAUGAUUAUGGUGGGCGCGUCCCUGAAGCCAGGUAUGAUUUUUGGAUGACUCGCCUUUCCUCGGCGAGUUGGCCUUGCUGCCAUCUUCCCUGGAUCUUUGGUAUCGUCCGCUUCGGUGUACCUAGUGAGGGUGUCCAUCAGUUCCCCCAUAUCCUGGACCUUUCGCUUGAGUCGCCCCAGCUUCUGUACCAAGGGUUCAUAGUGGCAGUUUUGCUCCAAGAUCAGCACAGCCUGAGCCGCCGUGAUGCUGUCCGACGAGUGGAUGAUUUCUGUGAUCCGCCGCGUCCAAUGGUGAGCCGACUCAUCGGGGCGCUGAAUGCAGUGUUGUAAAUCGACUAUUGUCAUCGGGCGCUUGCAAGUUCCCCGGAAUUUUUUGAUGAAACGCUCUUUCAGUUCAACCCAAGUUUGGAUGGAGUUGGGUGGCAGGUUUUUCAGCCAAGUGCGCGCCGUCCCCUCGAGCAUCAUUGUGAAGUACCUGGCGCAGACUGCUUCAUUUACAUCGAGCAUGUCCAUGGCGAUUUCUAACUCUCAACCCAUGAUGACGGCUCAAGGUCCGGGGUGUAAUUAGGCACCUUCCUUGGUCCUUUAAAAUCUUUCGUCAUCCGCUCAUUGCGAAGGGCGGGGGCCAACCAUGGCACCCCUACUUGCCUGCCGCCUCCAACAAGUGGUGUUGGGCCGGUUUGAAUGUCCGGGUGAUCCCGACCCGGCGGGUCCCAAUGGUCAGGCGGGUUAACCUGGGGCAGGGGUCGCGGUCCGCUGGUUAUGGCGGGCUGGUCCUCUCGUCGGCUCCUGGUGCGGCUUGCUUGGGGGUGGAAUGUAGCCGAUCGAGGCUGCGCGAGAACUGGGCGUUUUGAACCACCGCCGUCUUCAACAUCUCAAUGGUGUUUCUUGCUUCUAUUUCAACCGGGGUGUUGCCAUAAAUCAGAAGGGAUUCUAAAUGGCGAGUCGCGGCGAGCACGUUGUCCAUGGGGUUGGAAAAGUGACCCUGAGGUGUCUGGAAGCGGGGAACGCGAUCAACUACUGGCUGAAGCGGCGGGUUUGGCGGCUGACCCGGCCCUCCUCCUGGAGCGUCUCCUGCCCCGGGGGUGCGUGGAGUGUCGAAAAGGCGGGUAGGGUUGAGAUCAGGGGGUAAACGCCCCUGGUGCCUCCUUUGAUGAACAGCGCCGGAUGCGCGCUGAUGCCUCUCAAGCCGUUAGUUUUCGAUGUUCAAGCGGGCUGUCUCAGCGAUGAUCUGAGCUUGCCGGGUCUCGAUCCUGGCGGCUUCUGCUUCAGCAUCUCGCUGAGCCUUUGCCACCCCGUCUCUUAGCUUUGCCAACUCGGCAUUUAUCGUGCCCUGGUUUUCUGCCGUUACAGGGGUCGCCAUGAUCCUUGUUAUCUCCGCCGUAAAGUCCACCAAGAUCGCAGCUCGGCUCCUGGAUGUUUCGCCAGUCCCGUCAUUGCCUGCAGGGUUUUGCUGGGGCUGAGUCGCCCCUGCCAUGUACACGGCGAUCUGACGGUGGGUCCGGUCGAGGACCUCCGGGUCCAUUGCCAGUGACAGGCCUCCGAGGCAGCCCCCGUGUAGAUACUGAAUUGAAUCUGUGUCGCCCAUGGAUGAUUCGUCAUCAGUGUUGACCGGCGUAGUCUCCUGAGUCGCCGAUCAUUCUGGUUCCUCAGAUCCCUGUGUGAAACCAAAAAAGACCGGGCGGGUUAGGUUUUGCGUCGCAACAGGGCGGACAUACCUGGCCAGCUCGACGAUGUUGAUGAAGAUGUCCGGCUUAGGCGCAGGCGAUCCAACCAUGCCGACAAAGAUGUUGAUCUUGCCGAAGGGGACUCUGUAGCCAGAUUCAAUUGAAUCGGCCUCGGACGCCCACAGCGAGUUAUUGAUGUAGUACUUUCCGCGGCGGCUCUGAGUCAUGAGCCCCGCCGGUAGCUCCCUGACCCUGGUAGGGCUCCAUUUGAGAACUCAACUCCACCGUGCGUAGGCCCCACGGUGGGCGCCAACUGUCGUGGUUUUGUCAUGGCAGAUGUCCUCGUGAAAGGACUUAGUGUUGGAGCCAUCGCACCUUGGUGGCGACUCAAAGGGGUUGAACGGGAGCGGGACAGAGAUUUACCUAGGUUCGUCCCCUCGUGAGGAGGUAAAAGCCUACGUCCUGCUUUGUGUUGUAUUGAUGGAGUUCCGAUUACAAGGAGGGCGUAGCUCGCCUGACCUAGCACUCGAUGAUUCCUAACCUAAUCUCUCCUUCCCCGGGACUCGCCUUUAUAUACAGGUCGAGCCCUUAAGGUUUACAAGAGUCCUUGCCAUUACACAGGUCAUGAUUCUUUCUAUCUCUAAGUCGUCGUGCUUUCCAACACUUGAAAACCUUCCCAAUGAUCGACUCUUCCCCAGGAUCUUGAACCGCCAUCUAGCUCCUGGGCUUUAUUGGGCCAAAGCUUGAAUCGCCAAUGGAUGAGUCGCUCGCUUGGUGACCGGCCCAACCAGGGCGGGUCACACAACAGAUAAUAUCCCCAACAAUACUUGUCAUCAAGAACCAAUGCAUUAAACCAAACCCAUGAUGGACAUCACCACGUUAGUUUGGUUUCACAAGAACAUGGAGUCGAGUGGCGUCAAGCAAGCAUUAAACCAAACCCAUGAUGGACAUCACCACGUUAGUUUGGUUUCACAACCAAAAUACAAAUUACCAUCAUAUAUGAGCAUAGACACCAUCUUUUAGCUCAUGGUCACUUUGGUUCACAAAUGAACUAUGCAGCACAAGAAUGGCAUUUGUGUAUCCACUAGAAACACAUAAACAGAAAUUGGGGAAAAAGCCUCACAGUCAAGAGGGAUAGAACCAAGACCUUGGGUGGGAAGUCGAGGUUAGGGUCCCCUGACUUGACGAUGUCCUCGUCAUGCUCGUCAGCUUGGGCUUGGGGUCUCGAUCAUCCUCCUCGUCCAUAGAGGCGGGAGCCUGUUGCACCAAACCGAACAGGGAAAUAAAUAGAGAGUUAAUCGGUUUAAAAUAAAAGCUUUGGGUGAGCGCUGCAAGCAGAAUCAUGUUUGGCGAGGGUUGCGGAGAAAAACAUGAAUACCAUGAUUAAGGCUGACUCCUAAUGAUAAUAGUAGCGCUAGCACAUCAAGUAGAAUGAUAUCAUCAUGUACAACAACAACAUGUUCAUAAGUCCGUCUACUAGGACUAGUAGUGCUAGAACAUCAAGCAAAGUCAAACCAUUAUACACAACCAGCAGCAGCAACUCAAUAAAGCCUACAUUUCACACUGACAAUAGACAGGACACGCACCCAUUGCAGUGACUGUAGUUCCCGUUCCCCCGGGAGGCGAACGACAGCGGCAAGUACACCACCGAUGACACCGACAAGCAGCUGUCGGCCUCCCCUUGAAUCUUAGCUUGCCACCCGACACACCCGAGCUCGCAUCGUCGUCGCACUUUGUUCCUGCUGCCGCAGGGGCACCGCCACCAUCCCUUCCGUGGAAUCUCAGAGAACUUCUGCUCAUACAAAGAAGAUAAAUUAGAUUAAAACGCAAAACUGUAAUACAUGAAACAGCCACCAAAAACUGCAGAAAACUUUGCUCGAUUGAUGCCCAGCCUGCCUAUUUUUUAGUUCAGAAGGACACAAAAAAAUUUGUCGGGAUGGGAACCCUAUUUUUCAGUUCAGAACAUCAACAAAAUGGGUUAAGUAGCACUAACUAAACUAUGACCAUUGUUAUCUAUCAAGCAAUCAAUGACACAUAUGGUUUUAGAAAAAGCAAAACUGUGAUGCAUAUGGCAGCCACUAAAAACAGUAACAAGCUCCGGUCGAUUAAUUGAUGCCCAGCCUGCCUUUCAUGCUAGGCAGAGGAAAAUCCCGUGUUAUUUUUAGUUGAGAGUUGAGAAGCAUGCAAAAUUAUUUUAGUACCCUGCUGUGAAGUUGUUUUCUGAUGGUUAGCAGCAGCAUAAGACAACCAACACUUAUAUGUCACCUAAUCGUGAUUGUAUACUACCCUAGCUGCUAUAAAUCAACAAAUCGACCCCACCUCAGUUGUUACAACACUUGAGCAGCCACAAAAAUUUCAGGGCAGUCUAUGUGACAGUAGUAGACGAGUGCAUUGCUCUUGUCCAGUUAGAAAAAAAAGAAUGAAAUUUUCUCCAGUUUCUGUCAUCCAAACUGAACCAAAACAGCCUAAUGGCACCGGCCUCACCUAGAGAGUACAACGAUGAGCUUCCCCAUAGCACCGGCCUCCUUCCUUCCUUGACACAAGAAGAUCGAUCUGAUGGGAAGAAGCUGCAUGCACAUCACAUCGCACGCACGCACGCACGCAUCAGAUGAGGGGAAGGAGAGAACCAGAGGAGGAGGAGGAGGAGGAAGAAGAAUAUGGGGUGGAGGGAUCUGACCUGCUGCACAUCCUACGGGUUCGCCAUGGCUGCAUCAGAUGGGUGGAAGAUAGGGUUUCGGGCGCCGUUGAGGAGGAAAGGAGGUUGGAUCCUCCACGGCGACCAGAGAGGAGAAGAGACGGUGGUGCUUCCCUGCAUCCACAACAAAGCAGAGCAAACAGAGAGGCAUGGGUGGAAACCACAUCCACGACGGCGACCACCUUGGUGGUUGGGUGCGCCCCUCCUGCUCCUCCUCCUCGAGCAGGACAAGGCCGGCGGCUGCAGCGCGAGAAGAAGGCCAUGCUCCUGUAUCUUGCGCCCUCAUCACCGGCGCUCGGCCCGACCAUGACAUAGGCGAUGUGCAGCAAAAGCAUAUGAGCAAAAACCCUAGCCGCGGGCGAGGGUGGAGGCCGCGAGUGGUGAUACUGGUCGGCGGGGUGGAAGGCACGCAGUGAGGAGAGGAAACAGGUGUGCUAUGCACCACCGGGAGUCGCCGGAAUCCUCGAGCGUGGGCGGCGGUGGCGGCGGCCAGGGGUCGUGGGGCAGAGAGAGGGGGGUCGCAAGAGAGAGGGUCGUGGGGGAUUCUGUUCGGUGGGUUUCCUUGUUUUUUUCCAUUUCUUUUCUUCAGAUUACUAAUGGCGCACCACCUACAAAUGCGCCAUUAGUAACCCUGGUUACUAAUGGCGCACCAGCUGGUGGUGCGCCAUUAGUAGUUUUGCAAAAAAAAUAAAAAAUAUAUAGUAGUGGCGCACUGGGUGAGUGGUGCGCCAUUACUAGUUAAACUAGUAAUGGCACACUCUGCCCCGGUGUGCCAUUAGUAGUUUUGGAAUAAAAAAGUUUGUUAGUAGUGGCGCACCGUGUGUUUGGUGCACCAUUAGUGUCCAUCACACUAACGGCGCACCUGCACAUGGUGCGCUACGGCUAUAUAGUAGUGGCGCACCACUUAUCUGGUGCGCCAUUAGUGUCUAUAUUAUCUAUAGCCCUUUUCCUAGUAGUGUUGGGCGGUUCUUUCUUUUCUCUCAAUCAUGGAAACACGCAUAGCUUUCAAAGUUUCAUCCAUAUUGAUCUUGGGAGGAGCACAUCUAACUUUCAAAGCAUCAACAUCACUAGACAUUCUAUCAACGCUCUUAGCCAAAUAGUCAAUUUUGAGUAGUUUUUCCUCUAUGGACGCAUUGAAAAAAAUUUGCGAGUUGAUAAACUCUUUGAUAUUACUCUCUAGAUUAGAGGGUAAUCUAUUGUAAUUUCCAUGAGUAUUGUUGUAGGAGUUGCCAAAUUUAUUAGAGGAGUUACUAGGAAAAUGCCUAGGAACAUAGUUUCAUCUAAAAGCAUUGUUGUUACCAAAAUUAUUCCUACCAACAAAAUUAACGUCCAAGCUAGCGUUGCUACUCUCAAUCAAGGAAGACAAGCGCAUAUCAUUAGGAUCUAAAGGAACACUUCUACAAGCAACCAAAUUCAUUAACUCAUCCAUCUUAGCACUCAACGAGUUAAUUUCUUCUAUAGCGUGUACCUUCUUACUAGUAGGUGACCUUUCAGUGUGCCACUGAGAGUAGUUCAUCAGGAUAUUGUCUAGGAGCUUUGUGGCCUCCCCUAACGUGAUUUCCAUGAACGUUCCACCUGAGGCGGAGUCCAAGAUGUUUCUAGAAACGAAAUUCAAGGCAGCUUAAAUGAUUUGUAUAAUCAUCCAAAGACUCAAGCCAUGAGCGGGACAAUUUCUAAUCAUAAAUUUCAUUCUCUCCCAAGAUUGUGCAACAUGUUCAUGAUCAAGUUGCUUGAGAUUCAUGAUAUCAUUACGGAGAGAGAUAAUCUUAGCCGGUGGAAAAUACUUGGAAAUAUAAGCAUCUUUGCACUUAUCCCAAGAAUCGAUACUAUUUUUGGGCAAAGACGAAAACCAAGUUUUUGCGCGAUCUCGCAACGAGAAAGGAAAAAAGCUUCAAUUUAAUCACAUCAUUAUCCACAUCUUUGUUCUUUUGCAUAUCGCAAAGCUCAAUGAAGGUAUUGACAUGGGAUGCGGCAUCUUCACUAGGAAGGCCAGAGAAUUGCUCUUUCAUAAUAAGAUUCAGAAAAGCGGCAUUGAUUUCGUAUGACUCCGCACUAGUGGCGGGAGCAAUCGGAGUACUAAUAAAAUCAUUAUUAUUAGUAUUCCAGAAGUCACAAAGUUUGGUGUUUUCAUUCAUGGUGACUUCAGCAAGCAAGCAAGCACAGAAGCAAACAAAGAGCAAGCGAGAAAAAAGGGCGAACGAAAAGGCGAACGAAAAAGGCAAAUGAAAAAGGCAAAUUGUGAAGUGGGGGAGAGGAAAACGAGGGGCAACUGGCAAACAAAGUAAAUGCAAGAGAUGAGUUUGCGACACUUACUUGGAUGAGUUCUUGACUUGAUCCUCCCCGGCAACGGCGCCAGAAAUUCUUCUGCUACGGCAACAAAAGUCCUUCCCCGGCAACGCCAGGAAUUUUUCUUGCUAGUUCUCUUGCUUCCGUCGGUUUUUCCCUUGAAGAGGAAAGGGUGACGCAACACAGGAGUAGUAAGUAUUUCCCUCAGUUUGAGAACCAAGGUAUCAAUCCAGUAGGAGAAUCUCGUCAAGUCCAGAGUACCUGCAAAAACAUAAAGAGCUUGCACCCAACGCUAUAAAGGGGUUGUCAAUCCCUUCAAGAAUGAUUGCAAAGUGAGAUCUGAAGGCGGAAAGUGCAACGAAGGAAAAGUGUAAGGCUGAAAAUAUGGUGUGGAGUAGACCCGGGGGCCAUAGUGUUCACUAGAGGCUUCUCUCAAAAUAGCAAAUAUUACGGUGGGUGAACAAAUUACUGUCGAUCAAUUGAUAGAACCGCGCAAAGUCAUGACGAUAUCUAAGGCAAUGAUCAUACAUAUAGGCAUCACGUCCGAGACAAGUAGACCGAUACUUUCUGCAUCUACUACUAUUACUCCACACAUCGACCGCUAUCCAGCAUGCAUCUAGUGUAUCGAGUUCAUGACGAACAAAGUAACGCCUUAAGCAAGAUGGCAUGAUGUAGAGGGAUAAUCUCAAACCAAUGAUGAAAACCCCAUCUUUUUACCCUUGAUGGCAACAACAUGAUGCGUGCCUCGCUACCCCUUCUGUCACUGGGUGAGGUCACCACACCGUAUGAACCCAAAACCAAGCACUUCUCCCAUUGCAAGAAUCAUAGAUCUAGUUGGCCAAACAAAACCCACAACUCGAAGAGAAUUACAAGGAUAUGAAAUCAUGCAUAAGAGAGAUCAGAAGAAACUCAAAUAAGAUUCAUAGAUAAUCGAUCAUAAAUCCACAAUUCAUCGGAUCUCGACAAACACACCACAAAAGAAGAUUACAUCGGAUAGAUCUCCAUGAAGAUCAUGGAGAACUUUGUAUUGAAGAUCCAAGAGAGAGAAGAAGCCAUCUAGCUACUAGCUAUGGACCCGUAGGUCUAUGGUGAACUACUCACGCAUCAUCGGAGAGGUCAUGGUGUUGAUGAAGAAGCCCUCCGUGUCUAAAUCCACCCUCCGACAGGGCACCAGAACGUGCCCCAGAUGGGAUCUUGCGGAGACAGAAGCUUGCGGCGGCGGAAAAGUACUUUCGAUGAUCUCCUGAUUUUUUCUCGGAUUUUAGGGAAUAUAUAGGCGCAAAACCUAGGGCAGAGGUGGCCGAGGGAGCCCACAAGCCAGGGAGGCGUGGCCCCCCUGGCCGCGCCAUGAGGGCUUGUGGGGUCCCUGCAGGCCCCCUGCCCUGAUACUCCACCUUCCCGAUCUUUUUCUGUUUCGGAAAAAAAUCUUUUUGGCAGUUUCAUUCCGUUUGGACUCCGUUCAAAAUCCUCCUCUGAAAGGGGUCAAAAACAUGGAAAAAAUAGGAACUGGCACUUGGCACUGAGUUAAUAAGUUAGUCUCAAAAAAUAUAUAAAAGGCAUGCAAAACAUCCAAAGUUUGACAAGAUAAUAGCAUGAAACCAUCAAAAAUUAUAGAUACGUUGGAGACGUAUCAAUGAACAAUGUGGAACUAUAUGUAUAUGUAUAUAUGGAUGAACAAUAUAUGUGGAACUAUAUGUAUGUAUAUAUGGUUGAAACUUUGUAUGUGUUGGUUCUUUCAAUACAUGGGAUGUACGUUGAUGAACAAAUGGCAUUGAUGAACUUUAUAUGUAUAUCAUAUAUGUGUUGUGACCUAUAUAUCAUAUAUGUGCUAUGAAUUAUAUAUAUGUGCUGUGAAAUAGAAAAAAUAAACAAAAAUGUGAAAAUAUGGGCUCUUUGCCAUCUUCCAGCUGAUGGCAAAGGCCUUUGCCAUCACGCAGCUGACGACAAAGGUGCCACGUGGCACCCAGCUGUGCAACCUGGGCAGCAGCAGCUGGCCAUAUGGGCUCUUUUCUCGUCUGCUGCCUCAGGAGGAUGGCGGCAAAGCGGUAGGGAGGCAGAUGGCAAAGAAUCCGACAUGCGCUGGCCCAACUCUGUGCUGGCCCAUAGAAGCAGAGGCAAAGAUGGGGAGGCAGCAGACAUCAAAGAUGCAGAGGGAAGCAGACGGCAAAGCCUCCGUUAGCCCUAACGGAGGCGUCGCCUGUCGGCUGCCGUCUCAAUCUCUUUGCUGACUGCUCAUUGUCCGACACGGACGGCAAAGAGCUUUGUCGUCCGCUUAUGGUAGGCUGACGGCAAAGAAGCUACAAUGCCAUCGUAGGCUGACACAGAAUCUUUGCUGACAGGUUGCAGAUGGCAAAGCUCUUUGCCGUCGGUGUAUACCUCUUUGCCAUCUGUGAUGGCAGACAACAAAGAAGUUGAUUCCUGUAGUGCUAGCUACUUGUACAUACCCUCAGCGCUGAGGAGGAUUACUCAUACAUUACCAUGGUGAGAAAGAGAGAGUUGUUGAUGGAGAGGUGCAGCCCCACAGAGAUGGAGGCGGUAGUGGCCAUGACGCCGACGACGGGCAGCACCCCCUGUCCCCUUCUUCCUUGGUCUUGGUGCUACAAUGGAGGAGCCUCUCUCCUCUUGGUGGUUGUCAAAGGAGAGGCAAAUUCGUGGCUUUUGGUGGAUGCUCCGAAAUUAAGGUUUUCCUCUCCUUAUAUGUGCCACCAUGGUGUUCCAUAUCUCUUCGAUGGAUGAACCCUUGAUGCAACGACUUUUGGGCACCUUUAGAACCUUCCUAGGGACUCCUCACAGUCCCAUGAGUCCCCAAAGUCGUGUCUUGGCCAAAUACAUCAAAUAUGGUAAGAGUUGGACUCAAUCACGUCAUCCAUUCUCGUAGUCCCAUAUUCAUAUAUUAUCCUUCUAGUAAAACGGGUCUACAGACCAUAUCCAAACUCUGUUUUGGACAAAUUUUUAGUCCAGAAUUAAUGCCAUAAAUUCCCCCACGCUUUUGUAGUUUUAGCUCUUUCCUAUUGACGCGUCUUUGGGGGUCAAACUAACGAUCUCUUAAAAUUGUUGGUGGACAGAUUUCAGGAAAGUGAGAGUCCUCCUUCGACAAGGCUCUUUUUGCGUGUUUUGCCAAUUUUCAAUUAAUUCCUACACAACAAAGUGUAAAACAAAACAUAUGAACUUUGGCAACUAUUAAUAGGUCAAUUCUAAUAAAUCAUAAAAUGAUAGUAAAAACAUAGGACAAAUGGUACAACACAAGCAUGGAGUAUAAAAAAUUACAGAUACGCUUGAGACGUAUCAGCAUAUCCAAGAUUAACCCCUCCUCGUCUGCGAGUAGGUAAGUGAUAAAAAAAGAUAACUUUUGAGGUGUGAAUGAUAGCAUAGUGAAUAUUUUUUAUCAUUGAUAAUUCCAGUCACUUUUCUAGCAUCUUGACCAACAACUUUUUCUCAUAAAAAUCAUGAUGAUAGAGUAGCAAUCAAUUCGCAUGUGAUGGUUCAAACAAUGCAUUCUCUUGAAACAUAACAACCUAUGUUCUUAGUAUUCAAACAAUUUCAAUGCAUCAUGAAGUGUAAGUAAGAGCUACACAUACUCAAUUAUCUUAUAAUCUUCUAUGAUUGCUAAUACUCAAGGAAUAUUUUUAGAACAAACAACAUCCAUCGAACACAGAGAAAGAUAGGGGCUUAAAGUUUCGCCUCCCAACAUACUUAUCAUAAAGAUAAUUGUCAACAAUAAUGAAUCAUGAUCAAAUAUAUUUGACUGCGUAUAUAUGUUUGGAUCUUUGCCAACCACAUGGUGCUUGUCAACUAAUAGAUUGAGGUUGGAAUAGGAAGUUGACUAAACAUGAAAAUUAAAUAACAUGAAAGUAAAUAGAUUGCCCCUUCGCACAGGGAAGCAGGGAUUUGCAUAGGUGCGAGAGCUCAUAGAUGAAUAUGUAUAUUUGGGUGGUGUGCCUUUCAUGCCAACGUCAGAACAGAGUUUUCAAUAUCUUCCAUACUAAUCACAUUAUUGGCGGUUCCAAACAGAAUUGAAAUUUUACUCCCCCUCCACCAUUCAAACACAUUCUAUGGCUAGCCUUAUCCACGGGUACCAUCAAACAAUCAACUUUCUAGGGGGAAUUUUUGUUUAUUUAUUUAUUUUAUUAUGCGGGACUGGGCAUCCUUUUUACCAACCUCUCUCAUGGAAUGAUAAGUGAAUAAAUACUAAACAUGAGAAUAACUCUCUUAGCAUGGAAGAUAAUGACAGUCCCAUCGCUCCAUGAGCGGUACGAGCUCACAAAAUGGAUGUUUAUUUGAACGUUUUAGAGGUGGCACAUGCAAAUUUAUUUGGAAUGUCAGUGAAAUAGCAUAUAUAGGUAGUUAUGGUGGACUCUCGUGCAAUAAACUUGGCUCAAGGAUUUGGAUGCACAAUUAGUAUCUAUACUUAGUACGAAGUUUUGGCUAGCAAAAGGUUCUAAACAAGCACCACACAUUGGAGGAUCCAUAACAAUAUAACUUCUACUCAAAUAUAUCCAAACAUAACCAUUACAUUGUCUUCCUUGUCCAACUUAAACUAUUUGAUCAAGGUUGAAAAUAAUUAAUGGGUAUUCACAAUGAUAAAAGAUGUGCAAGAUAAUAUAUGUUUAUGUGAUAGUUCUCUUCCUUAUACUAAUUGUUCAUAAAUUGCUUGUAUGACUAAUAUUGUGAUUGUCAAACUUCAAUAGAUUUUGUUUCUAAACCAAAUGUGAAACUACUACCAAGUAUAAAGCACGUUGAUAAUUUCAGAUUCAUGAUAUUUCAUUCAUUCACAAUUUACUCUUAGGAUAUAAGUGAAGAACAAGAGUAAACAACAAACUACUCUCAAAAUGAUAUAAGUGAAGAUAAAUGAGUAGUCAAACAAUCAAGUAAUUAAGUCAGGAAUCCCUCUCAAUAAGGAUUUUCAUAUCUGAAAAUUUUAUUCAAACAGCAAACUAAACAAACAUGCACACCAAUAAUAGCACAUAUCAUGUGGACAAAUAAAACUUAGCUUCUAAAUAGGCUAACCGAUAUGUUUCGAUGAAGAGAGCUGGGAUGCAUAGCAUCGCCAUGCUUAGAUGCUUGAGAAUCCUUGAAAUAUUUCCUUAGGGUGCCUUGGGUAUCACCAAUCUUAAGCUUUUGUAUCUCAUUCAAUCUCCUCAUUUCCCGGUUUUACCUAAGUCUCAAAAACUUCACCCACACAAAACUUGAAAAGAACUCGUGACAUAGGCUAGUACACAUGAGAAGAAAUCAACACUUCAUGUACUGCAAAGACAAGUUGCUUAAUUUUUUUCAACAUUAGGUACUGUAUUCUAUCAUUUACACAAUUUAUAUCUACCAAUAUAAGCCAUGAAAACUCAAGGAUAAGUAGUUAACAAAACUAUGACAGCAAUCUGUCCAAACAGAACAGUCUGUACCAAUCAAUUUAAAAAGUGUACUUAUGUAUCUCCAAAAAAUCUGAAAGUUUAGAGCUUGAUAAACAAUUUUUAUAAAAAUACUGUGUAAAUAUUUCAUAUACUUUCCACAUUCCCGUAAAAUCUGAUAAUUCAAAUACUACAACAAAAGUUUAUGUUUUUUGUACAACACACAUCACACAAGCUAUUCAAGUAUUCUCAAGGCAAUUAUUGGACCUUUUUUAGAAAAACAAGAUUAUAAAUAGCAUCUAACAAAGAACAACAAAAUAAAAUUAUUCUCCAAGAAAAACACAUAUUAUGUGACGAAUAAAAAUAUAGCUCCAAAUAAGAUAUAUCGGUAGUGUUGGACACGAAAGAGGGGAUGCCUUUUGGGGCAUCCCCAAGCUUAGACGCUUGAGCCUUCCUUGGAUAUUACUUUGGAAUUGCCUUGGGCAUCCCCAAUCUUAGGUUAUUGCUCCUUACUAUUCAUCUCAUAUCGGUAUCAUACCCAAAACAUCAAAACUUCAAUCACACAAAAUUUAACGGAACUUCGUGAGAUCGGUUAGUAUAAUAAAAAUAGAUCAUUCACUUAAAUACUGUCAAGACAAGAUUCAUAAAUUUUAUCACAGUAUACCUACUAUAUUCUAUCAUUCUCAUAAUUUAUAUCACUCAGUAUAAGCCAUGCAAACACUAAAACAAACAAACUAUGAAAGCAAAAUAGAAUUUGUCAAAAACAAAACAGUUCGUGGAGAUCAGAAUGAACAUCAUACUUACUUGACUCUAAACAUUCUUAAAAAUUAGGAAAACACGGAUCAUUUGCAUUCCAAACCUGUGUAAAAUAAUUAGAAUUUUUUCAAUCUCCAGUAAAAUCAUAGAAAUUCUGCAGUGGAUGUAAAAGUUUCUGUUUUUGCACAGAAUUAAACAAACAACUAUCCACAAUAUCCCAAAGGCUUUACUUGGCACUUUAUUGAAUUGAAAGACACAAACAUGAUUACUACAGUAUCUUAAUCAUGUUAACACACAAAAAUAGAAAGUAUAAAUGUUGGGUUGUCUCUCAACAAGCGUUUUUCUUUAAAGCAUUUUGGCUAGGAAUGAUGAUUUUAAUGAUGCUCACAUAAAAGUAAUGAAUUGAAACACAAUGGAAGCAUCAUGAAGCAUAUGACAAACACAUCUAAGUAUAUAACACUUCCUAUGCAUAGGGAUUUUGUGAGCAAACAAUUUAUGGGAAUAAGAAUCAAUAGCAUAGGAAGGCAAAACAAGUGCAACUCCAAAACUUUGAAUAGAUACGGAGGAAACUUGAUAUUAUUGCAAUAACUCCAAGCAUACGUUCCUCUGUCAUAAUAAUUUUAGGUAGGAUCAUAAAGGAAUUAAAUAAUAUAGCUAUCACCUAAUAAAUUUUUUUCAUUAUGCACAAGCAUAGAAACAUUAUUACUCUCCCCAUAAGCAAAAUUCUUCUCAUUCAUAAUAGUGGGAGCAAACUCAACAAAAUAACUAUCAUGUGAUACUUGAGUGGCAUGGUCCAAUUGAAAAUUAAAAUCAUGAUGACAAUAUUCAUGGUUUUUAUUACUCUUUAGAACAUACAUGUCAUCACCAUAAUCAUCAUAGAUAGCAACUUUAUUGUCAUAGUCAAUUGAAGCCUUCUCUAAAAUAGUGGACUCAUCACUAAAUAAAAUCAUGACCUCUCCAAAUCCACUUUUAUUGUUAUGAAAAGACUCAACAUCCUCCAAAAUUUUGGGGUCAUUAGUACCUAUAGUUGACACUCUUCCAAAACCACUUUCAUAAAUAUAAUCAUCAUAAAUAGGAGACAUGCUUUCAUCAUAAUAAAUUUGCUCAUCAAAACUUGGAGGACAAAACAUAUCAUCUUCAUCAAACAUAGCAUCCCCAAGCUUGUGGCUUUGCAUAUCACUAGCAUCAUGGAUAUUCAGUGAGUUCAUACUUACAAUAUUACUAUCAUGCUCAUCAUUCAACGAAUUCACAUUAAGCAUUUUUAUAAAAAAAAUCCGUAAGACUAUGUAAGCACACCUACACACAAAUAGCAAAUCCUCGCAACCCAACGCAUGGAGGGGUUGUCAAUCCCUCGUGGGUGAAGUAAGGAUAGAUUGAUAGAUGCAAAUAAGAGUGAUAGCAAAUAGAAUGCAGCAAGGUAUUUUUCGGUUUUUUGAUCAUAUAGAUAUGAAAAUAAAAGACCAAAUAAAACAGAAACACAAAUAGCAAAGUAGAGGUUGCAAAUAGAUGGUGUGAAGUAGACCCGGGGGCCAUAUGUUUCACUGGUGGCUUCUCUCGAGAAAAUAGCAAACGGUAAUUACUCUUCGGUAAUUGAUAGAAGAGUAAAUAAUUAUGAUGAUAUUCAAGACAAUGAUCAUGUAUAUAGGCAUCCCAUCCAAGACAAGUAGAUCGACUUAUGUUAUUACUCCACAUCUACUUCUAUUACUCCACACAUUGACCGCUAUCCAGCAUGCAUCUAGUGUAUUGAGUUCAUGGAGAAACGCAGUAAUGCCUUAAGAACGAUGACAUGAUGUAGACAAGAUCUAUCCAUGUAGGAAUAGGCCCCAUAGUUUUAUCCUUGAUAACAAAGAUACAUGCGUGUCAUGUCUCUUUCUGUCACUGAGAUUGAGCAACACAAGAUCGAACCCAUCACAAAGCACAUCUUCCCAUUACAAGAUAAAAGGUCAAGUUGGCCACACUAAAACAAAAUAUCGGAGAAUAAAUAUGAGGCUAUAAUAAUCAAGCAUGAAUAUGUUUUCAUAGAUAGAAUCAUAAACUCACAAUUCAUCGGAUCCCAACAAACCCACUGCAAAAGAAAGAGUUACAUCAUAUGGAUCUGCAAGAGAGCAUUAUAUUCAGAAACAAAACGACACAGAAAGCAUCUAGCUACUGCCUACAAACCCGUAGGUCUAAUAUGAACUACUCAAGAAUCAUCGGAGGAGCACCAAUGAGGAUGGUGAACCCCUUUGUGACCGUGUUCUUCUCCAAAACAGGCUCUAGAUUAGAUUUCAUGCCUUGUGUAACUUGUGGUGGCUGAAACGAUUUUUCGUCAUCUCCUUUAGGGAUUUCUGAAUAUUAGGGUAUUUGUAGAGCUUAGAGGCGGUGGAGAGGUGCCCGAGGGCCCCACUAGAUAUUAGAUCGUGCCAGGGGCCCUAUGCAUGCCCUGGUGUCUAGUGGGCCCCCUGGGCCACGUCUGCUACUUAUUCUUGGCUCCCAAGUUUCCUUCAGGUCAAAAAAAUCUUCGUAAAGUUCGUGGCAUUUGUACUUCAUCUAAUAUGGAUUUUUUGCGAAGGGAAAACUGCAAAAACUAGCAAUUGGCACUAGGAACUAUGUCAAUAGGUUAGUCCCAAAAAAUUAUAUAAAGUUGCUAUAAAAUGAUCAUAAAACAUCCAAGAAUGCUAAUAUAACAGCAUGGAACCAUAAAAAAUUAUAGAUAUGGUGGAGACGUAUCAACAUCCCCAAGCUUAAUUCCAGCUUGUCCUUGAGUAGGUAAAUGAUAAAACAAAAAAUUUUAUGUGGAAUGUUGCCUCACAUGUUCAUCACAUUCUUUUUCUUUCAGCAUGGACAUAUGGACUUAUAGAUGAUGCAAACAAAUAGUAUAUAGUUUGACAUGAAAAUUUCAAUACUCAAGCAUAUCAACAAGCAACCAACUCUUUCAAAAUAUGAACACUAAAGAGCGAUGUCCCUACCACAUCAUGCUCUAUCAUUGAUCCAUUCAUACAACACACUCAAAUAUUAACUACAUACAUUGCUCAAGUAUGACAAUGUUGUUCCUUAGUUGGUACUUUAUAAUAGAAGAUGGAGACUCAAAUUCAAAAAUAAAAAUUGAAUAACAUAAAUAGAUAGGCCCUUCAUAGAGGGGAGCGGGGAUUUGUAGAGGUGCGAGAGCUCAGAGUGAAAAACUUAGACAUAAUUUGUUUAGAGUGGUAUGCUUCUCCUGUCAAUGAAAAUGACUAAGAGUUUCCAAUAUCCUCCAUGCUAAACAAAUUAUUGGUGGUUCCCAAACUGAAAAUAUAGUUAAUUCCUUUUUCCACCAUUCUUUCACAUUCCACGCCUAGCCAUAUCCAUGGGUACCAUCCAUACCAACACUUCCAAGGAAUUUAUUAUUUGACAACAUAAAAUAUAUAUUUUUCUUUUUGGGACUCGGCAUCCCUGUUACCCCAUACUCUCAUGCAAUCAUAAAUGGAUAAACACUCAUCUCGAGAAUAACCUAUUUAACAUGGAAGAUACCGGCCAUCCCUUGCCGCUUCAUGAGCGGUAUGGGCACACAAAACAGAAAUUUAUUUUGAACAUUAGAGUUGGCACCUGCAAAUUUACUUGGAAUGGCAUUGAAAUGCCGCAUAUAGGUAGGUAUGGUGGACUCAUUUGACAUAACUUUGGGUUUAGGAUUUGGAUGCACAAGCGGUAUUCCCGCUUAGUAUAAGUGAAGGCUAGCAAAUAGAUUGAGAAACGCCCAACCAAGGAACAACAAUCAUCAUAAGUAAAUAGUAAACAAAACUAACACCGAAUAAUGCAACACAAGUAGGAUGUAAUUUCAUAGCAUAAUUAUUGACUUUAUGUGCAUGCAUAGGUAAUCACAAACCUUAACACCAAUAUUCUUAAUAAAGCACAAUUACUCAUCAACAUAACUCACAUAUCACUAUUUUCAUAUCGCAAAACUAUUGCAAAGAAUCAAGCUUAAUAUCCAAUGAUCUUCAUGAAAGUAUUUACUAUAUCUUUCCUAGACACUCAUCACUUUGGAACUAAAUUUCAUUUAAAGUAAAUUUCCAUUGCAAAUAACAUGCUCUCAAACAAAUAUAAGUGAAGAACGAGAGCACAAGUUUCUUGAAAAUUUUAAACUCUCAAAAUACUAUAAGUGAAGCAAGAGAGGAUUUCUACAAAAUUUCUGCUACUCCCAAAAUAAUCUAAGUGAAGCAUGAGAGCAAAGUUCUUCAAAAUAACAGCACCACCAUGCUCAAAAAGAUAUAAUUGAAGUCCUUGAGCAAUUCCAUGGCUCAAAAAAAAUUAAGUGAAGCAUAAAAAGCGAUUCUAACAAAUCAUAGCAUAAUUUGGCUCUAUAAAAUGUGUGUGUUCACCAAGGUUUAUUAUGACAAACUAACCAUCAAAUAAAGCAAAGACACAAAUUAUACAAGAUGAUUCAAGCGAAACUUAUCAUAUGUGACGAAUAAAAAUAUAGCUUCAAGUAAAAUUACCGAUGGUUAUUAGAAGAAAGAGGGGAUGCCUUCCGGGGCAUACCCAAGCUUAGUUUCUUCGCACUCCUUAGAUAUUACCGUGGGGUGCCAUGGGGCAUCCCCAAUCUCAGGAUUUUAUCACUCCUUAUUCCUUCAUCCAUCGUGAUCUCACUCAACACUUGAAAACUUCAAUCAAACAAAACUCAACAAAAUUUCUGUGAGAUCCAUUAGUAUAAGAAAACCAAACUUUACUUUAGGUUCUGUUCAUAACUUAUUCCAAUUUUGUUUUUGCAUUGUACCUACUGUAUUCUAACUUGACCAUGGCUUAUACCCCCCCCCCCCGAUACAAAACAUAGAAUCAUCAAAACAAGCACAUAACACAAAGAAAACAGAAUCUAUCAAAAACAGAACAAUUUGUAAAGAUGCGAAUUUUACUCAUACUGUAACCCCAAAAAUUCUGAAACAUUAGGAAAAUGUAGGCAAUUUUCAUAUCACUCUUGUGUAAAGAAAUUCAGUCACUUUUGUCAUUUAUGUGGUUUUUAGAAUUUUUUCUAUUGGAUGCAAAAGUUUCUGUUUUUCAACAGGAUUAAAGCAACUAACACCCCACAUGAUCCCACUGGCUUUACUUGGCACAAACACUAAGUAAAACACAGAAAACACAAUUAUAACAGUAGCAUAAUUGUGCAAACAUUCAAAAACAGAAAGAAAAAAGUGAAAAUAAAUUUAUAGAUGUGGAAUAAUAGUAUUGGAUAGCGGUCUAUUUUAUUUAAUAUUGUAGAUACAUGUUGGAUAGGGUCUAUGAGUGGAGUAAUAGUAAUAGGUGCAAGCAGGAGUCGACCUAUUUGUUUAUGGGCGUGAUGCCUAUAUACACAAGAUCAUUGCCAUGAAUAUCACAUAACUAUCUGCUUUUCUGUGAGUUGCCCAAUAGUAAUUUGUUUACCCAUGUAUGCUAUUUUUUAUGAGAGAUGACAUUAGGGAAAGCUAUGGCACCCGGAUCUAUUCACAACAUAUUGAUAAAACCUUCAUUACCUUGUUUUUAUUUACUUGUUUCUAUUUUAUCUUCUUAUCUACAAUUGUCUACACACCUCACUUGCUUGCAAAUAACAAGACAAGAAGAUUGACAACCCUCUGGCCCGCAUUGGGUGAAAGUUGUUUGUUCUUUUGUGUGCAACCACAGAAGACGGUUAUGGUUGAUAUUACUAUUGGUUUGAUAAAUCUUGGUUUCAUAAUUGAGGGAAAUACUUGCCCAAACUGUGUUGCGAUAACCCGUUCCUCUCCACGAAAAUACCCAACGCAGAGAUAACACUUUCCUCUUCACAAAUAACCCAAUGCAGAUCACAAGUAUCAACAAUGAUAGGUAGCAUUCCACAUCAAAAAUUAUCUUUUUAUCAUUUACCUACUCUAGGACAAGCAUGAAUUAAACUUGGGGAUGCUAAUACGUCUCCAUUGUAUCUAUAAUUUUUUAUUGUUCCAUGCCAAUGUUCUACAACUUUCAUACACUUUUGGCAACAAUUUAUAUUAGUUUUUGGGACUAACUUACUUGUCGAGUGCGAGUUCCUAUUUUUUGUUUUGCAAAAAUUCCAUAUCAAAUGAACUCCAAAUGCAAUAAAAAUUUAUGGAGAUUUUUUUUUGAAUAUAUGUGAAUUUUAGGAAGAAGAAUCAACGUUGCAAGAUGCCCAAGGCUCUCACAAGGCAACAGAGUGCAGCCAGGGAGCUGGCCACACCCGGAUGACUUGUGGCUCCCCCUUAACUUGGUUGGACCCUACUCUCACCACAAGAAAGUUAAUUUUCAAUAAAAAAAAACCCUGAAAAUUUCAGUCUGAUCGGAGCUAGGGAUCUCCGGAUAUUUAAGAAGCGGCGAAGGACGAGAAAACGGUAGCGAAAACAGGAGAGAAACAGAGAUAGAGAGAGAGAUCUAAUCUCGAAGGGGAUACUGCCCUCCGGGAGCCAUGGAGGCCAUGGACCAGAUGGUAAACUCUCCUUCCACCUAGGGAGGAGGCUAAGGAACAAGAACAAUGAGGGAGAUAUCUCCCCCUCUCUCCCGGUGGCGCGAGAGUGCCGCCGGGGCAACAAUCGUGAUGGCGAUGAACACCAACAACUUCGUCGUCGUCACCACAACAUCUCUCCCCCUCUAUGCAGAGGUGUAAAUCCCCUUCUCCUCGAGGUAAUUUAUAUUUAAACAUGGUUCUUAAUGCUAUAUAUUAUUAUUCAAUGAUGUGUGGUUGUCCUAUGAUGUUUGAUUAGAUCUCGUUUGUCCUACGGGUUAAUUAUGGUAUGAGGUCAUUGAUAUGAGUUGUACGUUGAUAUGGUGCUGUCCUAAGGUGCCUUCCGUGAGGCGCACACGUGAAGGAUUCACGCUAGAGGGUUUGCUAUAUGUUCAUGAUUCGCUUAUAGUUGGUGGCUAUAGUGGCAGAAGCUUACACCUGAGUAAGGGAGUUUUUUACAUAUGGGAGUAAAGAGGACUUGAUGUUUAAUGCUAUGGUUGGGUUUACCUUAAUGAUUUCUAGUAAUUGUGAAUGCUUGCUAGAGUUCAGUCAUAAGUGCAUAUGAUCCAAGUACGAAAAGUGUGUUAGUGUAUGCCUCUUCCUCAUUGCACAUGACAAGUAUCUAUCAUGUUACAUUCAAUUGCCUAUGGACAAUCUUUCUCUUGCGUUACAAAAAAGCUUUCUACUAAACAACUAAAUAGACUAAUAUUUAUUAAAACAAUGCCUAACUUUUAUUUUCAUGUUCUUUAUUAUCUUUCAAAACUCUCUAUUACACAUACUAAGUACUUCUAGUUUCCUUCCCACAAAAUAGUUUCAUGCAUACUUGUUCUAGGUAAAUUAAGCGUUAGCGUGCGUAGAAUUGUAUCGGUUGUCAAUAGAACUUGAGAGAAUAUUAAUUCUACCAUUAGCUCCUCGUUGGGUUUGACACUCUUACUUAUCGAAAAAGGCUACAAACAAUCCCCUACACUUGUGGGUUAUCAUAUGGAAAAGAACACAAGGAAUAUCUAAAGUCGGAGUUUUUGAGGCAGAACUUGUGGGUAGAACCAAAAAUGAUCUUAGGGGUCAAGGUGAAAUUGGUAACGCCGAAGUGUUUCUUGUGUGUAGUACCAAAUAGGUCCUUGGUAGUAUUUUUUUGUGUCGGUGAAGCCGAUUUCCCUUAUUCGGAGGGUCAGAAUUGCCAACAGAAACUUGGCAAAAGCAAUAUUGGCCAAUUUGCCAAACAAAAUUUUCAGAAUGAUUUGACACAUUUUGCCAGAAACUUCUCAAAAGAUUUGCAGUGAGGUUUUCUCAACUGGAUGGAGAGUGGAUGGUUCCAAGAAAACAUACAACUAAAAACUGAACCAUACAAGAAACUUCAUCUAGAUGAUGGUCGGCGACUUGGUCACCUAUAUUAUAGUACAUUGACUUAAGGCACCAAGCAAGAAUGCUUGACCAUAGGUCCUACUCAUCAUUAAGCUCAAAAUGGAGUUAUCACUUUUUGUUUAAGAAUUUUAAUGUCUACGUGUCGCUUGAGUUUAUUUAUCUCAUGACUUGGAGUAAAGCUUUUCAAGGAUAUGAGUACGUACAUUUGAAAGAUGUAGAUGAUGUAGCAUGAUUUGUGUUGUCUUCUUUCUCCAUCAAGAAAGAGAGAUUUUUGAUACUUGGUCAUGACAAGAUUGCUUGUGGUGUGAGUUGAUGGCUAUCUUGUGGAGUAAGGAUCAUCCAAGUACCUAUAAAAGGUUAGAUGAAAUACAAGCAGCAUAGAUUUCCAAGGUAUAAGAUAGUGACAUAUGAAUAUUAUCGAUGAAUAGUCAAGUAAGGUCAUGCCCUUGCAUGCAUAUGGGUGAGUCUAGCUCAAGUUUGAAGCAUCAAUGAUGUUCAACUCACUCCUCAAGUAACAAAACGCUUUCUCACCAAGUGGCUUAGUAAAGAUAUCCGCCAAUUAUUUGUUAGUACGAACAUACUUGAGAUUAAUAUCUCCUUUGUCAACAUGACCACGAAUGAUAUGAUGACGAACUUGAAUAUGUUUAGUUCAAGAAUAUUGCACUGGAUUAUGAGCAAUCUUUAUAGCACUUUUAUUGUCAUGCAACAAAAAUUGAUGUAGUGGUCCCCUUGGUCAAAAAUUGAUGGCCCUAUAUUUUACAAAUUUUUAGAUCUCAUUUGUUGCUCUUCAUAUAUCAUGUCCCAUUGAAUCAAAUAAUUGUCCAUUAUGCAUGAUUACUGGUAUUUACAGUUUUCCUUGUGAGCAUUGCACAUUUAGUGUGUUAUUUAUUUUUUACUACUAUUCUUUGUUUUCUUGUAUCUACAUGUGUUUUGAAGAAAGCAUGGACCAAGAACGACGAUAUGACCAAGAAUGGGUUCGAUAAGGAGUCAGCUAGGGUCCAGACUUAACCCUUCUGAAGGUCGAAAAAAGUGACUUUCUAAAGUGCUAUGAAUCAAGAUCUAAGACAAGGAAUGAAUCGACAUCGUUCAUACAACCGCAAUUGUUCGUAUGACGUGCAUACAACAGUCAUUUAUACAAAUUGUUGUUCUCUUGUUCUAACGAGCGCAAGAACGUCAAAUUUCGAGUUCGUAUGAAGAAAUGACGACCAUUUUAUCGUAGAAGAUCGGAACAAAAGAUGGCGUUCCAUGCGACCGUAGUCGGUUAUAUGACGUGCAGUCAACUACAAAAGUUACUCUCCAAACGUAAUUCUUCACCGAUUUCGUCCCCGUUCGAUCCCACGAGAUACUUAACUCGUAAAGAUGAGAUUAGGAGAGGGUUUGGCUGAUCUUGAGCCCUUGGAUGAAUCCGAUCAAAAGAGGAGUCUAGGGAGGCUCCUUAUAUAUUUCAUCCUCCCUUGUCCGUCAGAACACCACCUCAUUCACUAAGAACACAUCCAUCUUCAUCUCCAUUGCCGCUCCAUCCAAAACUACAAAAGAGGGAUAAGAUCAAGAGGGAGAAGUGGGGAUCUAUCACACGAGCACCGACCCGCCCUCCCCACCGUGUCGGCGGCACCAUCUUCAUCACCACCAUCGCCGAUGCCGCCAGCACCAUUAUUACCACCAUGCCUCCUCCCAUUAUCGACUUGAUGUCGUCUUGUAACUUGACCCUCCCCACGGCCUCCCGUCGUGCCUCCAUCGUAGGACUUCGUUGUUGUCGGCAACCCUGUGUCUAAAUCCUCAUUAGCUUAACCAUCUAGGUUAAGUAACCAAUGGCAUGUGGCCCCCUUAUACAAAGUAAUAUGUUUAAUCCACUCUAAAUUAACUAAAUAUAUGUCAUGUGGGUCCUGGAUCCCACAUUUAAGAGAAAGAAAGAAAGAGAGGUUAGAGGGAGUUUUGUUUUUGUUUUUAUUUAGAAAGGAGGUGGGUCCCACCCAUAUUGGGAAAAUUAUGCUGAAAACAUCACUUAGACAGUUAACCCCUUUGACAUGACGAAAACCUCAUCCACAGGUAUUUCUACAAGUACACGUGAUAAAAGAGGGGCAAAGUUCAGGCCGCGAUUUUUGUUGGGGUAAGACGAGUGAAUUCGCCCUANNNNNNNNNNNNNNNNNNNNNNNNNNNNNNNNNNNNNNNNNNNNNNNNNNNNNNNNNNNNNNNNNNNNNNNNNNNNNNNNNNNNNNNNNNNNNNNNNNNNUAACUUUAAUUACUAGCAGAAUCCAGUGGAACCUGCGGACACGAUACAUGCACAGUACGUCAUGCAUAACUCAUCGAUUAGCCGGCCACAUACCAUGCAUGGAGUAAACAAAAGAGAAUGUGCUCAAGACAGAAACACUCACCCAAAAUGGUAAGGAAAUAGAAUAUCACUUUUGAGUUCCUGCUUUGUAAGAAACUACCACAGGUCUGCCUCCAUGUCGGCGGGGUGAUGCUCCAACACAUGUCCAUUAACGAUGUGUGGGUCAAUGAACCCAACAUCAUGGAUGUUCCUUACUCUGCAUUCCUUAAUCUUCAUUCUGCAUGUAUAAUAGCGGACACAACAAUAUAGUUAGGACAUAUAUAUAGUGCAGGCAAUAUGAACGAGAUGGGGUAGAAAUAAAUCACUUACAGAACGUAGCAACUGAUGAUAGAUUUGUCGAGAUCGCGCAGAUUGAAAAGCUGGAACAAUUCACUCAGUUCAAUUUGUACAUAGUAAUGUUUGAAGUGAUGCUCAUGUCUAACUUCCGCAUAAAUAUAAUCUUUGGCGUUUUUAUUUUUUAUGUAACCCUUGUACCAUUUCAGCAGACCUUUCAUUUGUGGAGGUAGAUCCUUUUCCUGCGCAGGCUCGACGAGAGGCCCAUUCUUGACAUAUGUAAUUACUACCUCCUUCACUGGCGCCUCAUCAAGGCCUAACAGUUCACGAAGAGUAAUACCUAAGUUGGCCGCUUGUUCUCUGGCACUCGUUGCAGUCAAUCCCUGUGCUGCCGCAGCUUGUAUGAUCUCGGGGGCAUCCGGACCGGCGGCUUCCACUAUAAGCGGGGCAAUCGAUUGUUUACUUUGUUCCCCGAGCUGGGCAACUUGUUUCCCGCUUUUUUUACUUUCGGCCUUCUCCCGCUCUUUGUUCUCCUUGAACAUGAGUGCCUGCCUGCGAAGUUCACGUGCAUAGUCGUCAGGCAGAUUCUUCGCGGCUUGGGACGGUGUGCUCAAAAAUGACUUAGCCCACUUCUUUUGCUCAUCAGAAAAUACUGGCUUGGGCUCGGGCUCUCUUUUCUUCUUGCAGUCCGCCUUCCAUUUCUCNNNNNNNNNNNNNNNNNNNNNNNNNNNNNNNNNNNNNNNNNNNNNNNNNNNNNNNNNNNNNNNNNNNNNNNNNNNNNNNNNNNNNNNNNNNNNNNNNNNNNNNNNNNNNNNNNNNNNNNNNNNNNNNNNNNNNNNNNNNNNNNNNNNNNNNNNNNNNNNNNNNNNNNNNNNNNNNNNNNNNNNNNNNNNNNNNNNNNNNNNNNNNNNNNNNNNNNNNNNNNNNNNNNNNNNNNNNNNNNNNNNNNNNNNNNNNNNNNNNNNNNNNNNNNNNNNNNNNNNNNNNNNNNNNNNNNNNNNNNNNNNNNNNNNNNNNNNNNNNNNNNNNNNNNNNNNNNNNNNNNNNNNNNNNNNNNNNNNNNNNNNNNNNNNNNNNNNNNNNNNNNNNNNNNNNNNNNNNNNNNNNNNNNNNNNNNNNNNNNNNNNNNNNNNNNNNNNNNNNNNNNNNNNNNNNNNNNNNNNNNNNNNNNNNNNNNNNNNNNNNNNNNNNNNNNNNNNNNNNNNNNNNNNNNNNNNNNNNNNNNNNNNNNNNNNNNNNNNNNNNNNNNNNNNNNNNNNNNNNNNNNNNNNNNNNNNNNNNNNNNNNNNNNNNNNNNNNNNNNNNNNNNNNNNNNNNNNNNNNNNNNNNNNNNNNNNNNNNNNNNNNNNNNNNNNNNNNNNNNNNNNNNNNNNNNNNNNNNNNNNNNNNNNNNNNNNNNNNNNNNNNNNNNNNNNNNNNNNNNNNNNNNNNNNNNNNNNNNNNNNNNNNNNNNNNNNNNNNNNNNNNNNNNNNNNNNNNNNNNNNNNNNNNNNNNNNNNNNNNNNNNNNNNNNNNNNNNNNNNNNNNNNNNNNNNNNNNNNNNNNNNNNNNNNNNNNNNNNNNNNNNNNNNNNNNNNNNNNNNNNNNNNNNNNNNNNNNNNNNNNNNNNNNNNNNNNNNNNNNNNNNNNNNNNNNNNNNNNNNNNNNNNNNNNNNNNNNNNNNNNNNNNNNNNNNNNNNNNNNNNNNNNNNNNNNNNNNNNNNNNNNNNNNNNNNNNNNNNNNNNNNNNNNNNNNNNNNNNNNNNNNNNNNNNNNNNNNNNNNNNNNNNNNNNNNNNNNNNNNNNNNNNNNNNNNNNNNNNNNNNNNNNNNNNNNNNNNNNNNNNNNNNNNNNNNNNNNNNNNNNNNNNNNNNNNNNNNNNNNNNNNNNNNNNNNNNNNNNNNNNNNNNNNNNNNNNNNNNNNNNNNNNNNNNNNNNNNNNNNNNNNNNNNNNNNNNNNNNNNNNNNNNNNNNNNNNNNNNNNNNNNNNNNNNNNNNNNNNNNNNNNNNNNNNNNNNNNNNNNNNNNNNNNNNNNNNNNNNNNNNNNNNNNNNNNNNNNNNNNNNNNNNNNNNNNNNNNNNNNNNNNNNNNNNNNNNNNNNNNNNNNNNNNNNNNNNNNNNNNNNNNNNNNNNNNNNNNNNNNNNNNNNNNNNNNNNNNNNNNNNNNNNNNNNNNNNNNNNNNNNNNNNNNNNNNNNNNNNNNNNNNNNNNNNNNNNNNNNNNNNNNNNNNNNNNNNNNNNNNNNNNNNNNNNNNNNNNNNNNNNNNNNNNNNNNNNNNNNNNNNNNNNNNNNNNNNNNNNNNNNNNNNNNNNNNNNNNNNNNNNNNNNNNNNNNNNNNNNNNNNNNNNNNNNNNNNNNNNNNNNNNNNNNNNNNNNNNNNNNNNNNNNNNNNNNNNNNNNNNNNNNNNNNNNNNNNNNNNNNNNNNNNNNNNNNNNNNNNNNNNNNNNNNNNNNNNNNNNNNNNNNNNNNNNNNNNNNNNNNNNNNNNNNNNNNNNNNNNNNNNNNNNNNNNNNNNNNNNNNNNNNNNNNNNNNNNNNNNNNNNNNNNNNNNNNNNNNNNNNNNNNNNNNNNNNNNNNNNNNNNNNNNNNNNNNNNNNNNNNNNNNNNNNNNNNNNNNNNNNNNNNNNNNNNNNNNNNNNNNNNNNNNNNNNNNNNNNNNNNNNNNNNNNNNNNNNNNNNNNNNNNNNNNNNNNNNNNNNNNNNNNNNNNNNNNNNNNNNNNNNNNNNNNNNNNNNNNNNNNNNNNNNNNNNNNNNNNNNNNNNNNNNNNNNNNNNNNNNNNNNNNNNNNNNNNNNNNNNNNNNNNNNNNNNNNNNNNNNNNNNNNNNNNNNNNNNNNNNNNNNNNNNNNNNNNNNNNNNNNNNNNNNNNNNNNNNNNNNNNNNNNNNNNNNNNNNNNNNNNNNNNNNNNNNNNNNNNNNNNNNNNNNNNNNNNNNNNNNNNNNNNNNNNNNNNNNNNNNNNNNNNNNNNNNNNNNNNNNNNNNNNNNNNNNNNNNNNNNNNNNNNNNNNNNNNNNNNNNNNNNNNNNNNNNNNNNNNNNNNNNNNNNNNNNNNNNNNNNNNNNNNNNNNNNNNNNNNNNNNNNNNNNNNNNNNNNNNNNNNNNNNNNNNNNNNNNNNNNNNNNNNNNNNNNNNNNNNNNNNNNNNNNNNNNNNNNNNNNNNNNNNNNNNNNNNNNNNNNNNNNNNNNNNNNNNNNNNNNNNNNNNNNNNNNNNNNNNNNNNNNNNNNNNNNNNNNNNNNNNNNNNNNNNNNNNNNNNNNNNNNNNNNNNNNNNNNNNNNNNNNNNNNNNNNNNNNNNNNNNNNNNNNNNNNNNNNNNNNNNNNNNNNNNNNNNNNNNNNNNNNNNNNNNNNNNNNNNNNNNNNNNNNNNNNNNNNNNNNNNNNNNNNNNNNNNNNNNNNNNNNNNNNNNNNNNNNNNNNNNNNNNNNNNNNNNNNNNNNNNNNNNNNNNNNNNNNNNNNNNNNNNNNNNNNNNNNNNNNNNNNNNNNNNNNNNNNNNNNNNNNNNNNNNNNNNNNNNNNNNNNNNNNNNNNNNNNNNNNNNNNNNNNNNNNNNNNNNNNNNNNNNNNNNNNNNNNNNNNNNNNNNNNNNNNNNNNNNNNNNNNNNNNNNNNNNNNNNNNNNNNNNNNNNNNNNNNNNNNNNNNNNNNNNNNNNNNNNNNNNNNNNNNNNNNNNNNNNNNNNNNNNNNNNNNNNNNNNNNNNNNNNNNNNNNNNNNNNNNNNNNNNNNNNNNNNNNNNNNNNNNNNNNNNNNNNNNNNNNNNNNNNNNNNNNNNNNNNNNNNNNNNNNNNNNNNNNNNNNNNNNNNNNNNNNNNNNNNNNNNNNNNNNNNNNNNNNNNNNNNNNNNNNNNNNNNNNNNNNNNNNNNNNNNNNNNNNNNNNNNNNNNNNNNNNNNNNNNNNNNNNNNNNNNNNNNNNNNNNNNNNNNNNNNNNNNNNNNNNNNNNNNNNNNNNNNNNNNNNNNNNNNNNNNNNNNNNNNNNNNNNNNNNNNNNNNNNNNNNNNNNNNNNNNNNNNNNNNNNNNNNNNNNNNNNNNNNNNNNNNNNNNNNNNNNNNNNNNNNNNNNNNNNNNNNNNNNNNNNNNNNNNNNNNNNNNNNNNNNNNNNNNNNNNNNNNNNNNNNNNNNNNNNNNNNNNNNNNNNNNNNNNNNNNNNNNNNNNNNNNNNNNNNNNNNNNNNNNNNNNNNNNNNNNNNNNNNNNNNNNNNNNNNNNNNNNNNNNNNNNNNNNNNNNNNNNNNNNNNNNNNNNNNNNNNNNNNNNNNNNNNNNNNNNNNNNNNNNNNNNNNNNNNNNNNNNNNNNNNNNNNNNNNNNNNNNNNNNNNNNNNNNNNNNNNNNNNNNNNNNNNNNNNNNNNNNNNNNNNNNNNNNNNNNNNNNNNNCCGCGACUAAAGGGUAACCUUUAGUCGCGGUUUGCCAGACCAACCGCGACUAAAGGCCCCCCCCAAAUCUUCUUUUAUUUUCAGAACCUUUUAUCUUUUUCUUUUCAGAAAAAUCAUCAUUGCUUUUAUAGAAACUUCAAACAUUUUAUUUUCUGUUUUCUAAGCAUAUUUUCGUAGGAAAAAUAUGCAUAGAGACAAUACAUUGAAUCUGCCUAAAACGGGACAGAAAAAAGAGAAUCCAUUUAAAGGGAACAUUGGCCAGAGCCUCUCUCCCCCCCGGCCUGGGCCGGCCUUCGGCCUCGACCCAUCUUGCUCACGCCUGCCUGGUGCGGUGGCUGUGAUGCCCCGCUGAGAGGCCUCUCGCCCGAGCCGUGAGCGCGCCGCCCCUUUCUUCUCCUAUCCGCCCGCUGAGAGGUCGUUUUUGCGUUCCCCGCGCGCAACGACCUUUAGUCGCGGUUGGUCUGGCCUUUAGUCCCGGUUGCACCAACCAGCCGGGACUAAAGGUUAGAUGACCAGCUCUGGAUUCCUCUUCUUCCCGCCAUUUCUUCCCUGUCUUCCCGCCUCUUUCUUCCCGCCACUUUCUUCCCGCCUCCUGUCUUCCCGCCUCCUGUCAUCCCGCUCCCAUUUUUCCCGCCAUUUCUCACUACAUAUAUGUAGCCCGGCUUGGCCAGCAUUAUCACAUCUCUACAAUCUCUCAUCACUCUCUCAUGGCUUCCACCGCACCCACUCUAACCUACCAGCAGGUGGAGGAGCUUUGCGCCUCGAACUACCCUUGUCCACCGGGCUACCGCGUCCCCACCGGCUGGAGCCUAAGCGCCGGCAGCGUGCCGGUCCCUCCCGUCCCUCAGGGUACUGCGCGCCGGGCGGCCAUCACGAACCACUACUACCUCGACCUCACGCCGGAGCAGCGGAUGAAUCCCCGCUGGCAUCCCGAUAACCAGCAUACUUGGGACGCCUUCUUCAUCAAUCGGCGUGAGAGGGCGCUCGCCAGGUAUGAGGAGGACGGUCUGCCUCCUGGGAACUUCCACGAGGCCGGCCGUCGGCUAUGGUGGUACGGCCGGACUCUGCAGAGCGUCAUGGACUACAUCACGGCCGGCGAUAUCCCCCGCCUGCGCUACCCUCAGUUCGAGCCACGAGCGCCGCCCGACGACAGCGACGACAGCAGCGACGACGACGGCGGCAACUUAGAAGGCGACGACUACCAGUACAACGACGACGGCGGCUAUGAAGACUACGAGUAUGCAUAUUAUACGCCUAGGCAGGAGUAUGACUAAAUCACUCCAAAUUUCAUGUAUCAUCAAUGGUAUCUCGAAUCAUUCGAAAAUGGACACCAAACACAUCACGGGUAAUAUAAUUCACAUGAUCCAUUCAACAAAGUUUGGUACAAUAAAUUAUUACACAUCAUUUCUUCCCUUGUNUGGUAUCUCGAAUCAUUCGAAAAUGGACACCAAACACAUCACGGUUAAUAUAAUUCACAUGAUCCAUUCAACAAAGUUUGGUACAAUAAAUUAUUACACAUCAUUUCUUCCCUUGUGUCCCUGCUUGCUUACGAUUGUGCCGUAUCCAUGGAGCAUCCUCAUCAUUUAACUUAAUGCUUGGGUCGGUGUUCACUUUGAAGGGCGGAAUUUCANGUCCCUGCUUGCUUACGAUUGUGCCGUAUCCAUGGAGCAUCCUCAUCAUUUAACUUAAUGCUUGGGUCGGUGUUCACUUUGAAGGGCGGAAUUUCAGCAAACAUAUUAUAAUCUUCUGACAUGUCUGUCUUGUCCUCCACUCCCACGAUGUUUCUUUUCCCUGAAAGAACAAUGUGGCGCUUUGGAUCAUCGCAUGAUGUACUGAUCGUUUUCUUAUCUUUCCGUUUCCUCGGUUUGCUACUCAUGUCCUUCACAUAGAAAACCUGAGCGACAUCUUUCGCUAGGACGAAUGGUUCGUCAAGGUAACCAAGAUUGUUGAAAUCCACCAUUGUCAUUCCGUAUUGCUGGUCCACCUUUACCCCACCUCCUGUUAGCUUGAACCAUUUGCACCGGAACAAAGGGACCUUAAAGGAGGGUCCAUAGUCAAGUUCCCAUAUCUCCUCUAUGUAACCAUAAUAUGUGACCUCUUGCCCAUUCUCGGUNNNNNNNNNNNNNNNNNNNNNNNNNNNNNNNNNNNNNNNNNNNNNNNNNNNNNNNNNNNNNNNNNNNNNNNNNNNNNNNNNNNNNNNNNNNNNNNNNNNNAUCGCAGCUAAGUCCCCAAGUGCGACGUGAAGUGCACACUCGGAGAAAGUUGAUACUUAGGCGAUUCUUGAUCGCAGCUAAGUCCCCGAGUGUGAUGUUUAGUGCACACUCGGAGAAAGUUAAUACUUAGGCGAUUCUUGAUCGCAGCUAAGUCCCCGAGUGCGACGUUUAGUGCACACUUGGAGAAAGUUAGUACUUAGGCGAUUCNAGCUAAGUCUUUUUUUGAGACUGGAGUCUGCGACCGCGGAAGAAUUUUGAAUCUGCAAAAACUCAAUCUGCAUUGAAUUAUUUCACCAAUACUUGUUCUUUACAUUGCUUCAGUCGACGGUCACGUGUAGAAGCGCUUCAGGAGAUCUCCAUUCCAUGCUCGCGGCUCGUCCCUUUCUCUAUCGAUGUUGUAGAGUCUGUAUGCUCCAUUGUUCAGCACCUUGGAGAUGAUGAAGGGUCCUUCCCAGGCGGGAGCCAACUUGUGAGGUCUUUGCUGAUCCACUCGGAGCAUCAGGUCGCUUGCUUGGAAUGUACGACUCCUGACGUGCCGCGUGUGAAAGCGCCGCUGAUCUUGUUGAUAAAUGGUUGACCGAGUCAGUGCCAUCUCGCGCUCCUCCUCUAGAAGGUCCACUCCGUGUUUCCUUGCUUGUUCUGCUUCAGCUUCGGAGAAGAGUUCAACUCGUGGAGCGUUGUGGAGCAAGUCACUCGGAAGGACCGCUUCUGCUCCGUAAACGAGGAAGAACGAGGAUCGCCCUGUAGAUCUAUUCGGGGUUGUGCGGAGACCCCAAAGCACUGAAGGUAGCUCGGUGACCCAUGCGCCAGCGGCAUGUCCCACCUCUCGCAGGAAUCGAGGCUUCAAACCUUGCAGAAUAAGUCCAUUCGCCCACUCUGCUUGUCCGUUUGUUUGAGGAUGCGCCAUAGAUGCAAAAUCCACUCGGAUACCUUGGUUUGCACAGAAACCUUUGAAUAUGUCCGAGUCAAAGUUUGUGCCGUUGUCCGUGAUUAUGCUGUGAGGUACCCCGAAUCUGGAGAUGAUGUCCCUGACAAACUUGAUGGCCGUUAGGGCGUCGAGCUUCUUGAUGGGCUUGGCUUCAAUCCAUUUUGUGAACUUGUCGACUGCCACCAACAGAUGUGUGUAUCCCCCUUGGCCUGUCCUGAAUGGACCGACUGUAUCUAAUCCCCAUACUGCAAAAGGCCAAACAAGGGGGAUUGUCUUCAACGCAGAUGUGGGCUUGUGGGACUUGUUGGAGUAGAACUGCAGCCUUCACAUCAGUCGACCAUAUCUUUAGCCAUUUCGUUCGCCUGCAGCCAGAAGAAGCCAGCUCUGAAUGCUUUGGCGACGAUUGCUCUUGAAGAGGCGUGAUGACCGCAGGUUCCCGAGUGGAUUUCUUCCAGGAUUAACUAUCCCUCCUCAGGGGAGAUGCAUCGUUGAAGAACGCCUGAAAUCCUUUCCUUGUACAACUGGCCAUCAAUGACAGUGAACGACUUUGACCUGCGGACGAUCUGCCUGGCUUGGACUUCGUCUUCUGGUAAUUCCUGCCUCAGGAUGUAUGCGAUGAUCGGCACAGUCCAAUCGGGGAUGACGGCAAGAAUCUCCAUGAUCAAAUCAACCACAGCAGGUACGUCGACUUCAGUCGGAUCUGUCGAACUCUUUGGUUGUACUGGUUCCUCUGUGAAAGGAUCUUCCUUAACGGAGGGAAGGUGGAGGUGCUCGAGGCAGACGUCACUCGGGACUGGUCUCCGAGUGGAUCCGAGUUUUGCCAACUAAUCAGCUGCUUGGUUCUUCAGUCGCGGAACAUGGUGGAGUUCUAGACCUUCAAACUUCUUCUCGAGCUUCCUCACUGCAUUGCAGUAUGUAGUCAGGAUGGGGUUCCUGACGUCCCACUCUUUAUCACUUGAUUAACCACCAAAUCCGAAUCGCCAUAGACCAUCAGGCGACGGAAGCCGAGUGCGAUGGCCAUGCGCAGUCCAUACAGGAGAGCUUCAUACUCUGCCUCAUUGUUGGAGGAAUCAAAGUGUAUCUGCAGCACAUACUUGAGUUUGUCGCCCUUUGGCGAUACGAUCACAACGCCAGUGCCGGAGCCAUUCAACAUCUUGGACCCAUCGAAGAACAUUGUCCAAUGAGCCGAGUAGAUGUGGGUCGGUUGCUGUUGUUCUACCCAUUCCGCUAUGAAGUCAGCCAGAGCUUGAGACUUUAUAGCUUUCUUGGCCUCGAACUUGAUGUCGCAGUACAACAUCUCCAUUGCCCACUUCGCCACUCGGCCCGAUGCGUCCCGAUUGUGGAGGAUUUCCGACAACGGAGUAUCAGAAACGACAGACACCGAGUGGUCUUGGAAAUAAUGAGCCACCUUCUUCACAGUCAUGUAAAUCCCGUAGAUAAGUUUUUCAUAGUGGGGAUACCUCUGCUUGGAAGGAGUCAGGACUUCGGAGACGUAAUACACUGGCCGCUGAAUUUUGUAUGCUUUGUCUUCUUCUUCUCGUUCGACUGUAAGAACAGUGCUGACGACUUGAUUUGUAGCCGCGAUGUACAGAAGAAGGGGCUCUUUACUAAGCGGAGCAGUAUGAACCGGCUGGGUGGAAAGUAGGACUUUGAGGUCGUCGAAUGCAACUUGGGCUUCAUCUAUCCACUGGAAAGUAUCUGAUUUCUUCAUGAGUCGGUACAGAGGAAGUGCUUUCUCGCCAAGUUGACUGAUAAACCUGCUCAAAGCCGCUAGGCAACCUGUGAGCCGUUGAACAUCGUGUAUUCUGACUGGCCGCUCCAUUCGGACGAUGAUCCCGAUCUUUUCGGGGUUGACAUCGAUCCCUCGUUCGGAAAUGAAGAAACCGAGUAACUUUCCGCUGGGAACACCGAAUGAACACUUGGCGGGGUUGAGCUUGAUAUCGUACCUACGAAGGUUGGCGAAUGUUUCUGCCAAGUCAGUCAGCAGGUCGGAACCUUUGCGUGACUUGACUACGAUAUCAUCCAUAUACGCCUCCACAUUCCGAACGAUCUGGUCGAGGAGGCAUUUUUGGAUCAUGCGCAUAAAAGUUGCUCCUGCAUUCUUCAAACCAAAUGGCAUAGUGAUGUAGCAGAAGCACCCCGAAUGGGGUGAUGAAGGCUGUUUUUAAUUCAUCGGGGCCAUACAGAUGGAUCUGAUGAUAGCCCGAGUAGGCAUCAAGAAAUGACAAACGCUCGCAACCCGCAGUCGAAUCGACAAUUUGAUCGAUGCGGGGGAGUGGAAAAUGGUCUUUCGAGCAGACCUUAUUGAGAUGCUUGAAGUCGAUGCACAUUCGGAGCGACUUGUCUUUCUUGGGCACCAUGACAACAUUGGCGAGCCACUCGCAGUGGUGUACCUCGCGAAUGAAGUUGGCUGCCAAAAGCUUGGCCACUUCUUCUCCGAUUGCCUUCCUCUUGUGCGCGGCGGACCGACGCAGGCGUUCUCGGACAGGCCGAGCGGUGGGAUCCACAUGCAGUCGGUGCUCAGCCAACUCCCUGGGUACACCUGGCAUGUCAGAGGGCUUCCAUGCGAAGAUGUCCCAGUUCUCACGGAGGAAUUGGGUGAGCUCGACUUCCUAUUUGGGAUCGAGGGUGGUGGAGAUGUUCGUCGGGGCCGCGGUGUCGUCCGUCGGGUGGAUGCUGACCUUCUUCGUCUCUCCCGCCGACUGGAAUGCAGACUCUAAAGCUGGCUUCUUCGCACGCAUCAAGUCAGCGGGGUCGACUGUUUUCUUGUACUUGUCAAUCUCGAGGACAGCCAUCUGCUGAUCGGCGAUCCUUGAUCACUGCUGCAGACACUCUUCGGCCCGCUGUCGAUUGCCCGUGAUAGUGAUCACACCUUUCGGGCCUGGCAUCUUUAGCUUCAGGUACACGUAACAUGGACGGGCCAUGAAACGCGCAUACGCCGGGCGGCCCAGAAUUGCGCGGUACGCGCUCUGGAUGUCCACCACCUCGAACGUCAGCUUUUCCUUGCGGAAGUUCUUGUCGGAGCCGAAAACGACGUCCAACGCGAUCUGGCCGAGUGACUUGGCCUUUCGUCCAGGGACGACUCCAUGGAACUGCAUGCUGCUCUCGCUGAGUUUGGACAUCGGAAUGCCCAUCCCCUUGAGAGUGUCGGCGUACAUGAUGUUCAAGCCACUGCCGCCGUCCAUGAGGGCUUUGCGCAGUCGGACUCCUUCCACCACCGGGUCGACAACCAGAGCCUGUCUCCCUGGGGUGGGUACGUGUGCUGGAUGAUCUGACUAGUCAAAGAUGAUCGCAGUCUGAGACCAUUUGAGGAACUUGGGGUUGGUAGGCGUGGCCAUGUUCACCUCCCUGUUCACCAACUUCAGUCGACUCUUGCUCUCAACGUCAGCAAAAAUCAUCAGUGUUGCAUGGACUUGGGGGAACGGAUCCUCCUUGUCCUCCUCAUCCUGUUCAUUAUCCUUGUCACUCGGUUGCCCUUCGCCGAACCCCUGGAUCAGGAGGCGACAUUGCCGAGUGGUAUGCUUCGGAUAUAUGGCGUUGCCCUCUUCAUCCAUCUUCGUGUGAAUCGGACAUGGCUGGUCCAGGAUGGGGUUGUUGAACUGCUUCUUCUUGGGGGUGAACUGAGCCUUCCCCUUGCCCUUGAACUUGGCAUUGGUAACAGCUGCGGCUUCUGCCUACGGAGUGGACGGAGCUUUCUGCUUCUGCUUCCGAGUGUUAUUCCCAUCCCCAUCGGCGACUGUUUUGUGCUUGCCGCUACGGAUGCGGUCCUCUUCUUCGCCAUUUGCAUAGCGUGCCGCUAUCUCCAUCAUCUCGCUCAUGGAGAUGUCGCCUGUUCGACCGAACUUCAGGUACAGAUCUCUGUACCGCACGCCUGCCUGGAAGGCGCAGACUGCUUGGUGUUCUUUGACGUUCUCCACCGUGUGGUAGAGGGUCGUCCAACGCUGAAUGAAAUCGCGCAGGGGCUCAUUCUGCUUCUGGACACAGUGCUGGAGCUCCACGAGGCCAGCAGGGUGCUUGCACGUCCCCUCGAAGGUCCUGAUGAACACUCGGGCCAGAUCUGCCCCGCUGUAGAUGCUUGAGGGGGCCAAUUGGUUCAGCCACGCUCGCGCCAAGCCGUCGAGCAUCAGAGGGAGGUGCUUCAUGGCGACGUGGUCGUCCCCUCCUCCGGUCUGGACUGCCACUCGGUAGUCAUCCAGCCACGUUUCUGGCUUGGACUCUCCUGUAAACUUGCUAAUUCCCGUCGCCAAUCGGAAGUUGGGAGGGAUGUCAGCCGAACGGAUGGCUCGACUGAAACACUCGGGAUCAGAAACGAUGGUCCUGCUUCCACUCGGACGGUCAGUAUCAUGACCAUCGCGGUGGGCUCGGCCCCUGUCGACUCUCCGCUAGGCGAUAUGCCCUCUCGCGUCGGGCCUGCUGGGUAACGUAGCAUAAAUUCCAAAAAAUUCAUACGCAUGUUCAGAUCUUCCUAUGGAGAGACCAGCAACAAGAGAGGGGUAAGAGCAUCUUCGUACCUUUGAAGAUCGCUAAGCGGAAGCGUUGCUAGAACGCGGUUGAUGGAGUCGUACUCGCAGCGAUUCCGAUCUAGUGCCGAACAACGGCACCUCCGCGUUCAACACACGUGCAGCCCGGUGACGUCUCCCGCACCUUGAUCCAGCAAGGAGGAGGGAGAGGUUGGGGAAGAAGUCCAGCAACACGACGGCGUGGUGUCGGUGGAGAGACGAGGUCUCCCGGCAGGGCUUCGCCAAGCGCCGGCAGAGAGGAGGAGGGAGAGGAGCAGGGCUGCGCCGAGAGAGAGAUGAAACCGUGUGUCAAACAGCCCCGAACCCUCAUCUAUAUAUAGGGGGAGAGGGAGGGGCGCAGCCCUUAGGGUUCCCACCCCCAAGGGGUGCGGCAGCCCCAGAUGGGAGAGGGGGCGGCGGCCAGGGCAGGGAGGAGGGGUGGCGCACCCCUCUGGUGGGCCUUAGGCCCACCUAAGCUAGGGUUCUCCCCUUCCCCCCUUUCUCUGGUGCGCAUGGGCUGGGUGGGGGCUCACCAGCCCACUUAGGGGCUGAUUCCCUUCCCCACUUAGCCCAUCUAGCCUCCCGGGGUCGUUGCCCCCCUUCGGUGGGCCCCCGGGACCACCUCCGGUGGUCCCGGUGGGCCCGGUACGUUACCGGUGACGCCCGAAACACUUCCGGUGUCCAAACCCAUCCGUCCUAUAUAUCAAUCUUUACCUCCGGACCAUUCCGGAGCUCCUCGUGACGUCCGGGAUCUCAUCCGGGACUCCGAACAACUUUCGGUAACCUCGUACAACAAUUCCCUAUAACCCUAGCGUCAUCGAACCUUAAGUGUGUAGACCCUACGGGUUCGGGAGACAGGCAGACAUGACCGAGACACCUCUCUGGCCAAUAACGAUCAGCGGGGUGUGGAUACCCAUGGUGGCUCCCACUUGCUCCACGAUGAUCUCAUCGGAUGAACCACGAUGUCAAGGAUUCAAUCAAUCCCGUAUACGAUUCCCUUUGUCUGUCGGUAUAGAACUUGCCCGAGAUUCGAUCGUCGGUAUACCUAUACCUUGUUCAAUCUCGUUACCGGUAAGUCUCUUUACUCGUUCCGUAGCACGUCAUCAUGUGACUAACUCCUUAGUCACAUUGAGCUCAUGAUGAUGUUCUACCGAGUGGGCCCAGAGAUACCUCUCCGUCACACGGAGUGACAAAUCCCGAUCUCGAUUCGUACCAACCCAACAGACACUUUCGGAGGUACCCGUAGUGCACCUUUAUAGUCACCCAGUUACGUUGUGACGUUUGAUACACCCAAAGCACUCCUACGGUGUCCGGGAGUUGCACAAUCUCACNGAACCUUAAGUGUGUAGACCCUACGGGUUCGGGAGACAGGCAGACAUGACCGAGACACCUCUCUGGCCAAUAACAAUCAGCGGGGUUUGGAUACCCAUGGUGGCUCCCACUUGCUCCACGAUGAUCUCAUCGGAUGAACCACGAUGUCAAGGAUUCAAUCAAUCCCGUAUACGAUUCCCUUUGUCUGUCGGUAUAGAACUUGCCCGAGAUUCGAUCGUCGGUAUACCUAUACCUUGUUCAAUCUCGUUACCGGUAAGUCUCUUUACUCGUUCCGUAGCACGUCAUCAUGUGACUAACUCCUUAGUCACAUUGAGCUCAUGAUGAUGUUCUACCGAGUGGGCCCAGAGAUACCUCUCCGNNNNNNNNNNNNNNNNNNNNNNNNNNNNNNNNNNNNNNNNNNNNNNNNNNNNNNNNNNNNNNNNNNNNNNNNNNNNNNNNNNNNNNNNNNNNNNNNNNNNAGGCCUAAAAUCACUCUCUGUGCUUGUGGGCCUAUUGGGCCUACUGCGGGCCUGCAUCCUGGCCCUAGUAAUGUGUUUCUAAUUACUUAUUUAUUUUCUUUUAUGAUAAUAUUUUUUUCUAUUAAAGUUUGUAACAAAAUUCUAUAUAAUUUUAGUUUCGAUAAUACUAGAGGUUUAUAAAAGAUUUUUAGUUGAUUCCUUUUGCUGACUUCAUUUGUUAUUUUUCAUGCAUUUACUGAUUAUUUUGAGCUAUAAGACCAUGAAAUUGAAAGCAUUUGAAAUGAACUCUGAAAAGGUUCCAAGUUGGCAUGGUAUCAUCAUUUCACCAACAUAGUAUGUGCCAGAAAGUUGAGAGGGUUACGGCAAAAACUGGAUGCACUUCGUGUACAAAACGGACAAUCUCUUUGGAAGUAUCACGGUUUCAUAGGGAAACUCGUAUGUUACAAAGGGAUUUAAUUUUUUUGAACUUAUUUGAACUCCAUAGUUUUUCUGUGUUCAAAAUGCACCAUUCAAAGCCACGUCAUCAAUUUACAACCCUUUCUGACUUCAUUUCUUAUUUUUCAUGCAUUUACUGAUUAUUUUGAGCUAUAAGACCAUGAAAUUGAAAAGCAUUUGAAAUGAACUCUGAAAAGGUUCCAAGUUGGCAUGGUAUCAUCAUUUCACCCACAUAGCAUGUGCGAGAAAGUUGAGAGGGUUACGGCAAAAACUGGAUGCACUUCGUGUACAAAACGGACAAUCUCUUUGGAAGUAUCAGGGUUUCAUACGGAAACUCGUCUCUUACAAAGGGAUUUCAUUUUUUUGAACUUAUUUGAACUCCAUAGUUUUUUUGUGUUCAAAAUGCACCAUUCAAAGCCACAUCAUCAAUUUACAACCCUUUAUGACUUCAUUUCUUAUUUUUCAUGCAUUUACUGAUUAUUUUGAGCUAUAAGACCAUGAAAUUGAAAAGCAUUUGAAAUGAACUCUGAAAAGGUUCCAAGUUGNNNNNNNNNNNNNNNNNNNNNNNNNNNNNNNNNNNNNNNNNNNNNNNNNNNNNNNNNNNNNNNNNNNNNNNNNNNNNNNNNNNNNNNNNNNNNNNNNNNNAAGAGGAAUAUACAAUAUAUAUUCAAUAUCAUCGGAUGACCAUAUACAAUUUUGAACAAGUUUCCAUACAUAAUUUAAUGCAUAUAAAGUUCUGCGUCCUCGUAAUGGUGUUCUCCUUUAGGAUAGAGGACUUCCCUCCUGAACCAUCCAGCUAGUUCCUCUUGAAGUGGGCGGAAGCGAGCUUCUGGACUAAGCAUCACCCGGAGGUUAUUCCGCUGAGCAUUGGUAUCACUCGGAACCCGCUCAGAGGUGUAUCUCCGGAUCAUCUCACAGACAUAGUAUCCACAUAGAUUGGUCCCCGCUGGCUGAAUAUCCCCACCAUUCUUAGCCUUUGACCUUUUGAAUUCUAGCUCUUUUUUGAAUUCACCGACCUUUGUAUCUACGAACCGUCUCCAAACCCUACGAGGCAAAGAAAAUUAAAUGAACAAGAGAGUUAUUAGUUACUUGAUAUUAGGAAAUGAACGAAAUAGGCCGAUCGAUAUAGAGCGCAAAUGAAUGAAAAUAAUUACUUCUGCAGCAUUCUUCUCAUGCCGCCCCAAAGCUUUGGAUCCAUAUUCAGAGAGUCGUGGACGAGACAUUCUGAGGUGUCAACUUUAAUUACUAGCAGAAUCCAGUGGAACCUGCGGACACGAUACAUGCACAGUACGUCAUGCAUAACUCAUCGAUUAGCCGGCCACAUACCAUGCAUGGAGUAAACAAAAGAGAAUGUGCUCAAGACAGAAACACUCACCCAAAAUGGUAAGGAAAGAAUAUCACUUUUGAGUUCCUGCUUUGUAAGAAACUGCCACAGGUCUGCCUCCAUGUCGGCGGGGUGAUGCUCCAACACAUAUCCAUUAACGAUGUGUGGGUCAAUGAACCCAACAUCAUGGAUGUUCCUUACUCUGCAUUCCUUAAUCUUCAUUCUGCAUGUAUAAUAGCGGACACAACAAUAUAGUUAGGACAUAUAUAUAGUGCAGGCAAUAUGAACGAGAUGGGGUAGAAAUAAAUCACUUACAGAACGUAGCAACUGAUGAUAGAUUUGUCGAGCUCGCGCAGAUUGAAAAGCUGGAACAAUUCACUCAGAUGAAUUUGUACAUAGUAAUGUUUGAAGUGAUGCUCAUAUCUAACUUCCGCAUAAAUAUAUUCUUUGGCGUUUUUAUUUUUUAUGUAACCCUUGUACCAUUUCAGCAGACCUUUCAUUUGUGGAGGUAGAUCCUCUUCCUGCGCAGGCUCGACGAGAGGCCCAUUCUUCACAUAUGUAAUUACUACCUCCUUCACUGGCGCCUCAUCAAGGCCUAACAGUUCACGAAGAGUAAUACCUAAGUUGGCCGCUUGUUCUCUGGCACUCGUUACAGUCAAUCCAUGUGCUGCCGCAGCUGCUAUGAUAUCGGGGUCAUCCGGACCGGCGGCUUUCACUAUAAGCGGGGCAAUCGAUUGUUUACUUUGUUCCCCGAGUUGGGCAACUCGUUUCCCGCUUUUUUUACUUUCUAAUUCCGUUUUCUCGGCCUCCUCCAAGGCUUUGUUCUCCUGGUUCUCCGCCCGCUCUUUCUUCUCCUUCAACAUGAAUGCCUGCCUACGAAGUUCACGUGCAUAGUCGUCAGGCAGAUUCUUCGCGGCUUGGGACGGUGUGCUCAAAAAUGACUUAGCCCACUUCUUUUGCUCAUCAGAAAAUACUGGCUUGGGCUCGGGCUCUCUUUUCUUCUUGCAGUCCGCCUUCCAUUUCUCAUGAUCAGCAGCCGCGGCCGCGGCAGUUUCCUCGGCACUACGUUCCCAAGGCCUUGUGGGGAGAGGCUUCAGUGAUGGCUCCGGUACCUUUGUGGUCUUAGGUACAUAAGGGUCCGGGUUAAUAAUCCAGGACUGCUUCUGCUUCUUUGCCGGAGGUGGAUUGGGGGGCGGCAUCUGAUCACCCGCCGGACGAGGACUGGGGGGCGGCGUCUGAUCACCCGCCGGACGUUGUGGACUGGGGGGCGUCGGCUGACGUGACGGAGGUGUAGGUGAACCGCCACCACCACCACCGUAGGGGGGUGGACUUGUUGUCCUUGGCGCCUCGCCUGGAAACUUGAUAAACUUCUUUUGCCAUAGAAUGAAAUGGCGCUUGACAUCUCCAAGUCUUUUCUCCCCUUCAGGUGUAGCAAUGUCAAUCUCCAGGUCCUCAAACCCUUGGACUAUGUCCUCCACCGUGACACGAGCAUAGCCAUCUUGAAUGGGGUUGUUGUGGUGGAGUGCUCCAGGUAAACAUGGUAAAGCACUGCCGAUGGCUACCUUCAUGGACAUGUUCCCGAUAGGAUAAUACAGAUGACAUUCUUUCAUCUCCUUUAUAUCGUCCACGGGGUAGCGAGGAGGCUCCGGUGCAGUAAUUUCGACCACCAGAGGCUCCGGUGCAGUAAUUUCGACCACCAGAGGCUCCGGUGCAGUAAUUUCGAUCGUCGGUGCAUCUGCACCAGCUGGUGGGGCCUCCAUGGAAGCCACGCUGCUUCUCCGCUGCUGGCUUCCGAGAUCCGCUGGAUGAUCUUCAUGCUGCGCCCGAGCUACAUCUCUUUCGGCUAAUAGUACACUCACGGUUUUAUUCAUCACAUCCAUUUCCGAUGCCAACCGCGCCACAACAUCUGCUUCCCGAUCCAUCUUUCUCUUACGGCUUCUGUAACCGUACGGGUCAUCGUUCUGGGGGAACCCUAUUUUCCACGGAAUGUGCCCCAUGCCUCGUACACGUCCUCCGUGUUCAGGAUUCCCGAGGGCUUUUGUCAGCGCGUCGUUCUCUCUGUUGAACUUGAUCUUCCCCUCUUGAGCAUCCCUCAUUGCGUCAAUAAGGGCUUGGGUGGGUUUAAUUAAUUUGCCCCGGUAAACACACUCCCCUGUCUCCGGGUUCAGCGUUCCCCCAUGCCCGUACCACCAGCUUUUGGCCCUUGGGUCCCAUCCCUCCGUACCUGGACGGAUUCCUCGCGCCCUCAGCUCGUUCUCCAUCUUCUCCAACCUAGGCACCCAAAUGCGAUACCCUCCUGGCCCCAUAAUAUGAUUGUACUCCUUCUUAGCCGCAUUUUCCUUAUUUCUUUUCGAUAUUUGAAUGAACUGCUCCGAUUUCUUUUGCUUCACAAAUUCUGGCCAAUCAUGUUUCAGUUUCUCAUAUUGUCCUUUGAAAUCCGGAGUCUUGUUCUGCUUGACAAAGUCAUGGGCUAGAUUUUGCUUGAAUUUCCGGAAUGCGUCGGCCAUCUUAUGAAGAGCGCACUGUUUGACUAGCCUCCUCCUCUCCUUGUUUUCCUCAAUCUUGUUACCCUCCUCAUAGAAUUUGUUGUAUUCCGGAGGUAGAACGAAAUGUUCCAUAAGCUUCUUGAAGCAAUCUUUUUUUGUUCUCUUAUCGACAAAAGUGAAACCAGCAAUUCGUGCCUUCUUUGGCUUAUUCCACUCCUGGACGGUGAUCGAGACGUUGUCUCUAACAACGGCUCCGCAUUGGCUGACAAACUUGGUGGCGUUCUUGCGGGGCUCCAGCGGCCUGCCGGUUGCACUGUCGACAACCUCGAUGGUGCAUGUUUCUCCUUGUUUCAUCGUCUUGGUUGCGCCACGCUUUGACGACGUACUCGAUUGUUUCGACGAUCCGGCCGAGGGCUAAAAUAAGAAAGAGAGUCGCGCGCGUUAGUACACACAUAUUUAUUCAAAUCAGUUAGUUUGUAUCACCAGAGGCUCAAUGUAUAUAUAUACCUCGGCGCCGGAGGUGGUUGCUACUUCCAUUUGAAGAUCGUCGUUUAUCGACGUUUUUUCGGCAUCAUCUUGCUGACGGCGCCCUUCAUCUUCACCGUCAAGGUUCAGAUAAGAAGAGAUAUCAUCUUCUUCUUCUCCGGUCGGCACAUAUAGAAUAUCGCCGUUUAUGAUGCCGAACAUAUGUGCUUCACCGUCCGGAUCAUAGUUGUCCAUAAUCGGGUCAGCUCUAUCGUCCGCCAUUAUGUCAGUCCUGAAAACAUGUAGUAAAAACAAAUUAAUUAAGUGAAGAAGGGGGGCGGUGGCGGUGGCGGUGGCGAAAGGGCGGUGGCAAAAAGAGGGGGCGAGGAAGGGGUGGGAGAGGGUGUCGCGGUAGAGCGCGAGACGGGGCGGCAGACGACGGCGUCACGGAGAGGGAGGCGAGGACAACACACAUGUAUAACCCUCGCCGCCCCCUCUCGAUCCCAAAAAAAAACACCGCGCGCAUCGCCGCCCCCCUCGCCGCCCCCUCUCCGUAUACUUUUUUUGUUGUUAAUUAUCAAGUUCUCCGUGUGCCUAGCUUCACAAUGGCUACUCGAACAUUUUCCGGCAGGAGCCCCCUCAAAGCAAUCGGAAGCAAUUGCAUCAUAAUCACGUGGCAAUCGUGAGACUUCAGGUUUUGGAACUUUUUCUCCGCCAUGUUUAUUAUUCCCUUUAUAUUGAACGAGAAUCCAGACGGGACCUUCAUACUGCUCAGGCAUUCAAAAAAGAUGACCUUCUCUUCUUUGGUCAGAGCGUAGCUGGCACGACCUUGAAACCAUUCCGGAUGCCGGUCAUCAGGGUCUUUCAAAUGUUGCUGGUCCUGCCGUGCUUCCUUUGUAUCAUUUGUCUUCCCAUACACGCCCAAGAAGCUUAGGAGGUUCACGCAAAUAUUCUUCGUAACGUGCAUCACGUCGAUUGCAGAGCGGACUUCUAGGACUUUCCAAUAUUCUAGCUCCCAGAAUAUAGAUUUCUUCUUCCACAUGGCUGCGUGCCCGUCAGCUCCCUUCGGAACUGAUUGUCCGCCAGGACCCUUUCCAAAGAUGACAUUCAAAUCCUUGACCAUAUCAAAUACCUCAGCACCAGUGCGUUCCGCAGGCUUCGGCCGGUGAUCUGCCUUGCCGUUGUAAUGCUUGCCUUUCUUUCUUACUGGAUGGAUUUUCGGAAGAAAUCGACGAUGCCCAAGGUACACGUUCUUCUUACAAUUUGGCAAAUGUACACUUUCAGUCUCAUGUAAGCAGUGCGUGCAUGCAUUGUAUCCCUUAUUUGACAGUCCCGAAAGGUUACUAAGAGCAGGCCAAUCGUUGAUGGUNNNNNNNNNNNNNNNNNNNNNNNNNNNNNNNNNNNNNNNNNNNNNNNNNNNNNNNNNNNNNNNNNNNNNNNNNNNNNNNNNNNNNNNNNNNNNNNNNNNNCCCGUCCGACUUACGGUCCUCUUUGUGCCAUCGCAACAACUUGGCAUGCUCUUUGUUCCUGAACAGACGUUUCAACCGAGGUAUUAUAGGAGCAUACCACAUCACCUUGGUGGGAACCCUCUUCCUGGGUUUCUGGCCCUCAACAUCGUCACCAGGGUCAUCGCCUCUGAUCUUAUAACGCAAUGCAGUGCAUACCGGGCAUUCAUUCAAAUUCUCGUAUUCACCGCGGUAGAGGAUGCAGUCGUUGAUGCAUGCAUGUAUCUUCAGAACCUCUAAACCUAGAGGGCAGACAACCUUCUUUGCUUCGUACGUACUGGCGGGCAACUCGUUAUUCUUUGGAAACAUAUUCUUCAACAUUUUCAGCAAGUUUUCAAAUGCCGAGUCAGCUACACCUGCCUGUGCCUUCCAUUUCAGCAAAUCCAGUGUGCAGCCCAGCUUUUUCAGACCAUCAUCGCAUCCGGGGUACAACGACUUUCUGUGAUCCUCUAACAUGCGAUCCAAAUUCUCCCUCUCCUUUUCAGUUUCGCAGCGUCUCCGUGCAUCAGCAAUGGUCCGACCAAGAUCAUCAACGGGAUCAUCACGUGCCUCUUCUUCACCUUCCCCUUCACCUUCAGCAUCCUCCAUGAAAGUAUCACCGAAAUGAGCAAGAUAGCUUUCAUCGAUGAAAUCAUCCCCUUCUUCAUCUUCUUCCAUUAUAACCCCUCUUUCUCCAUGCUUGGUCCAACAAUUAUANGGUCUCAUCACGUGCCUCUUCUUCACCUUCACCUUCCCCUUCACCUUCCCCUUCACCUUCCCCUUCACCUUCAGCAUCCUCCAUGAAAGUAUCACCGAAAUGAGCAAGNCAGCAAGUUUUCAAAUGCCGAGUCAGCUACACCUGCCUGUGCCUUCCAUUUCAGCAAAUCCAGUGUGCAGCCCAGCUUUUUCAGACCAUCAUCGCAUCCGGGGUACAACGACUUUCUGUGAUCCUCUAACAUGCGAUCCAAAUUCUCCCUCUCCUUUUCAGUUUCGCAGCGUCUCCGUGCAUCAGCAAUGGUCCGACCAAGAUCAUCAACGGUCUCAUCACGUGCCUCUUCUUCACCUUCACCUUCCCCUUCACCUUCCCCUUCACCUUCCCCUUCACCUUCAGCAUCCUCCAUGAAAGUAUCACCGAAAUGAGCAAGAUAGCUUUCAUCGAUGAAAUCAUCCCCUUCUUCAUCUUCUUCCAUUAUAACCCCUCUUUCUCCAUGCUUGGUCCAACAAUUAUAGCUUGGCAUGAAACCGUGCCGAAGCAGGUGCAGGUGAACUUUUCUUGAGGAAGAGUAACCCUUCUGAUUCUUACAGUCAACACAUGGACAGAUAACAAAACCCUUCUGCUUGUNNNNNNNNNNNNNNNNNNNNNNNNNNNNNNNNNNNNNNNNNNNNNNNNNNNNNNNNNNNNNNNNNNNNNNNNNNNNNNNNNNNNNNNNNNNNNNNNNNNNUAGAGCGCGAGACGGGGCGGCAGACGACGGCGUCACGGAGAGGGAGACCCGGGACCAUACUUUUUUUCUCAUCACUGCCGUGUGUACUAACCACACGAGUAUGAGACCCGGGACUGUGCAGGUGCAUCGAGAAAUCUUAGGGCUCGACAAUAUGUUUUCUCUUCGUGGGAUGCUAGCGGUCGCAUCAACUGAGCGUUUUCUUCCCGACGUCUUCUAUUCUCAAGAUGAAGUGAUGACCUCCCUUUCUUUAUUUCUCUUUCUUUGUUCUUGCAUAGUCUUCCCGACGGCUGUGGCUGAAUAUCCGACACAUGAAAAAGUUUUAACUAGAGUUUUUGACCGUGAACCUGCUGCUUCAGCUUUGCACUGGCCGACCGCCGAUUCGCUGGUUCAUUUGCUAGUUUUUAAUCAUAAAAGAAAAUACUUUCUUUGUUCCUAAAUAAUUGUAGUUAAAAAAACUAGACUAUCUUUUUUUGACUAUAAUUAUUUAAAAACGGAGGGAGUAAAUAUUAUGUAAGUAUCUCAUUAUUAAAAGAGGAGUUGGUUCCGUUGCCUCUCCUACUCCCUUUGUUUUUUCGUCCCAUGACUCCCUCUCUUCUUAACCAAAAUAGAUAGUCUUAAACUCAACCAAAAAUGGUGAACUUUUCCAAAUUCGCUAAUUUUUUUCAAUUUAGAUUGAUUAAUUAUUUAAAUUGAUGAUUUUUUAACUCGAUGAUCUUUUUUAUAUUCGAUGAAACUUUUUCAUAUUUGAUAGUCUCUGUUCUUUUUCAUAUUCGAUGAAACUUUUUAUAUUCGAUGAAACUUUUAAAUAGAUAGUCUCUGUUCUUUUUCUUCCAAGACGUUCUUCCAAGACGUUCUUUUUCUUCCAAGACGUUCUUCCAAGACGUUCUUUUUCUUCCAAGACGUUCUUCCNNNNNNNNNNNNNNNNNNNNNNNNNNNNNNNNNNNNNNNNNNNNNNNNNNNNNNNNNNNNNNNNNNNNNNNNNNNNNNNNNNNNNNNNGUUCUUCCAAGACGUUCUUCCAAGACGUUCUUUUUCUUCCAAGACGUUCUUCCAAGACGUUCUUUUUCUUCCAAGACGUUCUUCCAAGACGUUCUUUUUCUGCGAGCCCUGUCGGCAUCGAUGGGCGCGGGGACGAGGGCGGCUAUGAGCGCAGCGACGAGCGCAAUGCUUCGAGCGGAGGAAGCGAGGAAGGCGGCGACAGGAAGCGAGGAAGGCGGGCGCGGCGCGGGAAAGAUGAAAGGAUAGGGGUGAACNNNNNNNNNNNNNNNNNNNNNNNNNNNNNNNNNNNNNNNNNNNNNNNNNNNNNNNNNNNNNNNNNNNNNNNNNNNNNNNNNNNNNNNNNNNNNNNNNNNNGCGGAGGACGGCUCGACGGCGAGGAGCAUGGCGCGACGACUAGGAGGACGGUGCGGCGGCGAGGAGGACGGCGCGGCGGCGAGGAGGACGACCGAUGGCGAGCAGGACGGCGGGCAGCCUGACGGCGUCGGUUAGUUCGUCGUUGUGCCGCGCCGGGCAGGAGAACGAGAGGAAGAAGAAGAGAAAUGGACGAAUUGGGUUGCAAAUUUUCGAAGUCCCGCUUAUAUAGGUGGAUCUAUAGUCCUGGUGCGUGGCUCGGGCCGGGACUAAAGACCCCCUUUAGUCCCGGGUGGAGCCACGACCCGGGACUAAAGGCCUCUUUUCGGGCAGACCAAGAGGCAGGACGCAGGGGGUCUUUAGUCCCGGGGCGUGGCUCCAACCGGGACUAAAGGGGGUCUUUAGUCCCGGGGCGUGGCUCCACCCGGGACUAAAGCCCCUCCUCGGCUGCACGAUAAGUUCAGUCCCACCUCGCCCAGCGAGGGGGACUAACACUUGUUUAUAAGCCCCGUCGCAGCUUGUCCAUCGAGCUCCUCUCUAAAGCAGGCUUACGGGCCUAAACUUACUGAAAAUUGAAACAAUAUUCGAAAUUGUGGAUAAAAUUCAAUCUGAAUUCAAAUGAAUUCAGGUCGAAUUUUGUCCAUGAUUUCUCAUAUAGUUUCAAUUUUUUUCUAUUUUCAAAAUUAAUUAUAUUGACUAUCCAAACUAUUAACUUAUUUUGUUAUUUUCAAUUAAAAACUAUGUUUAAUAAAAGUUCUUUUUGCAUAUUUGAGAAUUUGACAAAACUAUGAUAAUGAAAAGUGUUUGAAAUUAAAUAAAUAAUUCAAAACUAUUUUCUAUUUUCAAAAUUAAUAAUUUUGACUAUCCAAACUAUUAACUUAUUUUGUUAUUUUCAAUUAAAAACUAUGUUUAUUAAAAAUUCUUUUUGCAUAUUUGAGAAUUUCACAAAACUAUGAUAAUGAAAAGUGUUUCAAAUUGAAUAAAUAAUGCAAAACUAUUUUUUAUUUUCAUAAUUAAUAAUUUUGACUAUCCAAACUAUUAUCUAUUUUGUUAUUUUCAAUUAAAAACUAUGUUUAUUAAAAAAUCUUUUUGCAUAUUUGAGAAUUUGACAAAAGUAUGAUAAUGAAAAGUGUUUCAAAUUGAAUAAAUAAUGCAAACUAUUUUUUAUUUUCAUAAUUAAUAAUUUUGACUAUCCAAACUAUUAUCUAUUUUUUUAUUUUCAAUUAAAAACUAUGUUUAUUAAAAAAUUCUUUUUGCAUAUUUGAGAAUUUGACAAAACUAUGAUAAUGAAAAGUGUUUCAAAUUGAAUAAAUAAUGCAAAAAUAUUUUUUAUUUUCAUAAUUAAUAAUUUUGACUAUCCAAACUAUUAUCUGUUUUGUUAUUUUGACUUCAUUUGGUAUAUUUCGUGCAUUUACUUUUUUUUUUGAGCUAGUUGACCCUGAAAUUGAAAAGCACUACAAAUGAACUCUGAAAAUGUUGAAAGUUGGCAUGCUAUCAUCAAUUCACCCACAUAGCAUGUGUUAAAAAGUUGAGAGGGCUACGACAAAAACUGGAUGCAGUUCGUGUACAAAACUGACAAUCUCUCUCGAAGUAGCACGGUUUCGAACGAGAACUCAUCUCUUACAAAGGGAUUUCAUUUUUUUUGAACUUAUUUGAACUCCAUACUUUUUGUGUGUUCAAAAUGCACCAUUCAAAGGAACAUCACAAAAUUUCAACAAUUUCUCACUCCAUUUGGUAUAUUUCGUGCAUUUACUUAUUUUUUUUGAGCUAGUUGACCCUGAAAUUAAAAAGCACUACAAAUGAACUCUGAAAAUGUGGAAAGUUGGCAUGCUAUCAUCAUUUCACCCACAUAGCAUGUGUUAAAAAGUUGAGAGGGCUACGACAAAAACUGGAUGCAGUUCGUGUACAAAACUGACAAUCUCUCUCGAAGUAGGAGGGUUUCGAACGAGAACUCAUCACUUACAAAGGGAUUUCAUUUUUUUUGAACUUAUUUGAACUCCAUACUUUUUGUGUGUUCAAAAUUAACGAUUCAAAGGCACAUCACAAAAUUUCAACAAUUUCUGACUUCAUUUGGUAUAUUUCGUGCAUUUACUUAUUUUUUUUGAGCUAGUUGACCCUGAAAUUGAAAAGCACUACAAAUGAACUCUGAAAAUUUUGAAAGUUGGCAUGCUAUCAUCAUUUCACCCACAUAGCAUGUGUUAAAAAGUUCAAAGGGCUACGACAAAAACUGGAUGCAGUUCGUGUACAAAACUGACAAUCUCUCUUGAAGUAGCAGGGUUUCGAACGAGAACUCAUCUCUUACAAAGGGAUUUCAUUUUUUUAAAUUUAUUUGAACUCCAUACUUUUUGUGUGUUCAAAAUGCACCAUUCAAAGGCACAUCACAAAAUUUCAACAAUUUCUCACUUCAUUUGGUAUAUUUCGUGCAUUUACUUAUUUUUUUUGAGCUAGUUGACCCUGAAAUUGAAAAGCACUACAAAUGAACUCUGAAAAUUUUGAAAGUUGGCAUGCUAUCAUCAUUUCACCCACAUAGCAUGUGUUAAAAAGUUGAGAGGGCUACGACAAAAACUGGAUGCAGUUCGUGUACAAAACUGACAAUCUCUCUCGAAGUAGCAGGGUUUCGAACGAGAACUCAUCUCUUACAAAAGGAUUUCAUUUUUUUGAACUUAUUUGAACUCCAUGCUUUUUGUGUGUUCAAAAUGCACCAUUCAAAGGCACAUCACAAAGUUUCAACAGUUUCUGACUUCAUUUGGUAUAUAUUUCGUGCAUUUACUUAUUUUUUUUGAGCUAGUUGACCCUGAAAUUGAAAAACACUACAAAUGAACUCUGGAAAUGUUGAAAGUUGGCAUGCUAUCGUCAUUUCACCCACAUAGCAUGUGUUAAAAAGUUGAGAGGGCUACGACAAAAACUGGAUGCAGUUCGUGUACAAAACUGACAAUCUCUCUCGAAGUAGCAGGGUUUCGAACGAGAACUUAUCUCUUACAAAGGGAUUUCAUUUUUUUAAACUUAUUUGAACUCCAUACUUUUUGUGUGUUCAAAAUGCACCAUUCAAAGGCAAAUCACAAAAUUUCAACAAUUUCUGACUUCAUUUGGUAUAUUUCGUGCAUUUACUUAUUUUUUUGAGCUAGUUGACCCUGAAAUUGAAAAGCACUACAAAUGAACUCUGAAAAUUUUGAAAGUUGGCAUGAUAUCAUCAUUUCACCCACAUAGCAUGUGUUAAAAAGUUCAGAGGGCUACGACAAAAACUGGAUGCAGUUCGUGUACGAAACUGACAAUCUCUUUGGAAGUAGGAGGGUUUCGAACGAGAACUCAUCUCUUACAAAGGGAUUUCAUUUUUUUUAAACUUAUUUGAACUCCAUACUUUUUGUGUGUUCAAAAUGCACCAUUCAAAGGCACAUCACAAAAUUUCAACAAUUUCCGACUUCAUUUGGUAUAUUUCGUGCAUUUACUUUUUUUUUGAGCUAGUUGACCCUGAAAUUGAAAAGCACUACAAAUGAACUCUAAAAAUUUUGAAAGUUGGCAUGCUAUCAUCAUUUCACCCACAUAGCAUGUGUUAAAAAGUUGAGAGGUCUACGACAAAAACUGGAUGUAGUUCGUGUACAAAACUGACAAUCUCUCUCGAAGAAGCACGGUUUCGAACGAGAACUCAUCUCUUACAAAGGGAUUUCAUUUUUUUAACUUAUUUUAACCCCAUACUUUUUGUGUGUUCAAAAUGCACCAUUCAAAGGCACAUCAUAAAAUUUCAACAAUUUCUGACUUCAUUUGGUAUAUUUCGUGCAUUUACUUAUUUUUUUUGAGCUAGUUGACCCUGAAAUUGAAAAGCACUACAAAUGAACUCUGAAAAUGUUCAAAGUUGGCAUGCUAUCAUCAUUUCACCCACAUAGCAUGUGUUAAAAAGUUGAGAGGGCUACGACAAAAACUGGAUGCAGUUCGUGUACAAAACUGACAAUCUCUCUCGAAGUAGCAGGGUUUCGAACGAGAACUCAUCUCUUACAAAGGGAUUUCAUUUAUUUUGAACUUAUUUGAACUCCAUACUUUUUGUGUGUUCAAAAUGCACCAUUAAAAGGCACAUCACAAAAUUUCAACAAUUUCUCACUUCAUUUGGUAUAUUUCGUGCAUUUACUUAUUUUUUUGAGCUAGUUGACCCUGAAAUUGAAAAGCACUACAAAUGAACUCUGAAAAUUUUAAAAGUUGGCAUGCUAUCAUCAUUUCACCCACAUAGCAUGUGUUAAAAAGUUCAGAGGGCUACGACAAAAACUGGAUGCAGUUCGUGUACAAAACUGACAAUCUCUCUUGAAGUAGCAGGGUUUCGAACGAGAACUCAUCUCUUACAAAGGGAUUUCAUUUUUAAAAAUUAUUUGAACUCCAUAAUUUUUGUGUGUUCAAAAUUCACCAUUCAAAGGCACAUCACAAAAUUUCAACAAUUUCUCACUUCAUUUGGUAUAUUUCGUCCAUUUACUUAUUUCUUUUUAAGCUAGUUGACCCUGAAAUUGAAAAGCACUACAAAUGAACUCUGAAAAUGUUGAAAGUUGGCAUGCUAUCAUAAUUUCACCCACAUAGCAUGUGUCAAAAAUUUGAGAGGGCUACGACAAAAACUGGAUGCAAUUCGUGUACAAAACUGACAAUCUCUCUCGAAGUAUCAGGUUUUCGAACGAGAACUCAUCUCUUACAAAAGGAUUUCAUUUUUUUGAACUUAUUUGAACUCCAUGCUUUUUGUGUGUUCAAAAUGCACCAUUCAAAGGCACAUCACAAAAUUUCAACAAUUUCCGACUUCAUUUGGUAUAUUUCGUGCAUUUAUUUUUUUUUUUGAGCUAGUUGACCCUGAAAUUGAAAAGCACUACAAAUGAACUCUGAAAAUGUUGAAAGUUGGCAUGCUAUCAUAAUUUCACCCACAUAGCAUGUGUUAAAAAGUUGAGAGGGCUACGACAAAAACUGGAUGCAGUUCGUGUACAAAACUGACAAUCUCUCUCGAAGUAGCAGGGUUUCGAACGAGAACUCAUCUCUUACAAAGGGAUUUCAUUUUUUUAAACUUAUUUGAACUCCAUACUUUUUGUGUGUUCAAAAUGCACCAUUCAAAGGCAAAUCACAAAAUUUCAACAAUUUCUGACUUCAUUUGGUAUAUUUCGUGCAUUUACUUAUUUUUUUGAGCUAGUUGACCCUGAAAUUGAAAAGCACUNNNNNNNNNNNNNNNNNNNNNNNNNNNNNNNNNNNNNNNNNNNNNNNNNNNNNNNNNNNNNNNNNNNNNNNNNNNNNNNNNNNNNNNNNNNNNNNNNNNNGAAUGGCUCUAAAUGGCUAAGUGUUGGCUGCUGGAUGGGUAUAUAUAGGGGAGGGGCUUUAGUUGCGGUUGGCCUGGCAAACCGUGACUAAAGGUGCCCGAAGGCCUUUAGUCGCGGUUGUCCUGGCCAACCGCGACUAAAGCCCCUCACGUGCACCAGCUGGCCACCGAGCGCCCUGGGCCCAGGCCUUUGGUCGCGGUUCACCUCCAGAACCGCGACUAAAGGUCCCAUUAGUCGCGGUUCCUACAGCUUCGCGACUUAUGGGGCUGGACGGAAGCCUGUUUUUCCACCAGUGCUUGUUGUCUACUUUGUACUAAAUUAUCUAUGUGCCAAAGUUUCAUGACCAUACUAUGACAUGGGGGAGCUCAGGACAGAAAACAUAAAAAAAACCUUUCUCGAUUUUUUUUAUUUUUUNNNNNNNNNNNNNNUUGUGUCCAGAUCUCUCUUGAUGUCAUAUCGUCAUAAAAUUUUGAAGACACAUAGAAAACUUUUCAUCUUUCAUGGACUUAUAUAUUCUUUUUUCAAAAGUUUGCUAUGUUGUUUUGAUUGUACUGUUUGCCCAUAGAAGCAGAUGAGCUCGACCACUGAAACUACCACCUUCCCUAACCAUUUCUUGAAUAAAACUCUUAAUUCCAUGGGAAAUGCAAUUCGGCUAUGUUAAGAAAAUCCUAACAAAAAUGUUAUGUUUUCUUUGUCACAUCCAAAUGCUACCUGGAAAUUUUUAGGCCAAAAGGUUAAGUAUUUUAGCCUGUGCAAAAUAAAAAAAUUAAGCAUCAAUUGUUACCCCAAAAUUUCACACCCAAUUUUUUCCCCGACGAAACACCACUGCUCCGUUUCGGAUGAAAAUUGUCAGGCAUGCUAAUUGAGACAGUAACACGAACAUCUACCAAAAAAUCCAGAGUUUUUAAAAGUAUUUACAAUUAUUUCUUGAAUUACUAUUCAUCCGGGUGCAAAUGCACCCAGGAGUCAAGACACCUCUGCCUCAAGUCCAUGUACAAUGCAAGGUGCUAGUUAGUUGCUUGAAAAAUAAAAUAAAAAAAAUUAAGAACCCGUUUUCGUUUUUAUAGCAGACGUGCGUAAAUAAACACAUGCCCUAUAAUACAAAUAAAAUAAAAUAAACAUCGCUGCUUAAAAAAAAAUUCAUUUCCACAUGCAGGCAUCUCUUUAAUCAGCCUGCAUUGUACAUGAUCAAAGAUGAUAAAGCGUGAUAUACAAUGGUUUUGCUUAAAAAAAAACUAACGUGUGUUUUGCCAGUACAUGCGGCGCCCAAACUAUGAUUACAAAGGAAUGCAACCCAACAUCUGAACUAGCGGAUUUAUGCGUAAUGAUACAGGCAUUUGUUAAUGGGUAAUGCAGCUGGCUAAUCACCAACCACUAGAAUAAUUUUUCCACGCGGACAAAAGCUCAAGCUUUCACAGCCAGCAAUGAUAAAAGGUUAGCCGACCGACGGUGCCAUCCAAUUUGGAAAAACUCAUGCCUGGCUUUGGAGCCUUCCCCAGUCUCCACUGACCAAACCCAUCCGACUAAGCUUCACCAACCCCGGCGCCGGUUUUGAGCCCCUAUUUAUAACGCUCACUUCUGCUCUCCAGGAAACCAACGAACGUUGCGCCAUUACAACAGUCACAACUCACAUCCCUUAUAUCGGUUGUGCGAGUUUGAUCAUCACAGCAAUCAAUGGCCUCCACCAACAGUUGGACCCAUGAGAUUGAGUCGUCGGUCUCUGCAUCGCGCAUCUUCCGUGCCGGUGUCAUGGACUGGCACACCCUGGCCCCCAAACUCGCGCCACAGAUCGUCACCAGCGCCCACCCUGUUGAGGGAGAAGGCGGCAUCGACAGUGUCAGGCAGUUCAACUUCACCUCAGGUAUGCAUCAUAUAUAUACAACUCAUAUCACUUGCAGUCUGGUACACAUGGUCAAAGCAUAACACAUAGUUGAUCUUCCAGCCAUGCCCUUCAACCUCAUGAAGGAGAGGCUCGAGUUCAUUGACGUGGACAAGUGCGAGUGCAAGUCCACCCUCAUCGAGGGUGGUGGCAUAGGCACGGCGAUAGAGUCGGCCACCUCGCAGAUCAAGGUGGAGCCGACAACCAACGGUGGGAGCUUAGUGAAGGUGGAAUCGACAUACAAGCUGCUGCCAGGCGUGGAGGUGAACGAUGAGAUCUCCAAGGCCAAGGACUUUGUGACGGCCAUUUUCAAGGCUGCCG
This 324698-nucleotide long non-coding RNA is filed under the name Hordeum vulgare. RNAcentral's name for it is "long non-coding RNA (HVUL_LNC017941)". The stretch from base 3031 to 3302 matches the Rfam family "Eukaryotic large subunit ribosomal RNA", at positions 962 to 1384 of the family's 3401-position model. The record is from RNAcentral. Lineage: Eukaryota; Viridiplantae; Streptophyta; Magnoliopsida; Poales; Poaceae.